Molecule: long non-coding RNA, 184692 nt
Filed under: Triticum aestivum (bread wheat)
Lineage: Eukaryota; Viridiplantae; Streptophyta; Magnoliopsida; Poales; Poaceae
Description: long non-coding RNA (TAES_LNC021676)
Source: RNAcentral
UUAGGUUUGUAUGAUCUCCUGUUAGUAAAAUUAUAGCAUAAAUAACUUUCCAUGUGAUUUCAGGUGAAAGAAAAGGCUGUGGAGCUUCCCAAGGCCAUGGAAUCUGAAGACGGCGUAACGGGCGCAGUUAGGGCAUUCCUCAAACAUUUGCCUUGCAAAACAGAUGAAAAUUCACCCCCGCUGACGCAUGGCUUUCUAGAGUUCCUAGCCCCAGUAAGUAAAUGUUUGGGGUCCUCUUAGGUGCUGGUCAGAUGCAGGCAUACCAUUACUCCCUGCUGAAAGAAGAGUGCAAAAAAGGCUCUUGGGUGACCGCUAUGCCUUUGUGUGCGAUAAGAAUGUGGAAGCCAAAUGUUAGAAGUUGAUGUACAUGCAUGCGACCAGGAGCCCGUGAUUUACCGUUUUGCAUUUUUUUAUAUGUGUGUUGUGUAAAGAGUACUUGUCUGGUGAUUUGAUACAUCAUUUUGGUGUGGUUGCAACCUUGGCCUGCAGCAACCGAUGAUCUCGCAUGUAUGACCAGACAAUCUGUGUCUAUGGAGAACUUCAGAGUGCAGAUUAGUUCAGCUACGCCUUUUGCAGUUUACCACAUUGUUUAAUUUGAAACUGCCAAACAUGUCAUGUUUAUAAUCAUGUUUCAAGUGUUUCCUUGUUCUACUACAGGUCUUCAUGUUAAGAUAAAGUAGUGACAUGUGACCUCAUGCACAGGGGAAAGUAAUACUGUCACCCCAGUAUUUCUUUUUUCCCAGUUUCCAAAAAUGUGAAAUAAUUCAUGGUCGUAAAUUAGGCUAUAUAAUAUGCAUUUGCAAAAACUUUGAAAAAUAUGACUUUUGUGACUUGUACAGAAAAUACAACUCUGGCUAUAUCAACUGAGGGUUGUUCAUUUAUAUAUCUGUUUUUCUUGUCUAAGUCACAAAUUGAUCAUAUUUUUGUAGAAAUUAUAUAAUUUUGUGGCGAGAGGUGAACUGGAGAAUGAGCUUUUCAUCUCCAACUGAUAUUUUGCAUUAAAUAUUGGUUUAAGUGCAUCUGACAGGUGUGUAUAAUGUGUAUUUGUUCCAGGCUUCUUCUUUUUCCAGCAAAGAAAACAUAUAAAAUGUCCCCAGUAGAAACCCAUCAUUAUCAGGCAAAGGGCUCUAUGAAUGUGGAAAGAUUCUCAAAAGAUCUUGCCGAGACAUCUGUAGCGUAGAAAACCAAAUUAUUACAGAGAGCCAAACAAAUCGGCUUAUUAAAAAGGAAAAAAGAUGGCAAGAUAGCAAAUUUUCAACAUAUUGCCAUGCCGUAAAGCAACGAGCUUCAACUUCAUCGACCGCCUUUUUUGCCUUAAUAGUGUGUAUAAGGUCAUUGCUUCAGUUGUCCAUAGAGAAAAAUGCCUCUUUUACUUCAGUUACUUCACCGUAGACAUCAUGCAUCGUUGGGCGAUCCUUCGGCGAUUCCGCAGAGCAUAAUAAGCCAAGUCUAAGGAGCCGGAGAGCACAUAUAUCCUUCAAUGCAAAUGUGUUCUGUUCUUGCAAGUUUGGGAUAUGACCGACACACUGAUCUCCCAUAUCUGAAGUAGGCCGUUUAUGUGUUAGCAUUUCCAAAAGAACAAUGCCAUAGCUGUAGACAUCACCCUCGGUCGAGAUUUCACUGCCCAUGCCAUACUCUGCAAUAAUGUUUUAAAACAAAAAGUUCUUCAGCGGAGAACAAAAGUGAAACAUGUAUAUUAAUAAAAAGAAUCUAGCAGCUGAUAUAGUUAAUCAUACUAGAUUUCGUUAACAUAAUGUGCUUGUAAAACAUACUCACCAGGAGCUAUGUACCCAAUAGAUCCCCUUGGUCCAACUAUGCUUGUUGUGCCGCUCUUCUGUCCAGAUGAACAUCCAUGAAUUAGCCUUGCUAGACCAAGGUCAUAGACACAUGCCGUAUCGUCGUUGUUGAAAAGUAUGUUGAUUGGUUUCAUAUCACAGUGAACAACUGGUGGGAUGCAUUGGUUAUGGAGGUAUUCAAGAGCACAAGCAAUGUCAACUGAUGUGACAUAUCAUUGCGCCUAAACUCAUAUCACCACACCGGUGAUUAUGAAGUCUGUCUUCAAGGCUACCGUUGGCCAUAUACUCAAAGACUAGAGCCCUGAACUCAUUUCCCACUGGGUCAUAAGUUGAGGAUGCAGUUAUAACCUUCACGAGAUACCGGUGACGGAUGUGUUGCAAUGCUUUGCACUCAGCAAUGAAGCUAUGCAAUGCGCCGUGCUUAUUGAGCUUGAAGACUUUAACAACAACCGUACCAUCUUCCGCGUCAAACCAACCUUUGUAGACAGUCCCAAAUUGCCUGGAGCCAACUACGUUGGCUAGAGAAAGACUAUCCGUUGCUUUGAUUAUGUCACCAUAUGUUAUCCUUUUCAUCUCCAUGUAUGAAUGGCCAAUUCUCUCACUGGAUUUGUAUCUCCUUCUCAACCAAAAAUUGAACACCCCCAAGAGCAAAGCAAGUGCAACGAGAGUUGACAGAGCUAUCAGGAUAGGAAUGACGAACUUGUGUUUUUGUGUGGAUGCUGAAGCAAAGCACCUAGGCAAAUCUUGUACUGCAAUGUUUGCACACAGGUGUGGGUUUCCUUGGACAAAACUACCACUUCUAUUAGCAAACACUCCAGCAGUGGGAAGUGUCCCUUGGAAGUCAUUGAAGGACAUAUUCAAAUACAUCAAAGAGGUGAAGGUCCCAAGGAACUCCGGGAUUGUGCCAGAUAGAUUAUUAUUGGAGCAAUCCAACACUUUGAGGCCUUUCAAGUUUUCUAGUGAUUGUGGAAUGUCUCCUUGCAGGAUGUUCUCUUCUACACGAAGUGCUUCCAACCGAACACAUGCGCUAAGGGUGGACGGGAUUCUUCCCGUGAGAUUGUUGUGGGAGAUGUUCAAGGAACCAAGGUUUAUCAAGCUACCUAUCUCUAGUGGCAUGGACAUUGUGAGUUGGUUGUGUGAUAAAUCAAGUAACCAACUUAACUGUUCCAACAUAGCCAACACGUGUCCGCUUAUGCUUUAACCAAGGGUAUUACAAGAAAUGUUUAGUGCUAACAACUUCUGGCAGCUGCCUAAACUUUCAGGUAUGAUUCCACUCAAAUCAUUUUCUUGCAAAUAAAGUUCUUCCAGUUGAUUUAAGCUGCCAAUGGAAGGUGGUAUUUCCCCAGAAAAGUUGUUUUGUGGUAGACUAAGAACAACCAAGUUGUGUAGCUGACCAAGGGUAGGAGGUACAGACCCCAUGAAAAGAUUUCUAUCAAGAUACAACAUGUUAAGAUUAGACAAAUUUCCAAUCUCCAAGGGGAUUGUGCCAGAUAUGUUGUUUGACCGAAGAGUUAGGGCGGUCAAGCUUUUCGGCAGAUUUGCUAUGGAAUUUGCUAGUAAAUCCCCGUGCAAGUUGUUUUCACCUAUGUUAAAUUCUAGAAGAUGUGUACAAUUCGCCAAAGAGGAGAAGAAUGUCCAGUCUCCAGCCUCUAGAUGAUUUGAGUACAACAUUACAUGCUCCAAAUUUGCCAUGGAGCUGAAAGAAGGAACCACCCCAGUCAGAGAGUUGUUGGCUAGAUGGAUAUAUGUCAUGGUGGAGGCAUUUUGUAGUGAGGCAGGGAUGUCUCCCCAAAAAUGAUUAUCUUGCAUAAACAAAAAUUUGAUGUUAGCAAGUGUGUUACCCAUGUCAGAAGGCAAUGUUCCUCCAAGAUUAUUGCAAAACAUCCCAAGAAAGUUCAGCGAAGACAAAUUGUAAAUUGAGGGUGGCACUGUCCCUGACAGAUUGUUGGUGGAGAGAUCGAGGUUUUUCAGGCUUGAAAGUUCCAAAUCUGGAAUGAUCCUUGCAACUGGUUAUCAGCAAGCAAGAGCGAGGCAAGGGAUGAGUGGUUGUGUAUGUGAGCGACUACAAUCAUAAUGUGUUUUAAAAAUAAAAAACCGAGUGUGGCACUUAGCUGGGGUGGAUGGUUACUGCUGUAGAUACGUGGUAAGCUCAGCGCUAAGUGGAUAAGUUAGAAAUUUAAGCUACGACUAUUCGAUGUUGGCCGAGUAGGGCGUUGAGCCGCCCUGUCCUUUUCACCCCGGUAUGGAGCCGGUCACGCUUUUUGCGUUAAGAUACCUAUAGCCAGAUGUGUUAAAUCGGUUUCAAACGUCCGGACGAAGUACCGGUCACUAAGGGCAUGGCCAAUGGUUUAGCUGGGAUAGAUGCCCCAUAGUUCUGCGUCGGAUGCUGCCGUGGAGGAAAUUGGAAGCGAAGACUAUAGCUUGCAGAGGCUUGGUGUAGCUUGCAAAGGAGCUAGCUUCUUCAGUCAAAAAGUGUGGUCCUCCACGAGAAAAAGGAAAGGGAGAGAGUGUGCCAUGAGGACAUAAUUGCAUCAUAUAACGAUCCCUCAACGUGCAACAAAAAAUCAUUCCAAUGUUUCUAUCCGAGAACGUAGGACGAAAAUGUGCAUCAACCCCUAUCCAUAGAUUACCUCAAUGUUACCUCGGGAAUUCACGAGUUGAGUGCCAAAACAUACAUUAAGUGAAUCAAUGUAAUACCUCAUUGUCACCAUGGGUAUCCGUAUGCAAGACAUACUUCAAGUGUUCUAAAAUCCAAUAUUCAGUCCAACAUUAAGAAACCUCAAAGAGCAAUACUGAAUUCAUGACAACAAAGAUAGAGAGAGAAGAAAAACCAUAUAAUCCGACUAUAAUAAUAGAGCUCAUGGUUACAUCAAGAUCGUGCCGGAUCAAGCACACGAGAGAGAGAGAAAGAUCAAACACAUAACUACUAGUACAUAUCCUCAACCCCGAGGAUGAACUACUCCCUCUUCAUCAUGAUGGCCGCCGGGAUGAUGAAGAUGGCCUCCGGUGAUGAUUUCCCCCUCCGGGAGCGUGCCGGAACGGGGCCCCGAUUGAUUUUUCGUGGAUACAGGUGCUUGCCGCGGUGGAACUUCUCGUCUAGGGUUCUUUUCGAUGUUUAGGGUAUUUAUAGAAAUUUUUGGCGUUGGUCUCACGCCAGGGGGUGCCCUAGGGGGCCACAAGCUCGGGUGGCAAGCCCUAGGAGUGGGCGCGCCCCCAGUGUGGCUCCCUCGGCCACUUCUUGGCCCAGCUCCGGUGCUCCGGGGGGGGGGGGUGUCUUGGUCCAUAAAAUAUCAUCUAAAUGCCCAUUCCAAAACUUUUAUUUCUGCACAAAAAAGGCAUCAAGGUAGUUCUGCUGAGAAUAUCGCCAGUGCGGGUUAGUUCUAAUCAAAUUGGAUUGACAUGAAUACUUUAUCAACUAGCACCGUGUCUCGGCCCUGGACGCGAAGCAACAGACCCGCCAUGGACGGCAGCAGCAGCACGUCCACCUCGUUGUCGGCCCUGCCACCGUGGACACCUCCGGGUUGAUGAUCUGUGUCGUGCCCUUUCGUCUACAACGCUCCAGUGUCCACCCACAAGGAGCUCUGGUGGACCCUGCCGGACAUGUCCAGCCUCGGACUCCGCUCGUUCUCUAGAAUCUCUCCUCCUCUCAGGCGUUCUCCCUUUCUUCGAGCUUAGAUCUCUGUCCCAUUAAUUCCAUCUUUGACGCCCCCCCCCUUUGUCUAUAACUCACAAAGAUAUUUGAACUGGUGGGGUUGUGUAGAAGUAAAGGAUGUGGGACCAGAUUUUUGGGACGGAUGAGGUAGUCGUUCAUACAGCCCAUCAGAACCUUUUUUUCUACUCCCUCCGUUCCUAAAUAUUUGUGUUUUUAGAGAUUUCAAAUGACUACCACAUACGGAUGUAUAUAGACAUAUUUUAGAGUGUAGAUUCACUCAUUUUGCUCCGUAUGUGAUCACUUGUUGAAAUCACUAGAAAGACAAAUAUUUAGGAACGGAGGGAGUACCAGCUAUCUCUCCUCUUCUCAGGCGUGUUUCAGUGGAUGUGCUCCACCUCAGCGACGGCGUCGACCGCCUCUCGUCGUCUCCCUUUCUUCGAGCUUAGGUCUCUGUCCCAUUAAUUCCUUCUUUGACCAACUCCCCCGCUUGUUUUCUUUAACUCGCAAAGAUAUUUGAACUGGUGGGAUUGUGUAGGAGUAAAGGACGUGGGACUAUCUGUUCCAUUAUUUUUACCAGAUUUUUGGGACGGAUGAGGCGGUCGUUCAUAUGGCCAUCAGACUAUUUUAUUACCACUUAAAUAUGUAUGUAUGUAUGCAUGUAUGUAUAUAUGUAUGUAUGUAUGGACGUAUGUAUGUAUGUGAGCACUUUGAAUUUUACAGCUUCGAGAAAUGGACAUCCACCCAUCCUCUCUUCCCCACGAGAGACGUUCAAUAAACGCUAGUAUGCGUGGUAGGUCGUCUCGUCGUGCCAAUCCAAUCCCUCUCACGGAUGUUAAAGAAUCGCUAGGAGACAUGGUGCAAGAAAGAUUGCUGUGCCUCAGCGAAGAAAGACCUAGUUUGCACAGCUUAGAGCAUCUACAAUCAGGGACAUCAAAGGCCAAGCUGUGUACCUCAUAUUCGGUCCAUCAUAUCCAUGCAGCAAAUGCAACGUACGAAAAAUGAACUAGAAACAAACUUAUUUAAAUCAGGCAUAAUUCACACACAAGGAUCAUCGGACAAUCAAAAUAUGCAGUUUCCAUCGGCCGGACAGUACUUCAACAUAAGAAAAAACUAAAUUAAAUCGAGAAUGGUGGAGAAAAUCACCAUUUUCUCGCCGGCCCCUUCCUCUUGCGGUCGGCAGUGCUGCUUUGGCCCUUGGUGUACGCGUCGGCCAAUCUCCCUCUUCCUCGCCCGUUGCCGCUCGCUCCAUGCGGCCCUUCCCUCUAGCUCGGGCGUCCUCAACCGGCCCGGCGGCGCUAGCGAGGGAACGGCCACCCAACACUGGCCGUGGACGCCCACUGGAGGUGGCUAAGAAGGGGUGGGGCAGCGUACCUAGAGUAGAACGGUGCGGGCGAAGCUGCCGCCAGUGCAGCGCGUCGGACAGGAGGGCCCGGCAACAUCGCCCGCACUGCGACGCCUGGCAAAGGGGCACGGUGCGUCCGAGCGUGAGCUGCGGCCACUGCUAUUACCCUGAUCCAUCUGUGACUUGCGCAAUGUGGUGCGGACAGUGAAUACAUCCAUGUCGGAGUCGUCGCCACAGAAGCCCGCGCUACUGCGAUCGGACGCCAUAGAUCGUAUUGGGAAGAGAAGGGGGCAGAGCGAGUGGAGUGGAGUGGUGCGGACUGAGGUCUAGGAUUCGUCAGACUAGGAUAUUUAUGGCGUCGCCACAGGGCACAGUGGGUCGGGCUAACGCGGCAGACACGCUCGGGCCGCCUCAUAUCCGCCCUACAUUUGGGUGUCAUGUCGAGCAGCCCGGGCAUUUGGGGCUGGUUUAAGACGUCUGAAUCGGCCGGUUAGGGCGUGUACAAUAGAGGCAGUACCAUGCUAUGGCCUCAUCUGCCAACAGGAUAAAGAAAAUCUAAAGCUACAUGCAUUAGAAAAAUUACCCAACGCAUGGGGUGGUCUCAUAUAUUUUACUGGGGCACACCGUGACUCUCCAUUCAUCAACUUUAUUUACAUGUAGUUGCAUUUUUCCUCGCAGCACACUCUCUCCCUUUCCUUUUUCUCGUGGAGGACCACACUUUGUGACUGAAGAAGCUAGCUCCGCAAGAUACACCAAGCCUCUGCAAGCUAUAGUCUUCUCUUCCAAUUUUCUCCACGGCAGCACCCGACGUAGAAUUAUGAGGCAUCUGUCCCAGCUGAACCAUUGGCCAUGCCCUUAGAGACCGGUACUUCGUCUGGACGUUUGAGACCGAUUUAACACAUCCGACUAUAUAGGUAUCUUAUAAAGCGAAAAGUGUGACCGGCUCCAUACCAGGGCCAACAUGGAAUAGUCGUAGCUUAACUUUCUAACUUGUCCACUUGGCGCUGAGCUUACCACGUAGCUACAGCAGUAACCAUCCAACUCAGCUCAAGUGCCACACUCGGUUUUUUUAUUUUUAACACAUCACUAGUGGAAAAGAGGGCUUUGGUCCCAGCAAGGUUAGCCCAUCCAGAACCGGGACUAAUGGGAGCAUUAGUCCCGGUUCGUGAGCCUAGGGGGCCGGCCGGGCCACAUGGGCCAUUUGUCCCGGUUCGUCUGGACCUUUUAGUCCCGGUUGGUGCCACGAACCGGGACUAAAGGGUGCGACGCCCAUUAGUACCGGUUCGUAGCACCAACCGGUACUAAAUGUUAGACCUUUAGUCCCGGUUCGAGCCACCAACCGGUAUUAAUGGGUUUGAGGCAUUAGUACCGGUUCGUGAACCGGUACUAAAGGUCUCAUUUUCAAACUCUCCCCCCCCCCUAGGGUGGAUUGCCUUUUCAGUUUUAAAAAAACUAAAAAAAAUGAUGAAAAUGUCAAAAAAAUAAAGAAAAUAAGUUUCCCAUGUGAUAUGUGGUCUAGUUGUUGGGAAAAUUUACAAAUAUGAAUUUCGACUUUAUUUGCAAAAUCUCUCUAGAAUUUAGUAAAAUGGGCAUACCUUUUGCAUACGAACUCGGAUUAAAAAGUUUUUUAUAUGAAAAAUCAUCUACUCGAAAAGUUACAUCCAAAUUUAAUCGGGGGAACCCUGUUAAACAUUUUCAAAAUCCUCAAAAACCUAACAGAAAAAAAGUUACGGAGCUUUUAAGAUCUGGAGGCAAAAAAAUUCAUCAAAUCUCAGUUUUUUUUGAAUUUUUGUUCAAGAAGUAUUAGUAUUACUAAAUAAUUAUUCAAGAAUAUUAGUGUUAGUAAAUAAUUAUUUCAGUUUUUUUGAAUUUUGGUCAAAUCUGGUCAAACUAUGGUCAAACAAUGGUCAAACUAAUUAUUCAAGAAAUAUUAGUGUUACUAAAUAUUAGUGUUAUUUUUUAGACCAAUAGUCUCAAACUCAAACAGUGAAUUGUGUGACUUCUUGCUCAAGUUAAAUUUCUGAGGUUAAUAGGAUUGACAUCUUACUAUUGUCAGGAAAACAACAAGUGCAGACUUGGAAACGAGGGAGAAUAGAACCCAGAUAUUAAGCGUGCUCAGGCUGGAGUAAUGAGAGGAUGGGUGACCAUCCGGGAAGUUAGAUGAUGAGGGGUGAUUAGAGCUUAAAUUGAGCAGUGAUGAGGGGUGAUUAGAGAUGAGAGGUUAAAAUAAUUCAGAAAUUUGAAAAUCAAAAUAAAUAUUCCAAAAAAAGUAUUCAAUUUUUUUUAAAAAAAACAUAAAAAUUCCUUUAGUACCGGUUAGUGUUACCAACCGGGACUAAAAGUGGAUCUCCAACCAGCGGCCACGUGGAGAGCCUUUAGUCCCGGUUCGUGUAAGAACCGGGACUAAAGGGGGAGGCUUUAGUAACGACCCUUUAGUCCCGGUUCACAUAACCGGGACUAAAGGACCUUAUGAACCGGGACUAAAAGCCCUUUUUCUACUAGUGCAUUAUGAUUGCAGUCGCUCACAUACACGAACAUACAUUCAUCCCUAUGAACCCACAAACACACACCCUACCUCUAUGAGCACCUACGAGAGACUAAGCCGACGUAGCAUCUUAAGAUUUUACGUAGUCACCACAGGCGCUUCUUAGUCGACGGGUACGUCUUCUCCGACUGAAUGAACAUCACCAGAAGCCUGAAAUAAAUUUAAAAAAUGCAAGCACCAAUGUCAAAUUUAGAACUUGAACCUUGAUGGGCUUUGGAUACCACUAUGCUUAUAACCAUCCCACGAUAGGUCGGGUUGGUUCGCAGUGGCACACUCGAUUCAUUCAUUGAGAUAACGAUGGCUUCCGCACUAUUAGCAGAAUAGUUAUUCUGAUAACACUUCCGCACUGCAUGCUCAACGCGAGGGCACUGCAUCCCCAUCAAAUGAGCACUGCAAUGUCACUAGAAAAAACUGCAUGCAUUUUUUCGGCAUUGUUUUCGCUUCAGUUUCUAAACCGUUUGUCGGAACAAGGCGUAUAAUAUACCGUUGGAUAGCUAUGGAAAAUGCACAAGCUCGUCAUGUUGAAUACUUUUCGAGAUUCAUUGCGGUUUAAGAGCAGUUUCAAAAACAGUGCACACAUGACGGGAUGCAGCGAGCGUAUUUUCGCGAUUUUUUCUAAACUGCACAUCGAAAUGGAGCAAACGAUACGGCGUUGGAAAGAUAUCGUCGAGCUGCAUCUUUUUCAUAUCUAUUAUUUUCUCUAAUUCGUUAAGGUUUAAGAGCAGUUUUAAAUUUAGUAAAUCGUGGAAUUCUGUUUUUUUUUUGAUUUUUUUUUCCAAUUUUUGUAUGGUUUUCGCUCUAGUUUUUUGAACCGUUUGUCGAAACGAGGCGUGUGAUACGCCGUUGGAAAGCUACAGAUGAGGCGCAAAUAGUUUUGAGAUUCCUUACGGUUUUAAGUUAAUUUUGAAAAUGGUGCUGCUGGCGAUGAGUGGCAGCAGCCGUUUUGAUGAAAUUUUCACAAACCGCGGAUCGGGAUGAUUAAAAUUAUAUGCCGUUGGAAAGAUAUCGAUAAGGCACAACCUUUUCAUGUAGAACACUUUCUCUGAUUCCUUACGGUUUAAGGGUAAUUUUGAUUUUAAUGAAAUGCGGACACUUUGUUUUUGCGUGACACGAAAAUCGUCGUAUGUACUGCUUCAGACAGAAAACCGCAUUGCAUCAGGCGGGCAAACGAACUGCACGGUUUCUUUUUGAAGUUGUUAUUUUGUGUAUUUUUAUCUUCAAUUCGGAUGAACCAAACAGGAGAAGGGGUCAACAUUUAUUUUGCUACGAGACUAUGUGAACCACAUGACUUUUGUCUUUUUUACUUUUUUUGCUUAUGUGGACCACAUAGUAAAAGUUAGUGAACCGCAUGGUGAAGACUAGAGAGCUGCAUUUUUGUUGGUGAAAGUAAACCCCGUGGCAGAAGCUAGUGAACUACUUCUAAAAGGAAAUGUACUCCUUUGUGAUGUUUUUUUAUUGUAUUUACAAUGGAAACUACAGGAGUGCACACAUCGCAUUGCAAAUACUCCACACAAGUGAAACCGACACGUAUGACAAUACAAAUUCACUGAUGGGGUGGGCUGCACACAUAAACACAAUGCAUUGCAAGCAUACACAAAAGGAACUGCGUGCGCAUGAUGCUCGGGCGUUGUUGUCUUGUCGGCGAGUGAUGUUUUAAUUUCCUUCUUUUUUCCUACACAAGUACAAAAAAUCCCUCCAACAAAGAACAUAAGUGAACCACCAUUGCACACGCUACAAGUGAAACACAGCAAGAGUGCACUGCAAGGGAAAAGCUGUGAAUUUCUUGUGGAACCUUUUUUACAAACUGAUCCACAUUGCUUCAGAGUUGUUUUUACAAUGAAAUGCAGUUUUUCAGCAAAUUCUUUUUUGAGUAAAAGGAACUGCACACGCACGAUGCUUUUGUGGGUUGCUGUCUCGUCGGCGACCGCACAUGCUAGCGCAAAACAAAUCGCACAAUAGCACACAACGGACUGCAUGGCAUCGGCUCCCCCACAUGGACCCAUUUAACCCUCGGCGGCCUGGCUUUGAGCGGUGGCCAGAGUUGUGCAGCGCGUCGGCGGCAAAAAUUUGGACUACAUCAUGGCCGUUGGUGAGCAGAAACAAAAAUAAUUUUCACCUGAGCGCACUGCUUUAGACCCCACGAGCACCUGCACAACUUGCGGUAGCGAACUGUGAGCCGCUGAAUUGCAUCUGAAAAAACCGAAGCAGCCCAAGUUGCAUCUGCAAGCCGCGAUGAUGAAUCUGCAUCCGCUCGUAAAAAGAAACGCCCAAUGCUGCAAGCGCGCGAGAACUAAACCGAAUUACGCAUGCCUCCGAGCUACACUGCCACAGUCGCCAUACUGUCGGUUCCUCGUCGUCGACGCAGAUUGAGGCGAGGGGAUGGUCGACGAGGCCGGGAGAGGGCAAGGGCAGCGGCGUCGACGUGGAGUUCCUACUUCUCCCCCGCCCGCGCAGUACCAGCGCCACCGUCGCGCAUGUCCGGGGGGUCCGCUAGCAGAGGAGAGUGGUGGAGGAGGGGGGAAAGCACGCUGGUGGCGGCAGGUGGCUGGGAGUUGGAUCCAAGCGGGGGGCGCCAGAUCCGGAGCGAGGAUGUAGGUGGACGUCGAUGGGGAGGCCACCGAACUGCACGUCGACCCCACGCGCACGCCCGACAUGCUCCAUCUCGACGGUCAACGGCGGGCGUGGCAGGGCCACCACUACUAGGAAAAGGGCUAUAGACAGGAUUGAUACUAAUGGCGCACCUGGUAAGCAGUGCACCACUACUAUAUACUAAUGGCGCACCGGCCAUUAGUGUGUAAGACACUAAUGGCGCACCGGGCGCAGGGUGCGCCACUAGUAUUGAAUUUUUUUUCCAUUUUUCCAUACACUCUAAUGGCGCAUGGCGCCGAAGUGCGCCAUUACUUGUUCUAUCAAGUAAUGGCGCACCUUGUAAGCAGUGUGCCAUUAGUAUAUAAUAUAUUUUUUUACUUUUGUGCAAAACUGCUAAUGGCGCACCAUGUAUAUUUUCAUGGACACUUUUUGAUCUCGAUCUCGAUCCCACCCGCACCCUCCCCCGCUANNNNNNNNNNNNNNNNNNNNNNNNNNNNNNNNNNNNNNNNNNNNNNNNNNNNNNNNNNNNNNNNNNNNNNNNNNNNNNNNNNNNNNNNNNNNNNNNNNNNNNNNNNNNNNNNNNNNNNNNNNNNNNNNNNNNNNNNNNNNNNNNNNNNNNNNNNNNNNNNNNNNNNNNNNNNNNNNNNNNNNNNNNNNNNNNNNNNNNNNNNNNNNNNNNNNNNNNNNNNNNNNNNNNNNNNNNNNNNNNNNNNNNNNNNNNNNNNNNNNNNNNNNNNNNNNNNNNNNNNNNNNNNNNNNNNNNNNNNNNNNNNNNNNNNNNNNNNNNNNNNNNNNNNNNNNNNNNNNNNNNNNNNNNNNNNNNNNNNNNNNNNNNNNNNNNNNNNNNNNNNNNNNNNNNNNNNNNNNNNNNNNNNNNNNNNNNNNNNNNNNNNNNNNNNNNNNNNNNNNNNNNNNNNNNNNNNNNNNNNNNNNNNNNNNNNNNNNNNNNNNNNNNNNNNNNNNNNNNNNNNNNNNNNNNNNNNNNNNNNNNNNNNNNNNNNNNNNNNNNNNNNNNNNNNNNNNNNNNNNNNNNNNNNNNNNNNNNNNNNNNNNNNNNNNNNNNNNNNNNNNNNNNNNNNNNNNNNNNNNNNNNNNNNNNNNNNNNNNNNNNNNNNNNNNNNNNNNNNNNNNNNNNNNNNNNNNNNNNNNNNNNNNNNNNNNNNNNNNNNNNNNNNNNNNNNNNNNNNNNNNNNNNNNNNNNNNNNNNNNNNNNNNNNNNNNNNNNNNNNNNNNNNNNNNNNNNNNNNNNNNNNNNNNNNNNNNNNNNNNNNNNNNNNNNNNNNNNNNNNNNNNNNNNNNNNNNNNNNNNNNNNNNNNNNNNNNNNNNNNNNNNNNNNNNNCGACCGCCGCCAGACUCCACCCCCGCCGCCCCCGCGCCCCCCGAACGGGAUCGGCCGAGCGCACGCGCUAGGGUUCCUCACCCCGCCGCCCGCUCCUCUCCUCUCCUCCUCCCUCCGACGAGCGAGGGCCUCCUCCGGCCCCUGCAGCAGCCGACAAGCGCGGCCCCGACGACCCACCCCGCCUGCCCCUGCCGUCCUCCGCCACCGGUCACCUCCACAGCAGCCGGCGAGCCAAGAACGGCGUCGUGACCCUCGCCGCCAACCUCGAGCUCCCCUGCUUCCUCUCUGCGCCGUCCAAGGUGAGCUUCCCUGCCCCUUCUCCCUCUCUCUCCAUGUCCUGGACAGCAAGAUCAAGAGAAUUAUGCUUUUAAUUAAAAUUAUGCUUUGAACAGUAGAAACAAAAAACAGAGUAUGGACCACUCAUCCAAUAUUUUAAGUGUUCUGAUUCAUAAGUAAACCGCCUUAAUUCAUUCAGUGUAGGGGGAACUUAGAAGAGAAUUCAACAUCCUUGGUCUGUUUUAUACAAAUUCAGUUUAAUGUUUGACACAACUGUCCAGUACCAAAGACUUAGGAGUAUUGCAAAAUAUUAAGAUAAUGGUAACUGGCUUUUCUUCUUUUCGACAACACGCGGGUUGCUGGUUUGAUAGGCUCCUAAAGGUUCAUGUAUCAUCACUUACUGACAUCCCAAACAUAUGUAGAAAUAUGCCUAUAUGGCCUAGACCUACAACUAUCUCCUGCUAUGGAUGUUUGCUGAACCGAAUAAAUAUGCCUAUAAGGCUAGUACUAGUAGUGCUACUCUCUUACUGCCAGUGACAGUCUAUCGAGGUCAUUAACUCCAACUCAAGUGGGCAUAAUUCUCUGCAGUAGUAUAGCACUUGCAGUAGUAUGGCACUUGCAGCAGUAUGAACAUUUUACUGCUAGUGUACUGAUAGUGUAAUCUAGCUAUUGUACUGAUAUUUCUGUUUCUUUGAACAUUUUACUAUCAAUAAAAAUGAUGUACUGCUGCUUUCAGUUAAUUCAAAUUAGCUAAAACAUUUUACUGUCAAAUAGUGCUAAUUAAUGUUUACUCUAUGAAAUAAACUACUCCAUGUCAAAUAAACCUUGCUAGGUGAAUCUUGUUUGCAUUAGGAGUAGUUGCUGGAAAUUUACUGAAUUUUGUUAUGUGCUUUGUGGUGCUAGUUUGCUGGGUUUUGUCUCCGACCAUUGUGUCGUGAUGAAUUUGCAGGUACCCCGAGAGGCCCUUGAGUUUGCUGGAAUGUCGAUUAACUUCCGUUCCGGCAAAUUCGGGUACUCCAUAUGUCCUAUUUUCAGCAAAGGUAAUGCUGAAAUUUUCCGUGAAUUUUAGCAUUACUUUGCUAAAAAUAGGACAUAUGGGGUACUUGCGACUAAUGCCUGUUAUCAUGCAUGGGUACUAAUUGGUCUCUUCUGCUGCUUAUCAGAGAUGGCGGGAAGCAGCCACCGCCGAUCUGCGACACCGCAGUACGAGUUGGAUGCUUUCGAGUUCUUCACUAUCAUACUUGAGGCUUCAGUAUCAUCCAUGACGCAGGUAUAUAAAACGAGAGAUCUCCCCUUCACCCAUCUCAUUAUGAUAGCUGUUGUUUGCUACAUCACUCAUUGUCCCAAACUGCAGAGGCUGCCUGACAGUUUUAUGAACAUGCUGAUGGGUGAAGAUCCGCCAAAUAAUGUGAAGCUGCGACAGGCCGACAGCGGGUUUCGCAGGCAGUGGGAUGUGCAGUUGGCGAUCAAGAAGGGCGACAUGUACUUGUCUCGUGGGUGGGAGAAGUUCUGCCGUGCCUACGACCUGCAGCUGGGGUACUUACUUGUCUUCAGGUACGACGACGACGCCAACAUGCUCAUCGUGAAGGUGUACAACAAGACUAUGUGUCGCAUGCGCUACGCUGCCGAUGAUGAUGCCAGUACGUUUUGCCUCUUCUUAUUCCUCUACAUUUGGCUUCGUCUCACGUCGAUUGUUAACGGUCAUUGUUGCAUUUUGCACAGGUAGGAGCAGCAGCAGCGACACUGGCUACAGCCAAAGCAGCAGCGACUAUGGCUAUAGCGAAACCAGCAGCGAUUCUGGCUGUAGCGAAAGCAGCAGCGAUUCUGGCAGUAGCAUAGACAACAGGAAGGAUGAUCCGGACUGGAGUGCGGGAGAAGAGGAGCAGAGUGAGGAUGAGGAGCUGCAGGAUGACGAUGGGCAUCAGGCUGAGGAUGACCUAGCGCUGGUGGUGGUUGACCAAGGGCAAGAGAUGGUGGUGGCUGACCAUGGGCAAGAGAUGCAGGUGGCUGAGGAUGACCUAGCGAUGGUCGUGCCUGAAGGUGGCCUCGCGAUGGUGGUGGUGCCUGACAAUGACCACCCACCGGUGGUGGCGCCGGCGAUCCCACAGCUGGGCGACAUGACCACGCCAAUUGUGGUAGAAGACUACAUCCCACUGCCUCCACUGCCUCCACCGCCUCGCCGCUCUAGGCGCAUCAAGGAGAGGAAGGACAAGAAGGAGAAGAACAAUGCAUGAGAACUGAACUUUGUCAGGUAUGUCAGAUCUCCUAUAGGUUAGCUAUCCAAAAUGAUAUAUAUAUAUACUUAGUUACCUAUGUUAUCUCUAAUAUGCUUUGUUUUCUAUAGGUUAGCUUCAUUUUACCUAAGUUGGCUCUAAUAUACUAACUUAGAGCUUAUAUGCUUAGUUUCCUAUAGGUUAGCUCCAAAAUAACUUAUGUUAGCACAAAAUGAUCAAGUUUACAUAAUAAGCUUAUAGUCUUUUUCUUAUUCUUGUUCUUUUCCAAAAUGACAUAGGUUAGCUUCAUUUUACCUAAGUUGGCUCUAAUAUACUAACUUAGAACUUAUAUGCUUAGUUUCCUAUAGGUUAGCUCCAAAAUAACUUAUGUUAGCACAAAAUGAUCAAGUUUACAUAAUAAGCUUAUAGCCUUCUUCCUAUUCUUCUUCUUUUCCAAAACUCUUCUUAUUCUUCUUCUAGUGUUCUUCUUCUUCUAGUAUUCUUCUAGUCUUCUUCUUUUUCUUCUUCUAACUUCUUGUUUAUCAUUUUGCAGAUUUGAUUUAAUUGACGGAAGCUUGCGUGGAUGGAGUGCUUCUUUUCCAUUUGUGUUUUUAUUUUGUAUCAAUGUGAAACUUUUGUGAAUUGAUGGAUAACGGUGUUGGAUGAACAAUGUGAAACUUUUGUAACGACGGAACUAUGUGUUGGCUAUGUAUGUAUAUAUGAUGAAACUUGUGUGUUGGAUAUGAUUGCUAUAUGGAUGCUUGUUGUAUAUAUAUGUGUUGAAUAUCUCAUAUGUGAAAUAGUGACCUGAGAUUAAAUUUUUUUUUUAAAAAGUUGUUACUAAUGGCGCACUACCAUGUGCUGCGCUAUAAGUAUAGCAGAUAAUAGUGGCGCACUGCGGGCAGUACUAAUGGCGCACUGCCUGGUGCGCCAUUAGAAUACCAGAUUCUAAUGGCGCACAUGUGGUGCGCCUUUAGAAAAAAUUCUAAUGGCGUGAGGCUAGUGGCGCACCAGCCAUGCGCCAUUAGAAGGCAAAAUUGGUGCGCCACUAGCAUGCCUUUUCCUAGUAGUGCACGUGCUGUCGGCAUGUGGGAAGGAGGGAUUUGCCCGGGGCUAGCCAUAUCCACUGCACGCGCGGCCGGAUCGGUUCCCGGGGCACGGUGGCAUGGCGCUGGCCGUCGGAUCGGAGCAGGAGAGGUCGCCUGGAUCCAGGGCGGUGCCGCAGCGGCCAGCGGGAUGGGCGGGCCAUGUGGGANNNNNNNNNNNNNNNNNNNNNNNNNNNNNNNNNNNNNNNNNNNNNNNNNNNNNNNNNNNNNNNNNNNNNNNNNNNNNNNNNNNNNNNNNNNNNNNNNNNNNNNNNNNNNNNNNNNNNNNNNNNNNNNNNNNNNNNNNNNNNNNNNNNNNNNNNNNNNNNNNNNNNNNNNNNNNNNNNNNNNNNNNNNNNNNNNNNNNNNNNNNNNNNNNNNNNNNNNNNNNNNNNNNNNNNNNNNNNNNNNNNNNNNNNNNNNNNNNNNNNNNNNNNNNNNNNNNNNNNNNNNNNNNNNNNNNNNNNNNNNNNNNNNNNNNNNNNNNNNNNNNNNNNNNNNNNNNNNNNNNNNNNNNNNNNNNNNNNNNNNNNNNNNNNNNNNNNNNNNNNNNNNNNNNNNNNNNNNNNNNNNNNNNNNNNNNNNNNNNNNNNNNNNNNNNNNNNNNNNNNNNNNNNNNNNNNNNNNNNNNNNNNNNNNNNAGGUGGGUGCGGCGGCUCGCGGGUGGAGGAUGGGGAGGCAGGAGGGAGGUACUGGGGUGGACUAGGUCGGGGUGGGCACGGGGUGUCUCGGGCAGUUGGAGCGCCGGUGGCGGUAGAUGGCUGGGAAAGGGAUGUAGGGGGAACUGGGGGUGGGGUGGGAGUCCUACGGGGAAGAAGGUGGGUUGGGGUGGGGAUUGUGGGGUUCUGUUCGAUUUCAGCUCGCAGUUCUGUUUAGAAGCUUGGGUAGUUUUGAAGUGUUAGCAGAAUAAGGUCUUAAGGGGUGUUAUCAUAUAUAAUAAACCUACUAUACACACACAUAAAUAUAUAUAUAAUAAACCCACUAUCUAUACACACACAGACACACACACACUUUGACCAUGACAAUGACUUUGCAGGAUGUGAUGGGGAUUUUCUUGCAUAAGAAAUGACUUGAAAACUUAAAUCAUGGCUGGGAAGAGAGAAGUUGACGGAUGCAAGAGGAUUGACAAUUGGGUCCUCUAGGACAGAAAAGCAUGCAAUAAGAACCGAGUAAUUUAAUGGAUGACAAUAAAAUGUAGGGUUCAUGGUCUCACCGCCCGUAAUAUGCUGGUCAUUUUGCAGGAUCAGGUGUUUUUUCGACCAAAAGAUGCACUAAAAAUAGGCUGGUACGUAAAAAAUAUUACAGGCGGGCCGCAAAAACGCCACUCCGGUGCUAUAUCUCCAGUUCCGGCCGGGAUUUAGGGUUACCAAACCCUAUCCCUCAGCGGCAAAAUCGCCCGCCCCACCACUAGCCAUCUCUGCCUACGGCGUAAAAUCCCGCCUCUCCUCUGCUGUUUUCCUCCUACCCAAUGGGCGGUGCUGCUCGCGAGCAUGGCGGGUCACCGCCGCGCAAGCUUGCAUGGCACGACGCGAAGGCUGGCAACUCCAGCCGGGCCGUCGUCGAGCCAUGGCGAUCCAAGCAGGCGCGUGACCGCGGCUGCCUCUCCCGCAGCGGCGGGCGGAGCCUGUGGGCCCGCUUCGACAAGCUCAACGAUGCCCUUUUCCCGCACACAGUGAGGUGCCGGAUGGUUGAUUCCAAGCUCCUCUCAGUGGAGCGCGUGGUGGCGGCUGGAGUAGAAGGCACCGCCGACCGACUCGCCGCUGCAAAGAAGGACCAUGCCUAUGCCCUCGCGUGCCGCAAGUCGGCGGAGAGUUCUACCUCGGCAUUGAUGAUUGAGCCGGCCUCCCCUAGGUUUAAUUUGUAGUUUCCACCCUUCAUGAAGUUUCCUUCGUGCCGCCAUCCGUGGCGAACCUCUCAUCCCUUACCUCGCUCUUGCUUGCCGAUAACCAGUUGCAAGGAUUCAUUCCAGAUUUUGGUAAACUUUCAAGCCUGAAAAACCUCGAUCUCUCCACCAACAAUCUGUUAGGGACAGUGCCACCCUCAAUUUACAAUUUGUCUUCGCUAAACUUUCUUGGGAUGUUUGGCAAUAAUCUUGGAGGAACAUUGCCCUCAGACAUGGGUAACACACUUGCUAACAUCAACUUACUAUUUACGCAAGAUAAUCAUUUUUGGGGAGACAUCCCUGCCUCACUACAAAAUGCCUCCAGCAUGACGUAUAUCCAUCUAGGCAACAACUAUCUGACUGGGGUGGUUCCUUCUUUCAACUCCAUGGCAAAUUUGGAGUAUGUAGUGUUGUACUCAAAUCAUCUAGAGGCUGGAGACUAGACAUUCUUCUCCUCUUUGGUGAAUUGUACACAUCCUCUAGAAUUUAACGUAGGUGAAAACAACUUGCACGGGGCUUUACUAGCAAAUUCCAUAGCAAAUGUUCCCAAAAGCUUGACCGCUCUAACUCUUUGGUCAAACAACAUAUCUGGCACCAUCCCCUUGGAGAUUGGAAAUUUGUCUAAUCUUAACAUGUUGUAUCUUGAUAGAAAUCUUUUCAUGGGGUCUAUACCUCCUAUCCUUGGUGAGCUACAUAGCUUGGUUGUUCUUAGUCUACCACAAAACAACUUUUCUGGGGAAAUAGCACCUUCCAAUGGCAACUUAAAUCAACUAGAAGAACUUUAUUUGCAAGAAAAUGAAUUGAGUGGAAUCAUACCUGAAAGUUUAGGCAGCUGCCAGAAGUUGUUAGCACUAAACAUUUCUUGUAAUACCCUUGGUGGAAGCAUAAGCGGACACGUGUUGGCUAUGUUGGAACAGUUAAGUUGGUUACUUGAUUUAUCACACAACCAACUCACAAUGUCCAUGCCACUAGAGAUAGGUAGCUUGAUAAACCUUGGUUCCUUGAACAUCUCCCACAACAAUCUCACGGGAAGAAUCCCGCCCACCCUUAGUGCAUGUGUUCGGUUGGAAGCACUUCAUGUAGAAGAGAACAUCCUGCAAGGAGACAUUCCACAAUCAAUAGCAAACUUGAAAGGCCUCAAAGUGUUGGAUUGCUCCCAUAAUAAUCUAUUUGGUACAAUCCCAGAGUUCCUUGGGACCUUCACAUCUCUGAUGUAUUUGAAUGUGUCCUUCAAUGACUUCCAAGGGCCAAUUCCCACUAGUGGAGUGUUUGCUAAUAGAAGUGGUAGUUUUACCCAAGGAAACCCACACCUGUGUGCAAACAUUGCAGUAGAAGAGUUGCCUAGGUUCUUUGCUUCAGCAUCCACACAAAAAUACAAGUUCGUCAUUCCUAUGAUGAUAGCUCUGUCAACUCUCGUUGCACUUGCUUUGAUCUUAGGGGUGUUCAAUUUUUGGUUGAGAAGGAGAUACAAAUCAAGUGACAGAAUUGGCCAUUCAUACAUGGAGAUGAAAAGGAUAACAUAUGGCGACAUAAUCAAAGCAAAGGAUAGUCUUUCUCUAGCCAACAUAGUUGGCUCCGGGCAAUUUGGGACUGUCUACAAAGGUUGGUUCGACACGGAAGAUGGUACGGUGUAACAUCCCAAUUUUUAAUAUGGAUGUUAUACAUAGAUCAUUCAUAUGCAUUAUUGUUUUAUGCAUAUUUGUUGUUUUGUUUUAGUUGCAUCUUGAUCCAAGAGGCCUUAAGCAACUCAAGGACCAAUUUGAGAGAGUUGGAGGUUUCCCAAAAAAACAAUUUUCAAUUAUCAAAAUUUGGUAAUUGGGUCAAUUUGUUUUUCAAAAUUAUUUUCUAAAUAUUUCAAAAUAAUGAGAGAAGAUAAUAUGACUUCUUCAAAAUUAGUAGAAAAAUAUUAGAAAUUGAAUUUUGAAUUUUUGAAGAGUUUAUUUGAUUUUAUUUGCUAAUUUAUUUAAUAGUUAGCGGAGUAAUUAGUACUAUAAUGUUUGUUUUUAGUUUAGGCAUUUAGGUCUAGAAAAAUAUUCACUAGGUCAUUAAUAAGGCCAUUUAGCUACGUGAAUUUUUCUAGAAUUUUUAGGAUUAUAUUUAUAUUUAUUUUGUGUGUUUGAUUCUUUGGGAAAAAAUUGUUUAAAAAAACUUCUCCCGAACUGGGCCGGCCCAGCCGAGCAGCCCAUGCCGAAUCCGCGCGCCGCCUUCCUCACCGAGUCCGGCAUGGACUCUGGCCGCGCCGUCAUACGAGCUCAGGACGCCUCCCGAGGUUGGCCGCCCCCCAAUUAUUUAUACUCCACCCCGGGACCCCUGGAACCCAUUCCCGCCGUCGCCGCUUAGCCCCGCCGCCUAGCGCCGCCGCCACCCGUUCGCCGCCGCUGCCUCGAGCCGCCACCACCGCCGCCGCUGUCGCCCGCGCCGNNNNNNNNNNNNNNNNNNNNNNNNNNNNNNNNNNNNNNNNNNNNNNNNNNNNNNNNNNNNNNNNNNNNNNNNNNNNNNNNNNNNNNNNNNNNNNNNNNNNNNNNNNNNNNNNNNNNNNNNNNNNNNNNNNNNNNNNNNNNNNNNNNNNNNNNNNNNNNNNNNNNNNNNNNNNNNNNNNNNNNNNNNNNNNNNNAUCGCUGGAGUUUCGCCGCCGGUUCUCGUCGGAAAACCAGUAAACCCUAGGUCAGUUUAUUUUACGGUUUUUCCGGUUCGUUCGGUUUAGUUUUCGUUUGUUUCGGUUAGAUCUAUCUAGCGAAUGUUCGUUCGUUUAGAUCUGUCAACGAACCUUUUCUUUCGUUAGUGACGUUCUUCUGAUAGAUUUUUCUUUUUUUGUUUAUUUUCAGUUAGGGACCUAUCCAUGAAUAAUUUUCUUCGUAGAUUAGCCCCUGAUCUUUAAACCCAUGUAACUUUUAGCUCGUUUGUCCAAAUUAGAAAAAACCAACGCCUAAAUCUUUAGAGUGAUCCCCUCUAUCCAGUAAACCAACUUAAACAUGAUUUUGACAAUUUAAAAUUUGAGUUUAGUUCAGAUUAGUAUUUGAUCUUGUUUUGUUUGUAUCUUGAGUUUCGUAGCUUUGUUUGAGUUGAUUCUUUUUGAAAAUCGUAGCUUUUCACAUGUAUCUACUUUUAAGAUCUAAUCCACCUAAAUAUAAUGCUGUUAGAAUUUGUUUUCUAUUUAGGUUAGUUAUUUGCUUGUUUUGAGUUUUAUUUGGAUCUUUUCUCGUUUUCUCUUUGCAUCGUUUGCUUGAUUGCUUAUGUAUGCUAUUGUUUGUCGACGCUAGAUUUUCCAGAGUGCGAAUCUUGUUACUACAAAUCUCUAGAGUUUUCCGAUCGUCAGCAUGGCAAGUUAUACUUUGAUCAUAAUUUUCAAUACCCAAUUUUUACUAUGCAUUAGUUUUGCGCCUCAAAUAUUUGCAUGAGUAGGAUUGGGAACAUGUGGUUUGGUUGUAGUACUUGAGGUAGGAACAUAUUACCUUUGAUCACCCCGAGAAUAUACAUUAUGCUCAUAUAUUGCUUAGCCAUGCUCGUAGAUGAGGAUUGGAUUGUGAUCUACAUGGAAGUUGUGAGAUUUAAUAAUUUUUGGAUAACACUAAGGUGGCAACUUUAAUACACAUCUGGGUGGAUUGGUUAGGGCACCUGGAGAAACCAGUGCUUGCCCAUGAGAAUCCUGGAGUACCCGUGUGAUUUUUCCUCGGUUCGCCACCCAGGCUCAAAGGGAUCAUAUGAUAUUUCAUGCCUAGAAACUUCCGUUUGUAGCCACAAGCCAUUAUGGGUUCUGGCAUAGUUGAGUAAGUUGUGUGAGCUCUUGAAGAGGUGACUAGAAGAUGUAGGGGAAAGUAGCUAUACCGGUCUACCCAAAGUAGAGAGUUAAUGCUUCAGAAAGACUAUGUCUCGAUCUUCCGAUCAUGGAUCUGGUCGAGUCUUGUGGGGAAAAGUGCGCAACCUCUACAAAGUGUAUAAGCUAAUCAUGGUUAGCCGUGUCCCCAGUUAUGGACAUUUUGAGUAUCUAGAAGUGGAUAUUAUUGUUGAUCUCAUCACUCUUUAAUUAAUGAAUUGGGUUUCAUGAUGAUAGUUGGUUAAUGUUGGGAUUUGAGUUGGAGGAACCUUCUCAACCAUUGGUAUAACUUUGUUGUCCAUCAAAUUUAUUCCUUUAUUGUAGGAAAAGUUUAGCUUUAUGCAAAACAUUAAACAUAGAGCCUCCACCAGCCAAAUAUGCAUGUAGAUAUAGUUUCUUGCAUUCAUUUUCUCUACAAUGUAACUCUGCCAGCAUAUUCCAUGUGCUGACCUACACGGCUGCAACGUCUCAUGUUGCAGACUUUACCAACGAAGAAUAAGGUGCGAUAGGUCGCUGUCAUGCACUCAGCUAUGCCGUUGGAGUUGAUGGAAUCAUUUAUCUUCAAAACUUCCGCAAUUAUUUUGAUUAGAUGGUCUUCAGCCAUAUUAUUUGUGUAACAGAUACUCUUUAUGAGGACCUCGAUGUAAUAAGUAUGUGAUUGAAACUUUGUUAUAAUUCCUCGAGUACUGUGGGUCAGCAUACCGAUCCAGGGAUGACACUUAAGCACAGAGACUUCAGUCCAUUUGGUUCGUGGUCGCUACAAGAUGGUAUCAGAGCACACACUGACUGUAGGACACGACCACUAGGAAAAGCCACAGGAUACUCCUCUCUGCUCAUUUCUAAUUCUCCUCUAUUUCUACUCUAUAGAUGACGGACCCCAAGAACAAUUUCACUCAGCCGGAUGACGACACUCCUUUCGGACGACACUUGAAGGAGACCACGAAGUACCUGAAUAUUGGACUACCAAGAUUCACUGGAACCUUCACUGCAACUUUACCGGAAGAGGAGCGCUGGAGGAUCAAAGUUCGUGUACCUGGGAGGAUGUUUGCACCAACAACGAGCCCAUUGAUUUUACCUUGGAUGCACCAAGUUGGAACUUGGGAAAGAGCAUGGCAUCCUACAUCACUUUUGGAUGCAUUUGUGAGGUGUACCACAAGGAGCUUGAAGACACCGUCUAUCAGAUAUGUGGACGCCAAGACGAGAAAUGGGAGAUGAUUCGUACCAGGAAGGAUGGAUCUAUUGCAGCAUACAUUCAGGAGAUGGAUCAACACAUCCGUCGAUAUGAGAACCAGAUGUGCGCUAUCAUGAAGAAGACCAAGAAGGUGAUGAAGAGGAAUAUCAAGCUAGAAGAGGAGCUCAAGUCAACGCGCGAUGGAUAUGAGGAAGAAAUUGCUGUGCUACUAGAGAAGCAUGAAGAGCUGAAGAAGAAGCUAGGAAUACCUGUGGUGAACCCAAAGCAAGAACCUAAAGUGGAUAUUCAUUUGGAGGACUACAUCAUAUUGGACGACACCGACACAGGCAGUGAUGCCAAUGAUGACAGUAAUGAUGAUUAUGAAGACGAAGCUGGAGCUGAUAUUAUGGAGUCUUCCACCAAUCAAAAAUUCUAGACGACCAUCAUGUUAUUAGUAGUAUUCUUCCAAGUAGUUAGUAUCGAUCAUUUUGUAAUAGUAGUUAGAUCGUUGUGUGACCUUCUUUGAUAUUGAGUGGUGUGAAUUGAUUGUUUUUGCCACAUAUGCAUAUGGGUAGUGAAAUCUCUCGUAUACCUUAUUCUAUUCUGUUUUCUCACCCCUCUAACCCAUCAGAUGACUCCGAGAUGUGACCCCAGACUCACUUUCCCGCCGGUGCUCACCAAGUUGAUCCAGCAGCUGAAUCCCUUAAUGCAGAUGUUGGUCUAGAACCAGAACCAAGGCAACAACAACAACCCACCGCCACCACCCCCUGUUGACAACCUAGCCCGUUUUCUGAUGUUAAAUCCGCUGGUGUUUUCUAGUAGCACCGAGCCGAUUGUUGCAGAUGAUUGGCUCUGCAGGAUUGGAAGGGAGAUGACCACUGCUAGAUGCACAUAUGUGGAGAGAGUGCGCUUUGCUGCACAUCAGCUUGUUGGACGUGCAGCCUCUUGGUGGGAGAAUUUCACACCACUUUCCCCAUAGCUACAGUUACAUGGGAUCAAUUUCAGUAGGCCUUCCGCACUGCACAUGUUUCAGCUGGAGCCAUGAGUUGGAAUAAGUGUGAGUUCUGCAACUUACACCAAGGGAGUCGUACAGUGGGACAGUAUGUGAAUGAGUUCAGCAAGCUAGCAUGCUAUGCCCCAGAUGAUGUGGCCACAGACGCCGCGAAGCAGGAGAAAUUUCUCGAGGGACUCAAUGAUGAGCUGGGCAUGCAGUUGAUGGUGGCAACCUUCAACAACUACCAGGAGCUGGUAGAUAGGGCCCUCAUGAUUGAAGGCAAGCAGCAGCAGAUAGAUAACCGCAAGAGGAAGUAUGGACAGGGGAAGUAUAAUUCUGGAGCUCAGUAGAAGCCUCGCUAUUCCCCGUACUCAGGAGGACACACUCAUAACCAUGGAGGGCAUAACCAUGGAGGACAUUCACACAAUGGAGGAAGUUCACACAACCACAGUCGCCCAAAGAAUGGUAAUGGGAAUGGAAGAAGCAACAGUCAGAGCCGUUCCAACCCCGCGACACCCGCCAAGAAGGAUCUGAGUCACAUUACUUGUUUCAAGUGCAGGAAGACCAGACACUAUGCCCUUAAUGUUCAGAAGCAAAGAGUGGUAGUGGCAACGGAAGAUCUGGAAAAAAGCCCAACCCUUUCACCAGAGGUCAGGUGAACCACGUCAGUGUGGAGGGGAUUGAGGAGCAGCGUGAUGCAGUUGUCGAUAAGUUUUUGAUUAAUGCAUUUACAGCCCUUGUUCUUUUCAAUACUGGUGCAUCUCAUUCAUUCAUAUCAAUGGGAUUUGUGGACAAGUUUAAGUUGCCAACCAUAGCCCUUAAGUCACCUAUGUUAGUAAGUUCCCCAGGAGCAGAGUAUAUGGCUAGUAGGGGAUGUUAUCAGUUGCCAAUAACAAUAGGUAGACAUGUUUUCCCCGCCGACCUUAUUGUCCUGGACUCACAAGGAUUGGCCGUGACCUAGGCAUGGAUUGGCUAUCCAACUUUGAGGGAAACAUCGAUUGCACCAGUAAAUCAAUUCUUCUCACCACCCCAUAGGGAAAAGGAUCAAGUAUGUGUCUAGGCAUGCGCCGAGAAGGAUUCAAGUGAAUUCCCUAUCGGGAGUUGUUCAGGAGGAAGUACUAGUGGUGAAGUAUUAUCCCGAUGUAUUUCCGGAGGAGUUACCAGGCAUGCCACCAGAUCGUGAUAUUGAAUUUAUAAUUGAGUUGUUGCCAGGCACCGGGCCGAUAUCAAAGAGACUGUAUCGGAUGCCCGGAAAUGAUCUGGAAGAAAUUAAGAAGCAGAUUAAGGAGUCAUUGGAGAAAGGUUAUAUUCGACCAAGCUCAUCACCUUGGGGAGGCCCAGUGCUUCUAGUUGAGAAGAAGGAUGGAUCUUUGAGGAUGGUUGUUGAUUAUUGUGCGCUGAAUGAGGUGACGAUCAAGAAUAAAUACCCUCUGCCGAUGAUCAAUGAUUUGUUUGACUAGCUGUAGGGAGCUAAGGUUUUCUCCAAGAUCGAUCUUCGGCUAGGUUAUCACCAACUGAAUAUCCGAGAGCAGGAUAUACCUAAGACAACUUUUACCACAAGGUAUGUGCUAUAUGAGUCUACAGUAAUGUCAUUUGGUUUGACUAAUGCCCCUGCCUAUUUCAUGAGUAUGAUGAACAAGGUGUUCAUGGAGUUUUUGGAUAAAUUCGUCGUGGUUUUCAUUGAUGAUAUAUUGGUCUAUUCGAAGAAUGAAGAACAGCAUAAGGAACAUUUGCGCUUAGUUCUCGAGAAGCUCAGGGAACAUCAGUUUUAUGCCAAGUUCAGCAAAUGUGAGUUUUGGUUGAAGGAAGUUGGAUUUCUCGCACAUGUUAUAUCAGGAGAAGGAAUAGCAAUAGACCCUACUAAGGUUGCAUCUGUCACUGAGUGGUUGGCACCCACCUCAGUUGGGGAGAUCCGAAGUUUUCUUGGACUCGCAGGUUAUUAUCUGUGAUUUAUUGAGAUUUUUUCCAAGAUUGCGAAGCCCAUGACGGAGUUAUUGAAGAAGGACACCAAGUUUAAAUGUACUGAGGAUUGUGAGGCCAGUUUUCAGGAGUUGAAGAAACGUUUGGUUACAGCCCCAGUGCUAAUUCUCCCGGACAUACGCAAGGAUUUCCAAGUUUAUUGCGACACUUCACGUCAAGGACUUGGAGGUGUUCUUAUGCAAGACGAAAGAGUUGUUUCAUAUGCUUCAUGACAGCUUCGACCUCAUGAGUUGAAUUGUGCUACGCAUGAUUUGGAGUUAGCAACCGUAGUGCAUGCGUUCAAGACAUGGAGAUACUUUCCCAUCGGUAACUGUUGCGAUGUUUACAUGGAUCAUAAGAGUUUGAAGUACAUCUUCACGCAGAAGCAGUUGAACCUCAGGUAGAGAAGAUGGUUGGAGCUCAUAAAGGAUUAUGACAUGAGAUUACAUUAUCAUCCAGGAAAGGCCAAUGUCGUAGCAGAUGUGUUGAGCCGCAAGAGUUGUGUUAACACGCUCAUAACCAGAGGAUUACCUCAGGAGUUAGCCGAUGAUGUUCGAGAACUACGCUUGGAGAUAGUUCCGAGAGGUUAUGUUGCAGCAUUGGAAAUUCAGUCCACUUUGUUGGGAAAGAUCCGAGAAUCCCAGAGGACGGACAAGGAGAUUGCAGAGAUAAAGGAAAGGAUGAGUAAAGGAAACGCUAAAGGUUUUCGUGAGGAUGAGCACGAAACGUUAUGGUUUGAGGAGCGUAUCUAUGUGCCCAUUGACCCUGAAAUCAGAAAGUUAAUUUUUCAGGAGGCUCAUGAUUCGCCUUAUUCGAUUCACCAAGGCAACACCAAGAUGCACCUGGAUUUGAAGGAAAGUUUCUGGUGGACAGGAAUGAAGAAGGAUAUUGCAGAGUAUGUAGCAGUAUGUGAUGUAUGUCAGAGAGUUAAGGCAGAAGAUCAGAAACCAGCAGGGUUACUUCAGCUUUUGCCGAUACCUGAAUGGAAGUGGGAUAAACUUGGCAUGGAUUUCAUCACAGGAUUACCCAGGACCCGUUGUCGGUGUCAAAACCGGCGGAUCUCAGGUAGGGGGUCCCGAACUGUGCGUCUAAGGCUAAUGGUAGCAGGAGGCUUGGGACGCGAUGUUUACCCAGGUUAAGGCCCUCUCAAUGGAGGUAAUACCCUACUUCCUGCUUGAUUGAUCUUGAUGAUAUAAGUAUUAUAAGAGUUGAUCUACCACGAGAUCAGAGAGGCUAAACCCUAGAAGCUAGCCUAUGGUACGAUUGUUGUUGUGUCCUAUGGACUAAACCCUCCUGUUUAUAUAGACACCGGAGGGUGCUAGGGUUACACAGAGUUGGUUUACAGAGAAGGAGAUCUACAUCCGAAUCGCCAAGCUUGCCUUCCACGCCAAGGAGAGUCCCAUCCGGAUACGGGACGAUGUCUUCAAUCUUGUAUCUUCAUAGUCCAACAGUCCGACCAAAAUAUAGAGUCCGGCUGUCCGGAUACCCCCUUAUCCAGGACUCCCUCAGUAGCCCCUGAACCAGGCUUUAAUGACGAUGAGUCCGGCGCGUAGAUUGUCUUCGGCAUUGCGAGGCGGGUUCCAUCUCCGAAUACUUCAAGAUAAAUUUCGAACACAAGGACCGUGUCCGGCUCUGCAAGAUAAAUCCCAUAUACCACCGUAGAGAGAAUAAUAAUCCACGAAUCUAAUCUGCUGUCCACCCUUUGUAGUGUGACAUCACGCCACGGCUCGACAAUUAUUCGAACCAUUUUCUACAACCUGCUUCCACACAUAUUGCGAGGCGGUUUCUUCGGCACGUCUUGUCAAAGCAGAGAUCGUGUCCCCUUAACGCAUGAUCCUCUUCAAUACGGGCGUGGGUAACCCAACCGUACCACCAAUUAUGGUGAGUGGGGAACGAGCAGGUUUCAUUAGGCAAGCGGGGAGGCAUAAAGUUUCAUCGCCUCUAUACAGGGGAAAGGCCUCCUCCUUUCUACCCACGCCUUCUUCUACUUCUGCUCGCCCCUUUCCUUUUGCCCGAGCCCUAGCGCCCAAGCGUUCAUCUUCCCUACAAACAAAGGUCCUCCAAAAAUGUCUGGAUCCAGAGCAGUAGGCAAGUGGAUGGCCUCCUCCGUCCAGGAGAAGGAUAUUAAAAAGCUGCGGGCGGCCGGAUAUCUGGCCAAGAAAAUCGGUCACCGUCUUCCGAUGGCGGGACAGAUCGUCCCUACUCCGGAGCCCCAAUAAGAGAGUCGUUUUCCUCCCCAUUUCGUCCGCGGGCUUGGGUUUCCCCUUCACCCUUUUGUUCGCGGCAUCAUGUAUUACUACGGGAUUGAUUUUCACGAUCUAUCCCCCAAUUCUUUCCUCAACAUCUCGACAUUUAUCGUCGUGUGCGAGGCCUUUCUCCACAUCUCGCCGCACUUCGGGCUAUGGCUCAAGAUCUUCAAUGUGAAGCCCAAAGUGGUGAAUGGCAAACACGCCGAGUGCGGAGGUGCCAUGGUGAGCAGGAUGCCCAAGGUCACAUGGCCGACGGGUAUUUUAAAUGACUCCGUCAAGGAGUGGCAGCAAUAGUGGUUCUAUAUCACUGAGCCGCGCGGCAAAAAGUGGGCCACUACCCCUGAGUUUUGAUCUGGAGCCCCUUUGCGGCUCACAUCCUGGCCCAAGAAGGGCGUGAACUGGUCAUCGCCCGACGAACUGUCAGUGAUCUAGGUGUGCGUCAAAGGUAUGGAGGGCAAGGCCAUCAGGCUUGUUGACGUGGUCCAGGUGAUGCUGGUCCGCCUGAUCCUUCCUUGUCAGCACAGAGGCUGUGAUUUGUGGGAGUAUGACCUGGCCGAGCACCAGACCCUGCAGGAGCUUUUCAGAUCCUCGCACAAGGACCGUGGGUACCAAUUGUCCCACCCCGCCAGUCUGGUAAGUCGUUAUUAUAUCUUGGCUAUCCAUAUGUUUCAUUGAUAUGCCCCGAGGGAGAUGUUUUUUAACAUGCUUUUCCACGAUCACCUCAGGGAUGGACGAAGAAGGCGGAGCAGAUUUAUUGUACGGCCCCGCUGCCGGAAGAACCGGCGGGACCUCUUCUGACGAAGAUGUUGGUCCCAGGGCCUUACGAGGCGUAGAAGAAAGAGGCCAACAAAAAGGCCAAGGAGACCAGGGACGGUCUCCGUCGUCGCGGUGCUUCGGACACGAAGUUCGAAGAUUCUAGUGACCAUCCCUCCUCCGGCGAGGAGGAGGAAAGAGGACGACGAGGAGGGAGAGGAUGCGGAGGAAGAAGAGCUCGAGUCCCCUACAAGGAGGAGGAAGAAAAGGACGGCCUCCUCAUCCUUAGAGGUAGAUUCGCCUAAGAGGGGAAGAACAUCCAUCCCCGAGGCGUCCACCACGGCUACCGAUAGUAGCCCGGAGUGGGAUCCCAGGGCCCAGCCCCUGGUAAACUCGUACAUGCGCCCCAAUUCUUUACUAGAAUGUAGUAUUUUGAUUGGCACUGUACUUUUUAUAGUUCGGCGAGGUCUCCUGCCCAAUAGGCCUCAUUGGAGGACUCGUUGAGCUCCGAUGCCUUGGAGAGCGAGACACCUCCCAGGGCCCUUUCCCCAAAGCCUGGUUGUGACACCAAGGUGUCGUCCAAAAAGGACCUGAGCCAGGUGGGGCGUACCUCGGGGGCCGAACACGUGGGAGCGGCGGUUCCCAUGAACGUCGAUGGCGGGGGCGAUCAUGAAUUCGGCCCACAGCCGGACACAGUCCCGGAGACCCUUAAGGCUCCGGGGUCAGGCAUGCAGCCCCUCUUGACUGGAGGGGGCGAUCCUGCUCCACCUGCGACCUCCGUCUAACCAAAGGUGUCGGCCGGCCUAUCGACAACACUGGAGAGUGCGCCCAUCAUUGAUGAACACCGCGCCCUUAUGGGCGUGGUGAUAGAAAAGAUUCAGGCCACCGAGAGCAGACUGAAUGAAUCCUGCAUCAGCCUAAUAAAAAGCUUGGAGGUAUGUUUUUAGGAGUUGUUAGAAGAUUCUCAUAGUAUAGAUGGUAGCCCCUGAUGCACUGUUCGGAGAGGACAGGAACCGGAGAGGGGAUCAAAGCUCUGCCCGCAGGAGACUCAGCUAAUGACAUAGAUUUGUUGAAUUAUGAAUCAGACGUCUACAACGACUGCCUGCUCUCAUACUGUGGAGGUGUCCGGACUCAAGCAGAGUCUGGAGCGGGCCGAAGAGGAACUCGGCCGAGUGAAGAAGCAACUGGAGGAUAAACAAGGUAUGUUUUGAAACUUUUAGUAAGCUUUAGCACAAGUAAGUAUUUGUGUCUAUCUUAAAGCAUAUAUAUCGCGCACUCUAGGGGUAGAUGCCAAAAUUGAGGCACUCAAGAAGGCUGUUGCCUUGGCCGAGAAGAAAGCGGUCACGGUGCAGGCUCUCCGCGAAAAGCACGAGGCGAGGGUCGUGAAAGCUGAGCGAGAGCUUCAGGAAGCUGUAAAGAAAAGCGAGAGUUUGGAGGAGAGUCUAUCAUUGAAAAAAAAUCCAAACUCGCCCAAGCUCUCCAGACCACGAAUGAUGCUCGGGGGGAAGCCCAGGCUGCUCUGAAGGAUAUUCAGGAGGCGCGGAAGAUUGCGGCUGGUAAGGGUUUUUUCUUAUUCAAAGCGCCUUACGCCUUCGCAGGGGGAUUCAUGGUGACUCAUUGAAUCCUAAUUUUUCCAGGGGCAUUUGCGGAUCUGCCGCGCAGCAUAUCUGAUGCUGCCUAAUUCUACCGAGCUGAGAAGAAGAAAACUGCAGAGAAGCUCUUUUGGUCGCAGUAUUUGGCGCCGAAUUUUCCGGUGCCGUUUGUCGACCAGCUGAAACAGCUGAUCGAACUGCAUCAGGCGGCGGAAUUGGCCAUGAAGGAUUUGAUUAUCCGGCUAUGGCCCGCCGAGCCUAUACCGAGCAGUUUCUUUGCGCUCGUGAAGCGAAUUGUGGAUGCCCGCCCUCGGCUGGACGUCAUUAAGCGGUCGGUUUGCAUAGAAGGGGCACAAAUGGGAUUCGCCUGUGCGAAAGUACAUCGGGGGAAGCUUGAUGCUGAGAAGCUGAUGACUGAGGGGCCGCCGGAGGGGAAGGAGCACCGUAAGCCCUAAUUAUAUUAUGAUGGUGUGCUGAAAGGGGCCCGCCUCGUGGCUGAGCAAUGUGCGAAAGACAUUAUUUUUCCCUGAAAGCAGUUGUGCUAUCCUUUGUAGGGCGAAACAGAGUCACUUAUAUGUAUGUGCCUGUUAUGUGUAAAUUUUAUUCCUGUGCGGCCGUUUAAUAUGUUAGUCUUGAGAGUUGGCCAGUCGUCGGCUUCUGCCCCCACGUAGGAACUACGGGGGUGUUCGGGAUACACCUGAACACUCUUUAUCCCAUUCUUGGGUCCAUGAAGGAGGUGUUCAACACAGCGAACCAGGCAAUCAGACUAUAGGGCUUUAUUACUCUCACUUAGCCAUAGGAAUUUGAGUAUGGGAGGCGCAGCCCCUGGUGUUUGGAAGACCGCACGAGGGGCUCUAAUAGCGCCUGAUCGGUGGACCGAUCCUUCGCACGCUGCAUUUUAUUAUGGCAUUAUGCGGAAUAAAUCCUUAAAGAUUUUACAACCUCUCGAACAGCUGACCAGCUCUCGCCUUAUCAUGACAGUCGGUUUUCGGCUUUCUCUACUGAGGUGUUCGUCCGGAAGAACCGAGACACAAUCGCAGUAGUUCUCCCAGCGCUACCUUAGCCGAUAUUGCGGAACGUAAGUUACCAAAGCAUGGGAGCUGGGCAAACCCAACCAAUGAGCCAAGACAUGAUUCGGAGCUGAUGCAUAUAAUGCUAUAAGUUCGGGGUGCCAAACGACUGAGAAGGUGUUCGGACUUUAGUCGCCGCAGUACGGGCGUAAUGAAGCCCCUGGCGUUUAAAGGCAUAACACGAUGUUCGGAUGCCGUUAUGACAAAAUGUCGUGGAGAAAUAAUAGCAGAUAAGCGUCAAAUGACUCUACAUGUUGUAUUUAAGUAAUACGUCUUAGCGUAUGAGUACGGUGCAUGUUAUAAAAGAGAGGCAUGACGGCAGAACCUGUUGGGGCUGGGCGGUGGUUAGCUAUGCACGAGUCCGGAGGAAUAUCCGAAUUGUAUUCAGGUAGGGUGGAGAUUCCCCCUGUGUGCGUCCGAGCUGUUUCCAAGUCGCCGGUCCAGUUAUGCGUGAAGGCGAACCUGCAAAUAAUGCUUAAAAGGUGUGUGUGAGCAGUGGCUGAGCCAUGGGAUGUGACUCGUCCGGCUUAUGCUAAAGGAUCUGUAUGAGCUAUGGUCAGGCUGGGGUAUCAUGAAGUAGUUCGGACUCCUUUGUCGGUGUCCGGGAGUUCGGCUGUCGAAUCUAAGUUCGAUUGAAAAAACCGUGACUCGCUGCUUUUGUUAAUAAAGUAGCCGAUUACUCUUGGGCGCCGAGGCGAAGCUCGGUCCUGCCCGCAAUUGUGACUACAUCACGUGGGUCUUGGGCGAUAAUGCGUCGAGUCGCAGUGUAUCCUGGCGGUGCUGGAUAGCUACUUCCUAGAGGUGUAAGACCGAAAGUUGGUAUGUCAAUUUUUGGAGAUCCGAAGACCAUCUCCAGAGUGGCGGGGCCUAGGUAGCCUUCAUGCCUAGUUGUGAUACUCUAAAAUGAGUUUUUUGGUGGGUCUGAUCCUCGAGUGGUCAAUCCCUAGACUUGAUAAUCUGGGCUUCUUGCCCUGGGACCUAUUCAUGCUCCUUCCGGCGUCGGCCUGCCGAUUUGUUUAAAGACCCAACAUUUUCUAUUAGUAUGAUUGGCUGCCGCUCCUGGGGUAAUAUGAAUUUGACAUGGGGGGUCAAGUAUGCGGUUCAGGCUGGACGGGCCCGAAUUAAGAUGUUGAAGUCUCUUCUCCCUUUCAAUGGGUUGAGGACUACGGGCUCCUGUGUUGAUCGCCAUUUCCUGGGCGCCAUUCUUUGUCUUGGGACGCUUAUAUUUGUUGCACCAAGGUUUGUGGACUCUGUUUUUGUCUGCUGAUGCGCCCGGGGUGCUUGCUAUGUUGCUAUUUGGUAUGUAAUGCUGGUCUUGUGUGCAGCCCCUUGCCGCAGUGUAUUGUCGGCGAGGUGUAGGCCUGCGUUUGAUUUUUAGUGCCGCCACCUCGAAUUGAGGUAGUAGCCUGCGCUUUGGGUAGUAUUUUGUUCGGCGCUGAGUCCGUAUUCCUCGGCUACCCGGGCCUUAGUCCGUCUAUCUGUGAGCAGAUUUUUAUCUGCUUGAAGCUGCUGCUGUUUCUUUUUCAGGCUUCUUGCAGUGGCUAUAAGCCGGCGCUUGAAGCGCUCCUGCUUUAUGGGAUCCUCUGGUACACCGAAUUCGUUGUUGCUGAGGCUCACCUCGUCUUCUGAGGGAGGCAUAUAGUUAUCGUCCUCCAAGUAUCCGUCCGUCACCUGUUCGUCUGGGCUAGCCCGCCCGUGUUCCUGUUUGGCUUGCUCGAAGGUAGGUUGAUCGGGAUCGUAUUCCUCUUCGGCACCAUCUGGAUUUUCUUCUCCAGUGCCGGUGUUGUUUUGACGGGACUUGGAGCGGCGCUGAUGAUGCCCAUGCUUUGAUUUCUUCCCUGAGGGUUUAUCUCCCGUUGCCUCAUCGCCAUUGGUUUCUUUGGGAGUGUCCACCAUGUAUAUAUCAUAUAAAGAGGUGGAUGUCCAGCGCCCUGUGGGCGGUGGUUCUUGUUCUUCUCCCGCCUCGUUGUCUAUACCGUCGAUGUCUUCGGAAUCGAAGUUAAGCAUGUCGGUCAGAUUGUCGACCGUGGCUAUUAAGUGGGUGGUGGGUGGGUAACGAAUUUCUUCGUCGCCAACUUCCCACUCGAGCCGGACAUAGUUCGGCCAGGAAUCUCCUGACAAAGAGAGAUACGUCAAUGAAUCCAUCACGUCUCCAAAGGGUGAGUGCUGAAAUAUAUCUGCGGCGGUGAACUCCAUAACCGGAGCCCAAUUAACCUCGAUGGGCAUGGACGCGCGCGGUCCGGAACAUACGGCCGGAGACGAGUCUGGGGGUCCGGAGAUACAGACUUCCUUAGGAGAGGAAUCUGUGUUCAGCUCCAACGCCGAUGAGUGUGCGGCCUCGGGGGCGGGGUCCAUCCACCCGUCCUCAGAAGGCGCGAUAUGUUCUAGAACGAAGUCCGGAGCUGUAGCAGGUGUGAUGUUCCGAAUACUGCCCAAUGGAAGAUCUAGGUCAUGCCCGUCGUGAUUGUUCGGAGCUCCUGACAUGGGCCCGAAUCCGUCGAAGACCAAGUCUCUGCGGAUGUCGGCAGUGUAGUUUAGGUUUCCGAACCUGACCUGACGGCCAGGUGCGUAGCUAUCGACCUGCUCCAGAUGGCCAAGCGAAUUGGCCCGCAGUGCGAAGCCACCUAACAUGAAAAUCUUUCCGGGGAGAAAAGUCUCACCCAGGACGACGUUGUUGAAGGUUGGAGGAGCCAUCAAGCCUUGCAGCGACGACACAGAGGAACUCUCAAUGAAAGCACCAAUAUCGGUGUCAAAACCGGCGGAUCUCGGGUAGGGGGUCCCGAACUGUGCGUCUAAGGCUAAUGGUAACAUGAGGUUGGGGACACGAUGUUUACCCAAGUAAGAGCCCUCUCGAUGGAGGUAAUACCCUACUUCCUGCUUGAUUGAUCUUGAUGAUAUAAGUAUUACAAGAGUUGAUCUACCACGAGAUCAGAGAGGCUAAACCGUAGAAGCUAGCCUAUGGUAUGAUUGUUGUUGUGUCCUAUGGACUAAACCCUCCAGUUUAUAUAGACACCGGAGGGGGCUAGGGUUACACAGAGUCGGUUUACAGAGAAGGAGAUCUACAUCCGAAUUGCCAAGCUUGCCUUCCACGCCAAGGAGAGUCCCAUCUAGAUACAUCACGAAGUCUUCAAUCUUGUAUCUUCAUAGUCCAACAGUCCGGCCAAAAUAUAUAGUCCGGCUAUCUGGAUACCCCCUUAUCCAGGACUCCCUCACCCGUUCAGGCUAUGAUUCUAUCUGGGUUGUAGUUGACCGCUUGACCAAGGUAGCCCAUUUCAUCCCUGUGAAGACAACUUAUACGAGUGCUAAGUUGGCGAAGAUAUACAUGACUAGGAUCGUAUGUCUGCACGGAGUUCCGAGGACCAUCAUAUCAGAUAGAGGAACAUAAUUUACUUCAAAGUUUUGGAAUCAGUUGCAUGAAACUUUGGGUACCAGGCUAGAGUUCAGUACAGUCUUUCAUCCGCAGACAGAUGGAUAGACCGAGAGAGUCAAUCAGAUUUCUGGAGGACAUGUUGAGAGCUUGUGCGCUAGAUCAUGGAUUUAGUUGGGAUGAUAAUUUACCCUAUGCAGAGUUCUCCUAUAACAACAGUUAUCAAGCCAGUAUGAAGAUGGCCCCUUUCGAAGCUUUGUACGGAAGGAGGUGCAGGACACCAUUAUCAUGGGAUGAAGUUGGGGAUCGACAGUUGUUUCAACCAGACUUAAUCCGAGAUUCUGAGGAGAAGGUUAAGUUGAUUCGAGAUAGACUCAAAAUAGCCCAGCCGAGGUAGAAGACUUAUGCAGAUACUAAAUGCAAGGAGGUAGCCUACAAAGUCGGAGACAUAGCAUAUGUUCGUGUGUCCCCACUUCAAGGAGUUAAGCAAUUUGGAGUCAAAGGGAAGCUAGCACCACGAUUUGUGGGACCAUACAGAGUUUUGAAACGUAUGGGAGAAGUUGCUUACAAUUUGGAAUUACUCGAAGGUUUGUCAGGAAUUCAUGAUGUGUUUCACGUUUCCCAGUUAAAGAAGUGCCAUGCAGAGAUGGCCGACAUUCCUUUGAGAGAUACAGUGCCACUGGAACCGAUUCAGUUGGAUAGUGAUCUGUCCUAUGAGGAGAAACCCGUUAAGAUUCUCGAGUUCUCUAGCCGAGUUACUCGCAGCAAACUCAUCAAGUUUUGCAAAGUUCAGUGAAGCCACCAUACUGAGGAGGAAGCUACCUGGGAGUGAGAGGAAGACCUCCGCAAGGACCACCCACACCUUUUUGCUGACCAAUCCGAAUCUCGAGGGCGAGAUUCAUCUUAAGGUGGGUAGGUUUGUAACAUUUCAAUUUUCAAUUUGGAUGUUAUACAUAGGUCAUUCAUAUGCAUUCUUGUUUUAUGCAUUUUUGUUGUUUUGUCUUAGUUGCAUUUCUUUACCUAAUAAUAAAGCAAAUUGGGUUUCUGGUCGUCCGUCGUCGCUCGUGAUUUUGCAUAAAAGUCCCUCGGUUUAUAAGAAAUUAACCCGCAGUCCCUGUUUUAGUGGGUCUAUAUAUGGCAUUUUAAUUUUGCAAAAAAAACCCUGUACUCAUUUGAAUUCCACCCGCUGUCCUCCCGUCAUCUUAUCCAUUUCUCCUGCGACAGCAACAGCGGUUUCGCCCAUUCCUUCGUGCGCCGUCGACGGCCGCCGCCGUGCCUCGCGCGGGAGGAUGGAGGGCGCUCGCCAGGAGGUUGGAGGAUGUUCGCCGGGGCGAGUGCUGCGGAGACGGCGUGGCGAGGCGGGGCAGUGGCGGUUGUUGACCGGCCGUCGUGCGUCGCGGGGGAGGAUGGAGGACGCUCGUCGUGGCGGGCGUGGCGGGAGAGACGGGGUACGGCAGCCGCCGCCGUGACAUGCGGAUGGUCUUCCUGUCCGGCCAUCCGCGCAGUCCACACAGGCGAGCUGCCGAUCUGGCUGGGCUGCCUGGCCACGCAGCAGACGGCGGCGGUUCAAGCAACUCCUCGACGCAGGGUAAAGGGUUGGUGGCGCUGGAGUUGGUCGGAAUGGGCAGGCGGACGGUGGGUGACGCGACGCCGCGGCGCCGGCGCGAGGAAUACGGGCGGAUCCGGGGGCGACAGCGACCGAUCUGGCUGCUGGUGCGGCGGCUUGCUCCUGCUCAUCCAUAGAGAGACAGGGCGUGAGGGAGAUAGGAAGAAAGGAGAAGGAGCAGGGGGCGCAGGGUCAGGGACGCGGUCGCUAGCGGUGGCGGCUUCGGCGACCGGCUGGCAGGCUUGCCAGGCAAGGCUGAGUACACUAGCCUGAGAUUCAAUAGAGGUAUGUUUGAUUUUUAGAAUUGGGCUUAACAGCCUAUUUGCUGUGCUUCAUCUUCUGAAUUGGAAACCAUGGCAUGCCUGAAUAUUUUUUCUAGAACAUGAUGCUUGAGUUGGUAAUCAUUCUUGGGUGAUUGGAGUGCAUGACUUGAAUGGAUUUCUGAAUUCCAAACAGUAUGCUGUCGUGAUGUUUGAUUAGGGUCUUCUGUGAAUCCGUACCAAAACCAUGCUUGUAUUUUGUUGUUCCCUCUCUCUAAUCCGGGACAGACACGGUGAUUCUGGUCGGGGCCGUGGCUACGUGAUUCUGGCCGGCGUGCAUCCAUAGUCAGAGGACGCCGAGCCUUCCUCGCUGCCAGCAACAUCAGCUCGUCUCGGCAUGAGGUCUGCACGCGUACCUUACCUUUCUAAUGGAGACUGAACUGAAAUUUUUGUCUGCGCUGCUUCUUGCAGAUAGUCCAUGGUUUGUACAAAUACCCACAUGUAAAUCUUAAUUUAGUUGAUAUUGGAAAAGAUUGUUUCUUUCGAGCAACUAGAAAUAGUACGUAUGUGUUUUUGCCCUGGCUCCCACAUCAGACCAGUGCUCUAAUGUUUGUUCCGAGUUGAGCAUGGCAAUAAUGUACAGUUUGAACUUGUGCUGGCAGAACUUUUUCGCCUUGAAGCAUUCUGUGAAUUACAUAAUGAAUAGCAACAACAUCAGGCCAUUUGAGAGAAGGGGUGUCCCUGGAGUUCUCCCUAAAUCUUACUGCAUUCUUAGUGACAAUGAGGAAUUAUUAUUCACUUGAGAAAAUAAAGAUUAAAUCGGUGAGGCUGUCAAAAGUGAAAUGACUUUCUGAGCUCGACAUUGACUUUUUGAGCUAGAUAUUGACUUUCUGAGUAGCACAAUAUAGGUCCUAUCUGAAGCCUUUUACGCGCCUGUUACAAUGAUCUUUUCAUUUUCCUUUGUAUAUUAACUAGAGAAUAUUAUUGUCUGCUAUAACUGCUGAAAGAUGUCAUAUUCCUUUGUUAUAAUGGUAUUUGCAGUAGGAGUGUAUGCCUCUCAUUCAAAGAAGAGGCUCGACAAUCUUUUGGAUGGACUUAUGAUUACCACAUAUAUGAUCUUAUGAAGCAGGAGUUGAGAACUACAAAAUCCAUCUACUCCUAGAAUCGAGCUGGUUGAAGUUGGGCCUUCAAUGGACCUGGUAGUUAGGUGGCACCGACGUUUUGUAAAGCCAAUUUUUGAUGAGGAAAAGCACCCAAAAAAAGUUUAGUGGAAGUGGAUUAGAUUGUUUGUAGUCAUAUGCUCUUGAGAAAUUUUGCGCUUUCUUUAUUUCUUCUGAUUAUAAUUCUGUUUAUUUCUAACUGACAUUGAUAUGCAAAAGAAAUCCUGUGAUUUUUUUGCCCUCUCAUUGACCAUUUAAUUUUUCAGUCAUAGCUAUAUACAAAGAAGUAUUGUACCAUAUAGUUUUGUGUUUUCGGAAACAUCUAAAGGCCUGUUACAUGCAUCAUUUUCUCUUUCAUAUCCUUCAUCUCAAACUGAAAAUAUGAACCAUUUUGUUGAUAUGUACAUUAGUUGCAAGGUGAGUAAAUAGUGGUCGACGAUGUGGCUGGAUGUACAUGAGCAUAUGUUGUAUCUUUGACGCCAUUCAUUUUGAAUCAUUAGAAUAAUAAAAGAGGUUUGUUUGGAUAAUUAUUUUCCAGGUUUCUAAACACAUUUAUUUAUCUAUUUUGUAUCCAUUGCAACACAUAUGUUUCCCUAAAUAAAAUGACUGUACAAUUGUGUGAACUGAGUGGCUGGUCGUUACGGUAGAUUAAAUUCCUCACAGUAAGAAUCUUUGCCUGACGCUACAAAAAAAAUCUAUGUUUUGUAGCAGGAUUAGUGAUCAAAUAUAUCCUUUUUAUUGUAAAUAUUUUAGUCUGCUACUUUGUUCAUUAAUUUUUCUAGGCAUUAUUCUUAAGUUUUAUUUCAAAGCAAAAUCAUAUUGAGCUAUCUACAAGUUAGAAUUGUCCAAAACAGUUUCUGUAACAUUAUUGUAUAUCAUGUGUUUUCUCUUUUAUUCAUAACAUAAUAUGCAGUCACACAAUUUAUAUCUUGGUUGUGAAUUCCAGAGGGGAAGAUAGCCUUUCUGGCAGUUAGAGCUUCGUCACUUGCUGAUCUAACAAUAUAGACAAGCAAUGCAAGCCAACAAAGAAAAUUAGUUAGGGAAGCACCGAGUUCGCCAGAGGUAGCAGAACGUUUGUCGAGCCAUCCAAUAUCGCCAACGGUGGCUACACUAGAGGUAUGUGAUGCCUCGACCACCCUAAAAAACAGCCUUGCUAUUCCCCCUUCCCUUUCUUCUUGAGAAUGGUUGUAGCUAACUGAGUGCCCUCAGUCAGUCCCUCAAGCUUUUCUGUAUUCAGAGAUGGUAACUGAGCACUAGGUUGUUAUCUGUGUUGUUUGAUUUUUUCCAUGCACUGUGGCUGGACAUGAUGUUGGCAAAUACACUAGACAUCAUGGGCUGAGACAAUACAAUAGAAAUCAUGUCGAGGCUGGAAAAUUUGCUGAACUUGUGGUUGUUAGCAAUAAACCAUGCGUUGUGGCGUGCGUGGGUGCGCAUGUGUGUUGUGGUGGUGCGUGAGCCUGGGUUAGGCUGUUGGCGAUAGUUGUGGGAGGCCGUUGGCGUUCUGUUGAGGGAGGCCCGCGAUGUGCGCGUGUGGGACGCGUCGAGGGAGUGGACCGGACCAAGCGGAUCGUGGCGUGCAAGCAGCGUCGUGCGUGUAUGGGCAGCGGUGUUGGCCUGGGUAUAAGAACUCCUCCCUUGUGUAUGCUUGUAAGUUGAGCCGAGAGGAAGAAAUACAAGAGAGAAAAAAGGCCCCGGCGUUCCUUGCCAGGGUGGGCGUCCGUCGCCGCGGGUGUUUGUCGCCCGGCAAAAUCGUCUCCUCAUAUUCUUGUGAUUGUUUGUCAAUCCUCGGUUCCAACAGUGGUGCCUGUGUUCCUUCUCACAGUAGUUGUUUUAUGUGGUGAAAGUUUUAGAGGCCAAAUAACAGUUAUGUUGUUCCAGGCUUUUCAGUCCAAGCAGAUUUAUGUUUGCAAGAAUUAGUGUACUUACAUGCAGAACCAGUUUUUCGUAGAUAAUUGCUUACAAGAUUUAUGUGGUUAAUAUUUCUGCAGAGUUUUCAAACAAGAGUGAAACCUAUAAUGAUGAGUGAUUGUUAUGGUAUGAUUACUAGAUCAAUAAUUCAUAGCAGGGAAGCAAUUUUACUGGAACAAGUAAAUCCAGUAUUAAACUUAGUAACUUGUUGGGUAGAUCAGAUUAGAUGCGGCUUAAACCUUCACCGCUCCCUGCCAUUUAGUACUGGCUGGAGUCUGUUUGAGCUGACCAAUGUGGAGCAGAGUUGCAAUGGAGAUACCCAGUCUCACAUGCUUUAUUCUACUUCUUGUAGUAUAACAGAGCUUGGUUGUAGCUAACAGUCAGUCCCUCAAGAUUUUGUGUAUUUAGAAAUUUAUUUAGAGAUGGUAAAAUAAAGAUCUUGAUGUAUCGAUGGUUUGCGGUAGUGGGGCUGUUCUGUUACAGUUUAGGAUACUCAAAUUCCUCCUGCUCGUAUCAUCGUCUCCGUGUAAUGUGAUGUAGCACAGUACUAUGCACUUCUGCACUAAGCCCAGAACCUAGCUAGCUUACUUGAGGGUCGGCUCCGGAUUUUGACGAUUGUGUUUGUGUAUAAUUUUUGAGGGGCUGUAGAGAGUCAAUUAACAAGUCAAUUAAUACAAACCUGUUUUUCUCUACGGUCCUCUGAACAUACUCGCUAUAAGAACAUAUAUUUCAAUAUUUGAGCACUGAAAAAAUUGUCAAAUUGACUAACUGCCAUGUGAAAAAGUAGCAAGAACGAACUCAGGAAAUUCUGCAAAUGAUAUCAGCAUUGGUUUGUGUAGAACUGUGGAUGUUUCUCUUGCAAGUCUAGGUUUUAGAGAAAAAAAUCCUGCAGUUGUUUGGGUAAUGUUUUUUUGGUUAGGAAUUAGGAGAAUUGUUAUGUAGUAAAAUUACCAAAAUUCUUACAAAAUAUUCUGCAAGUUUUGUUUGCUGAGCAAAGCCAACUGCUUGCCACUAUGUGCGGUUCUCUUGCCAUUUCAUGGGGUGCAACCGCAAGUGGCACAAGACUGUAGUUGUGGUGUUCUAAAAUUUACUGGUGUUGAUGUUUCUUUUCAAGAUUGUGGUAUUGUUUACCAAUUUGGUCCCCGGGUUAUGUACUCAUUUCCUUUUCUAUUCUUUGUAGAUAAUUUGCUUCAGUUCAUCGAACUACCUGCUGAAACAUGUGUAUUGUUUCUCAAUAUAUUGGGCAUCUAUCCACCUCUCAUGAGAUCUCUGAAUUUUCGACGCAUAUUGUAUUUGCUGAAUUAUUUCCUCCAGAUAACUAUGCUUGAAUUCACAAAUGCGUGCAAUGCUUUCAAGUAGAGGUUAGUUCAAUACUUAAGUUGUGCUAUUCCUCUUUCAAGUUUUUGGUCCUAGAAGUGUAAUACUUGGUAGGUGAGCUGCAAAAACGGAAUGUACAUGGCCUGAAUUUAUAUUUCAGAGUGUAUAAUCUGAUUCAGAGUAUUUUGACCCCUUGCGUUCUAAAACGUUUUGUUGUAUCUUUCUGUCCUGAAAGAAUAGAAGCAAUUCUUCUGUGUGAGAGAAUAUAAACAUUAUUCGCAAACAACAUGUAGCGUCAUUAAGUUUCUUAUUACCAAUUUAAACAGUAAUAGCACAACUAAAGUUUGUGAACAUAUCAUUAUAAAAUGGUCGGUUGGAUUGAGUUUGGUAUGGAUUCUACAAGGUCCAUUUCUAUGGAAUUACAAAUUAGCUUUACAUUUUUAUGGAUGAGUUCAUCGUCUUUGGAUUGCCCAUGUUCGGAUGUCUUUCUGAUCAAGUGGACACCACGACCACCAUCAGUAGGGUGGGAAGGAGGGUGUGUGAUAUUUUUUCUUUUCCCGUUGCAACGCAUGGGGAUUUUUGCUAGUUGAUCCAAGAGGCCUUAAGCAACUCAAGCACCAAUUUGAGAGAGUUGGAGGUUUCACAAAAAAUCCAAUUUUGAAUUAUCAAAAUUUGGUAAUUGGGUCAAUUUGUUUUUCAAAUUUUUUUCCAAAUAUUUUAAAAUAAUGAGAGAACAUAAUAUGACUUCUUCAAAAUCAAUAGAAAAUGUUGGAAAUAGAAUUUUGAAUUUUUGGAGACUUUAUUUUAUUUUAUUCGCUAGUUUAUUUAAUAGUUAGCGGAGUAAUUAGUACUAUAAUGUUUGUUUUUAGUUUAGGCAUUUAGGUCCAAACAAUUGUUCACUAGGUCAUUUAGCUACAUGAAUAUUUCUGGAAUUUUUAGGAUUAUAUUUAUAUUUAUUUUGCAUGUUUUAGUCUUUGGAAAAAAUUGUUAAAAAAAACAUCUCCCGAACUGGGCUGGCCCAGCCGACACAGCCCAAGCCCAAGCCACGCGCCGCCUUCCUCGCCGAGUCUGGCAUGGACUCUGGCCGCGCCAUCGUACGAGCUCGGGACGCCUCCCGAGGUUCGCCCCCACUAUUUAUACUCCACCCCCGGGACCCCUGGAACACGUUCCCGCCGUCGCCGCUUAGCCCCGCUGCCUAGCACCGCCGCCGCCCGUUCGCCGCCGCCGCCUCGAGCCACCACCACUCUUGUCGAUCGCCGGCGCCGCUGUCGCCAGCACCGCCGCUGCCGCACGCCGCCGCCUCCUGCUGCCGCAGCCCCGCCGGAGCCACCACCGAUCACCGUAGUUUCGCCCCCGGUCCUCAUCGAAAAAUCGGUAAACCCUAGAUUGGUUUAUUUUACGGUUUUUCUGGUUCGUUCAGUUUAGUUUUUGGUUUUUGUUUUUUCGGUUAGAUCUAUCUAGCGAAGGUUCGUUCGUUUAGAUAUGUCAACCAACAUUUUCGUUCGUUAGUCUCUGUUAGCUGACAUUCGUCCGAUAGAUUUUUCUUUUUCUGUUUAUUUUCGGCCAGGGACCUAUCCGUGAAUAAUUUUCUACAUAGAUUAGCCCCUGAUCUUUAAACCCUCAUAACUUUUAGCUCGUUUGCCCAAAUUAGACGAAACCAACGCCCAGAUCUUCAGAGCGAUACCCUCUAUCUUGUAAACCAACUUGAACAUGAUUUUGACAAUAUAAAAUUUGAGUUUAGUUUAGAUUAGUAUUUGAUCUUAUUUUGUUUGUAUCUUGAGUUUUGUAGCUUCGUUUGAGUCGAUUCUGUUUGCAAAUCGUAGCUAAUCACAUGGACCUACUGUUAAGAUCUAAUCCACCUAAAUUUAAUGCUGUUAGAAUUUGUUUUCUGUUUAGAUUAGUUAUUUGCUUGUUUUGAGUUUUAUUUGGAUCUUUUCUCGUUUUCUUUUUGCAUCGUUUGCUUGAUUUUUUAUGUAUGCUAUUGCUUGUCUAUGCUAGAUUAUCAGAGUGCGAAGCUUGUUACUACGAUUCUCUAGAGUUUUCCGAUCGUCAACAAGGCAAGUUACACUUUGAUCAUACUUUUCAAUACCCAAUUUUUACUAUGCAUUAGUUUUUCCCCUCAAAUAUUUGCAUGAGUAGGAUUGGGAACAUGUGGUUUGGUUGUAGUACUUGAGGUAGGAACCUAUUACCUUUGAUCACCCCGGGAAUAUAUGUUAUGCUCAUAUAUUACUUAGCCAUGCUCAUAGACGGGGAUUGGAUCGUGAUGUAGAUGGAAGUUGUGAGAGAUAAUAAUUUUUGGAUAACAUUAAGGUGGCAACUUUAAUACACAUCUGGGUGGAUUGGGUGGGGCAUUUGGAGAAACCAGUGCUAGCCCAUGGGAAUCCCGGAGUACCCAUGUGAUUUUCCCUCGGUUCGCCACCCAGGCUCAAAGGGAUGAUAUGAUAUUUCAUGCCUAGAAACUUCUGUGUGCAGCCACAAGGCAUUAUGGGCUCUAGCAUAGUUGAGUAAGUUGUGUGAGCUCUUGAAGAGGUGGACUAGCAGUUGUAGGGGAAAGUAGGUGUAUCGAUCGACCUAGAGUAGAGAGUUAAUGCUUCAGAAGGCUAUGUCUUGAUCUUCCGAUCAUGGAUGCGGUCGAGUCUUGUGGUGAAAAGUGCACAACCUCUACAGAGUGUAUAAACUAAUCAUGGUAGCCGUGUCCCCGAUUAUGGACAUUUUGAGUAUCUAGAAGUGGAUAUUAUUGUUGAUCUCAUCACUCUUUAAUUAAUGAAUUGGGUUUAAUGAUGAUACUUGGCUAAUGUUGGGAUUUGAGUUGGAGGAACCUUCUCAAUCAUUGGUAUAACUUUGUAGUAAAUAAAAUUUAUUCCUUUGCUAUAGGAAAAAAUUAGCUUUAUGUAAAACAUUAAACUUAGAGCCUCCACUAGUCAAAUAUGCAUUUAGAUAUAGUUUCUUGCAUUCAUUUGCUCUACAGUGUAACUUUGUCAGCAUAUUCCAUGUGCUGACCUACACGGCUGCAACGUCUCAUGUUGCAGACUUUACCGGCAAAGAAUAAGGUGCGAUAGGUCGUUGUCAUGCACUCAGCUAUGCUGUUGGAGUCGAUGGACUCAUUUCUCUUCGAAACUUCCGCAGUUAUUUUGAUUAGAUGGCCUUCAGAUAUAUUAUUUAUGUAAUCGAUACUCUUUAUGAGGACCUCGAUGUAAUAAGUGUGUGAUUGAAACUCUGUUAUAAUUCCUCGAGUACUGUGUGUGUCAACAUACCGAUCCAGGGAUGACACUUAAGCACAGAAACUUCGGUCCAUUUGGAUCGUGGUCGCUACAUACGGUUGUUGCUAAAGUCUUCAAGCUCAAUCAACAUGGCGCACUGCAUAGCUUCAUUGCUGAGUGCAAAGCAAUUCAACACAUCUGUCACUGGAAUCUCGUGAAGGUUAUAACUGCAUGCUCAACUUAUGACCAAGUGGGAAAUGAGUUCAGGGCUCUAGUCUUUGAGUAUAUGGUCAACGGUAGCCUUGAAGACCGACUUCAUAACCACCGGUGUGGUGAUUUGAGUUUAGGUGCAGUUAUAUGUGUCGUGGAAUAGUCACGUCAGAUGUCCUCAUGAAAGGACUUAGUUGUGGAGCCAUCACAACUAGGAAGCUUGAAGGGGUUAAAUCGGGACAAGGGACACGAGAGAGUUUAUACUAGUUCGGCCCAUUACGGUGAAGGUAAGGCCUACGUCUAGUUGGGUUGGUAUUGAUGUUUCGAUAACCUGGGAGCGAGACACGCUAUGCCCGGUUCUCGAUGAGUUGUUUCUUGCCCUAAGUCGCCCGCAGGUCGUCCCCUUAUAUACACGGGUUGACACCUGCGGCUUACAGAGUCCCGUCCGACUUAUAAAUAGAGUCCGGCUCGGUGACCAGUUAAAUCCACCUUACAUUACACGUCAUGCCAUCAUGGCGGUUUACUACAAUGGGCUUAAGCCGCCCAUGGGCCUUAAGCUCUUUAUUGAACCGCCAUCUUCAUGCUUGGCCUUGGGCUUCUUCUGAUGAGUACUCUUUGCGUAACCCGGCCCCUCAUGGCGGCUUACACAAAUAGUCAUAUCUCCAACAUUAGGCCCCGGAUUGAUUUAACCUGUUCAUGUCAAUCUAAAAAAUAUUUGUAAAUAAUUAAAUCUUCAAUCUUCUGACUAUACAGAGGGUUUUUGUUAACUCGCCAUGGCGUCAUCUUCUGGAUCCGUCUUAACCCGGCGUGACGUCAUCCUUCCUUUAACUCAUUUUUUAUUCCACCGAAUCCUUCAACGGAACUCUUCUUUACUGACUGUUCCGAAAAUCGAGGCGCCAGGGCCGUUGGAUAAUAAUUGUUAUCUCCUCGUUUCCCGCGCCGUCUCAGUCAUUUUUUCCUUAUAAAUAGCCACGACUUGGGGCCUUCCCCUUGUACUUCUUCAGUCGUCUUCUUCCUCUCCUCUCUGCCUCUCAAGCUCUGCCGGCGUCGCCAUCGACCCCCUCGUCUUCGUCGACUCAGGCCGCUGCAUCAACCUGUCUGUAACCAGAGAUCGACGGCGAGCCUCCGCAGCUCAACCUCAUCCGUGAGUUCUUUUCUUCCCUUUCCUUAGAUCUAUCUCGAAGCUCCACCAAGUUCAUCAGGUUCAUCGCCGCCCGAUGCGAAUCCUUGUUAGAUGCACUUCCACAGCCUGUUUAGAUUGUAAAAACUGUGCAGAAACACUGCGGUAGUAGUUUGUGUCGAUCUUGUAUAGAAAUAGAUCGCACUUCUCUUGUUUGGAAACCUCCCUUGAAUGCAUGAACUUCUCUGCCCUGUUUUAGGUCUAGAAAUUUUUCCUUUAGAGCAAUAGUUUGAUCCAUAAUAAUAAUUGUUAUCCGUGCAACUUGUUUCCAUCACCCGGAAAGCUUCUUCUGGAAAACUUACUUUUAUCAUCCCUGUAUAGGCGUCCGGCUUAAAUAAGUGACACUGAACUGUAAGCCUUGCCUUCCUCUCAUGACCUUGAAAAUCUUUGAAUCACUGUUGAUCCUGUUAGCGGCUUAAACUUUACUGCACAAUUACCCUUAUAUCAUUAGGCCCCUUGCUUAAGCCGCUAUUUUAAAUAAAUGUAAAAUUUCUCCCGGGUUAAAUGUGAACCAGAACUUUUUACUUUGUCGUAGGCCACUGCUGUUAUGGCUCGUAAGGCGGCCAAGGCCCUUGUGACUUGCAACUGGGUUCCAUCCACAGUCACCAAAAGUACACUUGCCGAGUUUGUAGCAUUUGGCCAUCUGCCAAAAAAGGAGGUCAUGUCCUACCGUGCCCCUCACCCGUCUGAGGAGAUACCUCAACCCAAAGACGGAGAGGUAGUAGUUUUCACAGACCAUAUGAACCGGGGGUUUGCCCCUCCCGGCUCAAAAUUCUUCAGGGAAGUUCUGGCUUUCUUUGACCUGAGGCCUCAGGACAUUGGACCCAUUUCCGUGUCCAAUCGGUGUAAUUUCCAAGUCUUCUGCGAGGUAUAUUUAGGAGAGGAACCAAGUCUGCUGCUGUUCAGGGAGCUUUUUUACUUGAACCGGCAGAAUGAGCGCGCCAGCGGACCUAGUCUUCAACUUGGCGGCAUCUCAAUCCAGCGGCGGAGAGACUGCCGUUUUCCUUACGCUGAGCUGCUAAGUCAUCCCAAAGACUGGAACCAGACGUGGUUCUAUUGCCAAGACACCUCUCCGGCUAACGAGAAGCCUCUGCCCGGCUUUCGCGCCCUGCGCGUUGAGUCCAAUCAUCCUCUGGCGGACAAGUUAACUACUAUUGAGCGCCUGCCUCUUAACCCCACCAUCAGAAAGAUCAAGGCCCUUUUGGGCAAUGGGUUAACUGGCAUUGAUUUGGUCCGGGUCUGGGUCACCUGGCGGAUACUACCAUUAAGCCGCCGCUCCGGCUUAAUGUGUACUUACACAGGCGAAAAGGACGACUCAAUGCGUCAUAGUCCUGAGGACUUACGAGAUGAUGUAGCAGACGCUACAGUCCAAUCACUAUUGAAGGAGGGCACUGUAACCAGUAAUACAUUCAGUUUGCUUCCCUUCUGCAAGAAGAAUCCGGCUCCUGCAGUAAGUUACUAGUCUUCACAAAUACUCUUUAAUAUGUUACCUUCUGGUACUUAUGAUUCCUUGUCUUUUUCCAUAGGCCGAUGACAACUUAUGGAAGGUCAAAUAUGACCAUGAGGCUGCAAAACUGGCUCGGGCGGGCAAGAAGACCGAAAGGAAAGCCGCCAGGACAGGUACCUGUAAAAAGAAAAACCCCAGCGCCUCUGAUAUGGUGAGAUUGGACGACUCUUCUUCAGACGAGGAAGAGGUAUUCUUUUUAAUUUUCUUUAAUUCCUUCAUCGUUACCUUACUAACAUUUAAAUCCUUUCAGGAGGAUACUGGGAGCAGCCAAGCAGCUGGCGAAGAGGUAACUAUAAUUUCCUCGGACUCAGAGCCUUUGCCAACACAAAGAAUCCGAAGGGUGACCCGGAAAGUAAGGGUUUCACACCCUCUCGCUUACCAAGAUCCUCAAUUUCUUUUGAAGCAACAGCAGCUCGAGAACCGGCGACAGACUCGGGCCAACCAGGACGCAGAGCUUUCCUCCGACUUACCCGAUUUAACCAGGAAGCGUCGGACCGAGGUUAUCUCCGACUUACGUUUUGUUUUACCCUUGAUGGGUUUGAUUCACCAACCUCUCAAUUCAUCUGACUGCAACUAUCAGGAUACCUCUCCUUCUUCUGGUGAGUCGAUGCAAUCGAACAUGCCGGCUUUCAAAACGGCUCCCGGGUAAUAUAACCUUUCUUACUUUGAAUUUAUCCAUACUUAUGUUUUGAUACUUAUCCUUCCACUUUGAUUGACACUGGGCAAGUAAAGCCCAGCAAGAGGGCAAAGAAGAAUAAGCCGUCCCAAGACCCGGUGGUUACUGAACCGGUGCUUGACUCAUCUGUUCCAGACAGCUCCGCUCAUCAGCCACCGCCUGAACCGGCUUCUAACAUUCCGGAGCCAUCUUCUGACCCGCCUGCAGAGGACGUGAUUCACAACUCGGAUGACCCGGAAAGUCCUAGCCCGGCCAAGACAGUUGACCUGGAGGUUCAAAUUGUGAACAACUAAUAUGUUGAACCGGGCCGGCCUACUGCCCUUGCCCAAUGCACCGCCAAGGAGGAAUUUGCCCAGCGUCGGAAGUCAAAACAAGACAUCACCGAUUACUCUCACUUAAGUAUUGGUGAUAUAGUCUCGGGCUAUCUGAACCAAGUACACAGUAGUCGUGACCAGGAAAUUGACAACAUAAAUACAACAUAAAUCAGAGGUAAAAUUUAAGCUUUCACUCUAAAUCUUACUUACUGUACCAGCCCCCAAGUCUAUUGAUUAUUAAUGAAUAUGCUGUAGACUUAAUAAUCUGCUAGCUAUUAGUUUCGUCCGGUUUAAAUUGAAUAUGUUUAACCCGGAGAUAACAUGAAACUUUAAAUUUGGGUUACAUUAGCCCCCAAGUGUCAUGUACUUUUACUUGUAAAGUGCUUGAGACUUAAUAUGUAUGACUUGGUAAAAUAAACUAAAAAUUCUUUAAACAUACAUUAGCCCCCAAGUACCAAGUAUCUUUACUUGUAAAAUACUUGGGACUUAAAUGUUAUCUUACCAAGAUUCUUACCAUAACCUGAUGUCAAUGCAUGCCACCGCAAGUCAAUUUGAGGCGGAGAUUGCUGAUUUGAAGAGCCAGUUGAAAACCCAAGAGCUCGAAGCUCAGAAAGCCAAUUCCAAGUUUGAAUUCAGUGUCUCUAAACAAGAGAAGUUGAAGAAAAAUUUUGAAUCGGAAAAGAAGGCUUGGGUUGAUGAGAGGGCUUCAUUGGUGACCCGGGUUGAAAUAGCAGAGACAUCUCUUGCCGAGGCAACCAAUGAGCUGUCCAACUUAAAGCGGCACAUAUCCCAAAUGGUCUCAGCUAUCUUUGGUAAGCCGCUCAUAAAUAUUGUAAUCCUUCAAGAGUUAUCGUGAUAGUUGCCUCUAGCUUAUUGUUAUACCUGUGAAUAUGCAGGCCCCAGGAGUACUAAUCUGAAGGAAAAUAUGCUUGUCAAGCUUAGGGCAGUGUACACCUUGACAGAAUAGCUGUACUCCGGGUCACAGCGUGCGUUGACCGCUGUGGCUCUAUCAAAUACCUCUCCCCGGCUCCUGCAAGACGUAUUGAGACAUCUGUCGGUGCUACCUCAACGUAUUCAAGACUUAAGGCGGGCAUCUGCAAGAGCCGGAGCCGUGGCUGCUUUGAGUCGGGCAAAAGCAUGGGUGCCAGAGCUUGACCUUGUUGACCUCUCGCUUGGAUAUCCAAGUCUUAAGGAGGACGGCACUGCUUUUGGCGAACAUGACUUCACCGCCUGUGUUAAAGUCGUACGCCCUCUGGCGACUCUUAUUGGAGAGGAUACUGAUCUCACCAAGUAUUCUUCAGGUUAUGACAGCGAGAACCGAAGAAUCCUAAAUGUCCCAUAUGACCAAGUCAGCCUGAUCCCUCCAACGCGUAAGCAUACCUUUGCCCCUGAAGUGGACCCGGCCAGUUUAAUAGAUGAUGAAGCUGAAUUUGAAGCUUUGAGCGGCAUUGACUGGGCCUCGUCCACCUUCCAGGACAAAACAACCGAAGGAGAGGCGGGGAAGGCUAAUCCGGAGUCAUCAAGCCAAUCGGAGGAAUGAGCCGCCAGCCGGGUUAUAAUUCCGCAAAGAACAAUGCUUCACUUAUUCAAACUCGGGGAGUCUUGUAAUAGGAUAGCAAAACAACUUAAUGCCUGUCAUGCCUUAUGGUACUUAUCGCUUUUGUUAAGCCGCCAGUACUAAAGUCAUCUUGCUUAUGUUAAUCAAGUGUUUCCUUUAUCCUUCACCUUGCUCCGUUUUAACCUGCACGUAAAACAGGCAAGGCUUUCCUGUACGAUUCACUGCACCAGCGGGUUAUAGAAUAUUGAUAACCCGGAUAUGAUCAAAAAUCAUAUGUAUAAGCCGGUUCAUGAUUAGUUUAAAACAAAAUCAGAACAGUAUACCUGUGACACCUUUUUAAUAACCUCUCUGGCUCAUAUAAGUUUUUACCUGGCACUUGUUAGAACCUGAAGUAACUAAUAUAAAACCGGAAAAAUCAAGAACCAUCUCCUCCAGAAGGUUUCAAGGAUGGUGAAAACAAUCAUACUUGCAAAUGUUCACAGGCUCCUGAUUCGAAUACGAUCAGAGAACCAUUACAAAGGGGUUAAGCUAAGAUUCGGAUACGAUCAUAUAGCCCCCAGUGGCUUUUGGCGAUGCCGAUCAAGUGGGUAUCGACAACUAUGUUCUCUUUGGUUCGAAUAUGACCUAUGUUUGAAUAGGAAGCCCCCAAGUGAACAUAAGAGUUGUUUAAUGACGCUGAUUCAAAUACGAUCCACGUCAGACCCAAAGGGGUUAAGCUAUGAUUCAAAUUUGACCAGGAAGCCCCCAAGUGGGUUUGGCAAUUUUCCCAUCAAGUGGGUAUCGACAGCUAUGUUCUAUUUGGUUCGAAUAUGACCUAUGUUUGAAUAGGAAGCCCCCUAGUGACCAAGGCUAGAUUCAGAUAUGAUCAUAAGCCGGACCAAAGGGAAAGCCGGAUUCAGAUAUGAUCCUUCCCCUGUUGGCAGUGUCCAUCACCUGAUAAAGAAAACAUGAAACAUUUCUUUAUGGGGAAAAAGGACAGAGGUCCUGCUUUAUUGCUUUAUAUAAUAUGUACAUUAUAGAAAGGAUCUUAAAAAAAGAAACUUAAGUAUAGUAAGGCCGGAGAUGAGCUAUGUUCCACGGCCGGCGGGUCUCUUCCUCCGACUUAAAUGAGUCCUUGCGCUCUCGAAUGUCGAUGAGAUAAUAUGACCCGUUGUGCAGAUUCUUGCUGACCACAAAGGGCCCUUCCCAAGGCGGGGAUAGCUUGUGCAUAUCAGACUGAUCCUGGAUGAGCCGGAGCACCAAGUCGCCUUCCUGAAAGGUUCUGCUUCUAACCCGGCGGCUGUGAUAGUGGCACAGGUCUUGCUGGUAAAUCGCCGAGCGGGCUAUUGCCAAGUCUUGCUCCUCGUCCAACAAGUCAAGUGCAUCCUGACGAGCCUUUUCGUUAUUUGCCUCAACGUAAGCCGCCACUCGGGGUGAGUCGUGCCGGAUGUCACUUGGCAGGACCGCCUCUGCUCCAUAAACCAUGAAAAAAGGUGUGUAUCCCGUGGAUCUGUUAGGCGUAGUGUUGAUGCUCCAUAACACGGAGGGUAACUCCUCCACCCAACAACCCGGAGUCCGCUGUAAAGGGACCAAGAGCCGGGGCUUGAUGCCUUUCAGGAUCUCUUGAUUAGCUCUCUCUGCUUGACCAUUGGAUUGAGGAUGAGCAACAGUCGAAACAUCAAGCCGGAUAUGUUCUCUUCGAUAGAACUCUUCCAUGGCACCCUUAGAGAGAUUAGUGCCAUUAUCAGUUAUGAUGCUAUGUGGAAAACCAAAGCGAAAGAUCACCUUUUUUAUGAACUAAACCGCUGUGGCUCCAUCACUCUUACUGACCGACUCUGCCUCAACCCACUUGGUAAACUUGUCCACUGCCACCAGCAGAUGUGUCUUUUUGUCUUUAGACCUUUUGAAAGGUCUGACCAUGUCAAGCCCCCAGACUGCAAACAACCAGGUGAUUGGGAUCAUCCUUAACUCUUGAGCCGGCACAUGAGCUUGUCGUGAGAACUUUUGACACCCGUCACAUUUACUGACCAGGUCCUCUGCAUCAACAUGAGCCAUCAGCCAAUAGAAACCAUGACGAAAGGCCUUGGCUACGAGGGAUUUUGACCCGGCAUGAUGCCCACAAUCUCCUUCAUGGAUCUCACGGAGUAUUUCUUGGCCUUCUGUAGGUGAUACGCAGCGUUGAAACGCUCCCGUGACGCUGAGGUGAUGUAACUCGCCGUUAACAAUCGUCAUGGAUUUGGAGCGCCUGACGAUUUGUCUUGCCAACGUCUCAUCCUUCGGCAACUCACCCCGGGUCAUAUAAGCCAAGUAAGGCACCGUCCAAUCCGGGAUAACAUGAAGAGCCGUAGCUGUGCCUCCGGGUCUGGCACUGCUAGGUCUUCCUCGGUAGGUACCUUGACAGAAGGGUUAUGUAACACAUCAAGAAAGGUGUUGGGCAGCACCGGCUUACGUUGGGAUCCCAACCGGCUUAAAGCAUCAGCCGCCUCGUUCUUCCUUCGAUCAAUGUGCUCCACUUGGUAACCCGUGAAGUGACCAACCACAGCAUCUACUUCACGAUGAUAAGCCGCCAUGAGGGGGUCUUUGGAAUCCCACUUGCCUGACACUUGCUGAGCCACCAAGUCUGAGUCACCCAAGCAUCAUACCCGGCUUAAGUUCAUCUCCUUAGCCAUCCGGAGACCAUGGAGUAAUGCCUCAUAUUCAGCUGCAUUGUUUGUACAUGGAAACAUAAGCCGGAGUACAUAGCGAAAUUUGCCACCUCGAGGGGAAGUUAACAACACUCCAGCCCCCGAGCCUUCUAGCUGCCUAGACCCGUCAAAGUGAAUAGUCCAGUAUGUGUUAUCCGGCUUCUCCUCAGGUGCCUGCAGCUCUGUCCAAUCAUUGAUGAAGUCCACCAAGGCCUGAGACUUAAUAGCUGUCCGAGGCAUGUAUUUCAAGCCAUGAGGCCCAAGCUCAAUAGCCCACUUGGCGACUCGUCCUGUGGCCUCCCUAUUCUGAAUGAUGUCUCCCAAAGGGGCAGAACUUACCACAGUUAUAGGAUGGCUUUGAAAAUACUGCUUCAACUUCCGGUUUGCCAUGAACACCCCAUAAACAAGCUUUUGCCAGUGCGGGUACCUUUGCUUGGAUUCAAUGAGCUCCUCACUGAUGUAGUAAACUGGCCGUUGAACCAGAUGCUCCUUGCCGGCUUCCUUAUGCUCCACCACGAUGGCAACGCUGACGGCUCGUGAAUUGGCAGCAACAUAUAACAGCAAAGGCUCUUUGUCAAUUGGAGCCGCAAGAACCGGCGGCUCAGAUAAUUGUCUCUUUAAGUCUUCAAAAGCAGCAUCAGUGGCCUCACUCCAAACAAAAGUGUCAGUUUUCUUCAUCAUCUGAUACAAUGGGAGGGCUUUCUCACCGAGCCGACUUAUGAACUGACUUAAGGCGGCGACGCGACCUACCAGUCGUUGAACAUCAUUGAUGCACACCAGUUUAGCCAGAGAGGUAAUCGCCUUGAUCUUCUCCGGGUUAGCUUCGAUGCCCCUGUUGGACACCAGAAAGCCCAAAAGCUUGCCUGCAGGGACACCAAACACGCAUUUGGCCGGGUUAAGCAUCAUCUUGUAGACCCGGAGAUUAUCAAAGGUCUCCUUUAAGUCGGAUAUCAAUGUCUCCUUUUCUCUGGACUUCACCACAAUGUCAUCCACAUAGGCAUGGACAUUACGCCCAAUUUGGUCGUGCAAACAAUUCUGCACACACCAUUGGUAAGUCGCCUGUGCACUCUUGAGCCCAAAUGGCAUAGAUACAUAGCAGAAGGCUCCAAACAGAGUCAUGAAAGCCGUCUUCUCCUGGUCCUUAACUGCCAUUUUAAUCUAAUGAUAACCGGAGUAAGCAUCCAAAAAGCUCAAACGCUCACAACCCGGCGUAGCAUCAAUGAUUUGAUCAAUACGGGGAAGAGCAAAAGGGUCAGCUGGACAAGCCUUGUUUUAGUCCGUGUCAUCCAUGCACAUCCGCCAGGUGCCAUUCUUCUUGAUGACGAGCACCGGGUUAGCCAACCACUCCGGGUGAAAAACUUCAAUGAUAAACCUGGCGGCUAAGAGCCGCGCGACUUCUUCCCCAAUAGCUUUCCGUCUUUGUUCAUUAAAACGGCGAAGAAACUGCCUGACCGGCUUAUACUUUGGAUCAAUAUUGAGAGUGUGCUCAGCGAGUUCCCUCGGUACACCCGGCAUGUCAGAAGGUUUCCAUGCAAAGAUGUCCCGGUUCUCACGGAUGAACUCGAUGAGCGCGCUUUCCUAUUUGGGAUCCAAGUUGCUGUUGAUGCUGAAUUGUUUAGAAGAAUCACCCGGGGUGAAGUCAACAAGCUUUGUCUCAGCUACCGACUUAAACUUCAAUGCCGGGUCAUGCUCUGUAGUUGGCUUCUUCAGGGAUGUCAUAUCCGCCGGGUCAACAUUAUCUUGAUAAAAUUUGAGCUCCUCUACUGCGCAGGCCGACUCAGCAUAAGCCGCGUCACCUUCUUCACACUCCAAUGCUACCUUACGACUGCCAUGUACAGUGAUCGUGCCCUUGUAACCCGGCAUCUUGAGCUGUAAAUAAACGUAACACAGCCGGGCCAUAAACUUAGCAUAAGCCGACCGUCCAAACAGAGCGUGGUAUGGGCUCUUGAUGUUGACCACCUCAAACGUCAACUUCUCAGCUCGGGAGUCAUGUUCAUCUCCAAAAGCCACCUCUAGCUCAAUCCUGCCAACCGGGCAAGCCGACUUACCAGGGACAACUCCAUGGAAAACAGUGUUGGAUGUUCUCAGAUUUUUAUCAGUCAACCCCAUGCGCUGAAAGGUUUCGUAGUAAAGGAUGUUGAUGCUACUACCCCCAUCCAUGAGCACCUUGGUGAACUUAUACCCACCAACCUGUGGUGCCACUACCAAAGCCAACUGACCCGGGUUAUCGACCCGCGGAGGAUGAUCCUCUCUGCUCCAUAUGAUGGGCUGCUCUGACCACCUUAAAUAAUGAGGGAUUGCCGGCUCAACGGAAUUCACAGCCCUCUUAUGAACCUUCUGGUUACGUUUGCACAGGCUAGUGGUAAACACGUGAUACUGUCCACCACUCAACUGCUUCGGAUGGCUUUGAUAACCCGACUGUUGCUGCUGCUGUCCACCUUGACCAGACUGCUGCUGACUGUUGCCACCUGGAUGCCCCUGAAAACCGGAAUUUGAACCGCCGCCUGGGCCAUGAAAGCCGCCGGCCCCUGAGCCGCCGCCAGAUCCUUGACCACCGUCGAAGGUGUUGGAGUUUUUAAUCGCCUUCAUGAUUGCACAAUCCUUCCAUAGAUGUGUGGCCGGCCGCUCCCGAGUGCCGUGUCUCGGGCUGGGCUCAUUGAGUAGCUGCUCCAGCGAUGGGCCUGACCCGCCGGAGCGAGGCGUUUUACCCUUACGUCUCUGAUUGUUACCUCGUGCAUUGGCAUUGGCCACAAACUCCGGGUUACCGUCCGCCUUACGCUUAUUGCCGCCUUGAUUCCCCGGGUUAUGCUGCUGACCUUUUCCAUUACCGUUCCUUUUUCCCUUCCCUGUCUUCUCAUCAUCAGACGCGGGAUCCUUGGUACUAUCAGAAUCGGCGUAUUUGACUAAAGCUGCCAUCAGCAUACCCUUAUCCGUGAGGUCACGCUUAAGGCGCCCCAGUUUCAUCCUCAACAGCUCAAAACGGCAAUUUUUCUCCAGCAUAAGAACUGCAGAGCCGGCGUCCAUCUUAUCAGAGGAAUGAAUUAUCUGUUUGACCCGGCGUACCCAAUGGGUGGUGGAUUCGCCUUCCUCUUGCUUGCAGUCUGUCAAAUCCACAAUUGACAUGGAUUGCAUACAUGUGUCUUUGAAGUUCUGGAUGAACCGGGCCUUUAACUCGCCCCAUGAACCAAUGGAAUUGGGUGGUAAGCCUUUUAGCCAAGACCGGGCCGUUCCAUCCAACAUCAUGGUGAAAUACUUAGCCAUUGCCGCAUCACUGACCUCUAGCAACUCCAUGGCCAUCUCAUAACUCUCAAUCCACGCUCCGGGCUGUAAAUCGACCGUGUAAUUUGGUACAUUUCGAGGUCCCUUAAAGUCCUUGGGCAGACGUACAUCACGCAGAGCUGGCACCAGGCAGGGAGCUCCACCGGUUCUAGUGGCUACUCCCGCCUCAACAGAUGUCAUUGGAUACUCCGGGUGAUCAUUCUCCUGAUGUACUUGGUCCUGCGCCGGAUUAUAGCCCCCGGGCGGGUUACGUCGCUGGGCAUUACUUGACAAAGCUUCCGACUCCAUGCGUCUGCUGUAACUCGGGCUCCGGUUCUGGCGAGGUGGUGCUCCCCAGGGCCGUGGAGUGGAAGGAAUCAUGUCCCGGCUGUAAGAAUAGUUCUCCUGCUGAGCCAGGGCCGUCUGGAGGAGCUCUCUGACCCUCCGGGUCUCCACCGCCGUCGGGUCAUCUCCUUCCAUAGGAAGAGCCGCUAAACGCGCUGAGGCUGCGAUCAAGUUCUCCAUGGGGUUGGAAAAGUGACCCGGUGAAAUCGGCACAUAACGCGGCAGUGGCAUGCUCACGUGAGGCGGCACCACAUCCCUAGGCUGAGCCGGUCCUCCUAUUCCGGCUGUCAUAACCCGAUCGGCUUCUGGCGGGUUACUAGGACUGGCUCCGGGUGUAGCAAAGAGAACCCGGGGGUUGUAACUCAGAGGUAAACAGGACUGCGUUUUCUGAUGUCUCCUGCUCAUUAUCUCAUUGGAUGCAUUUAAGCUCAUUGUGAGCUGGUAAGCUUCUGACUGCAAACACUGUGCCCGGGCGUAGAGAGCCUCCCGUUCUGCAGCUAGUCUAGUAUCCUCAGCUGCCAAGGCCUCCUUGGCCUGAGCUAUCUCCCCACGCACCUGAGCUACUGCUGCGUCGUGCUCAUCCUUGUCGACAGGAAUAACCGUGGCGGUUAACAGGGCCGUAAGCUUGUCCAUGAGGUCCAUCAGCACCUGAGCCGGUGGGCGCACGGGGCCGCCUGCUCCGGCUGCUCCUGAUCCGGACGUGAUCGCCGCAGCUGCUGUAGAGUUUGAGCCGGGCUGAGUUCCAGCCAUGAAGAUUCCGGCCCAUCUUGGCAGCUCAUCGGGGUCCGGAAUACUGAUGCCAUCAGAACAGCCCCCGAGCGCGCCGUCUUGUACCUGAUACAACGAAUCUAUUGAGCCUGCGGACGAGUCACCAUCUGAAAGGACGGCCGUCUCACCCCCAUCUUUAGAUCCAGAAAGUCCCUCUCCGUGGACGCAGCCCACGAAGGCACGCCUCAUGACCGGCUGAGUCCGGGUCUUCCUCGCACGCUGAGCCGUCUCGACGAGGUCGGUGCAGUUGUCCGGCUCAGGGCCCGGCUCACCGAUUCGGCCGAUGAAGACGUGGAUUCCGCCGAAGGGGACCCGGUACCCGUACUCAAUUGAGCCGGCGUCGGGGCCCCAGUCUUCGUCGUCGAUGUAGGUCUUGCCGUGACGACUCUUGGUCAUCCGGCCCACUACGUACCCCUUGAGCCCUUCGAAGUUGCCCUUCAAGAACUCAAAUCCACCGUGCGCUUGCCCCACGGUGGGCACCAACUGUCGUGGAAUAGUCACGUCAGAUGUCUUCGUGAAAGGACUUAGUUGUGGAGCCAUCGCAACUAGGAAGCUUGAAGGGGUUAAAUCGGGACAAGGGACACGACAGAGUUUAUACUAGUUCGGCCCCUUACGGUGAAGGUAAGGCCUACGUCUAGUUGGGUUGGUAUUGAUGUUUUGAUAACCAGGGAGCGAGACACACUAUGCCCGGUUCUCGAUGAGUUGUUUCUUGUCCUAAGUCGCCCGCAAGUCGUCCCCUUAUAUACACGGGUUGACACCUGCGGCUUACAGAGUCCCGGCCGGCUUAUAAACAGAGUCCGGCUCGGUGACCAGUUAAAUCCACCUUACAUUACAAGUCAUGCCAUCAUGGCGGUUUACUACAAUGGGCUUAAGCCGCCCAUGGGCCUUAAGAUCUUUAUUGAACCGCCAUCUUCAUGCUUGGCCUUGGGCUUCCUCUGAUGAGUACUCUUUGCGUAAGCCGGCCCCUCAUGGCGGCUUACACGAAUAGUCAUAUCCCCAACAAUAUGCAUAUCAGUUGACAUUGCUUGUGAUCUUGAAUACCUCCAUAACCAAUGAAUCCAACGGUUGUUCACUGUGAUAUGAAACGAAGAAACAUACUUUUCAACGAUGACGAUACUGCACGUGUUUGUAACUUUGGUCUAGCAAGGCUAAUUCAUGGAUGUUCAUCUGGAGGCCAGAGCGGCACAACAAGCAUAGUUGGAAAACCUGUGCAGAACUCCUGCGGUAGUUGUUUGUGUUGAUCUUGCAUAGGGAUAGAUCUCAUUUCCCUUGCUUAGGAACUCUCUUCGAAUGUAUGAACUUCUCUGCCCAUUUUUUAGGUCUAGAAAAUUUCUCUUUCAGAGCAAUACUUUGAUCCAGAAUAAUAGUAGUCAUCUGUGAAGCUUGUUUCUAUCACCCGGCAAACUUCUUCUUCUUCUCAUGAUCUUAAGAAUUCUUGAAUUGCUCUUGACACUACUUGGCGGCUUAAAUAUGAUUGCACAAUCGCCCUUAUGUCAUUAGGCCCCUUUCUUUAAGCUGCCACUUUAAAUAAUUUUAAAUAUUUCUCCCGGGUUAAACUUGAACCGGAGCUUUCUUACUUUGUCGUAGGCCACUGCUGUUAUGGCUCCUAAGGCGGCCAAAGCCCCUAUAACUUGCAAUUGGAUUCCACCCACCGUAACCAAAAGCAAACUUGCCGAGUUUGUGAAGUCUGGCCAUCUGCCAAAGAAGGAGGCCAUGUCUUAUCGUGCCCCUAACCCGUCUGAGGAGAUACCUCAACCCAAGGAUGGGGAGGUAAUAGUCUUUACAGAUCAUAUGAACCGGGGAUUUGCCCCUCCCGGCUCAAAAUUCUUCAGGGAAGUUUUGGAUUUCUUUGACCUGAAGCCUCAGGACAUUGGACCCAAUUCCGUGCCAAAUCUGUGUAAUUUCCAAGUCUUCUGCGAGGUAUACUUAGGAGAAGAACCAAGUCUGCUGCUGUUCAGAGAGCUUUUUUACUUGAACCGGCAGAAUGAACGUGCCAACGGGCCUAGCCUUGAGCUUGGGGGCAUCUCAAUCCUGCAGCGGAGAGAUUGCCUUCUAGAUCCAGUUACCGUACGAUGUUCAUCCAAUAGCCGUUGUGCUUCUUCAACCACUGGUCUUCUUGCUCCAGCCGCCCAAACCAGCACUGGUCGUGUCGCGUGCUCCUGCCUCCUGUGGCCGGCUGUGAUGCCGCAGACGCCUCACCGCCCCCUACUACUCCUAUUGCUGGCGAGGCCAUCCCUCUACUCACCCGCACCCCCUGUUAUUCUGCAGCGACACUAGCCCCACAGCGCAACCGAGCCAGUGAACUCUCGUACUCUCUCCACGUGGGCAUCCACUUUCGAGUCUUCCCCUGCUUCGGGUCGUCCCCUUCCUAGGCCUCGCCAUCGUCCACCGCCUUGGUACUCUCGGCGCGGCGUGGUCAAUGUGGUCAACGACCGACUUCCAUCGGAAGAGUACUGUGGAGAGGCUGACAGCUGGGUCCAUGGCCGCAGCAAGGAAGUGCCUCCUUAUUACACGGAAAAUAAUGAUUCCUCCACCUGACAGUAGGGACCCACUGGAUGGGUAACUGUAUUUCGUGAAAAAAACAUUUCUCCCCUGACUGCUGGGACCUACAAACUACAUCUUCGCACGCAAGGAAGUGCGUCCAUAUUACGAGCAAAAAAAUGAUUCGCCCCCUGACUGCUGGGACCCACCAGCUACAUCUUUGCACGUAAAGAAGUGCCUGACAGUCGGGACCCACCUGGUCGAAGCAAACAUAGCAUUGUCAUUCUGGUCGCGAACGUGUACGUACAUAGUGGUUGAUGUAGAGGCGCGCACAUGUCGAAGUAGUGGCGAGCCCGUAGCAUGUACACGUACGUAUAGCGGCCAGGGUGCAAGAAAGUAAAUACGGCCACAUACGUACAUAUGGGCGGGGACUCGAACGCCUACGCGCGCAUACGUACGGCCAGGGCUCAUGUACAUGGCUGGGUUGGAAUGGAGAAGCUGCAUCGUCGUCGUGUUCAUGGGGAGCCAACCGGCUGGGUCGGAACGGAAUGUGUCAUUGUGUUCAUCGGGAGGGCUUGGACGGAAUAGCCGAUGGAAACGAGGCCUGGCGUACCGCAUAACAGAGGAAACAUCCUUGUGUUCGACCGGCCACGGUUGAAACGGGAUCCUGUUCAUCGGAAGGGGUCUGGCGUACCGCAAAACAGAGGAAACGGACUUCUGUUGCACCUCCUACGAUCGAAACGGGGUCCUGUUGAUCGGGAGGGGUGUGGCAUACUGCAAAACGGAGGAAACAGACUUGUGUUGGAGCGCUAUGGUCAAAACGAGGGUCCUGUUCAUUGGGAGGGGUGUGGCGUACCACAAAACGUGACUCCACAGGAUACUGUUAAUCUCCACCGUCAACCUCCUCCAGCCUCCAUGGGCUAUUGUUCAUCCACCGUCGACCUCCUCCAGCCUCCACCUGCGACUGUUCAUCCACGGGCUCCUGUUCAUCCAGCCUCCAUCGCAUGCUACUCCACCUGCUACUGUUGAACUAUCCCUCUCCACGGGCUACUGUUUAACAACCCCUCUGUCGGUGUCAAAACUGGGGGAUCUCGGGUAGGGGGUCCCGAACUGUGCAUCUAGGCGGAUGGUAACAGGAGACAAGGGACACGAUGUUUUUACCCAGGUUCAGACCCUCUCGGUGGAGGUAAAACCCUACUCCUGCUUGAUUGAUAUUGAUGAUAUGGGUAGUACAAGAGUGGAUCUACCACGAGAUCAAGGAGGCUAAACCCUAGAAGCUAGCCUAUGGUAUGAUUGUUGUAAUGGUUGUGUGUACUACGGACUAAAAGCCUUCGGUUUAUAUAGACACCGGAGAGGGCUAGGGUUACACAGAGUCGGUUACAAUGGUAGGAGAUCUACAUAUCCGUAUCGCCAAGCUUGCCUUCCAUGCCAAGGAAAGUCCCAUCCCGACACGGGACGAAGUCUUCAAUCUUGUAUCUUCAUAGUCUUGGAGUCCGGCCGAUGAUGAUAGUCCGGCUAUCCGGACACCCCCUAGUCCAGGACUCCCUCAGUAGCUCCUGAACCAGGCUUCAAUGACGAUGAGUCCGGCGCACAUAUUGUUCGGCAUUGCAAGGCGGGUUCCUCCUCCGAAUAAUUCAUAGAAGAUCGUGAACACCAGGAUAGUGUCCGGCUCUACAAAAUAAAUUCCACAUUCCACCGCAGAGAGAAUAAUAUGUACACAAGUUCAAUCUGCUGACGUAGUUUGUGUCAUGAUGUCAUUCCACUACCAAGCCUUUACUUGAAUCGUUUUUUAUUAUACCACCUCAGCGCAUUUAGCGAAGCGGUUUCCUUGGCACGUCUUGUCAAAGCAGAGAUCGUGUUCCCCUUAUUUCGGGAUUCCCAUCAAUACGGACGUGGGUAUCCCAACCGCGCCAUUGAUGGUGGCGCUUGGGAGAUAAGUGAGUUUUACCAGGCCGGUGGGGAUGCAUAGUCUUCGUCCGCCCAUAUAUAAGGGGAUAAGGAUCCACCUUUUUUACCUACGCCUCUUCCUCCUUUGCUUAUCCAUCCCCGCAUACUCGAGCUCUAGCGCCCAAGUCCGCACAUCUCGUCUCAACCUUCUCCAGCCAUGUCCGGAGCGGGAGGCAAGUGGAUGACCUCCUCCGUUACGGAGGAGCACAUCGAGAAGCUGCGCGGCGCCGGAUACCUGUCCAGCGACAUCGCGCACUGGCUGCCCAACAAGGGGCAGCUCAUCCCCACCCCCAGGCCCCAUGAGAGGGUCGUAUUCCUUCCCCACUUCCUCCGCGGACUAGGCUUCCCACUUCAUCCCUUUGUCCAGGAGCUCAUGUACUACUACGACCUGGACUUCCACAAUCUGGCGCCAAACUUCAUCCUCAACAUCUCGGCGUUUAUCGUCGUGUGUGAGGCCUUCCUCUGCAUCCAGCCCCACUUCGGCUUGUGGCUAAAAACCUUCAAUGUCAAGCUGAAGGUAGUGAAGGUCGUCCAAGCGGAGUGCGGAGGCGCCAUGGUGGGCAAAAUGCCCAACGUCCUCUGGCUCGAGGGCGCCUUUGUGGAAACCAUCAAGGGGUGGCAAUCGGGGAGGUUCUAUAUCACCGAGUCGCGUGACCCUAAAUGUGCUACGGCCCCCAAGUUCAGAUCUGGUUCCCCCACGCAGCUUACCUCCUGGAAAGAGAAGGGCUUGCUAUGGGGCAGUUCGGAGGAGCUGACCGGACUCCAGUCCUGUCUCCAGACCUUGGUGAACAAGAAGCUCAAGCUUGUCAACGUGAUCCAGGUCAUGCUCGUCCGCCGGAUUCUCCCCUGCCAACAACGGGCCUUCAACCUGUGGGAGUUCGUUCCGGCACAGCACCGGGCCCUGAGCGGGCUCUUCGACACGACGUACAAAGCUGCCUGGAGGGUGCUGUUCAAGGGCGGAGAAGCCCCCGCGUCCGCGACUGAAGAUCGCGGAUUCAGCACCAAGCGCCCGGCCGGUGUGGUAAGAUGUGUUAUCCUUUAUGGGACAUUUAUUUCUUUCAUAGUUUGACUCUAUGUGGGAUCUAAAAUUCCCAAUGCCUUUAACAGGACUGGCAGAGGACGUUCGGACAGGUUAACUGUCCGGCUCCCCUCCCCGAAGAACCAGCGGACGCCCGUUUAACGGGGCUGCUAGUCCCGGCACUUUAUGUGGUGCCGGAGAAGAAGGCCAAGAAGAAGGCCACGGGAACCCGAAGGAGUUCCCGGCGCCUGGUGGUAUCAGACUCAUCGUUCGAUGGCUCCGAGGCGGACUCCUCCCCUAAAGACGAGGAGGAGAAGGAUGACUCUCCCAGGAGGGGGGAGAGAGGAAGAGGAAGGCUUCCCCAACGGGGGAGGCCGAAGGGUCCAAGAGGGGAAGGACCCUUCCUCCGGACAGUUUCGCCAACGCCGACAUCGGCGACGAAGGGUGGCCCUCAAGGGCCAAGCCUCUGGCAAGAUCGUAAGUAUCCGGAUUCCUGAAUGAUUUAUAAUUUCUCUUUUGUGCCACAUAGUGUCCUUCUAAUGCCGCACACUACCUGUAGUCCGGCCGAGGAUGAUCUUCCUGCUUCAUCAAGUGGGUCCUUGGCUCCAUCGGAUGUCGAUUCCAUUCCGACCGCCUCCACCCCUCGCGAUGCUGAGGACGCCAAGGUGGGAUCCCAGGAGGGGACCCGCCAGGAGGAGGCUCCAGAGGUGCCGCGAGGAAACCUCCCGGACUUCGUGCCGGACUCCACGCCGGAACCCGCAGUGGUUCCGGAGUCCAGCAGGCGGCCCCUUCGUAAGAAGGGAAAGACCGUGACGCCGACAGACUCCGUCCAACCGGAGGCGCCGGACAACUUGUUGGAGGCGCUCAACGGCGCUUCCAUCGAGGAAGAACACCGCACUAUCAUGAGUGCGGUGAUUCAGAAGGUUCAGCUCGCUAAGAGCGGGCUAACCGAAGCCUGCAGCAGCCUUCUAACAGGCUUUGAGGUAAGAAGUUUUAAAAUAUGCAAUGUAAUACCGCAUAGACAGUAGCCCCUGAUGCUCGGUUCGGUGUUCGGAAAGAAAAGCCGGACAGAGGAUCUAAAAAGAUAUACGCAGGAGUUCUAAAAAUUAUGUCAAUAUGGGAUUGCAGGCUGCACUGUUGACCUCUGCCGCACUGACUGCGGAGGUCGGUGCUUUGAAGCAGGACCUCGAGCGGUCCGAGCAUGAGCUCGGCCUUGCCAAGAAGCAGCUCGAGGACAAAGAAGGUGAGUAACACCGCAUUAAAUUUGUACCUUACAGAAAAGGAUUUUGGUUGCAAUAGAAAUAACAAGGAUAAGGUGGGUACUGCAGGGGCCACGAAUGAGGUGGCGACCCUGAAGGAGGCCAUGUCCAUGGCCGAACAUAGCGCGGCCGCGGAACAAGCGGAGCGAGAGAAGCGGGAGGCAUGGGUGGCGGAGGUGCGGCAAGAGCUCCAGGCUCUCAUGGAAAAGCAUGAGAGUUUGGAGCGCGACUCGAAGACUCGAGAGUCCGAGCUUGCCUCGGCUCUUGAGAGUGCCAAAGCCGCUAAGGCCGAGGCCCAUAAGGCCCUCCGGCAGAUAGAGGCGGUGAAGAAAAUAGCGGUGGGUAAGGCAUUUUUCAUGCAAAGCAAGCAUCUGAAUGUGAAUUACCUGUUACUUACCCGAAUUCGGAGCUCUCCAGGAGCGAUUGCAAAUCUGCCUUGCAGCGUGUCUGAUGCCGCCGCAUUCUACCGGGCCAAGGAGGGGAGCUCAACGGAGAAGGUCUUCUGGUCACAGUAUGCUGAGGCCGGACAUCCGGUGCCCCUUAGCGACCAGCUGAAGCAGCUGGUCGAGCUCCACAAGGUAGCCGAGCAGGCCAUGAAGGGCCUCAUAGUCCGGCUGUGGCCUGGAGAGGCCAUGCCUGGGAGCUACUUCGGCCUCGUGCGGCGGCUGGUGGAUGCGUGCCCUUGGGUGGAGGUCAUCAAGCGCUCCGCCUGCAUUGAAGGUGCCCGUCGGGCCCUUGCCCGCGCAAAGGUGCACUGUUGCAGGCUGGAUGCUGAGAGGCUUUUGACAGACGCGCCGUCGGCGGGCAAGGAGUAUCGUAUGCCCGACAUGUACUAUAAGAGUGUCCUGAAGGGUGCCCGCAAGAUUGCGGAUGAGUGCCCCAGAGAUGUAAUUUUUGAGUAGACUCGCAAUGUGUUAUCCUGUGCGCUGAAAACUUUGUUCAUAUGCGCUAAGCAACACUUAUUCAUUUAAAAUAUUACCUUCUUUGCGGCCGUUUAUCAAAUCUGAGAGAUGGUAAGUCGUCGGCUUCAGCCCCCAAGCCACGAGUGCUAGGGUGUUCGGGAUAAACUUGAGCGCUCUUGUUCCCAUUUUUGGGUCCAUCUAGGGAGGUGCUCAACACAACGAACAAGGCAACCGGACAUAUAAUGCUUGAACACUCUCACUUAGCCAUAGAAUUCUAUAAUUUCAAAUUUCGGCGAAGCCCCUAGUGUUCGGAAGACCGAAUUCGAGGCGCUAUCCACGCCUGGGCCGGACAUAGCCGGUUCCUCGCUCUAAGCGGCAUAAGUCUUUAGGGACUCGAAAAGACCUCUCGAACAGCGACCAGCUCUCGCCUUAUCAUGACGGUCAGUUUUAGCUUUCUCCACUGAGGCGCUCGCCUAGCUCAACCGGGGCGCAAUCGCAGUGGUUCUCCCAGUGCUACCUUAGCCGAUAGAACGGAACGUAAGGUACCAAAACAUGGGAGCCGGGCAAACCCAACUAUUGACCCAAGACAUGAUUCGGAGCCAAUGAAUAUAAUUGUAUAACUUCGGGGUGCCGCACUUGUGAAAGUGUUCGGACUUCUCACACCAUAAUGCGGGGAACAUAAGCCCCUGGUGUAUUCGGCCGUACCAAAGUGUACGGAUGCAAGAUGUCGUAAAUGAACAUAAAAAAAGGAAUGCAAUUAUAAACAAAAAGUGAUGCAUUGUUUUUUCAAGGAAUUCUGCUAUGAGUGCAGAACGAUACAAAUAGUGCGGUAAGCAAGGGUUUGGACUAUUAGACAUGUCCCCCUCUAGGGGUAGGCUGCGGAAUGGUGUAUUAAACAGAUUUAAUGCUCAUAAUGGAGACCACCUGAGUGUUCGUCGUAGCCAUUGUCCCUCCUUGGCUGUUGCAUCGUGAGCUCGGCCGAUUCUCCGCCGGACAGGGUCUCUGGUGAGUGGAGCCCUGUGGAUAAGAUAAAAAAGGAAAAGAAAAAGAGCGACAUGCUUGGGAGCCCCUGGUGUGGUUGAGCCGCACUCUGGGCCUGUCGUGGUCGCGCCCCUCCCCCUAUGCCCAAGGUAUCUCCAGAGCGUAAUGAUGUACACGGAGGGCUAGCCUUGUAAUCAUGCCAGGGCUGGGGUUGGGGACGCAUUGCUACGCGUGCUCGGAACGUGCCAGGUGGUCUUGACGUAUGUUGCUCCGGGCGCGUUUGGCCAUGUUCGGUCGUUUAACGGCCGGACUCGAAAGUUGCCUUAAGAGGCUGCUCUGUACUUCUGCCGCGAGAGCCGCUGUGUGUUCCUCCGUUCGGAGGGAGUGUUCAUUGUUUCCAUUGACCGUGAUGACUCCACGAGGGCCUGGCAUCUUGAGCUUGAGGUAUGCGUAAUGCGGCACCACGUUGAACUUUGCAAACGCGGUUCGUUCGAGCAGGGCGUGAUAGCCACUGCGGAACGAGACUAUGUCGAAGAUUAACUCCUCGCUUUGGAAAUUAUCCGGGGAUCCGAAGACCACUUCCAGUGUGACCGAGCCUGUGCAAUUGGCCUGGACACCUGGUAUGACGCCUUUGAAGGUUGUCUUUGUAGGUUUAAUCCUUGAGGGGUCUAUGCCCAUCUUGCACACUGUAUCCUGAUAAAGCAGGUUCAGGCUGCUGCCAGCAAGUGGUCCCUUCGAUCGAAAGUGAUCGAGCAAGGGGACCAUGGAUUGAACUUCGGGGUGACUGGCUCCAUCGCAUAUACGUCCCGAAGUGCACGCUUCCGCUCCCUCUUGGGUAUGUGGGUUGCGUAUAUCAUAUUUACCAUCCGCACUUGUUGGGGGAAACCCUUCUGUCCUCUACUGUUCGGCGGCCGGGUCUCCUCCUCGUCAUCGCUAUGCAGCCCCUUGUCAUUGUUUUCGGCAAUGAACUUGCCUGCCUGCUUGAUACCCAACAAUCCCUGUUGGUGUGGUUAGCUGGCUUUUCGGGGGUGCCAUGUCUCUGGCAAGAGCGGUCGAGUAUUCAGUCCAAAUUGGACGGACCCGGAGUGGUUCUUUCGAAUGGCUUCUUCUGCUGACCGGGUUUAGAGACUCUGAAUCCGGCGUUGACUGACGUAUCCUCAGUGUUAUCGCCAUUUACGCGGCGUUUGUUUUUGUUGCGAUGCGACCUGCCAUUGCGGUCCUUGCUGUCCGGACUACCAGAAUUUUUGCUGAGGUUGUUACUGCAAGUUAGCCAGCUGUCCUCUCCUGCAUAGAAGCGGGUCAUGAGUGGUGUGAGGGCUGCCAUGGAUUUCGGCUUUUCCUGUCCUAGGUGCCGGGCCAGCCACUCGUCGCGGAUGUUAUGUUUGAAGGCUGCGAGGGCCUCUGCAUCCGGACAGUCGAUGAUUUGAUUUUUCUUUGUUAAGAACCGUGUCCAGAACUGUCUGGCCGAUUCGUCUGGAUGCUGGAUUAUGUGGCUUAGGUCAUCGGCGUCUGGUGGUCGCACAUAUGUGCCCUGGAAGUUGUCAAGAAAUGCGGCUUCCAGGUCCUCCCAACACCCAAUUGACUUUGCUGGCAAGCUGUUAAGAAAAUGCCGAGCUGGUCCUUUAAGCUUGAGUGGAAGAUACUUGAUGGCGUGGAGAUCGUCACCGCGGGCCAUAUGGAUAUGAAGGAGAUAAUCUUCGAUCCAAACCGCGGGGUCUGUUGUGCCAUCGUAGGAUUCAAUGUUCACGGGUUUAAACCCUUCAGGGAUUUGAUGAUCCAUUACUUCAUCCGUGAAGCAUAGUGGGUGUGCGGCGCCUCUAUAUUGAGCAAUAUCACGACGUAGCUCAAGAGAGUUUUGUCUGCUGUGUUCGGCCCGGCCGGAGUUGCUGUAUCCGGCGCGACGGUAGUCGUCGUGGGUCGUGGGGUGCCUGCGUGAUCCGUAGAUAGAUCUUGAUUGUCUUUCCCUAUCCUCCAAUAUAUCCCGUAAGUCCGGCGCAUUCCCCCGUGGCUACGCGCUUUUCGAGCGGUGCCGGGGUAUGGUUCUGGCGAAGGGCCUGGAUGCCUCUCUGUCGCGGCCACGAGGUGGUCGAUCUGCCGUAUUGUGCGCUGAUGAUGAAGGUUUGUAUGCUUCCUCCUCCAGUCGGGGGAGUAACUUGCGUUUUGGGUAGCUUUUGGAGGGGCGUUCGAGUUCAUACUCUUCGGCCGUGAGGACCUCGGUCCAUCUGUCAGCCAGCAGAUCUUGAUCAGCUUGAAGCUGCGGCUGCUUUUCUUUAGGCUGUUCGGCGUGGCCAUUAGCCUGUGUUUAAAACGCUCUUGUUCGACGGGAUCCUCAGGCACGACGCAUUCGUCGUCAUUGAGGCUUGCCUCGUCUCCGGAGGGAGGCAUGUAAUUUUCAUCCUCCUCGUCUGCCGCUCUCUCCUGAGGGCUGGCUUCUCCGUCCUCCUGUGCUGAAUCUUGCUGGAGGGGGUUGUCUUCGACACUCUCUGGGGUUUUGUUAUCUCCGGUGCCGGAAUCUCCAUUCUUGCUGUGGCGGGAUUUAGAGCGGCGCCGCUGACGUCGGCGCUUGGGCUGUUUCUUAGAGGAAUCUGCAUCUGCUGCUUCUUCGCCGUCCCCAUCCUUUGGGGUGUCCACCAUGUAUAUGUCGUAUGACGAGGUGGUCUUCCAGUGCCCCGUAGGCGCUGGUUCUUGAUCGUCUCCGGCAUCGUCGUCGAUAUCGUCGAUGUCUUCGGAGUCGUAGUCUAGCAUGUCGGUUAGAUCGUCGACAGUGGCUACAAAGUGGGUGGUGGGUGGGCUUUGAAUUUCUUCGUCGUUCACAUCCCAACCAUCCUGACUGCAAUCCGGCCAGGGCUCUCCUGAUAACGAGAGAUACUUUAGUGAAUUCAGGAUGUCACCGAAGGGUGAGUGCUGAAAGAUGUCCGCAGCGGUGAACUCCAUGAUCGGCGCCCAAUCGGAUCCGAUUGGCAGGGGCGCCGGAGGUUCGUAGUCCGGCAAGGAGUCCGGCACCUCGGAGUCACAAGCUUUGCAAGGGACAAGGUCUGUAUUCGGCUCCAUCGCCGUGGAAGUUGCAGCCCCCGAGGCAGUGUCCAGCCACCUAUCCUCGAUCUGCGCGGUCGGCUCCAAACUAUGGGUCAGAGCGGACUCGUGUGCGGCCUCCAGGGUACUGUCCAGCGGCAGAGUUAAGUCAUGCCCAUCGUGACAGUGCAGCACGCUCGGUUGUGGCUCGAAUCCCUCGAAGAUCAAGUCUCCGUGGAUAUCAGCCGUGAAGUUUAGGCUUCCAAAUCUGAUCUGAUGGCCAGGGGCGUAGCUUUCGAUCUGCUCCAGAUGGCCAAGUGAAUUGGCCCGCAAUGCAAAGCUGCCGAACACGAAGAUCUGUCCGGGGAGAAAAGUCUCACCCUGGACGGCGUUGUUGAUUGAAGAAGCCGUCAAGCCUAUUGGUGACGACACAGAGGAACUCUCAAUGAAAGCACCAAUGUCGGUGUCAAAACUGGCGGAUCUCGGGUAGGGGGUCCCGAACUGUGCGUCUAGGCGGAUGGUAACAAGAGACAAGGGACACGAUGUUUUUACCCAGGUUCGGGCCCUCUCGAUGGAGGUAAAACCCUACUCCUGCUUGAUUGAUAUUGAUGAUAUGGGUAGUACAAGAGUGGAUCUACCACGAGAUCAAGGAGGCUAAACCCUAGAAGCUAGCCUAUGGUAUGAUUGUUGUAAUGGUUGUGUGUCCUACGGACUAAAACCCUCCGGUUUAUAUAGACACUAGAGAGGGCUAGGGUUACACAGAGUCGGUUACAAUGGUAGGAUAUCUACAUAUCCGUAUCGCCAAGCUUGCCUUCCACGCCAAGGAAAGUCCCAUCCGGACACGGGACGAAGUCUUCAAUCUUGUAUCUUCAUAGUCUUGGAGUCCGGCCGAUGAUGAUAGCCCGGCUAUCCGGACACCCCCUAGUCCAGGACUCCCUCACCCUCCAUGGGUUACUGUUCAUCCAGCCCUCCAUCGGCUACUAUUCAACCAGCCCUCCACGGGGUCGUCCUAUUCAUCCAACCCUCCACGAGGUACUAUUCAUCCAGCCCCAACCGGCUCGAUCGGGGUCCUUUUCAUCCAGAGGCAACACCACGGGGUCCUAUUCAUCCACCCCCACUGGGAAUUGUUCAUCCAAACCCCCCAGCAACGCUCAUUGUUUAUCCAUAGGCAACAUCGAUCGACUUCAGUUAGCAGCAGUAGCGAAGGCAUCACUCGAUUGCUCGGGUUCAGUAACGCGUAGCCUGAAGUGCAAUCUCUCGGGUUAAGUUAGGCGACGCCUCACUCGGGUUCAGUUAGAGCCCAAUGCCUCGCAUACUACGCGCGUACGUGUACGAGAGAAACGCGCAUCGCUCGGCCCCCGACCACCCACCGUAACCGGGAAAUCCUCGAAAUUUUCCUCGCCCUCGCUUCUACCAUGGUUUUUUCCGUCAUAGACCGCCCAAAGAAUGUCAUGCAGCUGCGACUCUGGCCCGCCCAGGACAGAAAGCCCAUUUUCUAUCAUGAUUGUUUGUCAUAGAAGUAGGAGCCCACCACAUCUAUGAUGAUACCGGGUUUUGUAAAAAUUAUCGUCAUAGAAGUGUUAUAAAUAUGACAAAAAAUAUUUGGUUCGGCCCAAAAUGUCACGGAUGUGUCUUUUUUUGUAGUGUUGUCUUCCUCCUGAUCAGACUCUUUGUCCUUUUCACUGGGCAGGCUCUCUCGGAAGCUCUGAAUCAGGAGUUGACACUGUCGAGUGGUAUGCUUGGGAAGAAUCAGAUUCCCCUCUUCAUCCUUUUUGGUGUGUAUGUGACACAGUAAAUCAAGCACAUCAUUUCCCGCUUGAUCUUUCACUUUUCAGGGGUCCAAGGCCCGUUAGGCUUCCCUUUGAACUUCCCUUUAUUCAAAAUUGUUGCCACGGUAGGGCCUGCAGCCCUAGCUUUUCGUUUCUGCUUCCGACUGGAGUUUCCUCCUCAAGUGUCCUGGGUGCCUGAUCUGUUCUUGCCGCUCCGGAGUCGGUCCUCUUCUUUGCCGUUAGCGUACCGAGUGGCAAUCUCCAUCAUCCGAGUCAGAGUCAUGUCUCCGGUCCGACUGAACUUCAGAUUAUGCUCUCUGUAGAGAACACCUUCUUUAAAGGCACAAACUGCUUGGUGGUCCGACACAUUCUCCCCCGUGUGGUGAAGAGUAGUCCAUCUCUGGAUAUAGUCUCUCAAAGUCUCAUUUUGUUUCUGAAGACAGUGCUGCAAUUCUGUCAAACCGGCAGGCCGCUUACAAGUGCCCUCAAAUGUUUUGGUGAACACCUAAGCUAACUGUUCCCAAUUGAAAAUGCUCCCAGGGGCCAACUGAUUGAACCAGGCUCUGACAGAACCUUCAAGCAUCAAAGGGAGGUGCUUCAUGGACACCUCAGCCGCCGCCAAUAUGCACAACCACCCAGUAAUCCUCCAAUCAAGUGUCAGGCUUUGACUCUCCGGUGAACUUACUGACGCCAGUGGCCAACCUGAAGUUGUGAGGGAUCUCGGCGGCUCGGAUGGCUCUUCCGAAGCACUCGGGGCCAGAAACGUGCACCCUGCUUCCACCGGAUCUAUCUCUAUCCAACCCUUCUCCAUAUGCUCUAUUCCGGUCGACCAAACCUUGUACACGGACUAACCUUGCGUCGAACCCAAGCUCUCUUGGGUCGACUAGAACUCUGCAUUCAUUACCAUACGGGCGCAUGUCAUCAUACCGCCGGGGCGCAUAUGACCCAUAGGCACUCGACGGUGGUUGUCAUGGGCAUACUCAUGAUCAAACUCUCCAUGAGCUCUUCCCAGGUGCCGAUCUCGACAGUGAUCACGAUCUUCAUGUCACAAAGGUGACCCAGGACUGUGUGCUGACUAAACAGUAUCUGCCCUUACUGACCUACUGUGGAUCCUGUUCCAUGACUGGGAAACAACGGAGUUUUGCUCUCCCACUGCUCGGAGCAGUGCUCGGAUCUGUUCCAAGCCUCUUCCAGCUUCUGAAUGAACAACUUAAUAGACUCUGCUCUACGUGCACCAGCUGUAAGAUUCUGGAUCGGAGUGCAGUAUACCUGGGGUUCAAGAGGAAACAACUGUCGUUGGCAUCGACUAGAUUCGGGAAUCAGUCGACGGGCACGUUCGUCAAGAGAAUGUUGGAGGUUCUCCAGACGUGUGCACUCAGCCAACAUGACCAGGCGCAUAGGCUUCAAGGCCCGAGCCUCGGCGAUUUCCCCCAUGAUGGGGGUCUGGAGUGCCUCCACGUUGCGGUGGUGCAACUCUUCCCUCUGCUGUGAAUAGAGAGGUUGGGGCUGAUACUCAUCAUGGUCGUAUGACGGGAAGUCACCAUCGCCAUUGCCGCUGUUGCGGUGAAAUUCGGGGGGGGGGGGCUGCGAUGGGAGUCGACCAUGAGAACUUCUGCCACGGGGCCACAGCUCCCGCACUCGGAAAAAGUAUCCGCAGUGCCAGUUGACGGGUCGACUGGACCGCAGUGAAAUUCAUCGGGCUCAAUCGCCGCGACUUGAGGGGUGGUCACCUGGCGAGCCAGUGCGUGCUUCACCCACCGUUGGAGCCGCGACCGACCAGAUUGCUUGCGGCGGCAUCCAGCAGAGUGAGCAGGCGAUGCGAAGACGAUCGAUACGAAGUCGAUGACUGUCAUAGGAGGACGCCAUAGGCACUCGCGCGAAAGUGCGAUGACCUACGGAUCGGAAGAGCCUCGACGUCAAGGGGGGCUUCUUGGAGCCAAGCAGAGUCGGCGGCGAUGAAACUAAGCAUGCCAAGUCGGAACUGGCGGCCCAUGACUAAACCGCCACCGGAAACCAUGUUGAUGAAGAUCGGAGGAAAUGCAACGUCGCCGGAAGUUGCCAAGACGCUUUGCCCCACUGUGGGCGCCGACUGUCAGGGUACUAAGUCUGACAGUAAGAGUAGGGGGUACGUAUGAGGAGACAAGGCCCUAGCUACAGCGAGUGACACGUCUCCAACGUAUCUAUAAUUUUUGAUUGUUCCAUGCUAUUAUAUUAUUUGUUUUGGAUAUUUAAUGGGCUUUAAUAUGCUCUUUUAUAUUAUUUUUGGGACAACCUAUUAAACGGAGGCCCAGUGCCAGUUUCUGUUUUUUUGCCUAUUUCAGUGUUUUACAGAAAAGGAAUAUCAAACAGAGUCCAAACGGAAUGAAACCUUCGCGGGGAUCUUUCUUGGACUAAAAGCAAUCCAGAGACUUGGAGUUGAAGUCAAGGACUCUACGAGGAGACCACGAGGCAGGAGGGCGUGCCCAGGGGGGCAGGCGCGCCCCUACCCUCGUGGGCCCCUCGUAGCUCCACCGACGCACUUCUUUCGCCUAUAAAUACUCUUAUACCUGUGAAACAUCAGGGGGAGCCACGAAACCACUUUUCCACCACCGCAACCUUCUGUACCCGUGAGAUCCCAUCUUGGGGCCUUUUUCGGCCAUCUUCCGGAGGGGGAAUCGAUCAUGGAGGGCUUCUACAUAAACACCAUUACCUCUCCGAUGAAGCGUGGGUAGUUUACCAUAAACCUUUGGGUCCAUAGUUAUUAUCUAUAUGGCUUCUUCUCUCGCUUUGAUUCUCAAUACCAUGUUCUCCUUGAUGUUCUUGGAGAUCAAUUCGAUGUAAUAUUCUUUUGCAGUGUGUUUGCCGAGAUCCGAUGAAUUGUGGAUUUAUGAACUUGAUUAUUUAUGAAUAUUAUUUUGUUCUUCUCUGAAUUCUUAUAUGCAUGAUUUGAUAUAUUUGCAAGUCUCUUCAAAUUACCAGUUUAGUUUGGCCUACUAGAUUGAUCUUUCUUGCAAUGGGAGAAGUGCUUAGCUUUGGGUACAAUCUUGUGGUGUCCUUUCCCAGUGACGGUAGGGGCAACAAGGCACUUAUUGUAUUGUUUCCAUCAAGGAUAAAAAGAUGGGGAUUAUAUCGUAUUGCUUGAGUUUAUCCCUCUACAUCAUGUCAUCUUGCUUAAUGCGUUACUCCAUUCUUAUGAACUUAAUACUCUAGAUGUAUGUUGGAUAGCGGUCGAUAUGUGAAGUAAUAGUAGUAGAUGAAGAAUCGUUUCAUUCUACUUGACACGGACGUGAUGCCUAUGUUCAUGAUCAUUUCCUUAGAUGUCUUCAUAAUUAUGUGCUCUUCUAUCAAUUGCUCGGCAGUAAUUUGUUCACCCACCGUAAUACGUGCUAUCCUGUGAGAAGCCACUAGUGAAACCUAUGGCCCCCCGGGUCUCUUUUCCAUUAUAUUGAAUCUAUUAUUUUCCUGUUAACUUGCCAAUUUCAGUCACCGUUACUUUUUAUUGCAAUCUUUACUUUCCAAUCUAUACAACAAAAAUACCAAAAAUAUUUACUUUACUAUCUCUAUCCGAUCUCACUUUUGUGAUUGGCCAUGAAGGGAUUGAAAACCCCUUUAUCGCGUUGGUUGCAAGGUUCUUGAUUGUUUGUGUGGGUACUAGGUGACUUGUGUGUCCUCUGCUAUUGGAUUGAUACCUUGGUUCUCAAAACUGAAGGAAAUACUUACGCUACUUCGCUGCAUUACCCUUUCCUCUUCAAGGGAAAACCAAUGCAUGCUCAAGAGGUAACAAGAAGGAUUUCUGACACCGUUGCUGGGGAGAUCUACGCCAAGUCAAGACAUACAAAGUACCCAUCAUAAUCUCUUUUGCCUUACAUUACAUUAUUUUCCAUUUGCCUCUCGUUUUCCUCUUCCCCACUUCUAAAAGGAUUUUCCAAAACCUUUGCCUUUCCUUUGCCCCCGUCUCUUUUUGCUUGCUUCUUGUGUGGUUGUGUGUUGGAUUGAUUGUUUGUAAUGAUGGCUCAAGACAAUACUAAAUUAUGUGACUUUUACAAUACCAACAACAAUGAUUUUAUUAGCACUCCGAUUGCUCCUUCUACCGAUGCUGAAUCUUGUGAAAUUAAUACCGCUUUGUUGAAUCUUGUUAUGAAAGAUCAAUUUUCUGGCCUUCCUAGUGAAGAUGCCGCAACCCAUCUAAACAACUUCGUUGAGUUGUGUGAUAUGCAAAAGAAGAAAGAUGUGGAUAAUGAUAUUGUUAAAUUGAAGCUAUUUCCGUUUUGGUUUAGACAUCAUGCUAAAACUUGGUUUUAUUCUUUGCCUAAAAAUAGUAUUGAUUCAUGGAAUAAGUGCAAAGAUGCUUUUAUAUCUAAGUAUUUUCCUUCCCCUAAGAUCAUCUCUCUUAGGAUUUAUAUUAUUAAUUUUAAGCAACUUGAUCAUGAGCAUGUUGCACAAGCUUGGGAGAGGAUGAAACUAAUGAUACGUAAUUGCCCCACACAUGGUUUGAAUUUGUGGAUGAUUAUACAAAAAAAUUAUGCUGCAUUGAAUUUUGCUUCUAGAAAUCUUUUAGAUUCGGCCGUGGGAGGCACUUUUAUGGAAAUCACUUUAGGAGAAGGUACUAAACUCCUAGAUAAUAUUAUGGUUUAUUAUUCUCAAGGGCACACCGAAAGAUCCACUAGUAAAAAAGUUCAUGCAAUUGAAGACAUUAAUGUUUUGAGUGGAAAGAUGGAUGAACUUAUGAAAUUGUUUGCUAAUAAAACUGUUUCUUCUGAUUCUAAUGAUAUGCCUUUGUCCACUUUAAUUGAUAAUAAUAAUGAAUCUAUGGAUGUGAACUAUUUUGUUGGUAGGAACAAUUUUGGUAACAGUGUGUAUAGAGGCAAUUUUAAUCCUAUGCCGUUUCCUAGUAAUUCCUCUAAUAAUUAUGGUAAUUCCUACAACAAAUCUUAUGGAAAUUUUUAAUAAGAUGCCCUCUGAUUUUGAAAAUAGUGUUAAAGAAUUUAUGAGUUCGCAAAAGAAUUUGACUGCUUUGCUUGAAGAAAAAUUGCUUAAGAUUAAUGAGUUGACUAGAAAAAUGGAUAGACUUUCUCUUGAUGUUGAUUCUUUGAAACUUAGAUCUAUUCCACCUAAGCAUGAUAUCAAUGAGUCUCUCAAAUAUAUGAGAAUUUCCAUUGAUGAGUGCAAAUAAAGAACCGCUAGGAUGCGUGAUAAAAAAGAUUGCUUUAUAUAAGCGUGUUCUUCUAGUUUUCAUGAUAAAAAUGAUCAUAAUCUAAAAGUGAUUGAUGUGACUCCUAUUAAAUAUUUGUUUUUAAAUAUAAAUCUUGAUAAAGAUGGGACUGGAGAUGAGUCAACUGUAGCUAAAAGGCUGUAACGCCCCGGAUGUAACUUUCCAUAACUGUAACUCCAAUUCUUGACUUUUCUAGAGAUGCGAUAUGAUAUUUCCUUCGUGGUUGGGUUUUUGUCUUUUGUUUUGCAUUUUGUUCAUGUCAUGCAUCUCAUAUCAUAGCAUCAUGCGCAUUGCAUCUGCAUGUUUUCAUAAAGCUUGCAUCCGCUCGUAGUUGCCGCGUUUCCCCCUUGCCUUUGUUAUCCCUUUCGAGACCAACCGUUCAUUUGUUGUCCGACCGUUUGAGCCUAUCUGCACAACCACCACCUCCCCUCGCGCGCGUCUGAAACUUCCCCAAACCCGAACCGCAUGCUCAUCACCGAUGGAUCCGGAUCAUCUCCAAACGUCCCUCUAAAACAUUAUCGGUUCUUUGUUGGACUCACCUAGUCUAUUUUUCUCAACCGCCCGAUUUCGAUCGGAGGGUCCGAAUCUACCCUAAACUCCCCCUCUUUCCUUAUAUAAGAGACUCCUAGUCUAAAUCUAGACAAACCCUAAAAUUAAGGACCCGUGUCCCAUCAAUCCUCCUCCCCGCCGCCACUCUCUCGGGAUCCAUCCCGCAGCCACCCGGUCUCGAUCCAUCUCUGGAUCCCCCUCCUCGUUUUCCUCCACCCACCAACCAGCGCUCUCCACUGCUCCUCCUCGAUUUGCUAGCUUCGAUCCCGAGCUCCUUCGCCACCCGUUGCCCCUUGCCAGAGCAACACCAGCAGGACCACGCGGCCUCCUCUGCCCUCUCCUCGAGCUGCCGCAAGCAGCACCACCACCAGGCCGGCCCCGUCGCGCCACCUCUCCCUUCUCUUCCUUCCUAUGGUUCCAAGUGAUCUAGUUUCUUCUUUCUAGAGUUAUUCAUCAUGUCACAUUUCUCGGUUUGAGAUGCUUCAUCUUUUCUUUUUCGGAGUUCCAAGUUUUCCGCAUUAUCGUCACGGAGCUCCAUCUAAAUCAUUGCAAGGCUUCACCUUAUGUUUUCAACUUCUCUUUCUUUUUAUGAUCCUUUUAUUACCGGAGUUCUAUGGAGGAUCUAAAUGGUUGUUCGUCAAGGAUUCCUUUCAUUCUUCAAGUGUUCUUCAAGUCUUCGCUCAAAGUUAUGACCAGCCAAGCUUUACUCAAAUAUAAACAUGGUGCCCAACAAAUGUUUUGUUUUGAGGAGUUCAAGCAUUCUUCGUCUUGCAUUCCAAAGUGCAAUUCUUUCUACCUUAUCUUUUGAGGUGGUGUUAUGUCACUCUUGACAAUUUCCUUCAUGUUUCACGAUUCAUAUGUUGUCAAGAAUGAGGUAUUUUAAAUCCAUCAAUCUCUUUGUUGGAGUUAUCUUGGUAUAGAUUUCACCUGAAGCCUUCCCUAAGGAAUGUUGCUAUUUGUGGUGCUUAUCAAUGAUCCAAGCUUUCUCCAUAUCCUUCUUGGUGAAAGAGGUUUUUCAUCUCUUCGUUGAUCUCAAGCAAGCAAUUGUUUUUCGUUAGUGGCAGAAUUUCACCUCAAGUGUUGAGAUGUUUCCAUAAGCCCACUACAAGCUUAUUCUUUUCGUUGUUGGUUUUCCAACAACUCCGUCGUAACCUUCUUGGAAGGGUGCUUUCCAAGCUCUUUCACUACAAGAAAUAUGUCAACUAGUGACCUUCUGUCAGUGACCCUGGAAGAAUUGGUCAUAGAUCUAUGACCAUUUGAGACCAAUUGGUCAAAAGCUGUUCGGGGGGCUCCAAACCCUAAACGAUUGCGACCAUUUUGGUCAAAAAGGUCAUAAUUUCCUUACACGAAAUGGUCACAAAUCAAACAGGGCUGGUCUGCUGCCUUAUUUCUAGUUGUUAACGACCAAUAUAGAUGGUUAUAGCCUUAUAGAUUGUGGUGGGUUGUGAUGACUAGGCGCCAUCUCAUCAGUUUUGCCUAUGUGUCAUGUCCAUGUGUCAAUUUUUGCCCUAGGUUGUGAAGCAACCUAUAUUUCUGUUACUCCAAAAAAUCCCAAAAAAUUCUCAUAAAUUGUUUGGAUCAUAUCUUCAUCAAAUUUGUCAAAAACCUUCCUUGCCUAGUUCAAAAAUAACUCAACAAUAUUCAUUUUCCUAUCCUGUUCAAAGCAGCACUUUGUGACGGAAGUACCACUUUGGCAUGUCCAAAUGGUAUCCAUUUUUUACAGUGCUUUCCUAUGCCCAAAUAACCAUCCUCCACCAAAGGCCAGCUCAAUCCAUUCAUUAUUUUGAGCCCAGCUUCAACAUUCGUAUUUAUGUCCAGUGUGGUACUUUGCAAAGCAAGUACCACCUAGGCUCCUCCUUUUGAGGUGAAAAUUUGUGAAGACGGUCUUCUUAGUAACUGAUCAUCCUUAGAGAAAACUCACGCCCAUUAGCCAUGUCCAUUUUCCAUACCGCAAAUCAAACACCUGGCUGCUUAUUCAUGUUUGAGCAUCGAUCGGUCUCCUCGUGAGAAUCUUAUGUUGUGAUUUUCUUCCUAGCACCUACCUGGGGAGUGCCCAACCCACUAGACAUGCCUAGGCCGCACAAAACACAUGGCAAUGCCACGGUCACGCGGUGACCACGCGGCGGGCAUGCGAGCUUACGCGCUCUAGAGUUGGGGCCCUCGGCCAUCGUCCAAACCUCGAUGUCUCGCCAUCAAACCAUGUAUUUCUGAUUAAAUAGAUACUUAUUUACCUAGAAAUGAUUUUUGGAAAAAAUAAAGAGCAAACUAUGAGGCAGCUGCAGUUUAAAUAUGACCCGCUUCCAACUGAAUCGACGGGAAUUUAUCUUCUUCACCAGAGGUGGAUCAAAACUUUUGACACCCAACCAUUUUGUCAAUUGUGCAUUAAAUAUGUCCUAGUAUUUUAUAAAAUUGAUUAGGUCCAAUUUUGUAACAAAUAUAUGGUAGGUCCUUCACAAAAAAAAACUCAUUUCGGGCACUCGGAAAAUGGAAAAUGAAUUUUCCGUGCAAAGAAAAUGAAAACUCCCUUAGGCAACAUUGUUUGGAAUUCCAAGAUGCACCCUUGUGCACAAUAUUAGAUCAUUUGAACAAACUAUGCCAUGAAUGUGGCCAUAAGAUUGAUCAUUUGGCUUGAAAGCCAUGAAUCUUCACACUUGAUAGCUCAUUUCUGAGAACACUUUUUUUAAAAUAAUUACCAUAUUACAAGUUUAUUAUUUUUCCUGGAAACUUGGUCACAUAUAAUGAUACAAUGCGAAGGUUUUCCAAUUUUUUGAUUUUAUUUUGAAUUUUUUAUGCCCGUUUCAAAAUACGGUCAAAACGGCGGGAAUGACCGUUCCUAGCUAGUGGUUGAAUCUUGGAAUUUUUUUUGGUGUUUCUCUUAUUAAAUAGAUACUUAUGUACCUAGAAAUGAUUUUUGGAAAAAAUAAAUAGCAAAGUACGAGGCAGCUGAAGUUCAAAUUUGACCCGCUUCCAACUGAAUCGACGGGAAUUUUUCUUUUUCACCAGAGGUGGAUAAAUUUUUUUGACACCCAACCAUUUGGUCAAUUGUACAUUAAAUAUGGCCUAGUAUUUUAGAAAAAUGAUUUGGUCCAAUUUUGCAACAAUUAUUUGGGAGGUCCUUCACAAAAAACCUCCUUUUGGGCACUCAAAAAAUGGAAAAUGGUUCUUUCAUCCAAAGAAAAAGAAAACUUCCUUAGCCAUUCCAAUAUGCACCCUUGUGCACAAUAUGAGAUCAUUUGAACAAACUAUGCCAUGAAUGUGGCCAUAAGAUUGAUCAUUUGGCUUGAAAGCCAUUGAUCUCCACACGUGAUAGCUCGUUUCUGAGAACACUUUUUUAAAAUAAUUACCAUAUUACAAGUUUAUUAUUUUUCCAGGGAACUUGGCCACAUAUAAUGACACAAUGCGAAGGUUUUCCAAUUUUUUGAUUUUUUUUGAAUUUUUUAUGCCCAUUUCAAAAUGUGGUCAAAACGACGGGAAUGACCGUUCCUAGCUAGUGGUUGAAUCUUGGAUUUUUUUGGUGUUUCUCUGAUUAAAUAGAUACUUAUGUACCUAGAAAUGAUUUUUGGAAAAAAUAAAGAGCAAACUACAAGGCAGCUGCAGUCGAAAUUUGACCCGCUUCCAACUGAAUCGGCGGGAAUUUGUCUUUUUCACCAGAGGUGGAUAAAAACUUUUUACACCCAACCAUUUGGUCAAUUGUGCAUUAUAUAUGGCCUAGUAAUUUAGAAAAAUGAUUAGGUCCAAUUUUGCAACAAAUAUAUGGUAGGUCCUUCACAAAAAAACACAUUUUGGGCACUCGAAAAAAUGGAAAAUGAAUUUUUCGUCCAAAGAAAAUGAAAAGUUCCUUAGGCAACAUUGUUUGGAAUUCUAAGAUGCACCCUUGUGCAUGAUAUGAGAUCAUUUGAACAAACUAUGCCAUGAAUGUGGCCAUAAGAUCAAUCAUUUGGCUUGAAAGCCAUGAAUCUUCACGCAUGAUAGCUCAUUUUUGAGAACACUUUUUUAAAAUAAUUGUCUUAUUACAAGUUUAUUAUUUUUCCUGGAAACUUGGUCACAUAUAAUGAAACAAUGAGAAGGUUUCCCAAUUUUUUGAUUUUUUUGAUUUUUUUAUGCUUGUUUCAAAAUGCGGUCAAAACGUCGGGCUUGACCGUUGCUAGCUAGGGGUUGAAUAUUGGAAAACUUUCGAUGUUUCUCUGAUUAAGUAGAUACUUAUGUACCUAGAAAUGAUUUUUUGAAAAAAUAAAGAGCAAACUAUGAGGUAGCUGCAGCUCAAAUUUGGCCCGCUUCCAACUGAAUCGACGAAAAUUUGUCUUUUUCACCACAGGUGGAUAAAAACUUUUUACACCUAGCCAUUUGGUCAAUUGUGAAUUAAAUAUGGCCUAGUAUUUUAGAAAAAUGAUUUGGUCCAAUUUUGCAAUAAUUAUUUGGUAGGUUCUUCACAAAAAAACCUCAUUUGGGGCACUCGAAAAAUAAAAAAUUAAUUUUCCAUGCAAAGAAAAUGAAAACUCUCUUAGACAACAUUGUUUGGAAUUCCAAGAUGCACCUCGUGCAAAUAUUUGAUAGCUUCUUCACAAAAAAAAUUCAUUUUGGACACUCAAAACAUAAAAAUUAAAAUGCUGACAUGAUUUUACACUUUAUUUUUAUUUGACCACGACCAAUUUUGAAUGGUCAUAACGUCCAAUAAUAAAUGGUCAUAAUGUUAUACACGUGUACUGUGUUCUGAUUGGGCCAUAGACAUCUCACGCGGAUCAUGCGUCAAGCACCUAUGGAUGCUCGUGGAUCCAACGGUAGCCCUCGCACCCCCACCCUCUCACCCACCUAGCCCUAACACAACCCCCCACGCCCCCAGUUCCCCACCUUCUCCACCUUCUCUCCCUCUCUCCCUUCUGGAUCCACCGUCGCCGCACAACACUCCUCCUUCUGGAUCCCCCCAUCUCCACACCGCCGCGGCCCCCCUCUCGAUCCACUCCUCUCCGUGCCCACCACCCCCUUCCUNNNNNNNNNNNNNNNNNNNNNNNNNNNNNNNNNNNNNNNNNNNNNNNNNNNNNNNNNNNNNNNNNNNNNNNNNNNNNNNNNNNNNNNNNNNNNNNNNNNNNNNNNNNNNNNNNNNNNNNNNNNNNNNNNNNNNNNNNNNNNNNNNNNNNNNNNNNNNNNNNNNNNNNNNNNNNNNNNNNNNNNNNNNNNNNNNNNNNNNNNNNNNNNNNNNNNNNNNNNNNNNNNNNNNNNNNNNNNNNNNNNNNNNNNNNNNNNNNNNNNNNNNNNNNNNNNNNNNNNNNNNNNNNNNNNNNNNNNNNNNNNNNNNNNNNNNNNNNNNNNNNNNNNNNNNNNNNNNNNNNNNNNNNNNNNNNNNNNNNNNNNNNNNNNNNNNNNNNNNNNNNNNNNNNNNNNNNNNNNNNNNNNNNNNNNNNNNNNNNNNNNNNNNNNNNNNNNNNNNNNNNNNNNNNCUUCCUCCUCACCCACCGCCCCGACCUCCGCUCCGCGCCGCUCCGGGAUCCAUCCACCGACCCAGGAUGUCAUCACCCUAGGGUUCCGGCGCAUGCACCUCGCCCCCUGCCUCUCCACCCACACGGCCAUGCCCUACCUCUCCUUCGUCGCAGACCUAGACCUCGACAACUUCGUCGCAUCCCUGCCGCAGCCCCACGGCUCCUCGUCGUCCUCAUCUUCCUCCUCUCCCUGUCUGUCGAUCCACCAAAUCAGCCGCCGCCGCCGGCGAGCUUGUCCCCCUCAAAUCUCUCGCCGCCGACGGCCUCUCCUUCUCUCCCAGGCUGCAGAUCGAGCCAACAAAGUCAGGUUGCGGCCAGAUCUGCCAGGCUCGGGACGGGAGAGACGGAGAGGGAGAGUGGUACGCCACCACCACGCCGUCGUCGAGCUCCAUCUGUCCAGCACCUCCGCCAUGGAGACGGAGACGAAGACAGAGCUCUUCUCCCCUCCCCAACCACGCAGCGCAGCGUAGCAUAGCGGCAGAGGACCCCUCCCUAGCGCCUAGGGUUUCGGUCCGCCCACACCGUCGUCGAGCUCUCUCCGGCGACCCUGCAGCAUCUCCGAUGACGCACAAGGUACGUACGCCCAUCCUCCUCCUGUAACCCUAGCCCCUCCCCUCCCCUCCCCUCCCCUCAUCCUCUUCUGGAUUUGUUGGUCUGACCCAUGCGGUUGGUUUGUGCAGGUCAUCACCAUGGAACGUGUGAAGGAAGAGCACCAUCCCCAUGGCCAUGGCCAUGGCCAUGGACAUGGAAGGCCCUUCCUUCCUUCCUUCCGUCCCUCUCUAUGUGGAGGCCAUGGUCAGGUCAAUCUCUUUCCCUUUUCUAAAUCUCUCCUCUGCCAUACUUUGCUAUUGCUGCUGCUGCUAUGAGAUCCAUAACAAAUAUCAAGGGGUUUGCAUAUUUUCUUAAUCUGAACCAUAACAAAUCCAUUGUUUGUGUGGUUUCCAUCCAUCUCAUAUCAUAUCCAUGUCUUUGUCUUCUGUCAAGGGAAGGCCGACCAGGCCGGGCCGACAGAGGAGGGUGGACUUGAUCAAGAAGUCGCUCUCGUGGUCCAAGGCGGCGCCGAUCACAGAGACGGCCAUCCGCGCUGCCGUUGGCGACAAUGUUGUAACUAGAAAGGCUGUGCGCUGGUGAGUAGGACACUUCCGCUAAUCCAACUAUCAUCUCUGAAGAUGUUCUGAAAUUUGUUGGCUGACUCUCUGUUUGGAAUUCGCAGGUUGCUGAAGGAGAAGAGAGGGUUGCGUCGUGCGGGCACUGGUGGCCGCUCGGAUCCGUAUGUGUACAUGGUACAUGAAAUCCAUGCCACACAGUUUGCGUUUGGAUGAUGAUUUGAUUUCUAAAAGUAGCUAAAUGUAAGCUCUGACUAAAUCAGUAUAACUGAGAGUCAGUGUCCAACUUCUAGAUGGAGUUAGGGAGUUGUUACUUAUUGGACUAGUAAUUUCCAGUUAUUCAGUAGAGAGUAAGUAGAAUCUGAAAGCAAUUGUUAAAUCUUAUUAAUUUAUCCUAGUUCCACUCACAGCCUCAGUCCUAUAAUUCUGGAAGCCAGUUGAAUCCCGAACACUGCACAUUUCAAAAAAUGCUUCCACACCACAUAAUUCCAUUCCUUGAUACAGAAAGUACAUCAAGUUCUGAUAUACAUCGAUCCUGCUUUCCUCGUACCAAUAAAGCAUGUCCAUAACUUUGGAUUAUAGCAAAAAAAUUGCUAAAAGAACAAAUGCCCAGUUAAAGCUCUGAAUGAACCGAUAGUUGAUCUGAUUUGCUUUUAAACUGUACCUGUGUACUAAACCCAGUUUCAGUUGGCCUUGUAUUUAUAUUUUUGUCUUGUUUGUCGUUUUGCUAGUCUCACUACAGUUAGCUCUAACAACCCAGUUCAGUAUUUCAAUUACGGAGUGGCCUGUCCUAUGCUGUGUCCUGCCACUCAAACGUAUUUUGGGGGCAUGAUCAAUCAUUUUAUCAUGAUUGAAAGAAUAGCCCAUAAUUUGCUUCUACUUUUAAGCUAAAAAAUGUUUGUGCAGUAAACAUUAUAUGCAAGAUUGUCACUGCCAUGCAUGCACAUUAUACAUUUGGUUCUUCUCUAUCUAUGCUUACAAGUCAGGUUGUUUUUGUGGCAUCCAGGGGCACAAUGCUGGUGCUAGUAGGCAAGCUAGCACCCAUGGAUUCGUGAACUGGCUUGGAUGUGUACUUGGUCGCCGGGGUUGGAUGAGGACGCGCCAACAAGGUGAGACCAUCACGAUCCACCCUCCUACUUCCUUCUCGUGAUUCCCUAACUGCUCAACAUGUUGAUCUGUUCUGAACAUCUGAAGCUUGCUAUGUGCAGGGUGACUAGUGAUGUUUAGUGUUUAUUGUGCGUGUUUUCUACACACAGACACAUGGUCCUUAUGUUUCAAUCUCCUCUACUGCUUACUGACAAAGUACUACGCACGUACAGUAGUUGAGUAGUAGUGUGUAGGGACUCUUGAGGAAAGUUUACGUACUUAAACAUUAUGCUUAAAAUAAAAGUUGUAAUUCCCUUGUAGUAGUAUGUUUAGGAAUGGCUGCAUGAAAUGAUUGUCCAGUACUUCAAAUAUUUGAAUCGGGGUUAAUGUAAUCACUUGUUGCAUCCUGUUUGAUUGAUCGGAGAAGCUAAUAGGAAAGCAAAGCAAAUAGGAAAAGCAUGUGCUGCUACUUUUGCUUAUCCUCCGCACACUAGUAAAGCGAAGCAUCCUAUUUUGAUUUCUUCAUUCAUGAUGCAUAAAAUUCUGGUAUUGUGUUCAUAUGGCUAAUCUGCUGGUGUUGUGCAUAAAAUUCCAGGAUCUUUGCGUGUAAGUUCUGGCUGUAGUGCCUAUCUUUAGUAAGAUUAAAUUGCUACUAUUACUAAUGAAUGGUUGAGUUCUACUAUUACUGAUGAAUGGUCCUGUAGUGUUUAAAACUGAUAAUUAUGAUGCAUUGGUUGUCCAUAUGGCCUUCUUUUUUAAUGCAUAUAUAUAUUAUGUAGUUGAUAAGCCUUGAUCUCAACCUAUCAAGUUUAUGUUCCCCGGUGUGUAGUUAACUUGUCAUUUUUAUUGGCAAGCAUGUAAUGAAUUUAUUAGAAUUUUUCUCCUAUAGUCGUGUACAGUAUGUAGCAAAAAGGUCUGUGAGGGAGUCCUGGACUAGGGGGUGUCCGGAUAGCCGAACUAUCAUCAUUGGCCGGACUCCAAGACUAUGAAGAUACAAGAUUGAAGACUUCGCCUCGUGUCCGGAUGGGACUUUCCUUGGCGUGGAAGGCAAGCUUGGCAAUACGGAUAUGUAGAUCUCCUACCAUUGUAACCGACUCUGUGUAACCCUAGCCCUCUCCGGUGUCUAUAUAAACCGAAGGGUUUUAGUCCAUAGGACGAACAACAAUCAUACCAUAGGCUAGCUUCUAGGGUUUAGCCUCCUUGAUCUCGUGGUAGAUCUACUCUUGUACUACCCAUAUCAUCAAUAUCAAUCAAGCAGGAGUAGGGUUUUACCUCCAUCGAGAGGGCCCGAACCUGGGUAAAAACAUCGUGUCCCUUGUCACCUGUUACCAUCCGCCUAGAUGCACAGUUCGGGACCCCCUACCCGAGAUCCGCCAGUUUUGACACCGACAUUGGUGCUUUCAUUGAGAGUUCCUCUAUGUCGUCGCUCAUAGGCCCGAUGGCUCCUUCGAUCAUCAACAAUGACGCGGUCCAGGGUGAGACUUUUCUCCCUGGAUAGAUCUUUGUAUUUGGUGGCUUUGCACUGCGGGCCAAUUCGGUUGGCCAUCUGGAGCAGAUCGAAAGCUACGCCCUUGGCCACCAGGUCAGAUUUGGAAGUUUGAACUAUACGGCCGACGUCCGCGGAGACUUGAUCUUCGACAGAUUCGAGCCACAGCCGAGCGCACCGCAUGCACUGCCACGAUGGGCAUGAUUUAGCUCUGCUGCCGGACAGUGCCCUGGAGGCCGCACGAGAGUCCGCUCCGACCCUUAACUCGGAGUCGACUGCGCCGAUCGAGGAUGGGUGGCUAGACACCACCUCGGGGGCUGCUACGGCGAUGGAGCCGAAUACCGACCCUGUCCCUUGUGACUCCAAGGUGUCGGAUUCUUCUCCGGACACCGAACCUUCCGCGUUUCGGCCAAUCAGAUCCGAUCGGGCGCCGAUCAUGGAGUUCCCUACUACGGACAUCCUUCAGCACUCGCCUUUCAGCGAUAUCCUGACUGCGCUAAAGUGCCUCUCUCUAUCAGGAGAGAUAUGGCCGGAUUUUGGCCAGGAUGGUUGGGAUGCGGAUGACGAAGAAAUUCAAAGCCCACCCACCACCCACUUCGUAGCCACUGUCGAUGAUUUAACCGACAUGCUAGAUCUCGACUCCGAAGAUAUCGACAGUAUGGACGAUGAUGCCGGAGACGACCAAGAACCAGCGCCCAUAGGGCACUGGAAAGCCACCUCAACUCACGAUGUAUACAUGGUGGAUACACCAAAAGGAAGCGAUAACGAGGAACAACGGGACGCUGCAAACGAUAAUUCCCCUGAAAAACAGCCAAAACGGCGAUGCAAGCGCCACCCGAAGUCCCGCCUCGACAACAACAACACCCAUAUAGACCCAGCCAUAGAGCAGGCCGAACCAGUGGACGACGAACAUGCCAACAAGCAACCAUCCGAACAAGAUGAAUUGGAUAAACAACACAUCCCCGGCGAAAACAACAGUCCGGAUGAUCUCACACCGGACACAUCGUUGGAAUAGAAAAACCUUCACAAAAGGCUCGUCACCACUGCACAAAGUCUGAAGAAGCAGAAGCGGAAGCUCAAAACAGCGGAAGACAUACUCAGAAUGAGAUGGAGAAAAGUACUCAAGACCACGGACAAGUACGGCGAUAGCCGCCAAACAAAGAGCUACCCGAAGCGCAAACUACUGCCCGAAAUUUGACAAAGAGGUCAUGCAUAGAUCCCCCACAAUCAAAAAACAAAGGGGCUGCCCGGUCGGAUAGACGACCACAUGACAAACAAAGAACGGCAAGCGGCGCCACACACAAGCCGGCACAGGAUCCACAUAAGGAUCCUCAUAAAAAGGAUGGCCCGGUCAGGUCCAUCUACGGGCCAAGAAGGAAGGCUCCAGGGAGCAAAACAACACGUCGAGUGUUCGAAAAUAACGGCACACCUAAAUACAGGGGCGCCGCACACCCCCUAUGUUUCACCGAUGAGGUAUUGGAUCAUGAGUUUCCAGCGGGAUUCAAGCCCAUAAACAUAGAGGCAUACGACGGAACAACAGAUCCCGGAGUCUGGAUUGAGGAUUACAUCCUACACAUACAUAUGGCUAGAGGAGAUGAUCUCCAUGCCAUAAAAUACCUACCCCUCAAGCUCAAAGGGCCAGCCCGGCAUUGGCUAAAAAGCCUCCGAGAAAAUACCAUUGGAAGUUGGGAAGAGCUCGAGGAUGCGUUUCGGGCAAAUUUUCAGGGGACUUAUGUCCGCCCUCCGGAUGCAGACGAUUUAAGUCACAUAACUCAACAGCCCGGAGAGUCAGCCCGCAAAUUCUGGAAUAGGUUCCUCACCAAAAAGAACCAAAUAGUCGACUGUCCGGACGCCGAAGCCUUAGCAGCCUUCAAACAUAACGUCCGAGACGAAUGGCUCGCCAGACACCUCGGCCGGGAAAAGACAAGGACAAUGGCCGCACUAACGAGCCUCAUGACCCGCUUUUGCGCGGGAGAAGAUAGCUGGCUGGCAAGAUGCAGCACCAGCGACCCGAGUACAUCAGAGGUCAGGGAUGUAAAUGGGAAACCACGACACCGAAAAGACCAGCGCCGGACUAAGGAAAAUGGCCCAAAGAGAACGGCAGUCAACACCGGGUUCAAAAGCUCUCGGCCGAACAACAAAACACUGCCUCUUAAGGACAACAGUGACGAGCUAUCCAACCUAAACAAAAUCUUGGACAGGAUAUGUCAAAUCCACAGUACCCCCGGGAAGCCUGCAAACCACACCCACAGAGAUUGUUGGGUCUUCAAGCAGUCCGGCCGACUUAACGCCGAACACAAGGGGCUCGACACACCAAGCGAGGACGAUGACGAACCCCACAAGCAGAGCGCCGGAAAACAAAAGAAUUUCUCACAAGAUAUUAAAAUAGUGAAUUCACUUCAAGUGACAACAAGGAAAAACAGGGUGGCGCCUACUAAAGUACGCGCCGCACGGUCCACCCCAGCGGAGUCCCGAAACUGGAUGUCAAAACCAAUUACUUUCGACCAUCAGGAUUACUCCAGAAGAAUUCGAAACACAGGAUGGACUGCUUUGAUAUUGGAUCCCAUAAUCGACGGACUACAAUUUACACAAGUCCUAAUGGAUGGCAGAGGCGAUAUAAACCUGCUAUACCAGGACACAAUCCGCAGAAUGGGGAUAGACCCUACCAAAAUUCGCCAUAGCAACACCUCCUGUAAAGGGGUGACGCCAGGCCCUUAUGCCAAUUGUAUGGGCUCCUUACUACUAGAAGUCGUGUUCGGUUCAUCCGACAACUUCCGUCGCGAAAAGCUAAUCUUCCAUAUCGCCCCAUUUAAUAGUAGCCAUCAAGCACUAUUGGGAUGCGAAGCUUUCGCCCGCUUUAACGCAAUACCGCAUUACGCGUCUCUUACACUUAAAAUGGCCGGUCCACGCGGUAUCAUCUCAUUAAAGGGAAACUUCGAGUGUUCCUCGACCGCAGAAGAACGUGAGACUGCCUUAACAACCACACACUAAUCCGGCUUUGCUGAUCAAAAGCUCCUAAAACAAGUCAUUCAGACCCCAGACACGGUUAGGCGAGUCCGGUAUAAAUAAACAAGGGGCUUACUAGCCGCGUACCCCUUUACAAGGGGCUGCACGCAUGAACAAUGAGAGCCAAUAAAGCUCAAUUCUAUUCAUUUUUUAAAUCAUACUCUGUUUUAAAUACAUUUUUCGGACAAUAUUUUUCCAAACUAAGUUCUUCUCUUUUUACACAUGAACAACGUGCUACACCCGUUCAGGAUACAGCACAACGGAGACACAGGCACAGACGUGCAGCAGGGACCCGUUACAAGGAUUCUUUUCAGACUAAGACCCCGUGUAAACCUUUUUUACUGUCUCUUCUUGAUAAACAUCCCCCGGUUUCUUACCAUAACCGAGGAGGAGGCUGGUGUUUUGGCAUCGGCCGCGUCAGAAGUUUUCGCGCGUACCUGAACACUAGGGGCUUCGGGCAUUGUUCUGCCCAUUAUCAUAAAGACCGAAUACCUUAGGGAGUGUUCGGCGUCUCGAGUUAGGCCUUAUAUGCACCAGCUCCGAGUCAUGUCUUUGGUCAAAUGUUGGGUUUGCCCGGCUCCUGUGUUUUGCUGCCUUACGUUCCGCUCUAUCGGCUAAUGCGGCACCAGGAGAACUACUGCGAUUGUGCCCCGAUUCGGCCGGGUGAGCACCUCAGUAGAGAAAGCCGAAAACUGACUGUCAUGCUAUAGCGAGAGACUGGUCAACCACUCGAUCGACUACCAGAAUGUUUAGAAUUCCUCUGCUUUGACGAAGGACCGUUUCCCGGUCAGGCACACACGCGCCCCGAGUUCGGAGAGCGCGGUGCCCCUAGGGGCUAUAUAGUAGCCCCACCAUCGAACUCCUAUGGCUAAGUGAAAGUGAUAAAGCAUCAUAGUCUGGUUGCCUAGUUUGCUACGCUAUCACCUCCUUCACAGGACCAAGACGUUGGAUUAAGUGUGAAAAUGCGCUUUUUCGCAAACACCCCCGCACCAUGUGCAUGGGGGCUGAAGCCAAAGACUGCCAUCUUUCAGGUUAUAUAUACAUAUACGUUAACGGCCGCACAGGAGGUAUUUCCAUACUUGAACGCACAAGUAUAAAAAGCCCUUAUAUUAUAAAUAUGGUUUCACAAAUCAUGCAUGUCAUUUGAACACAACGUUUUUCAAGCACUGCGACUCUAUCAAACGAGCGCCCUGCAGGACUUCCCCAAAAUAGUGCUCGGCGGGUAAUCGACUCCUAUCCGAAUAACGGGAUGCAACGUCGGUGGCCUCCAUUUCUGCCCAGUAUAUUUUGACACGGGCGAGAGCCAUCCGUGCACCCUCUAUGCAUGUCGACCUCUUCAUCGUCGUGAUAUGCGGCACCGCAUCAACGAACUGCUGCACCAAGCCACAAUAACUCUUCGGCUCGGGCCUUUUCGGCCACAGAUGAGCCACGACAUCCUUCAUGGCAAGUUCGGACAACCUGUUCAGCUCAGCCCACUCAGCCAACCGAUCGGUUAACGGAAGUGGAUGCUCCGGAUGGAAUUGAGACCAAAAAAGCUCUUCCAUUUCGUGAUCCUUUUGGCUUCGGAAGUGCACGACUCCGUCCGCCGCACUCGUCGCCAAAUUCAGAUAAGCAUCCUCCGCACCCCACAACUGGCCCAACCGAGCAUACUUCGGGUCCGUGAACUUCCUACGCAGCAGAAAGGGCUUUCCAGCCGCAAUAUCCCCGGCCUGACGUAGCUCCUCCUUUAUAGCCCUCAUCACGGAGCGGGCAUCCUUGGCGUUCUCUUGCCCCGCUCGGCGUUCUCUUUCAAGAAACUCAUAGCGGUCGGUAGCAUCCUUCAGCUUCACGACCAUUUUGGCCAUCUCCUCCCUGCUUCGGCAGUGAGCAGCCCGUUCGGCUUUUAGCUCUUCGAACGCCUUCGAGGCAGCCGCAUCACUUUUUCUGGCUUGCUCCUUGGCUCGGGCAAGCUCCGCCCGAAGGACCUCCGUAGCAGCGGCGCCAUCUGCAUCAAGCAUACAUGUCAUAAAGCGUGGGCAUCAAGCUCCCUUACAGAGGUGUCUGCGGAGAAGCCACAUACCUUGUGACUCAUCAAGUCGUUUAUUGACCAACGCGAUAUCCGCAUCCGCAACGUCAAGUUGCCGCUUCAGUUCGGCAACUCUAUCAGUUCGGCUGGGCAUCGAACGUUCCGCCACCUGAAUAGGAAGGGAGACAUCUUAUAACUGAGAUUAUGAUCCUCGGCACGCCAUCGCUUUUGACAACGUACCGAGUCUCAGGGGCUACUAUCUAUAAAGGGCGCACUCUAUGUGCAAAACUGUCAACGGGUAUAUCAUUUUUAUGUACCUCAAACCCUGUCAGUAAACUUCGGACGGCCUCAUGCAACCUGCUCUCAACGGAUGAAAUCCUUUCAAUCACCGUACUCAUUAAUGUACGGUGAUCUUCUGAGAUAGACACCCUCUCGAGCAGAUCCUUCAGCUCCUCCGGCCGUACACCAGUUGGUGCCGAACUCUCCGGCCCCGCCGGACUCGGCGAGACCCUCCGCGACGACACCUCGGGGUCGUCCGUCCCGCCUGACGGUGCGGAAGAUGGAGGCGUCUCGCUCUCCAUCAUCUCCGUACGAAGAUCCCCUGAAGAUGAGCUCUGCUGAGAAGGGCUGAGAUCCGAACUACAAGGUAAGAACUUCGGUUAUCCUCAGAAAUAAAAAAAGGGAUGUCCCUUAUUACAGAACUCCCCUUUUUCUACUUAUGGCUCGCUGGAGGGCCGAUUCCCUUGGGGAAAUAGUGCGUCCGGGGCUUCUCCUGGCGCAGGACCCUCCGGUGAAGAUUUCUUCCCCCGCUUUGGGGCCUUGGCCUCCGGAUCUUAGGAAGCGGUCCUCUUCUCCCCCUGGAGGGAGGGAUUCUCGAUCCCCCCUUUCUUGAGAGCCUCUUUAGUGGAGGCGGUAGUUUUCCUGUUUUCCCCUUCGCCCUCUUCUAAAGGCGCAACCUCCAGCAUCUUGACCAACACGGGAUCCGGCGUGGUCUUAGGGAGGGGGGCCGGACACCGUAUCAGUUUUGCUUUCGCUGUCCACUCCUGUUCAAGGGAUUGCUGGUUAAAAGGCAAAUCUACGAUAAAUGAACGGACGGUAUGUCCGGACACAGGACUACUUACUUGAGUAUCCUGGUGAUUGCAGCUUAGGCCGGCAUCCUCGGUCAUGUCCGGACAUAUCUCCUGUGAUCUGAAGAACAAUUUAUACAUCUCCACGGGUGUCGCACCCAUGAAGUGUUGAAGAGCUCGCGGUCCCUCUGGAUUGAAUUCCCACAGGCGGAGGGGGCGACGUUUGCAGGGCAGAAGGCGCCAAAUCAACAUGACCUGCGCCACUACGACCAGAUUGAUCUCCCUUUCUUGGAGGUCUUGAAUGCGGCCCUACAAUAGUGGCACGUCCUUGGACGGCCCCCAGUCAAGCCCUUUAUUGACCCAUGACGCCAGCCAUUGUGGAGGGCCCGAGCGAAAGGCAGGUGGCGCCACCUGCCUGGUGCCCCUAGGAGCGGUGAUGUAGAACCACUCCUGUUGCCACAAAACAAGCUCCUCUUGAAAAGAGCCCUCGGGCCAUGGAGCAUCGGCCCUCUUGCUUAUAACUGCCCCUCCGCACUCUGCCUGUCGCCCCUCGAUCAUCUUCGGCUCCACGUUGAAGGUCUUGAGCCACAAUCCGAAGUGAGGGGUACUGCGGAGGAAGGCUUCGCAGACAACAAUGAACGAUGAGAUGUGGAGGAUGGACUCCGGAGCCAAGUCAUGGAAUUCCAGCCCAUAAUAAAACAUGAGCCCCCUCACGAAGGGGUCCAUCGGGAAGCCUAAACCCCGACGGAAGUGAGAUAUGAACACCACGCUCUCGCCAGGCUCGGGGGUGGGAAUGACUUGCCCUUGGGCGGGCAGCCUAUGCGAAAUCUCGCAGGUUAGAUACCUGGCGUCUCUCAGCUUUAGCACGUCCUCUUCCAUGACAGAAGAGGGCAUCCACCGGCCCUGUAGGUCAGAGCCGGACAUUGUCGAAAGUCCGAAUUGCCCGAAUCUGGAGCCUUGGGUGUUGGAACUCGGGGCGAGGGGUGGAUUCGAUUAAGGAUCGAAGAAAAGGAACAUGCCUUGGUCUCAUUAUAAAGGGGUAGAAUACCAAGAGUCGUCCCCGUGACCGUUUGGAACUCGCCUUCGAUGGAGGGGGCGUGGCAACGGGCGCGGUUGGGUUACCCAUGUCCGUAUUGAUGAGAAUCCCUGAAUAAGGGGACACGAUCUCUGCUGUCAUAAGAUGUGCCAAGGAAACCGCUUCGCUAAACGCGCUGAGGUGGAACAAUAAAAACAAUUCGAGUAAAGGCUUGGCCGUGGCGUGACGUCAUGCCACGAAAUACUUCAGCAGAUUGAAGCUGUGUAAAUGUUAUUCUCUAUGCGGUGGUAUGUGGAAUUUAUUUUGCAGAGCCGGACACUAUCCUGGUGUUCACAAUCUUCUAUGAGUUAUUUGGAGGAGCAACCCGCCUUGCAAUGCCAAAUACAAUAUGCGCGCCAGACUCGUCGUCAUUGAAACCUGGUUCAGGGGCUACUGAGGGAGUCCUGGACUAGGGGGUGUCCGGAUAGCCGAACUAUCAUCAUUGGACGGACUCCAAGACUAUGAAGAUACAAGAAUGAAGACUUCGUCCCGUGUCCGGAUGGGACUUUCCUUGGCGUGGAAGGCAAGCUUGGCAAUACGGAUAUGUAGAUCUCCUACCAUUGUAACCGACUCUGUGUAACCCUAGCCCUCUCCGGUGUCUAUAUAAACCGGAGGGUUUUAGUCCAUAGGACGAACAACAACCAUACCAUAGGCUAGCUUCUAGGGUUUAGCCCCUUGAUCUCGUGGUAGAUCUACUAUUGUACUACCCAUAUCAUCAAUAUCAAUCAAGCAGGAGUAGGGUUUUAUCUCCAUCGAGAGGGCCCGAACCUGGGUAAAAACAUCGUGUCCCUUAUCUCAUCUUACCAUCCGCCUAGACGCACAGUUCGGGACCCCCUACCCCAGAUCCGCCGGUUUUGACACCGACAGUCUGUAUUACUGAGGAUGUAUAAUGUAGAAGUAUAGGAACCAUAAAUUCAAGCUUCUGCUGUAGCAUGCUCAAUAUAUAUUGUUAUAGAAUAGUGUUCUACAAAAGGUUGAAACACCAUGGUCUCAGUCAUUUGUAGGAAGUAGAAACACUAAGGCUGACAUGCACUUCACCGUUUCAUUUGUUUUUUCCAAUUUAAUUUUGUGGAUAGUAAAUUUGCGAUUGUAUGCCCUUUGUGAAAAAAUUGCAUUCUACGUUUCCAUGCCCUAUAAUGCUGAAGCGUGGUUCUCUGAUAUUCUGCACCACUGAAAGGCUGAUAUCUUGUAUAAAUUUGGCUUUUGGCAGGUAAUCCUUUUCCCUGCCAUGUUCGGGUGCAUCACUCUCAUGCCGAUGAAGGGUGAGAUCUUGGUCGACACUAUGAAGAAGACCCUGAAGCCUGGUGUGUUCCUCAAAUCGGGACUGAUAGAAACCGAAGGGCCACUCGAAGCUGUCAAAGGGAACUUGUAGAGCUUGUGGUUGUGAUUACACUUGUAGAGCUUGUGGCUGUGAUUACCAUUGUAUCUAAGUUAUAUGAUGUAACAGAGUUAUUUUGGCUGUUAUUUGAAGUAUUAUCUUAUUUGAAGUAUUAUCUGUGCUUUCUGGUAUUUUUGAUUUGAAUAUUGGUUAUUUAUUUAUCGGUGAAUUGAAAAUAUGGACCCACAUAUUAGAACAUGACAAUCGGGACCCAUUUGAGUACUGGACCCAUCUUCUAAAAAAAUACGAACCGUUGAGCCAGAAAGGCCUCGACCCAAAAACAAAAAAGGCUGAAAUAUUAGGCCAGGCCCAUGUAGCAGACCGGAAUGACAAAAAAAUGAUAACUAAAAAGGCCGAAUUUUUGGGCUAGGCCCGUGUAGAAAACCGAAUUGGACCGGGCUGAAUCUUGUGCCACAUCAGCUUGCCACGCUGGAUGCCUAUGUGGCCUGGGGAGGUUGCUAGUGACCAAAACGCGAGAGUGGCUAUAUUUUGGUCAUAAACAUCCACGACCAUUCCAGAAGAAAGGUCGCUAUAGUCAGUUUACGACCGCCAGCUUUUGACCUUCUGUUUUUGGUCACAAAAAGGUCGCAAAUGAAAAACCAUGAACUUUCAGUGACCAAUAGUGGUGGUCACAAGUUGACAUAUUUCUUGUAGUGUUUUGUGGCAGAAGUUGGCAUUUUCUCCUCCAUAUGUUAUUCCAAUGAUCUAUCUUCUAUUCUAUCUUCCGGAGGCAUUGUAAUGUUGCUCUUUUCACUCAUCAUAUCGAAUUGUGAAGGUCAUGUUCUUUUCAUGCUUAUCCAUUUAACCAGCGUACCAUGUCCUCCAUUCAAGUUCUUUUCAUCUUAUCAUGUCUUGCAUCUCUUUUCAACCGGAGGGCCGCCCAACUUCUGGCAUUCGUGUUCUUUGGCUAUCUCAUGAUAUCGGUGUGGCUCCAUAUUCUUUUGGUUCGUUAAGCCCUUGUUUCAUGUCUUUGCAACCUUCAAGGUUCUCGAAUGUUCCUUGUUCCUCUUUGCUAACAGAGUGUUUGCAAUCUUGUUCAUCUCCAUUGUAUUCGUUCUUUCAAUUUUUUUCAACCUCUUAAGGUUCAUGGUUUCACUCGUUUUUCAAAGAAGCAACUUAGUUUUACCUCUUAUCUUCCUCUUCCUUUUCCCUCCGGUGCCAUCCUAGAUCUCGGGACGAGAUCGUCUCGUAGUGGUGGAGUGUUGUAACGCCCCCGAUGUAACUUUCCAUAAUUGUAACUCCAAUUCUUGCCUUUUCCGUAGAUGCGAUAUGAUAUUUCCUUCGUGGUUGGGUUUUUGUCUUUUGUUUUGCAUUUUGUUCAUGUCAUGCAUCUCAUCUCAUAGCAUCAUGCACAUUGCAUCUGCAUGUUUUCAUAAAGCUUGCAUCCGCUCGUAGUUGCCGCAUUUCCCCCUUGCCUUUGUUAUCCCUUUCGAGACCAACCGUUCAUUUAUUGUCCGACCGUUUGAGCCUAUCUACACAACCACCACCUCCCCUCGCGCGCGUCUGAAACUUCCCCGAACCCGAACCGCAUGGUCAUCACCGAUGGAUCCGGAUCAUUUCCAAACGUCCCUCUAAAACAUUAUCGGUUCUUUGUUGGACUCACCUAGUCAAUUUCUCUCAACCGCCCGAUUUCGAUCGGAGGGUCCGAAUCUACCCUAAACUCCGCCUCUUUCCUUAUAUAAGAGACUCCUAGUCUAAAUCUAGAAAACCCUAAAAUUAAGGACUCGUGUCCCAUCAAUCCUCCUCCCUACCGCCACUCUCUCGGGAUCCAUCCCGCAGCCACCCGGUCUCGAUCCACCUCUGGAUCCCCUCCUUGUUUUUCUCCACCCACCAACCAGCGCUCCCCACUACUCCUCCCCGAUUUGCUAGCUUCGAUCCCGAGCUCCUUUGCCACCCGUUGCCCCUCGCCGGAGCAACACCAGCAGGACCCCGCGGCCUCCUCUGCCCUCUCCUCGAGCUGCCGCAAGCAGCACCACCACCAGGCCGGCCCCGACGUGCCACCUCUCCCUUCUCUUCCUUCCUAUGGUUCCUUCCUUCUCCUCUCAUGUUUCGCCCCUCUCUGUGUUUUCCUCGCAUUACAACCACACCAUGGCCGCGACCCAUCGAAGCUUGCAGCCCCUCCGCCAGCCCGCCGCCGCUUUGAUCCGGCAGGCAACGGGCACACCGGCGACCUCCUGCAACCGGAUCCGGGUCCGCCUCCCUUUGCCCGUCCCUCUCCUUCUCAUAUCUCCUUUCUCCCUCACCGCUAAUUCUCUAAAUGUGUUCCCCUGCCAUGUCCUUGCAGCACCAUAGCCGCCCGUCAAGUUCGUGUCCCGGGCCCGAUUUGGACCGGAUCCCCUCUGCUCCGCCGCCUGGCUGCCGAAUCCGCCCCGUUCCGGCCGGUUCCCACCAACCCCGGCGCUAGGACCUUCGGUGAUGCCGCCUCGUGCGUCGCCUUGAACCUGCAGCUGCCUCUGUUCUUCAGUAACGAGAAUGAGCAGCUCGCUCGCCUCGCGUUGACCACGGCCGGGCCACAUCUCGCGCUGCUGGCAAGGCCUAGCGCCCAUUCCAGCCUCCCCCUCCACCGGACCAGGCCAUGGACCAUGGUGAGAAACCCCCCCAGCGCCUAGUUGUUUUUUUUGUGCCCUGCGAAUUUUGCUAAUUAUCCAGGAACUGCUAUAUUACAGAAAAGUCCCUCAUGUUCAUGCAUUUAAUAACUCAUCAACCGUGCAUCUUGUGUAAAUGAUUUAUAUAUGUAGAAUGCUUAGAAUUUCAUCUAGUUUCAUAAUAUGCAACUUUCAACCAUGUUUGAAAUGUUUAAAAUGUUGAUUGUUUAAAUUUGCUCAAAUGCCUUGUUAAAAUGAUUUAUUUCAUAACUAAAUAACCAUAUAUAGCUUCAACUUUAAUAAACUUUAUAUGUAAAUGGGGUCGAAAAAUGCAUAGAUUAACAUGGUGCACUUUGUUUUAUUGUUUAACAACAUUAAAAUAUGGUUCAGGGCAGAAUAGUACCAAAUUCAAAAUAUGGACAUGAGGAUUUCCGGAAUUGUUGUUUGGUGUUCCGGCCUCAUUUAAAUUGCCAAGAUAGUCAGUUUAAUUAUGACUCACCUUUUGCCAUGUUUAACAACAUUUAAUAUUGUUGGGUAGCAUAAAUGAGAGAGAACUAAAUAUUUGAUGUGGUGUUUCGUCAAUAUGCAACUCGUUGCAUAUUGAGCUCCACUUAACUUGUAGUAUUGUUUGUGCACUUCGCCAUGCCAAUUUAAAGUGGACAUGCAUCAUACUUGAUUGUGCAUCAUGCCAUGCUUAUGUGAUGGUUGUUGAUCAUGUUGUUUGCUUCUUUCCGGUUUGCUUCUCUCGUUAGCUUCGGUGUCAUUCCAGAGUUGUGAGGAUUCGUUCGACUACGUCCGUUUGUCUUCUUCUUUGACUCGUUCUACUUCCUUGCGGGAUCUCAGGCAAGAUGACCAUUACCCUCGAUACCACUUCUAUCUUUGCUUGAUAGUUGCUUCGUUCUAUUGCUAUGUUACACUACCUAUCACUUGUUUAACAUGCCUCCCAUAUAGCCAUGUCAGCCUCUAACCUUUUCAACCUUCCUAGCAAACCGUUGCUUGGCUAUGUUACCGCUUUAAUCAGCCCCUCUUAUAGCGUUAUUAGUUGCAGGUGAAGUUGAAGAUUGCUCCAUGAUGGACAGGAUUAUGUUGGGAUAUCACAAUAUCUCUUAUUUAAAUUAAUGAAUCUAUAUACUUGGUAAAGGGUGGAAGACUCGGCCUUAUGCCUGGUGUUUUGUUCCACUCUUGCCGUCCUAGUUUCCAUCAUACCGGUGUUAUGUUCCUUGAUUUUGCGUUCCUUACGCGGUUGUGUGAUUUAUGGGACCCCCUUGACAGUUCGCUUUGAAUAAAACUCCUCCAGCAAGGCCCAACCUUAAUUUUAACAUUUGCCACCUAAGCCUUUUUCCCUUGGGUUCUACAGACUCAAGGGUCAUCGUUAUUUACCCCCCCUCCCCGGGGGCCAGUGUUCGUCCGGGUGCUGGUCCAAACCGAGCAAUGUCCGGCGCCCCCUGGGCAACCAGGUCUAUGCCAACCCGAUGUCUGGCUCAUCCGGUGUGCCCUGAGAACGAGAUACGUGCGACUCCUAUCGGGAUUUGUCGGCACAUCGGGCGGCUUUGCUGUUCUUGUUUUACCAUUGUCGAAAUGUCUUGUAAACCGGGAUUCCGAGACUGAUCGGGUCUUCCCGGGAGGAGGUAUAUCCUUCGUUGACCGUGAGAGCUUGUGAUGGGCUAAGUUGGGACACCCCUACAAGGUAUGAACUUUCGAGAGCCGUGCCCGCAGUUAUGCGGCAGAUGGGAAUUUGUUAAUGUCCGGUUGUAGAGAACUUGACACCAGAUACGAAUUAAAACGCAUCAACCGCGUGUGUAGGCGUGAUGGUCUCUUUUCGGUGGAGUCCGGGAAGUGAACACGGUUUUAGGUUAUGUUUGACGUAAGUAGGAGUACAGGAUCACUUCGUGAUCAUUGUUAGCUUCACGUCCAUCCGUUGCUUCUCUUCUCGCUCUUAUUUGCGUAUGUUAGCCACCAUAUAUGCUUAGUCGCUGCUGCAACCUCACCACCUAUCCAUUUCUUUACCCAUUAAGCUUUGCUAGUCUUGAUACCCAUGGUAAUGGAAUUGCUGAGUCCUUGUGGCUCACCAGAUACUAUCACAACAGUUGCAGGUGCCGAUGAUACCAGUGCAGGUGACGCAACCGAGCUCAGAUGGGAGCUCAACGAAGGUCUUGGUCGUUGCUAUGUUUCGUUUCAUGUUGAUCAGUAGUGGAGCCCAGUUGGAACGAUCGGGGAUCUAGCAGUUGGGCUAUCUUCUUUUCUUUUGGCUUCGUCCGUAGUCGGACUAUGUGUGUGCUCUGAAUGAUGUAUGAUUUAUUUAAGUACUUGUGUGUAGUGACGAUUGUAAGCCAACUCUUUAUCCCAGUCUUGUUCAUUACAUGGGAUUGUGUGAAGAUGACCCUUCUUGCGAUAAAACCACAAUGCGGUUAUGCGUCUAAGUCGUGCUUUGACACGUGGGAGAUAUAGCCGCAUCAUGGGCGUUACAAGUUGGUAUCAGAGCCUCGACCGACCAUAGGAGCCCCCUUGAUUGUUGGCCGUUGUUGAGUCUAGAAGAAAAGUAUUUUUGAGUCUUAGGAUUAUAUAUAUCGGAGAGUAGGAUUCUUUUUACUCCUCUGCCCCUUCGUCGCUCUGGUGAGGUCUCCUAACGUAGAUGUUUUGUCUUUCCUCUCCUCAAAUUUUCACUAAUUUUUUAGGAUCACGCGGGUAUCUUCGGAUCGUUCCGAUAUUCUUAUGAUGAGAACAUUGUUAUUGGUGCCUCCUGACAAUUAGGGGUUGUGGCAAUGUCCCGGGGAGUUGAGCUCCGAGGUGUUGUCGUCAUAAUUUUAUCGUUGCAGUUCUACAAUACCUGAGUUUUGCCGACAUCGAAAAUCUCUUUUAUGCAGUUGUUGGUGAGAUAACCUCGUCGCCACCAAGUACUGGGGCGGGAGUUCGGGAGUAUUGCCAUAACUCAUAUAACGGAUGCUUUUCGAAGGUUGAGGUACACGAUUUCCGAAGGUUUCUUGGUUAUGUGUUGACGGAAGGAUACAGCUUGGAUGUAGGGAUUGUUAGUUUGGGUGAGAUAUAUUGCUUCCCCUGUAUCCCCAACACCAUAUUGCAUAACCAGAAAGCUUCGGGAGUUUACAGGUGGAAAUUCAAGUAGCUCCUAGAAUAUCUUUCCGACAGAUGCAUGAUAUGAGAUUGGGUUCGAUGUCUAGUGGUCCGCCUAUCCACGGUCGUUUUUACAGUGGUCUUGUUGUGUCUUAAAGAAUCCUUGGCUAUGCCGAUUCGGGGACGCUUCGUAUGUCAUGUGCACUGCCUUGUACAUGAUGGUGCUGUACGAUCGAGCCUGUGUGGGCCCCACCACGAAAACUUCGGACGAAAUCUCUAUCAUAUGUUUGUUUCCGGCUUAUUUCUGCAAGCCAAUCCUUUGUUUUGUUUUAAGUUGUGGUAUUUGAGUUGCUUCAAUGUCAAGUGUUGAAUCCACACCUUUCCUAAGCGGUGUUCUCAUAUUCCUAUGUGAAUACUAAUCCUUCAUGUUUACCGAGUUUGUCAUCCCAAUUCUAUUUCCAACCGGUGCGCUUCUCUUCGAGAUGAUCCCAUAAUUCUCCCCAUCCGCAAGAUCAAUUCUAAGUUUUCUCAAUGGUAUCCAUUCCAUCUGCCCCAAAUUGCCUUUGUUUUCCCCCUCCCACCCUUUUAUUGAAGGACUCAUAUAUUCUAAUCAAGUAUUCAUUUACUCAUGUGAAGUCUCUUCAUUCUUUUCCGUCAAUGUUCUUAUCCGGUGUUUCUCAUGAAAAUACUAACGGAGCUUCAAGUUCAUCAUUCUUCAUCUCUUUUUCUUCUUCGGUGGAUCCAAUUCAAGCUUUUCGGUGUUGAUCGUAUUCUUUCCCUUGGUUAAAGUGUUUUCCAUGCUCAUUCGCCUCUCACCAGUUUAUCCUUCCGGAGUGCUCAAGACAUCUCAGGAGGUUCGUCUAUGUUUGAAUUAAUUCGAGGUUUUCACCUCAUUCAAAUAUUUCAAUCGUUCCGGUGCAUCAUCUAUCUCAACAAUCUUUUUCAAUGGUGUUUUCUUUUAGUGAGUCCUAACCUACAGGUCUUCUUUUCCAGGAUCUUACCUGACUCUUCUAAUUUUCCCGGAGCUAUUCUCAAAUUCCUUUCAAAUUUUGACGUAAGAAUGAAUUUUCAUCAGUCAUAUUCUUUCUUUAAGAUUGCUUUCAAAAUAUUUUGAUCGUUCGUUCAACCUUUCUAAUUUUCUCCCGGAGUAUCUCAACAAUUCAUGGUUGUGUUUUCCAUCGUAAUUCUCAACAUUUGAAGACCAAAGAAGAGUUUUCCUCCAAAUCUUAUCCGUUCUCUCAAAGAUUCAUGAUUCUAGCUUGAAGCCAUCCUCAUAAUUGUUUUUGAUUGUGACAAUUCUUUUCACCCAUCUGAAGCAUUUCAUGAGUGAUUUCCAUUUCUUUCCUCCGAAGGCCAUCAUGUCAUAAUUCUUCAUUCUCAGCGUGUAGCUAUCGUUCUCCAAAUCUUACCGGUGAAUUGUUCAAAUAUCCUCUAAUCAGUUCAUAUUCUCUUCGUUCUCAUGUAUCAAAAUCCCUUCAAGUAUCUUCAUUCGUUUUCAAAUUCUUUCCGGUGAAUUGUGCCCUUGCUACUCUCUUUUCCAAAAAAAAUACGGUGGUUCGUUCAAGAUUUCACUUCCUUUGUUAUCAUAUCAAUUCAUUCGUUGUUUCCAAAUCCCACCAGUGGUUCCAUCAAUACCUUCUCAAGUUUGCGCUAUCUCUAUCCUCAAUCCCUCACGAAGAAUAAGUAGUAAGCCAAAUCUGUUGCUUGUCAUCAAUUUAAAUUGGUGAAGGAGACACAUAACAUAAUUCUUAUUAUUGUUUCAUCCAAGUGAUCUAGUUUCUUAUUUCUAGAGUUAUUCAUCAUGUCACAUUUCUCGGUUCGAGAUGCUUCAUCUUUUCUUUUUCGGAGUUCCAAGUUUUCCGCAUUAUUGUCGUGGAGCUCCAUCUAAAUCAUUGCAAGGCCUCACCUUGUGUUUUCAACUUCUCUUUCUUUUUAUCAUCCUUUUAUUAUAGGAGUUCUCCAUGGAGGAUCUAAAUGGUGGUUCAUCAAGGAUUCCUUUCAUUCUUCAAGUGUUCUUCAAGGUUUCGCUCGAAGUUAUGACCCACCAAGCUUUACUCAAAUAUAAACAUGGUGCCCAACACAUGUUUUGUUUUGAGGAGUUCAAGCAUUCUUCAUCUUGCAUUCCAAAGUGCAAUUCUUUCUACCUUAUCUUUUGAGGUGGUGUUAUGUCACUCUUGACAAUUUCCUUUAUGUUUCAUGAUUCAUAUGUUGCCAAGAAUGAGGUAUUUUAAAUCCAUCAAUCUCUUUGUUGGAGUUAUCUUGCUAUAGAUUUCACCUAAAGCCUUCCCUAAGGAAUGUUGCUAUUUGUGGUGCUUAUCAAUGAUCCAAGCUUUCUCCAUAUCCUUCUUGGUGAAAGAGGUUUUUCAUCUCUUCGUUGAUCUCAAGUAAGCAAUUGUUUUUCGUUAGUGGUAGAAUUUCACCUCAAGUGUUGAGAUGUUUCCAUAAUCCCACUACAAGCUUAUUCUUUUCGUUGUUGGUUUUCCAACAACUCUGUUGUAACCUUCUUGGAAGGGUGCUUUCCAAGCUAUUUUGUGGCAGAAGUUGGCAUUUUCUCCUCCAUCUGUUAUUCCAAUGAUCUAUCUUCUAUUCUAUCUUCCGGAGGCAUUGUAAUGUUGCUCUUUUCACUCAUCAUGUCGAAUUGUGAAGGUCAUGUUCUUUUCAUGCUUAUCCAUUUAACCAGCGUGUCGUGUCCUCCAUUCAAGUUCUUUUCAUCUUAUCAAGUCUUGCAUCUCUUUUCAACCGGAGGGCCGCCCAAGUUCUGGCAUUCGUGUUCUUUGGCUAUCUCAUGAUAUCGGUGUGGCUCCAUAUUCUUUUGGUUCGUUAAGCCCUUGUUUCAUGUCUUUGCAACCUUCAAGGUUAUCGAAUGUUCCUUGUUCCUCUUUGAUAACGGAGUGUUGGCAAUCUUGUUCAUCUCCAUUGUAUUCUUUCUUUCAAUUUUUUUUCAACCUCUUAAGGUUCGUGGUUUCACUCGUUUGUCAAAGAAGCAACUUAGUUUUUCCUCUUAUCUUCCUCUUCCUUUUCCCUCCGGUGCCAUCCUAGAUCUCGGGACAAGAUCCUCUCGUAGUGGUGGAGUGUUGUAACGCCCCGGAUGUAACUUUCCAUAAUUGUAACUCCAAUUCUUGCCUUUUCCGGAGAUGCGAUAUGAUAUUUCCUUCGUGGUUGGGUUUUUGUCUUUUGUUUUGCAUUUUGUUCAUGUCAUGCAUCUCAUCUCAUAGCAUGAUGCGCAUUGCAUCUGCAUGUUUUCAUAAAGCUUGCAUCCGCUCGUAGUUGCCGCGUUUCCCCCUUGCCUUUGUUAUCCCUUUCGAGACCAACCAUUCAUUUGUUGUCCGACCGUUUGAGCCUAUCUGCACAACCACCACCUCCCCUCGCGCGCCUCCGAAACUUCCCCGAACCCGAACCGCAUGGUCAUCACCGAUGGAUCCGGAUCAUUUCCAAACAUCCCUCUAAAACAUUAUCGGUUCUUUGUUGGCUCACCUAGUCAAUUUCUCUCAACCGCCCGAUUUCGAUCGGAGGGUCCGAAUCUACCCUAAACUCCGCCUCUUUCCUUAUGUAAGAGACUCCUAGUCUAAAUCUAGAAAACCCUAAAAUUAAGGACUCGUGUCCCAUCAAUCCUCCUCCCUACCGCCACUCUCUCGGGAUCCAUCCCGUAGCCACCCGGUCUCGAUCCACCUUUGGAUCCCCCUCCUUGUUUUCGUCCACCCACCAACCAGCGCUCCCCACUACUCCUCCCCGAUUUGCUAGCUUCGAUCCCGAGCUCCUUUGCCACCCGUUGCCCCUCGCCGGAGCAACACCAGCAGGACCCCGCGGCCUCCUCUGCCCUCUCCUCGAGCUGCCGCAAGCAGCACCACCACCAGGCCGGCCCCGACGCGCCACCUCUCCCUUCUCUUCCUUCCUAUGGUUCCUUCCUUCUCCUCUCAUGUUUCGCCCCUCUCUAUGUUUUCCUCGCAUAAGCACCACACCAUGGCCGCGACCCAUCGAAGCUUGCAGCCCCUCCGUCAGCGCGCCACCGCUUUGAUCCGGCAGGGAACGGGCACACCAGCGACCUCCUGCGACCGGAUCCGAGUCCGCCUCCCUCUGCCGUCCCUCUCCUUCUCAUAUCUCCUUUCUCCCUCACCGCUAAUUCUCUGAAUGUGUUCCCCUGCCAUGUCCUUGCAGCACCAUAGCCGCCCGUAAAGUUCGCGUCCCGGGCCCGAUCUGGACCGGAUCCCCUCUGCUCCGCCGCCUGGCUGCCGAAUCCGCCCCGUUCCGGCCGGUUCCCGCCAACCCCGGUGCCAGGACCUUCGGUGAUGCUGCCUCGUGCGUCGCCUUGAACCUGCAGCUGCCUCUGUUCUUCAGUAACGAGAACGAGCAGCUCGCUCGCCUCGUGUUGACCACGGCCGGGCCACAUCUCGCGCUACUGGCAAGGCCUAGCGCCCAUUCCAGCCUCCCCCUCCACCGGACCGGGCCAUGGCCCAUGGUGAGAAACCCCCCCAGCGCCUGCCCUAUUCCAGAUUCAGCCCAUAGUUGUUUUUUUUGUGCCCUGCGAAUUUUGCUAAUUAUCCAGGAACUGUUGUAUUACAGAAAAGUCCCUCAUGUUCAUGCAUUUAAUAACUCAUCAACCGUGCAUCUUGUGUAAAUGCUUUAUAUAUGUAAAAUGCUUAGAAUUUCAUCUAAUUUCAUAAUAUGCAACUUUCAACCAUGUUUGAAAUGUUGAAAAUGUUGUUUGUUUAAAUUUGCUCAAAUGCUUUGUUAAAAUGAUUUAUUUCAUAACUAAAUAACCAUAUAUAGCUUCAACUUUAAUAAACUUUAUAUGUAAAUGGGGUGGAAAAAUGCAUAGAUUAACAUGGUGCACUUUGUUUUAUUGUUUAACAACAUUAAAAUAUGGUUCAGGGCAGAAUAGUACCAAAUUCAAAAUAUGGACAUGUGGAUUUCCGGAAUUGUUGUUUGGUGUUCCGGCCUCAUUUAAAUUGCCUAGAUAGUCAGUUUAAUUAUGACUCACCUCUUGCCAUGUUUAACAACAUUUAAUAUUGUUGGGUAGCAUAAAUGAGAGAGAACUAAAUAUUUGAUGUGGUGUUUCGUCAAUAUGCAACUCGUUGCAUAUUGAGCUCCACUUAACUUGUAGUAUUGUUUGUGCACUUCGCCAUGCCAAUUUAAAGCGGACAUGCCUCAUACUUGAUUGUGCAUCAUGCCAUGCUUAUGUGAUGGUUGUUGAUCAUGUUGUUUGCUUCUUUCCGGUUUGCUUCUCUCGUUAGCUUCGGUGUCGUUCCGGAGUUGUGAGGAUUCGUUCGACUACGUCCGUUUGUCUUUUUCUUGGACUCGUUCUACUUCCUUGCAGGAUCUCAGGCAAUAUGACCAUUACCCUCGAUAUCACUUCUAUCUUUGCUUGCUAUUUGCUUCGUUCUAUUGCUAUGUUACGCUACCUAUCACUUGUUUAAGAUGCCUCCCAUAUAGCCAUGGCAGCCUCUAACCUUUUCACCCUUCCUAGCAAACCGUUGCUUGGCUAUGUUACCGCUUUGCUCAGCCCCUCUUAUAGCGUUAUUAGUUGCAGGUGAAGUUGCAAAUUGCUCCAUGAUGGACAUGAUUAUGUUGGGAUAUCACAAUAUCUCUUAUUUAAAUUAAUGAAUCUAUAUACUUGGUAAAGGGUGGAAGACUCGGCCUUAUGCCUGGUGUUUUGUUCCACUCUUGCCGCCCUAGUUUCCGUCAUACAGGUGUUAUGUUCCUUGAUUUUGCGUUCCUUACGCGGUUGGGUGAUUUAUGGGACCCCCUUGACAGUUCGCUUUGAAUAAAACUCCUCCAGCAAGGCCCAACCUUAAUUUUAACAUUUGCCACCUAAGCCUUUUUCCCUUGGGUUCUGCAGACUCAAGGGUCAUCGUUAUUUACCCCCCCCCCCAGCCCGGGCCAGUGUUCCUCCGGGUGCUGGUCCAAACCGAGCAAUGUCUGGCGCCCCCUGGGCAACCAGGUCUAUGCCAACCCGACGUCUGGCUCAUCCGGUGUGCCCUGAGAACGAGAUACGUGCGACUCCUAUCGGGAUUUGUCGGCACAUCGGGCGGCUUUGCUGUUCUUGUUUUACCAUUGUCGAAAUGUCUUGUAAACCGGGAUUCCGAGACUGAUCGGGUCUUCCCGGGAGAAGGUAUAUCCUUCAUUGACCGUGAGACCUUGUGAUGGGCUAAGUUGGGACACCCCUACAGGGUAUAAACUUUCGAGAGCCGUGCCCGCGGUUAUGCGGUAGAUGGGAAUUUGUUAAUGUCCGGUUGUAGAGAACUUGACACCAGAUACGAAUUAAAACACAUCAACCGCGUGUGUAGCCGUGAUGGUCUCUUUUCGGUGGAGUCCGGGAAGUGAACACGGUUUUAGGUUAUGUUUGACGUAAGUAGGAGUACAGGAUCACUUCGUGAUCAUUGUUAGCUUCACGUCCAUCCGUUGCUUCUCUUCUCGCUCUUAUUUGCGUAUGUUAGCCACCAUAUAUGCUUAGUCGCUGCUGCAACCUCACCACCUAUCCAUUUCUUUACCCAUUAAGCUUUGCUAGUCUUGAUACCCAUGGUAAUGGAAUUGCUGAGUCCUUGUGGCUCACCAGAUACUAUCACAACAGUUGCAGGUGCCGAUGAUACCAGUGCAGGUGAUGCAACCGAGCUCAAAUGGGAGCUCAACGAAGGUCUUGGUCGUUGCUAUGUUUCGUUUCAUGUUGAUCAGUAGUGGAGCCCAGUUGGAACGAUCGGGGAUCUAGCAGUUGGGUUAUCUUCUUUUCUUUUGGCUUCGUACGUAGUCGUACUAUGUGUGUGCUCUGAAUGAUGUAUGAUUUAUUUAAGUACUUGUGUGUAGUGACGAUUGUAAGCCAACUCUUUAUCCCAGUCUUGUUCAUUACAUGGGAUUGUGUGAAGAUGACCCUUCUUGCGAUAAAACCACAAUGCGGUUAUGCCUCUAAGUCGUGCUUUGACACGUGAGAGAUAUAGCCGCAUCAUGGGCGUUACAGGUUGGUAUCAGAGCCUCGACCGACCAUAGGAGCCCCCUUGAUUGUUGGCUGUUGUUGACUCUAGAAGAAAACUAUUUUUGAGUCUUAGGAUUAUAUAUAUCGGAGAGUAGGAUUCUUUUUACUCCUCAGCCCCUUCGUCGCUCUCGUGAGGUCUCCUGACGUAGAUGUUUUGUCUUUCCUCUCCUCAAAUUUUCCCUACUUUUUUUUAGGAUCACUCGGGUAUCUUCGGAUCGUUCCGAUAUUCUUAUGAUGAGAACAUUGUUCUUGGUGCCUCCUGACAAUUAGGGGUUGUGGCAGUGUCCCGAGGAGUUGAGCUCUGAGGUGUUGUCGUCAUAAUUUUAUCGUUGCAGUUCUGGAAUACCUGAGUUUUGCCGACAUCGGAAAUCUCUUUUAUGCAGUUGUUUGUGAGAUAACCUCUACGCCACCAAGUACUGGGGCGGGAGUUCGGGAGUAUUGCCAUAACUCGUAUAACGGAUGCUUUUCGAAGGUUGAGGUACACGAUUUUUGAAGGUUUCUUAUUUAUGUGUUGACGGAACGAUAUAGCGUGGAUGUAGGGAUUGUUAGUUUGGGUGAGAUAUAUUGCUUCCCCUGUAUCUCCAACACCAGAUUGCAUAACCAGAAAGUUUCGGGAGUUUAUAGGUGGAAAUUCAAGUAGCUCCUAGAAUAUCUUUCCGACAGAUGCAUGAUAUGAGAUUGGGUUCGAUGUCAGUGGUCCGCCUAUCCACGGUCGUUUUUACAGUGGUCUUGUUGUGUCUUAAAGAAUCCUUGGCUAUGCCCAUUCGGGGACGCUUCGUAUGUCAUGUGCACUGCCUUGUACAUGAUGGUGCUGUACGAUCGAGCCCGUGUGGGCCCCACCACGAAAACUUCGGACAAAUUCUCUAUCAUAUGUUUGUUUCCGGCUUAUUUCUGCAAGCCAAUCCUUUGUUUCGUUUUGAGUUGUGGUAUUUGAGUUGCUUCAAUGUCAAGUGUUGAAUCCACACCUUUCCUAAGCGGUGUUCUCAUAUUCCUAUGUGAAUACUAAUCCUUCAUGUUUACCGAGUUUGUCAUCCCAAUUCUAUUUCCAACCGGUGCGCUUCUCUUCGAGAUGAUCCCAUAAUUCUCCCCAUCCGCAAGAUCAAUUCUAAGUUUUCUCAAUGGUAUCCAUUCCAUCUGCCCCAAAUUGCCUUUGUUUUCCCCCUCCCACCCUUUUAUUCAAGGACUCAUAUAUUCUAAUCAAGUAUUCAUUUACUCAUGUGAAGGCUCUUCAUUCUUUUCCGUCAAUGUUCUUAUCCGGUGUUUCUCAGGAAAAUACUAACGGAGCUUCAAGUUCAUCAUUCUUCAUCUCUUUUUCUUCUUCGGUGGAUCCAAUUCAAGUUUUUCGGUGUUGAUCGUAUUCUUUCCCUUGGUUAAAGUGUUUUCCAUGCUCGUUCGCCUCUCGCCAGUUUAUCCUUCCGGAGUUCUCAAGACAUCUCAGGAGGUUCGUCUGUGUUUGAAUUAAUUCGAGGUUGUCACCUCAUUCAAAUAUUUCAAUCGUUCCGGUGCAUCAUCUAUCUCAACAAUCUUUUUCAACAGUGUUUUCUUUUAGUGAGUCCUAACCUACAGGUCUUCUUUUCCAGGAUCUUACCUGACUCUUCUAAUUUUCCCGGAGCUAUUCCCAAAUUCCUUUCGAAGUUUGACGUAAGAAUGAAUUUUCAUCAGUCAUAUUCUUUCUUUAAGAUCGCUUUCAAAAUAUUUUCAUCGUUGGUUCAACCUUUCUAAUUUUCUCCCGGAGUAUCUCAACAAUUCAUGGUGGUGUUUUCCAUUGUAAUUCUCAACAUUUGAAGACCAAAGAAGAGUUUUCCUCCAAAUCUUAUCCGUUCUCUCAAAGAUUCAUGAUUCUAGCUUGAAGCCAUCCUCAUAAUUGUUUUUGAUUGUGACAAUUCUUUUCACCCAUCCGAAGCAAUUCAUGAGUGGUUUCCAUUUCUUUCCUCCGAAGGCCAUCAUGUCAUAAUUCUUCAUUCUCAGCGUGUAGCUAUCGUUCUCCAAAUCUUACCGGUGAAUUAUUCAAAUAUCCUCUAAUCAGUUCAUAUUCUCUUCGUUCUCAUGUAUCAAAAUCCCUUCAAGUAUCUUCAUUCGUUUUCAAAUUCUUUCCGGUGAAUUGUGCCCUUGCUACUGUCUUUUCCAAAAAAAUACGGUGGUUCGUUCAAGAUUUCACUUCCUUUGUUAUCAUAUCAAUUCAUUCGUUGUUUCCAAAUCCCACCAGUGGUUCCAUCAAUACCUUCUCAUGUUUGCGCUAUCUCUAUCCUCAAUCCCUCAAGAAGAAUAAGUAGUAUGCCAGAUCUAUUGCUUGUCAUCAAUUUAAAUUGGUGAAGGAUACGCAUAACGUAAUUCUUAUUAUUGUUUCAUCCAAGUAAUCUAGUUUCUUAUUUCAAGAGUUAUUCAUCAUGUCACAUUUCUCGGUUCGAGAUGCUUCAUCUUUUCUUUUUCGGAGUUCCAAGUUUUCCGAAUUAUUGUCGUGGAGCUCCAUCUAAAUCAUUGCAAGGCUUCACCUUGUGUUUUCAACUUCUCUUUCUUUUUAUCAUCCUUUUAUUACAGGAGUUCUCCAUGGAGGAUCUAAAUGGUGGUUCAUCAAGGAUUCCUUUCGUUCUUCAAGUGUUCUUCAAGGUUUCGCUCGAAGUUAUGACCCGCCAAGCUUUACUCAAAUAUAAACAUGGUGCCCAACACAUGUUUUGUUUUGAGGAGUUCAAGCAUUCUUCAUCUUGCAUUCCAAAGUGCAAUUCUUUCUACCUUAUCUUUUGAGGUGGUCUUAUGUCACUCUUGACAAUUUCCUUUAUGUUUCAUGAUUCAUAUGUUGUCAAGAAUGAGGUACUUUAAAUCCAUCAAUCUCUUUGUUGGAGUUAUCUUGCUAUAGAUUUAACCUAAAGCCUUCCCUAAGGAAUGUUGCUAUUUGUGGUGCUUAUCAAUGAUCCAAGCUUUCUCCAUAUCCUUCUUGGUGAAAGAGGUUGUUCAUCUCUUCGUUGAUCUCAAGCAAGCAAUUGUUUUUCGUUAGUGGUAGAAUUUCACCUCAAGUGUUGAGAUGUUUCCAUAAGCCCACUACAAGCUUAUUCUUUUCGUUGUUGGUUUUCCAACAACUCCGUUGUAACCUUCUUGGAAGGGUGCUUUCCAAGCUCUUUUGUGGCAGAAGUUGGCAUUUUCUCCUCCAUCUGUUAUUCCAAUGAUCUAUCUUCUAUUCUAUCUUCCGGAGGCAUUGUAAUGUUGCUCUUUUCACUCAUCAUGUCAAAUUGUGAAGGUCAUGUUCUUUUCAUGUUUAUCCAUUUAACCAGUGUGUCGUGUCCUCCAUUCAAGUUCUUUUCAUCUUAUCAUGUCUUGCAUCUCUUUUCAACCGAAGGGCCGCCCAAGUUCUGGCAUUCGUGUUCUUUGGAUAUCUCAUGAUAUCGGUGUGGCUCCAUAUUCUUUUGGUUCGUUAAGCCGUUGUUUCAUGUCUUUGCAACCUUCAAGAUUCUCGAAUGUUCCUUGUUCCUCUUUGACAACGGAGUGUUUGCAAUCUUGUUCAUCUCCAUUGUAUUCUUUCUUUAAAAAAAAUUUCAACCUCUUAAGGUUCGUGGUUUCACUCGUUUGUCGAAGAAGAAACUUAGUUUUUCCUCUUAUCUUCCUCUUCCUUUUCCCUCCGGUGCCAUCCUAGAUCUCGGGACAAGAUCCUCUCGUAGUGGUGGAGUGUUAUAACGCCCCGGAUGUAACUUUCCAUAAUUGUAACUCCAAUUCUUGCCUUUCCCGGAGAUGCGAUAUGAUAUUUCCUUCGUGGUUGGGUUUUUGUCUUUUGUUUUGCAUUUUGUUCGUGUCAUGCAUCUCAUCUCAUAGCAUCAUGCGCAUUGCAUCUGCAUGUUUUCAUAAAGCUUGCAUCCGCUCGUAGUUGUCGCGUUUCCCCCUUGCCUUUGUUAUCCCUUUCGAGACCAACCGUUCAUUUGUUGUCCGACCGUUUGAGCCUAUCUGCACAACCACCACCUCCCCUCGCGCGCGUCCGAAACUUCCCCGAACCCGAACCGCAUGGUCAUCACCGAUGGAUCCGGAUCAUCUCCAAACGUCCCUCUAAAACAUUAUCGGUUCUUUGUUGGACUCACCUAGUCUAUUUCGAUCGGAGGGUCCGAAUCUACCCUAAACUCCCCCUCUUUCCUUAUAUAAGAGACUCCUAGUCUAAAUCUAGACAAACCCUAAAAUUAAGGACCCGUGUCCCAUCAAUCCUCCUCCCCGCCGCCACUCUCUUGGGAUCCAUCCCGCAGCCACCUGGUCUCGAUCCACCUGUGGAUUCCCCUCCUCGUUUUCCUCCACCCACCAACCAGCGCUCUCCACUGCUCCUCCCCGAUUUGCUAGCUUCGAUCCCGAGAUCCUUCGCCACCCAUUGCCCCUCGCCGGAGCAAUACCAGCAGGACCCCUCGGCCUCCUCUGCCCUCUCCUCGAGCUGCCGCAAGUAGCACCACCACCAGGCCGGCCCCGCCGCGCUACCUCUUCCUUCUCUUCCUUCCUAUGGUUCCUUCCUUCUCCUCUCACGUUUCGCCCCUCUUUUUGUUUUCCUCGCAGAAGCACCACGCCAUGGCCGCACCCCGUCGAAGCUUGCAGCGCCUCCGCCUGCCCGCUGCCGCUUUGAUCCGGCAGGGAACGGGCACACCGGCGACCUCCUGCGACCGGAUCCGGGUCCGCCUGCCUCUGCCCGUCCAUCUCCUUCUCAUAUCUCCUUUCUCCCUCACCGCUAAUUCUCUGAAUGUGUUCCCCUGCCAUGUCCUUGCAGCACCAUAGCCGCCCUUCAAGUUCGCGUCCCGACCCCGAUCUGGACCGGAUCCCCUCUGCUCCGCCGCCUGGCUGCCGAAUCCGCCCUGUUCCGGCUGGUUCCCGCCGACCCCGGCGCCAGGACCUUCGGUGAUGCCGCCUUGUGUGUUGCCUUGAACCUGCAGCUGCCUCUGUUCUUCAGUAAUGAGAAGGAGCAGCUCGCUCGCCUCGCGUUGACCACGGCCGGGCCACAUCUCGCGCUGCUGGCAAGGCCUAGCGCCCAUUCCAGCCUCCCCCUGCACCGGACUGGGCCAUGGCCCAUGCUGAGAAACCCACCCAGCGCCUGCCCUGUUCCAGAUUCAGCCCAUAGUUGUUUUUUUGUGCCCUGCGAAUUUUGCUAAUUAUCCAGGAACUGCUGUUUUACAGAAAAGUCCCUCAUGUUCAUGCAUUUAAUAACUCAUCAACCGUGCAUCUUGUUUAAAUGAUUUAUAUAUGUAAAAUGCUUAGAAUUUUAUCUAGUUUCAUAAUAUGCAAAUUUUAACCGUGUUUGAAAUGUUUAAAAUGUUGUUUGUUUAAAUUUGCUCAAAUGCCAUGUUAAAAUGAUUUAUUUCAUAACUAAAUAACCAUAUAUAGCUUCAACUUUAAUAAACUUUAUAUGUAAAUGGGGUGGAAAAUGCAUAGAUUAACAUGGUGCACUUUGUUUCAUUGUUUAACAACAUUAAAAUCAGAAUAGUACCAAAUUCAAAAUAUGGACAUGAGGAUUUCCGGAAUUGUUGUUUGGUGUUCUGGCCUCAUAUAAAUUGCCUAGAUAGUUAGUUUAAUUAUGAUUCACCUCUUGCCAUGUUUAACAACAUUUAAUAUUGUUGGGUAGCAUAAAUGAGAGAGAACUAAAUAUUUGAUGUGGUAUUUCGUCAAUAUGCAACUCGUUGCAUAUUGAGCUCCACUUAACUUGUCACUACUAGGGAAAAGCCUAGCAGCAGCGCGGGUUUUGGCCCUCUCAGUAGCGCGCAUGCUGGAGCUACUAAUAAGGCGCUACAGCUAACAUAUAGCAGUAGCGCCUGUUGACCCACGCUACUACUACAGAUGAAUAGCUACCGCGCUCUUUGGAAAAGGGCGCUACUGAUAUUAUCUACAGCGCUGUUUAGCGGGAAGCGCUACUGGUAAGUCGGCGCUACUGCUAAAUUUCCACCCCUCGCUACUACUAGUUUUAUUAGUUUUUUUUCCUACAUAUUUGUUUUUUAUUUGUUUUGUAUUUGAAUAGGCUUUAUACAAUAAUCUUUAGCAUAUCAUCCACAUACAAAUGUAAUCAUAGCAUAUACAUACAAUUAGUCUCAUCAAAUCAUGUCAUCAUCAUAAUCAUCAUCCAACACAAAGUGGUCUCUCGUCAUCAAUCUCGAAAAUAGCGAUACAAGUCUCGAUUACUUGCAAAUACAUCGUCAUCCAUCUAAACAAUGAUAUACGCGAGAAUAGCUAUCACUUUGAGUACAUGAGUUCGUAUCCCUCUCUCGCAUUAGCGUGAACCUAAACUAAGUACUGCGUGUCGCUCGGAAACCGAAAACCGGUACACCUGGGCCUGACACUCCGGCCACUUGUUGUAUAUAUACUUCUGGCGUAGCACUUCUUCACCAUCUAUGAUCUAUGCACCUGCAUCGUCACAUGAGUCGAUGAUAUGCAACAUAUAUAGUUGAGCAACAGAAAGAAACAGACUUGGCAAAAAUAGAAACAACAUAUCAUAAGCAUAAAUAACAAAGUUCAUCGUACCCAAAAUGACCUAACUAGAGUGAUUUUCGCUAGUCGAGGAGGAGGACGGUUUAAUUACAUCACAAAUAAAGUUUCACCGUGCAUAACUCAAAGUUUUGUCAUAAAAUUCGUCUGCCGCCCGGUAGACGUCGUCGCAAUCAUCAGAACCCUGUCCCUCAUCGUUGCUAGCCAUGUUCCUAUGAUUAAAUCUAGUCAAUUAAUUCUAGACCUAAUAAAAUGAAUAAUGACAUAAAAAGGACAACUGUUUUGUAGGAAUGUUGACUCCUUCCUGGUGCGGCAAAUCCCGGGCACUCGAUAUGUCCUAGUUUGUAGCACAAGUCAUGCCAAAAUUCACGGAAAGUUUCGGCAUGACCUUUGCUAAAAAGUGGACAAAUCGAGAACCUGAAAUUUGCCAGAAUAGAAAUGAAUCAACAUUCCGGCAAAACAUAGGCCACUCAGCAUCAUUCCCUGGAAACAGUGUUCAAGUAUCCCUCUUCGACACCGCAACACAUGUCCAAAUAUACACGAGCAACCACAUGUCCAAAUUUCACAAGCUAAUUCAAAAACAAAAUGUAGAAGAAAAUUCAUUUAACUACUAAUAGAACAAAAUUCAGUUAACUUUAGUGCUCUAUAAUGAUGAAAGGAAAAUUUUUUCAGUUAACUACUAAUUUCAUUCAUUUAGGUUAUUCAUUUAACAUCACAUAAUUAGCCUACUGUACCACUACUACUAGUAGCACUUCUAACCUAAUUAACCUAGCAAAACUCUAGUGCCCUAACUAAAAAACAUCUAAUUAACAUCUAUUAGUACCACUAUUGCCCUAACCUAAUUAACAUCUACUAGUAUCACUAUAUACUAUACAAGCAGCAUCUACCCUAAUUAAACCCUACUGCCCUAACUAACUUUUGUUGUAAACCAAAUUUUUUGCUCUAAACUAAUUUUUGCUCUAACAUCUAGUACUUAACAUCCUUUGCUCUAAACUAAAUUUUUUGCUAUAAACAAAAUUUUGCUCUACUAAUUUUUUCUCUAAAAUUCAGAGAGAGAGGAGUGGGUGGGAGGGGUGGGGGACUUACAGAGAGGGGAGAGACGAUGGCGGGGAGGUGCUCGGUGAUGGAGCAGGGGCGGAGAGGGCGGGCUCGAGCACGGGCAACNNNNNNNNNNNNNNNNNNNNNNNNNNNNNNNNNNNNNNNNNNNNNNNNNNNNNNNNNNNNNNNNNNNNNNNNNNNNNNNNNNNNNNNNNNNNNNNNNNNNNNNNNNNNNNNNNNNNNNNNNNNNNNNNNNNNNNNNNNNNNNNNNNNNNNNNNNNNNNNNNNNNNNNNNNNNNNNNNNNNNNNNNNNNNNNNNNNNNNNNNNNNNNNNNNNNNNNNNNNNNNNNNNNNNNNNNNNNNNNNNNNNNNNNNNNNNNNNNNNNNNNNNNNNNNNNNNNNNNNNNNNNNNNNNNNNNNNNNNNNNNNNNNNNNNNGCUAUAGCUAAGUUAGCUACAGCGCGUUUUUGGAAACGCGCUACUGAUAUUCCUUUCUCCUUUUUUCCCUUUUUCUUUUAUUUUUCUUUACAUUUUAUUUUUUUCCUUUCUCCUUUUUCUAUUUCUUUCAUUUUCAUUUACUUUUCUACUUGUUUUCACUUUAUUUUAUUUCCGUUAGCAGUAGCGCCUUACACGUAAGCGCGCUAUAGCUAAGGAGAGUAGUAGUAGCGCUGGGCCAGUAUAUGCGCUACUGCUAGGUUGGGCUAGCCAUGUGCGCCUAUUUCAAAUAUAGCAGUAGCGCUUUUUGCUAGUAUGCGCUACUGCUAAAGUCAUAGCAGUAGCGCGGUUAAUUUACACGCGCUGCUACUAAGUAGCAGUAGCGUAUGAUUUUGUACAGUGCUACUGGUAACAUUCUGUGUAUAAGGUUUUCCCUAGUAGUGUGUAGUAUUGAUUGUGCACUUUGCCAUGCCAUGCCUAUUUAAAGCGGACAUGCAUCAUACUUGAUUGUGCAUCAUGCAAUGCUUAUGUGAUGGUUGUCGAUCAUGUUGUUUGCUUCUUUCCGAUUUGCUUCUCUCGUUAGCUUCGGUGUCGUUCCGGAGUUGUGAAGAUUCGUUCGACUACGUCCGUUUGUCUUCUUCUUGGACUCGUUCUUCUUCCUUGCGGGAUCUCAGGCAAGAUGAACAUUACCCUUGAUAUCACUUCUAUCUUUGCUUGCUAGUUGCUUCGUUCUAUUGCUAUGUUGCGCUACCUAUCACUUGUUUACCAUGCCUCCCAUAUUGCCAUGUCAGCCUCUAACCUUUUCACCCUUCCUAGCAAACCGUUGCUUGGCUAUGUUACCGCUUUGCUCAGCCCCUCUUAUAGCUUUGUUAGUUGUAGGUGAAGUUGAAGAUUGCUCCAUGAUGGACAGGAUUAUGUUCGGAUAUCACAAUAUCUCUUAUUUAAAGUAAUGCAUCUAUAUACUUGGUAAAGGGUGGAAGACUCGGCCUUAUGCCUGGUGUUUUGUUCCACUCUUGCCGCCCUAGUUUCCGUCAUACCGGUGUUAUGUUCCUUAAUUUUGCGUUCCUUACGCGGUUGGGUGAUUUAUGGGACCCCCUUGACAGUUCGCUUUGAAUAAAACUCCUCCAGCAAGGCCCAACCUUGAUUUUAACAUUUGCCACCUAAGCCUUUUUCCUUGGGUUCUGCAGACUCAAGGGUCAUCAUUAUUUACCCCCCUCUCCCUGGGCCAGUGCUCCUCCGGGUGCUGGUCCAAACCAAGCGAUGUCCGGCGCCCCCUGGGCAACCAGGGUCUAUGCCAACCCGACGUCUGGCUCAUCCGGUGUGCCUUGAGAACGAGAUACGUGCGACUCCUAUCAGGAUUUGUAGGCACAUCGGGCGGCUUUGCUGGUCUUGUUUUACCGUUGUCGAAAUGUCUUGUAAACCGGGAUUCCGAGACUGAUCGGGUCUUCCUGGGAGAAGGUAUAUCCUUCGUUGACCAUGAGAGCUUGUGAUGGGCUAAGUUGGGACACCCCUGCAGGGUACAAACUUUCGAGAGCCGUGCCCGCGGUUAUGCGGCAGUUGGAAUUUGUUAAUGUCCGUUUGUAGAGAACUUGACACCAGAUACGAAUUAAAACACAUCAACCGCGUGUGUAGUCGUGAUGGUCUAUUUUCGUCAUAGUCCGGGAAGUGAACAUGGUUUUGGGUUAUGUUUGACGUAAGUAGGAGUUCAGGAUCACUUCGUGAUCAUUGUUAGCUUCACGUCCAUUCCAUUGCUUCUCUUCUCGCUCUUAUUUGCGUAUGUUAGCCACCAUAUAUGCUUAGUCGUUGCUGCAACCUCACCACUUAUCCAUUCCUUUACCCAUUAAGCUUUGCUAGUCUUGAUACCCAUGGUAAUGGGAUUGCUGGGUCCUUGUGGCUCACUAGAUACUAUCACAACAGUUGUAGGUGCCGAUGAUACCAGUGCAGGUGAUGCAACCGAGCUUAGAUGGGAGCUAAACGAAGGUCUUGGUCGUUGCUAUGUUUCAUUUCAUGUUGAUCAGUAGUGGAGCCCAGUUGGGACGAUCGGGGAUCUAGCAGUUGGGUUAUCUUCUUUUCUUUUGACUUCGUCCGUAGUCGGACUAUGUGUGUGCUCUGAAUGAUGUAUGAUUUAUUUAAGUACUUGUGUGAAGUGGCGAUUGUAAGCCAACUCUUUAUCCCAGUCUUUUUCAUUACAUGGGAUUGUGUUAAGAUGACCCUUCUUGCGACAAAACCACAAUGCGGUUAUGCCUCUAAGUCGUGCUUCGACACAUGGGAGAUAUAGCUGUAUCGUGGGCGUUACAAGUUGUGAAUUCCCACCUAUAAAACUCCCAAACCUAUUAAAUAUUUGUUUUUCAAUAUAAAUCUUGAUAAAUAUGGGACUGGAGAUAAGUCAACUGUAGCUAAAAGGUGUCCCAAUGAUUCGGAGUUUUUAGUUCUAGAUGCAAAAAUUGAUAAAAGUGGGAUUGAAGAGGUCAAGACUUUAAGUAGCAAUGAACCCACUAUUUUGGAUUUCAAGGAAUUUAAUUAUGAUAAUUGAUUUUUGAUAGAUUGUAUUUCCUUGAUGCAAUCCGUGUUAAAUUCUCCUCAUGCUUAUAAUCAAAAUAAAGCUUUUACUAAACAUAUCCUUGAUGCUUCGAUGCAAUCCUAUGAAAUAAAGCUUGAACUAGAAGUUUCUAUCCCCAGAAAACUUUAUGAUGAGUGGGAACCUACUAUUAAAAUUAAGAUUAUAGAUUAUGAAUGCUAUGCUUUGUGUGAUUUGGGUGCUAGUGUUUCCACGAUUCCAAAAACUUUAUGUGACGUGCUAGGUUUCCGUGAAUUUGAUGAUUCUUCUGUAAAUUUGCAUCUUGCGGAUUCCACCAUUAAGAAACCUACUAUGGGAAGAAUUAAUGAUGUUCUUAUUGUUGCAAAUAGUAAUUAUGUUCCCGUAGAUUUUAUUGUUCUUGAUAUAGAUUGCAAUCCUACAUGUCGUAUUAUUCUUGGUAGACCUUUCCUUAGAACGAUUGGUGCAAUUAUUGAUAUGAAAGAAGGAAAUAUUAGAUUCCAAUUUCCGUUAAGGAAAGGCAUGGAACACUUUCCUAGGAAGAAAAGUAAAUUGCCUUCUGAAUCUAUUAUGAGAUCCACUUAUGGAUUGCAUGCCGAAGAUGGCAAUACCUAGAUCUAUUCUUGUUUUUAUGCCUAGAUAGUGGCGUUAAACAAUAGCGCUUGUUGGGAGGCAACCCAAUUUUUUUUGUUCUUUGCUUUUUGCUCCUGUUUAGUAAUAAAUAGUUCAUCUAGCUUCUGGUUAAAUAUGGUUUUAUGUCUUAAUUAGUGUUUGUGCCAAGUAGAACCUUUGGGAAGACUUGGGUGAAGUCUUUGCGAUCAUGCUGUAAAAACAGAAACUUUUGCGCUCAUGAGAUUAGCCGUCAUUUUUACUGGAGAGUGCUUUUAGGUUGAUUCUUCUUGAAGAUUAUUAAUAGAAAAAUUCCUCACGUCCACCAAUUUAUUUCAGAAUUUGUAGAGUUACAUAAGUAUUCGAAAGUUACAGAUACUACAGACUAUUCCGUUUUUGACAGAUUCUCUUUUUCGUGUGUUGUUUGUUUAUUUUGAUGAAUCUAUGAGUAGUAUCGGGGGGUAUGAACCAUAGAGAAGUUGGAAUAAAGUAGGUUUAACACCAAUAUAAAUAAAGAAUGAGUUCAUUACAGUACUGUAAACUGGUGGUUUGCUUUCUUAUACUAACGGAGCUCAUGAGAUUUUCAGUUGAUGUUUUCUGUUGUGAAGUUUUCAAGUUUUUGGGUAAAGAUUUGAUGGAUUUUUGAAUAACGAGUGGCAAGAGCCUAAGAUUGGUGAUGCCCAAGGAACCCCAAGAUAAUUCAAGGACAACCAAAAGCCUAAGCUUGGGGAUGCCCCGGAAGGCAUCCUCUCUUUUGUCUUCGUCUAUUGGUAACUUUACAUGAGGCAAUAUUUUUAUUCACCACAUGGUAUGUGUUUUUCUUGGAGCGUCUUGUAUAAUUUGUGUCUUUGGUUUUUAUUUUACCACAAUCAUCCUUGCUGUACACACAUUUUAGGAGAGACAUGCAUGAAUCGGAAUUUAUUAGAAUACUCUAUGUGCUGCACUUAUAUCUUUUGAGCUAGACAAUUUUGCUCUAGUGCUUCGCUCAUAUCUUUUUAGAGCACGGUGGUGGUUUUAUUUUAUAGAAAUUAUUGAUCUCUCGUGCUUCACUUAUAUUAUUUUGAGAGUCUUUUAGAAAUUUGCUUUGGUUAUAAAAUUAGUCCUAAUAUGAUGGGCUUCCAAGAUGGGUAUAAUAAAAACUUUCAUAUAAAGUGCAUUGAACACUAUGAGAAGUUUAAUUCUUUAUGAUUGUUAUGAGAUAUGAAGAUGGUGAUAUUAGAGUCAUGCUAGUAGAGUAUUUGUGAAUUUGAGAGAUACUUGUGUUAAAGUUUUUGAUUCCCGUAGCAUGCACGUAUGGUGAACCGUUAUGUGAUGAAGUUCGAGCAUGAUUUAUUUAUUGAUUGUCUUCCUUAUGAGUGGCGGUCGGAUAUGAGCGAUGGUCUUUUCCUACCAAUCUAUCCCCCUAGGAGCAUGCGCGUAGUACUUCAUUUUGAUAACUAAUAAAUUUUUGCAAUAAGUAUGUGAGUUAUUUAUGACUAAUGUUGAGUCCAUGGAUUAUACACACUCUCACCCUUUCACCAUUGCUAUCCACUCCAGUACCGCGCAACUUUCACCGGUACCAUACACCCACCAUCUACCUUCCUCAAAAUAUCCACCAUACCUACCUAUUAUGGCAUUUCCAUAGACAUUCCGAUAUAUAUUGCCAUGCAACUUUCCAUCAUUCCGUUUAUUAUGACACGUUCAAUCAUUGUCGUAUUGCUAGCAUGAUCAUGUAGUUGACAUCGUAUUUGUGGCAAAGCCACCGUUCAUAAUUUUUCAUACAUGUCACUCUUGAAUCAUUGCACAUCCUGGUAACCGUCGGAGGCAUUCACAUAGAGUCAUAUUUUGUUCUAAGUAGCAAGUUGUAAUUCUUGAGUUGUAAGUAAAUAAAAGUGUGAUGAUCUUCAUUAUUAGAGCAUUGUCCCGGUGAGGAAAGGAUGAUGGAGACUAUGAUUCCCCCACAAGUCGGGAUGAGAGUCCGGACUCAAAAAAAGGCCAUAAAAAAGAUAAAAGGCCCAAAUAAAAUAAAUAAAAUGAGAGAAAAAUAGAGAAGGGACAAGCUACUAUCCUUACCACACUUGUGCUUCAAAGUAGCACCAUGAUCUUCAUGAUAGAGAGUCUCCUAUGUUGUCACUUUCAUAUACCAGUGAGAAUUUUUCAUUAUAGAACUUGGAUUGUAUAUUCCAAUGAUGGGCUUCCUCAAAGUGCCCUAGGUCUUCAUGAGCAAGCAAGUUGGAUGCACACACACACUUAGUUUUCUUGUUGAGCUUUCAUACACGUAUAGCUCUAGUGCAUCCAUUGCAUGGCAAUUCCUACUCACUCACAUUGAUAUCUAUUGAUGGGCAUCUCCAUAGCCCGUUGAUAUGCCUAGUUGAUGUGAGACUAUCUUCUCCUUUUUUGUCUUCUCCGCAACCACCAUUCUAUUCCACAUAUAGUGCUAUGUCCAUGGCUUACGCUCAUGUAUUGCGUGAAGAUUGAAUAAGUUUGAGAACAUCAAAAGUAUGAAACAAUUGCUUGGCUUGUCAUCGGGGUUGUGCAUGAUUAAAUACAUUGUGUGAUGAAGAUAGAGCAUAAGGAAACUAUAUGAUUUUGUAGGGACAACUUUCUUUGGCCAACUUAUUUUGAGAAGACAUGAUUGCUUUGUUAGUAUGCUUGAAGUAUUAUUAUUUUUAUGUCAAUAUUAAACUUUUGUCUUGAAUCUUAUGGAUCUGAACAUUCACGCCACAAUAAAGAAAAUUACAUUGAUACAUAUGCUAGGUAGCAUUCCAUAUCAAAAAAUCUGUUUUUUUCAUUUACCUACUUGAGGACGAGCAGGAAUCAAGCUUGGGGAUGCUUGAUAUGUCUCCAACGUAUCUAUAACUUUUGAUUGUUCCAUGCUAUUAUAUUAUAUGUUUUGGACGUUUAAUGGGUUUUAAUAUGCUGUUUUAUAUUAGUUUUGGGACUAACCUAUUAACCGGAGGCCCAAUGCCAGUUAUUUUUUCUAUUUUAGUGUUUUACAGAAAAGGAAACGAAGUCCAAACGGAAUGAAACCUUCGCGAGGAUCUUUCUUGGAACAAAAGCAAUCCAGAAGACUUGGAGUUGAAGUCUGGGACUCUACGAGGAGUCCACAAGACUUGUCACCGUGGGCUCCUUGUAGGUCCACCGACGUACUUCUUUCGCCUACAAAUACUCUUAUACCCUAGAAACAUCAGGGGGAGCCACGAAACCACUUUUCCACCGCCGCAACCUUCUGUACUCGUGAGAUCCCAUCUUGGGGCCUUUUCCGGCGAUCUGCUGGACGGGGAAUUUAUCACGGAGGGCUUCUACAUCAACACCAUUGCCUCUCUGAUGAAGCGUGAGUAGUUUACCACAGACCUUCGGGUCCAUAGUUAUUAGCUAGAUGGCUUCUUCUCUCUCUUUGAUUCUCAAUACCAUGUUUUGCUCAAUGUUCUUGGAGAUCUAUUCAAUGUAAUAUUCUUUUGCGGUGUGUUUGCUGAGAUCCGAUGAAUUGUGGAUUUAUGAACUUGAUUAUCUAUGAAGUUCUUCUCUGAAUUCUUAUAUGCAUGAUUUGAUAUCUUUGCAAGUCUCUUCGAAUUAUUAGUUUAGUUUGGCCUACUAGAUUGAUCUUUCUUGGAAUGGGAGAAGUGCUUAGCUUUGGGUUCAAUCUUGCGGUGUCCUUUCCAACUGAUAGUAGGGGCAGCAAGGCACAUAUUGUAUUGUUGCCAUCAAGGAUAAAAAGAUGGGGGUUAUAUCAUAUUGCUUGAGUUUAUCCCUCUACAUCAUGUCAUCUUGCUUAAUGUGUUACUCCAUUCUUAUGAACUUAAUACUCUAGAUGCAUGCUGGAUAGCGGUCGAUGUGUGGAGUAAUAGUAGUAGAUGAAGAAUCGUUUCAUUCUACUUGACACGGACGUGAUGCCUAUGUUCAUGAUCAUUGCCUUAGAUGUAUUCAUAAUUAUGCACACUUCUAUCAAUUGCUCGACAGUAAUUUGUUCACCCACCGUAAUACAUGCUAUCUUGAGAGAAGCCACUAGUGAAACCUAUGGCCCCCGGGUCUCUUUUCCAUUAUAUUGAAUCUAUUAGUUUCCCGUUAACUUGCCAAUUUAUGUCACCGUUACUUUUUAUUACAAUCUUUACUUUGCAAUCUAUACAAAAAAAAUACCAAAAAUAUUUACCUUACUAUCUCUAUCAGAUCUCACUUUUGUGAUUGGCCGUGAAGGGAUUGACAACCCCUUUAUCGCGUUGGUUGCAAGCUUCUUGAUUGUUUGUGCGGGUACUAGGUGACUUGUAUGUCGUCUCUUACUAGAUUGAUACCUUGGUUCUCAAAACCGAGGGAAAUACUUACGCUACUUUGCUGCAUCACCCUUUCCUCUUCAAGGGAAAACAAACGCAUGCUCAGGAGGUAGCAGCGAGGUUGUACACACGAGUUUACUAGUUCAGGCCCCUCUCGGAGGAGGUAAAAGCCCUACGUCUCGGUGCCCUGAGCUGGUCGACUGGAAUAUGGGUGUGUGUUACAUGGGGUGCGAACCCUUGUCCCAAAGGAGGGGGUGGCUUAUAUAGAGUGCGCCAGGACCAUAGCCGUCCCCCGUUACAGGGUUCAAUGUACAUUAAGACAGGGUGUUACUUGUAACGCCAGCUAUAAAGUGCUAUUAAUGAUCUUUAAGACUACGGAGUGAACGCCUACCCGUUGCCAUCCUCAGUGACUCUAGGUCUUCUGUACUCCGAGUGGUUUCCUGUAUGGUCGAAUGACUUCAUCCAGGUUGAGUGAAAUUGCGGGUAUCCGUGUGAGGUGACUGGUCGAAUGGAUUGCACUCGAUGGCUACUUCAGUCGGUAUUUCUUGCUAUACUUUGAAUGUCCUUGAUUCUAGGGUAGUGACCAUGGGUAGGGCGUAUAGGUCAGGCCAAUGACCCUACCUUAGGUUCAUGGCAUCGUCAGGUCCCCCUGUCUGACUCCUCUUUUGCACGAGAAUUGUUUCCCAGGUACACCAUUAAGUAGAACAGCAGAAUAACCAGAGGAGAAAAGCAUGUCCAUCCACAUUAGCCACCUAUUACCAAAGCCUCUAGCAAUGAGAAUAUCUUUGAUUGAUUGAUGUUCAAUAAGGUCAAAUGCCUUCUCAAAAUCUGGUUUCAAGACUAUGAUCUCCUUGCCAGACAUUUUACAUUAAUGGAUGAAUUCAUAAGACCAAGCUAGACAGUCCUGAAUAGAUCUUGCAUUUAAGAAACCAUAUUGAUUUGUGUGGACCAGGUUCAGAAUGACAUCUUGGAGUCUAUUUGCCAAAAGCUUGGUAAUAAUCUUAAUAGAGCAGUUGAGCAGAGAGAUGGGUCUGAAAUCAUUAGGAGUAGUUGGAGCAUGUUUCUUGGGAAUGAAUGAUGAGUUGAUGCUUUUCAAGCUAAUUCUUCCAUGACAGAAAUCCUCAAUUAAGUUGUAGAAAUCUGGUGCUAGAAUAUCCCGGCAAUGUUUGAUGAAGUUUGCGUUUUUCCCAUCAGGCCCAUGUGCCUUGUCAUUUGGUAGGUAUUUGAAUCAAUGUCUUCCUUGGAGAAGGGGGUUUCAAGCACUGAAAGAUCCACAUCUUUGUCAAGAAGACUGCCCCAAGUUCAGAGGAUUAAAAGUUGGCACUGAGUUAUUUAGUCUUUGCUUGAAAGCUUUGAGGAGAAUAUUGGCUUUGGCAUUGUGAUCUCUAUGUGUGUUGCACAACUCAUCUUUUAAACUGGCAAUAUGGUUGACCCUAUAUUUGAUAGUUGCUUUUGCUUGAAAGUAUUUGGAAUUGGCUUCACCAAAUUUAACCCACCUGAUAGUAGCUCUUUGUUGCCAAUAAAUCUUUUGUAAUUCCAACAGUUUAAGCAAAUGUUGUUUCAGAAACUCUCUCCCAUUCAAAGUAAGUUCUCUAAAAUUUUCCAAAAAAUCUAGGAAAGAAAUGACUUCAUUGGUUGUUGUAAUGGAGAAGCUGAGCUGAGCGAUGGAUUUUGACCAAAUUUUUAGACAUUUCCUGAGCCUUUUGAAAUUGGCAGUUAUCCUUUUAGCACUGUCCUGAAUUUGAGUGUCCUGAUCCCAGUUCUGUUUGAGAACUUCUUUAGAACCCUCAAUUUGCAGCCAAAAAUUUUCAAACCUGAAUAUUUUGGCUUUGCGGAUAUGAGUACCAAUCUGAAUCUGGCAGGGUAUGGGGUCAGAGACAGGUUCUGACAAAGGCAAUACCAAAUUGUUUGGAUAUUGGGAGGUCCAAGCUAUAGAGGUGAAUACCCAAUCCAACUUUUCUAGUAAUUGGGCCUGUUGCAUAUUGCUCCAAGUAAAGCUUCUUCCCUUUAAAGCAAUUUCCACCAAAGCCAAUUUGCUAAUGGCAUCAUUGAAUUUCAGCCUAUCAGAGAUAUUGCCUCCAUUCCUGCUUUUGUUGUGUGGGUACCUGAUAUAAUUGAAAUCCCCCAUGAUAAUCCACUUGGUAUCAUCAGGCAUUUGAAUAUUGCUGAACCAAUUAAAUAAACAUCUGUAGCUGCACCUUGACAUGGACCAUAAAUAUUAAAUAGAAUCCAAGAAUCACCAGUCAAUUUAGAAAUGAGCCUGAUGGAGAUGGAGAAGUCAUUAUGGAAGAGAGGUUCUCCCUCAAAGAGAGUGCCAUUCCAAGCAAUGAGAAGAUCACCAGAAGCUCCCACUGAAGGGAGAAAAUCAAAAUGAUUUAUCCUUUUUGGGCAGAAAUUCUUGAGAUAUCUGAAAUCAAACUGUUCUUUUUUAGUCUCCUGCAGACAGAUGAUAUCUGCAUUUAACUCAUCAAUUUUGUUUCUCAGAGCAAACCAUUUCUUGCUGCCAUUUAUUCCUCUGAUGUUCCAAUUGAGUAAAGAUGAGCAUAUGGCCGGCUGGUGUGUAAAGAUGGAGCUAGCUUAAUUCAACGGCUUCCGGUGAUGCAUCGCGCUGGUGAGGGGCGCGGUAGCGUGACGGCAUGCUCUGAAAGCGCGCGGUGGCGUGACGGCAGGGUCGCGGGUGCCUGGUGCCGGCACGGUGGGCCUCACGGGGCUUACUCGUGCCCGUGGCUACGGUGGCGGCCUGGUCUGGGCUCCGCCAGAUCUGGCAGGCUGGGGGUGGCCGUGGGUGGCGUGCGGUGUCUGCAGUGGCGUGCUGCGCGGUUGACAUCACCUGCGUGCCUGUUCUGGCGCGGCUCAUGGCACCUCUUCUGCUCAUCUUCGGGGACGGAUCUCGGCCACUUUGGCGCCCUCGUCGUCGGUCGGAUGGUCGAGGCAUGCUCCUCGCACUCCUAUCCUGGCGGCUGUGGUUCGGCAUUGCAAGAGCCAACAUAGGGGAGGUAGGUUGGAGGGAUCGAUGGUGAGGCCAUCCAUCACUGGCAGGGGUGCUGGUCCGAGGUUUGCUCCGCUCCUCGUCCUACACCUUUCCUUGACCUGGUGCCCCCAGUCAUAGUCUUGGCGCGGUGGAGGCUUGCUGGCCGUUGUCUGCUGCAGUUGUGUAGGGGUCUGCUAGCUGUGGAGGCCCUUCCCUUUUCGAUGGCCGAUGAAGUGUCAGGAUGCAGGGCGGCGGCUCUGUGGUGAGAGCUACGGUGUUCGUGGGUGGUUCUCGUUUCUCGAGUGCGGCCUGGCAGCCUUGGUCGUGUGGGCGGCCGGGUGGCUGGGGCUCGACGGUGCAUGGUUGUGGUGCGGCAGGUCUCUCGUGACCUGUUGCCCUCUAUACGGAGGUGGAUCGUGUGUGCCAGGUAGAUUUGCCCGUUUGGCGGUGGUCAGACGGAUGGCGCCAAUGCUCGUGGGUGUCGUCCUCUUCCUGAAGACGUUGUCGCGGUUGCUCCUAGUACUCUAUUUGCUCUGGGUGAAAAUCUUGAUCCUUUGGAUCGGGCGGUGGCGAUGCUCUGGCGUCGUAACCUUCCUGAAGGCAUCGUCUUGGAGCUCAUAUGGUCAACUUGGGUCCUCGGAGCAGCUAGUUCACAGUUGAGGGCUUUGUCGUCCCUGUAGUGGUCGUUUUUAUUUAUCCUUUGGACACUCUGGGUUGAUGCUGUUGAUCUUCUGUACCCUUGUAUCUCGUGUUGGGUGUGUGCGAUGUGGGUUGGUGUUGUAUGGUCCCGAUGUUUGUGGUUCGUUGCUUUAUCUAUAUCUAUAUCUAUAUCUAUUCUAUAUAUAUAUAUAUAUAUUUAAUAAUAAUAAAUAAAGGGAGGUAAUAUUCUUGGUUUGGUUUAGUCUGCCGCUUUGAUUUUCGUCCGUCGUUAUUCACGUUAAAUUUAGUCUGUCGUUCGUUAUCCUGUCUCUUUACUUGCCCAGUUUAAACCGAUUGGAAACCGACUCAAGCCAACGAGAGGCAAGCAACCAGCGAUCGGGCAGCCAUCUAGCGGCAGCAGCCCAGAUUUUUUUUCCUGAGCUAACGGUAGCAGCCCAGCCUGAGCUAACGAGGUAAUUUUUUUUGCCACCUUAAAUAAUCCCACCUUGCUUUCUUACAUCGAAUCGUGUCAGUUUAUAUACGUCUUAACUUGCUACGUAAUCAGCAAGCUGAUUGAAGAAUCAUUAACCAGAUGGGGAGGCAUGGAGGCAGAAAGCAAUCAAAUCUGUGUGCACCGGUUUUGGGCAAAUUUAUCUGGAUUCAUGAGUUCAUGACAUGACCCGGUACUGGGCUAAUUUGGGGCUAUGGCAUUUAUGAUAAUUACAAUAUGAAAAGCAAGAGUUAAAUCUGAAUUCCAAGGAAAGCUGAGAGAUGAAAUCUCCUGAAUUUUAAUUAAAGGAAAAAUAGUGCAUAUAGAGAGAGUAAAUACAGAUUUGGCUAAGGGCACUUCCAACACAUUAUAUGUACUCCCUCCGUCCAGAAAUACUUGUCGGGGGAAUGGAUGGAUCUAGACGUAUUUAGAUUUAGAUACUCCCUCUUUUCUCCCUUUAAAAUGAGUAGUAGCUUCUCCAACGAACACUGUUUGGAAGCUGGUUCUCACCAAAUUUAGUUACACGUUAAUUUUUUCUUCUAUUGCAACGCACGGGCAUUUGUGCUAGUAUAUAUAAAGCAACAAACUACAAACGAAAGCCUUUUGGUAAAAAACUUAGUGAUACAUUACCAAACCCGAGGCGAGAAUUCUUUUGUAUCCCCGCGAUGAAAUCCUAUCAAUAUACGUAGAUAUCCUUGUUACCGGUUUGUACUGUUUUGUCAUUUUCAUAUUUCGGUAUCCCAUUAACUAACUCCUGGUCAUAAUACCUGGUCUGGUCAGGCAAUGGUGGAUAGUAGAAUACCCAGUGAACUAGAGUGUACCUCCCCAUUGCAGGAGGGGCAAAUACGAGUCUUACAUAUCUAGCACAAUAGCAUACUUUUCAGUAUACCCAAAAGAUAAGUUUAUUUUCACAUUUCUUCUAUUUUAAAAAAAGUCAUUUCUUAUACAAGAAAACCCCCUUCACAUCCUGUGAGCCUGCAUCAUGGUCACGAGUCUUCAAUAGUCAUUAUCGCAAAAUAUCAGGUGUGCCACUUGACGUGGGGUGGAUGGUUACGGCUGUGACUAACUACUAGCGGGUAGUGCGCGGCGGCACGCCGCGCCACAUUGAUUGAGAAGCAAUUUAGUUUUGUUGUAAUAUUUGAUAAACUGAUUCAAGACUUGAUUCGUGACACAGUAGAUCAUACAAGGAAAGGGUACAUUUAAUUGAUACAUGCACAUAAGUGAUCUACAAACCAUAGUGAUAGUGAUAACUGGAUGCAGACCUGAGAUGUUGAUCCUCCGGCUGGGUUUAUUUCUUUGAUGUAGUGAUAGAGAGUUGAAGCUAGUUCUUCUGCUCUUGUUUUUGGUGGUUUGUUUCAUGUGCAGACAAUGUUAAAGUUGUUGUUGUAUGCAUGUUCUGACUCUUGACUGAAUGGCAAAAUAUUUCAAAAUUGGAGACAAACUUUUUUAAGGGUUCUUGUUCGCCUUGACAAGGCUUGCUUUUUACCGUUUCUGUAUUUCUAAUUCUUUUUCCUUGAUCUUACUCCAUUCCUGUGGAGCUGAUUACUCCAUUCUUGUGUGGCUAAGUAGCCUUGUACAAGAGAGACGAUUGUGCCCUGGUUGUUUAUUAGUUGUUUGUUAAUGAGAAUUGUACAUAAUACGAACGUGGAUACAAAGAAACUGGGAAGUACGAUUAGAUAUACCGGUUGAGUUAUUCAUCUUUAUAACGCAAUAUUUAGAGCUGAGGUGGAAUUUCCUGUUGGGUUGUCUCAGUGAUAUUGUGACAAGAGGGUAGAAGUUGAAACUUGCUGGUUUCUCUCAGUAGUCACAGAGGGCAGAGACAGCUUGUUUGUCUCGGUGAUGUAUCUCUUCCCUAUUGGUCUUCAGGGUAUUGUGAUUUUUCAUAUAUACACAAGUUGAUUACGGGUCUCCGGGGGUAUUAUAAUUUUGCAUAUAUGAUAUAUAUGUUGAUUUGUUUCAACAUGACAGCGGAAGAGAUCAUAUUGUGUAUGCGCAGUCUGGUCGAGUUAAAUCCCUCAUAUAGUACUUCUAAAGUAAAUUACAAAUUGAGGCCUGAUGACCAGGAUUGCUAUAAUGUUCUCUUUGAAUUUGAAAGCAUGAAGAGACAUAGAAAUAAUAGUGUGUUUAUGCUAUUCAUGCAAUCUUUUCAAGUUAGUUUUCAAUGAUUUUUAAGAAAAAAAUACUAAAUAUAUCUAAAUUGCAAGAACAAUUGUUAUUUAGUUGUCUAUCUGGACUUGAGGCAUGAACACAUAGUAUAAAAAAAUAGCAGAGAAUGAAGGAAGUACAUAUAUCAAUUUCUACAAUUGAAUAUCAAUUUACAUCUCAAAUAUUAGUUGAUCAACAUUUCACAUUUGUUAGAAAAUCAGAGAAGAUCAUAGACAAUUGUACAACAUGCAUUCAUCAAUUCUCUAGUGCUGCCCAAAAAGAAUUGAUUAGCUGGACCUAAUCCGACCAUGACACAUUUGCAGACGACUGCCAAUGCCAGACUCACCAUCUCCUUCAUAUUUUCCGUCCUUUCUCCUGUUAUUGGUUCCAUCGCCUAAUCCGCGCAGCUGGCCGUGCAUAUGUGUUCUCCUCAACCUGCUUUCGACACAACACUUGUAAACUAACACCCGGCAAAUACAACUAUAUCUGUCGGCAUUGCACUAUCUUCCUCAUACCAGGCAAAUACAACACUAAUUUAUCGAGUACAGAAGGAACACGAUACUUACCGAACACUGCAAAUAUAUGCCUUGUUGAAGCAUCUACCAGUUGCAUGGCUUCAUCAAAUUUUGAACUUGCAUGGUUCAACAAAAUCAAAUAGUGAACUCUCAGGAACAUUAGUUCAGCGAUGAUGCUCUGUCAUUGGGAUCGGGACCUCACAUCUUAAUGGAAGGAAGCAGUUAUUGAUCAAGUCUAAAAUCUGAGUGAGACUUAGGCAGUCAAGCCUAUUGCAGAACCAUGUCUGAUAGAAAAACACUAAUAACAUCUAACUAACAUAGAGUGACUUGAACCAUAUAUGUCUGCAAAUGCAACUCACAUAUUACUACACAAGAAAACAAAUCAAGUUGUUGCUGCUUCUUCACAUAAACGAUCAUAAAUAAGAUGAGAAGGCAGACACAACAAGCAGGAAGGACCUUCCAGUACAACUGUGAUUCUUUCAACAGUGACGGUAGUAGCUGUGUCCCUGGGGAGGCACCUGCAGUCGACCAUAUUGUACUUCUUCUAUGUACAAGAGAAGAUACUUGUGUGAAGUUUGGAACUGCCAACUUAAAAAAUGAAGAAGGAACUUUGAGAUCUUUGAGACCUUUGCCUCUUUCAAGUAACAACAUGUGGUUCUUUUCUUUGAUAAUAAAUCAGAGGAGACAAGGAAAUAAAAAUAUAGUAGCACUUCUGUUGCAUGUUUUGUACCAUAUCAAUAUGAAAUGCAUGAGAUGUGACGAAGAUGCAAGAUGAUAAGACUCACCUGCUCAUUAUGGCCAAGGCUAUUCAGUAUUCCAUCCGUUAACACUGAACGCACUUGAACAAUCCAUAGGAAUCCAUGUCUCAUGUAUCAUGCAGUCGAAAGAACCUGGAAAGUGGAACUGAUUAUGAACCAAACUAAUUUAUAAGAAAGAUGCUACAAAAGAUCAAUCUGCUGUCUAUUGAAUAGUGAUUCCUUUCUCUGUGAUCCUUGCAACAACAAAAAUGUUGACUUUACUCUCAUCAUAGUAUAGCUUGGUGAGAAGCUACUUCGCCAACCAUCAUGAAAAACUAAAACCAUCGGGGUCUGAUGAAAUCUUGUGUGAUAAUAUAUAAGACAGUAGCUGGAUAGCUUGAUAAAUCAAGAGGUCAAGUUAAGGUUUUGCGCCAGAGAACAAAAUAAAAUUUGCUGUGGCAGAAUCAAUAGCACAGAAGCAAUAAGGAAAAAAAUACAAGUAAUAUAUACAUUAAUAAAGUAUGUCAUGCAAAAUGCAGUAACCAAUUACAUCCCAUGCAAUUAUACCAGAUGAAAGUAGGAUAUCAAAAAAAUACCUGACCAAAUGAAGCUCACACAGCUAUUUGCCACCAAUUUAUCAAACAAUAGUGUACAUGAACCUGCAAUACUUACAUACAGUAUAUCAGUGGUGCUACUUUUUUUUAGAUCAACAGUGCAACAUUUAAUUAGUUGACGUGUGAAGCAUAAACAAAUUACAGAUGACACUAACUACAACCAGAGGCCCAGACAGUUUACUAUAUUCUUACUUCCACGGAUACUCCAGUUGGAGUGGUUGUCGACAUGAAACUGUAUUGCCAUGUCCGCCAACAUAUUCUUUCAUAAAGUAUCAAGAAAAACUGAAAAUUAGUGUAUUGCAAGUGCCACUUUCAAUGUUCAGGUUCAGUUCAUCAUACAAUUAUGGAAUAUUAACUCUGAAAUAAAAUAUGACCGUGCAACACUUCUUUUCCUCUCGGAUGUAAAUACGAAGACCGAAAUCCGGAAUUUCCAAGUUACCUGCACUUGUCAUUCUCGCAGAACCCGAACGACCACUUCUUCUCUCCUCGCCAUAAACCUUCACACAAUACAUCAGAAAAUAAGAAUUGGACAUCUGAAUAAAAAGGGCCAAGCAAGCAGGCAGAAGUGCAUAGUGAUCUACCAUGGUAGAGCUCGUGUUGACUGGUGGCCCGUCAUCUCCGACGUGCUAGAGCUGGGGACGACGCCAUGGACGACACCAUCUGCUAUUUCCCUCGUGAAGGAAGAGCACGAAGAUGUUGACAACAGUGACCGCCCCGUCAGACUAUGAAGGGCACAAUCUUCGUGGAGAAGAACUGCGACGUUUAGAGGAGGCGGGGCCAGGGUCUUCCGUCGGUGCAUGGGUCACGGGAACUGAACGAUGACGGACCGGAGAUGAGUGGAGGCUGGAAAGAAGGCCAAAUCGGGGAGGAAGAAGGCCAAAUCGGGAAGGAUUCAGCGCCUCCCGCCUCAGAUCAUGCAGAAUAUGAGAGAGGGGAGAGGGCCUUGCUAGCAGAAUCCGCCUCACCUCUAAUCUGGCCGGUCGUUGGUAGGCCUCUCUUGCUCGACGGCUGGGCUCCCCACGCGAAUCUUGUGCCGAUGGUGCCGUGGCCGCUGUGCAUCGGAGGUGGCGGUGGCACGCCGCCGUUGCUUCAUCUCCUCGGCCGUACGUCUGCCACUAGCGAAGCUCGAGGUUGGAAGGGUGCGGUAGAUGGGACGGUAGGGAGAGGAGGCGAGGCAGAGACCGUCAGGAAGGAGAAGAGCCCUUUUAUAGGCAUAUACGGCGGCCAACCGGUGGCACCACACUCGUCUCGAGUCUUCACGAGAGGAGACCCGAUAAAAUAUCUGAAAGACCGCCGCUUAAGGUAACGUGAGACAAUCGACAAGAAGAGAAGAUCCUGGAAACGAAGCCCACCAGAAAAGCCCAGAAGGCAACGUGUCCAUCGAUGGAAUGGCAGUCAACCACACAAGGGCACCGGACGUGGCAACCACACCCAGAACCAAACGUGCUAAAAUAACCCCACCAAGCAAAAAAUAAAAUCAAUCCACUCUAGGAAACCACCAUGCACACGUGUCGCUCAAACAAGGGCAGUAAAAAAAUUUCCAAAAAAACCAGGUAAAUCGAACACUUACGGACCUAGUCUUCUUAGUAUGCGCAAGCUCGGCGACAAGGGCAGUGGGCCCGCCAGAGGCAGCAACGUUGAGCGUGAAGCUACGACUAUUCCAAGUUGGCGCUCGACUUCGUUGACCCACCCGGUCCUUUAAUGCCUCGAGGAGCUGGUCGCACACAGUGUCGAUGAGAGAAUCUACAAACCUGAUGGGCAAAUGCGAUCCCUCGAACGCCCAUGGUUGCACUCGAACGCGUCCGCCGGCAUUGAUCGGGCAUAUGCCGCAUAUUUUGUCUUCCACACUCGCGUCCCUCAUAUUUGAAACCUUCUAAUCCUGCGAUUCAUGCAACGCUAGGUAACACAUGAUCAAAGCGCAGUUCAUCGGAUCAGCCGGACAAAAAGAACAUAAUUCAUCGAAGUUCAACGGCGGACAGUGCAAAUCGAUACUACAAACAGAACGGGGAAGGGCGGAGGAAAUCACCAUUUCCUCGCCGGCCCCUUCCCCUUCCAGUUGUCGGUGCGGCUGUGCCCCUCCUCCGUGUAGGCGUCGGCAUGCGGAGGCGCAUCGUCGUGGGAGCUAGAGGUGGAGCCGUCCGCCAGAUCCGAGUCGGAGCUGCAGCUAAUGCCCGAGAGCUAGCGGAGUAGGCCAUACUGCUCCUUCGCACGGUGGGCCGCCUUUGCCUUCGCCGCCGCCUCCUUGCUUGCCUCGCGCUCCGAAAACUCGAUGACGAGUCAGAGCGCCUUGGCAUUCUUGCGGUGGAGGCGCCGCACACCGUCUCCGCCGUCGUGAGACAGCAGCGGUGGACUGACGCGAGGAGCGCUGCCUCAGAAUCGACCGGCGCACUCACGCGAGGAUGGGGCGUGAACAUCGACUCGCACGCCACUGCCCUCUCCCUCGCCAGCUGCCACUCACGCCGGGCUGCUCAUGCCUCGAACUAGGGUGUCUUAGUGCGUGCCGGCCCCAGCGCAGGCACGAGGAACCAAAGAUGGUCGGGUACCACCUCCUCCGGCGAGAGGGUGGUGGUGGUGGGUGGCGUACCUGGAGGAGCGGAGUGGCUGGAGGUGCGCGCCAGGCAGGAAGGGCCGGCGACAUCGUCGACGCUGCGUCGACGAGCACCGGGCGCAGACGAAGUGGAUCUGCCGCUGCCGGAUCCGCCUUGGUCGACCAUUGAACGCCUCAAUGCGAUGCGUAAGGCAACCUCCUCCACAUCGCCGGGCUCCGCUUCGCGCAGCAGGCUAGGCGAGUCGUUGUCGGAGCCGGAAUCCCCACCGGAGGCAACGCUGCUUCGAUCGCCGGCCAUCGGAUGUGUUCGGAGGGCAUCGGAAGUGGAGUGGACGGAGAGGGGAGUGAAGUGGAGUUGGGAUUCACUGCGGUCUAGGAUUUUCAGGAUGGGGAUAUUUGUGGGGCAGGCGUGGGCUAAACUGGGCCAAGCCGACGGGCCCCGAUGCCCCUGGACUGCCCCAUACCCAUCCCAUUUUUUUGCUAGAUAUGAUGGGUGCCGCUCAGUCUGGCCGUUUGAUGCCCGUUUGAGGCGUCCGGAUGGAUCGAUUUAUUGUGGCCUGUUAGUGACCGGCAAUCCUCCCUGGCAUUUGAGACGGGUUUAGGGGCUGUAGACGCUCUAAAGCAGCUGACCGGCUGCUGCGUGCGAGCUAUGCCACGAAUCAGUGGGCAACUAUUCAAAGUCUGCAGCGUGUCUGCGUCCAUGCCAGCUACAAAUGUUGAAAGUCAAGUAGAGCGUGCGUUCAUACUUGAAUUGACCUCCAUAAACCAUUAUUCCGGACGAUCCAUUGGUGUGUGCUGACAGUUGAGACAUCAAUUCAAAUUUGUGCGUGUGCGUCCAAUCCAUACCGCCUAAAAUUCAAGCAUCUCUACAAAACCAUUAUAUAUAGACCAAGAAGCGGCAGGGUGCAUGACCAUACAAGAGAAGAGAGUGGUCGUUGUGCAAAAGACUGUUUUGCCAUAUCAUGGCUUCGAGUGGGAGGUUCCAGUACAUGAAGAUGGUCCUUCUCCUUGUUAUACUGGAGCUCAUUCUGGGAAUCUCUGCAGGUUACGGCCGCGGAGUCCCCAUCUACAGCAAAUGUACGUGCUCCAGACAUUCCAUCAUAAUAUCUAACCAGUUAAGGGUUUUUUUAAUCGACAACUAUAUAUGAUAGACAGACCAUCCUUACUGUUUUAAUCGAUGAAACAAUUUAAUUGGGCUUAGUAACACAUAAACCUCAAAAGUUUCAUUGGGUCCGUAUUAAUCUAAGUUCUCACUCAUUAUUGUAAUGUUAAUCAUAUUGAUUUGUGGGAUAUGAAACCGGAAGGCUCGUCAUGAUAUAGCCUGAGGAGGAUUUCAAUUAAAUACCUCACCCCCUAUUUUCUGUUCAAUCACAAAACAAUGCACAAAAAGAUAUGGUUAGUUAGAUGAGAUUGAUUAAAAUUAAUAAAAUCGAUGAUGUACCAUGCAUCUAUGCCCCUUUUUUUGUUAUAUAAUUGUUUUCUCUCUGGACUCAUUGUGUACUUCGUUCUACAAAUGCUUGUUCUACUUGAAGCGCUAGAUAGAAAUUCUGUUUAUCAUGUUGACAGUAAGGUGUUACCAGUUAUUCCCAUAAUUGUCAAUACCAGUUUGCAUGUGAUUAAUCGUUUUGCAGAUUAUACCGGAGGCGAUCCUAAUGGGCCGGGUCAUUAUUGCUGCCGUUAAAUCAGCAUUGUACUGUAUGUCUAUCAUUCCUCCCCGUUGAAAGAAGAUCUAGUGUGGAAGAAGGUCUGACUGAAGUUCGUCGUUUUGUACUCCCUUCGUCAGAAAAUAACUGUUGGUAAAACAGAUGUAUCUAGACAUAUUUCAGUGUUAGAUACACCCAUUUGAGCGAUGGUUAUUUUGGGACGGAGGAAGUUUUAGCUCGCCGCUUAUGUUCGAGUCCGGUAUAGUUCUGUUUCAGGUGUAAACAGGUCCUGGUUGCAUCGUGUUAGGCAUGUUACCGUGUGGUUUUGGGUGUCAAGUCCAUCUGUCCAAGUGAUGUAAAAGCCUUUUUGGCCUAUAUAAACAAAGAGAAAACCAAUGAAAAGACCAGGUUGCACACUCGUGCUUUUGUUGUAUCCGGCCGUUUAAUAAAGGAUAUCCUGUUACUCAUAUGGAUGCUACAGAGCGCUUGUGAGCCUUUUGAAAUCCAAUCUUCGAUUGAACUCGUACCAUACUACAUACUCCCUCCGCAUCAUAUUAAUUCACGCUGAAAUGGAUGUACCUAAAUAUAUUUCAGUGCUAGAUACAUGCAUUUCAGCGCUAAUUAAAAUGGGACGAAGGGAGUACUACAGAUCAAAAUCACCAACAAAUCAUAUUGAGCCAUCAGUUUCAAACAUUAAUUUUGUUUACUUCCAAACCUAGCACAAAAAUCAAAAUCCGCUUUCACCAUUGUCAAACUAGAUCACAGAUAGGCAUAUUCCGACGAAUAGCAAUCGAAGAAUCGAGGAGAGAAUAUGCGUGGAUGCUGUUAGAACAAUGAGCAUGGCCCAUGUAUAUUUCUGAAAUUCCUACAUUAAAUCUCAAAGGCCCAUAAAUAAAUGGCAAGAGGUGGUUUUAAAGUUUAGGCCACACCACUAGUGAAGGAGGCGCCGGACUUCUUUAUCUAGUGGGUUCUCCCCACUACAUUAUCUGGUGAGUAUGAGGAGAGAAAGAGAACACCAUACGUACACACUCACCUCUCCUGGUCUGUCCGGGCACGGCCUCAGGCAUGCCCAAUGCGAUGUCCGCGUGAAUGUUCCGCCGAAAUAUGAUCCGUGGCCUUGCAGGAGUGCGGCUUCCUUUGUAGUUUUGUUUUUUAAUGUCGUGGCUGAUAAGUUGAUUAUUUUCUUGUCCAAUAAGUUUAUCACUUGAAAACCAAGUCGGUUUGAUAUCGUGAUCACGACACAAUACCACCUUGGUCCUACGAUAUACAGGAUUUACCGCCCACGGCCAACGACACACCAAAACAAGUUAGGGUUUUGCCUCCUUUCGCUACUUUCAGUGCAAUUGUAGUUACUCCAUCCCGAACAUCGGCAUGCACCAGCGAGCAGGAGAGCAGGUCUCCACAACCUCUCGCUCUUGAUCAUGCACUGAGAGAUGGCGAAUUAGGUUUCUAGGAAGCGUUCUGUGCCAUUGCUCAAGUUUGUCACCAUGGUUUGUCUUCCAUCCAAAUCAAACGGCGUCAUGUGUACUUCCAUGUCCAACGUUGUCUGCUUCAACCGGGUUUCAACAACGUCAACAACCUCGUCAUCAACAUCACACCUGCAGUAGCUAUGGCUACAAACAAACAAUACAUGCGUAAUGAUCAGUUCAUGUCUCUAAUUAUGCUUGUUGUUACAUGUCUAAUACUGUUGUACAUGUUUUUGUGUUCGUCUAGUAUGCUAGAAUGUUGCAUGCUAGUAAUACUUUUAAUCAUGACUAGCACAUAUGCCCGUGCGUUGCAGCGGGAGAGAUAUUUUUUUGCGAGAAGCAACAGGAAAGAGAAUUGAUGUGUCAUCCAAAAAAAGGGUCUCCACAAUGGUAGGCGACAGAGUAAGGAGUUAUGAUCUUCUCGUUGGACAUGUUUGACACGCGAAAUCUUGAUAGUAGUGGGAUUGGGCGGCAUGGUGGCGAGCACCUAACUCAUGCUUUUUUUUUACUCCGGGUCUGACUCCAUCUCGGGGUUGUGCCUGCCUUCAGUACAUAGUUUCUUCGACCACGGUAUCCUACGACGGCGUAGCCGGGAGGAUUAUGAAUUGCAACGCAUAAAUCCCAUUUCAUUAUCAUAAUCAUGCAAGAAUGUCCCUUCUUUUUGAGGGUUUCUUCUCUUUGAUUAUUUUAGUGCUAGUGCCCAUAUUCUUGCUCUAAUUAAAGUUAAACAACAUAUUCUCUUUUAUUGGCACGUGCACAGAAUUUCUUUUAUUUAUAGUCAACAAGCAUAGAACGAACGUGCACCGCUAACCAAUGGUCAGCGCGAAUAUUUACAAAAAUAAUAUAGUGUUAGAUUAGAAUUUUUUUAACAUUAAAAAAAAUACGAAUUCACGAAUAUUUUUAACAUGAAAAUUUUAUAAAAACACAACUAUUUUUGAAACUUUGAUUUUUUUAGAAGGGGACCAUUCAAAAAAAUGUUAGAAAAUAUUUACUUAGAUGCAAAUAUAAUUUUGUAUUUGUGAAUAUUUCACUAAAACAAGAAUAUUUUAAAAUAUGAAAAAAUUCAUAAAAUUUAAUGCCUAUGAAAAUCUCGAAGAAUUUAUGAAAAAUCUAACAUUUUUAUAAAAAUGAGAAUAUUUUUUGAAUGUUGAGAAAAUUUCGUAACGGGGUUUUUCUAAAAGUUUCGAACAUUUUUUGAAACAGGAGUUAUUCUUGGAGUUCUAAGCUUUUUGAAUAUUUGAAAUUUUUUUGAAAUUGUGAAUAUUUCUGCAAAUUUUUACUUUACAGAAAAACUAGAAAAAAGAAGGAAAAAAUAAAAAGUAGAUAAAGGAGAAAGAUAAAGGAACUGAAAAAGAAAAAAAGAAAUAGAAUAAAGAACAAUGGGAAACGGGCUGGCCCAGUGUUAGACGCACUGUGGGAAACUUCAACUAUUUACCCCUCGAUGCGACAAAUAAGGUCGUUUGAACUGCGGAACAAUAUAAGUGGGCUGGCUUCGGUGGGCUGGAGUGCGCGUGGCCCAAUUAUGAAAUUCUGUAUAAAACUUUUUUCUUUUCUAGCGGAUAAACGCACAAAAAAUUAGUACCACCUCGGAUAGAAUUAUUUUUUCGACGGUGAACGGAUGAAAAAAUUGAAGAAACGCACCUUGCUUUAUUAGUACUAGCACAUAUGCCCGUGCUUCGCUACGGAGGAAACAUGAUUGCUAUGAACCAGGCGAUAAUGUAAUGAAUUAAACACAUGAUUAAAAGCAAACACAAUGUCUAUAAACAAGAGCAUUUAUUAUUCCAAAUCAUAAUAUUUAUCCUUCACGAACACUCUCGAUGAAGAAUUAUAGCGUGUGGCAGCCCUAGGAUCGGCUGGCAUCCGUUUCAUGUCCGUGAACUGCACGGAUCAUGGUGCGUGCGGUCAACAACAAUAAUAUAAUGAUUGGCGAUGUCUAGGAGGUUGGCAGAAUCUAGAUGAGUAGAUGGAUGCGAGCAAUUGGAAAAAUCUCUCACCGAUAAUGUUGUAGGCUUUGGUUAGUGUAGAUUAAAUGGUGAAAUUCGUCCUUCACAAUGCAUUGAACUGCUCAUAAAAUAUUCGUGCUAUUUAUUUUCUUAUUCAUCCUAAAAAAAGCUAAUAGUUGUAAACAUAUAUGUAUGAGCGCUUGCGUCUGUACUGUGUUAAAAAAAAUCUAUCAGUGCGUGUAUGGAUCAGAAAAAUAAAACAUUCAUAAACUCCUUAAUCAUGCUUGAGUCACAAAUGCAACCACGAAUGCUUACCCAAUUCAAUGGCUAAAGAACAUGCCAGUGGCACAUCUGGAAGCUUUUCUGCAUAAAUGGACGAACAAAUACCAUCAAGUGUGCAAACAAACCCGACGCAAGAAGCAUAAUCAGCAAUGGGCUCAUCAGAGUUAAAAAAAUAAUCAAUGGGCUCAUCAGCCAUGGGACACUCCUGUUGCUCCUCGACAAUGGGAGGCUCUUGUACAAAUUGUAUCCUCGAUCAUGUGUGCUUAGCAGCUUAGGGAUUGGCCAGUUAAUGGUCACCUUCCGCUGGAGCGGCCGCUACUACCUCGCCUCAGGCGGCAUCUUCAUUUCCUUUUUUUCCGGGACAGCUUCUUGAUAUGUGGAAAACUCAAAGAAGUAUAUAAAUUGGAUGAAUUAUAUGCAAGGGGGCAAUGUGGGACUAUUUAAGAGUAUUGACCUUCAUCUUUGAUCAUAACGUUGCCCAGGUCAAUUGGCAGCUUUGUCCUGUAUCGGCCAGGUGGUCAUGAGUUCGAUUCUUCAUAGCUGCUCUUAAUUUUUUGCCUCCGCUUGGCUCAUCAGGAAAGGUGGACGUGAUUUGUUGGGCCACUGGCCACAGUAGAUGGGCCUGUCUCAGAAAUAGGAAAAAACCGGCCCAGGAACCCAGCAACGGACAAAAAAUUUAGAUCAAGGAGCGUUUAGUACCACCUCGUACGUGAGCAAAAUAGAACGUACGGUCCAGCAAAAAUUAACGGAAAAAACUAAUCGCGGGACGAAACCAAAAAUAUCACCUUGCUUUAAUAGUAGGUAUAUAUAUAUAUAUAUAUAUAUAUAUAUAUAUAUAUAUAUAUAUAGAUGGGUAUGGGUAUGGGUAUUUAUACUUUCGAAUUUAUCAGGAAAUUGCCUAAUUCUCCAACAAACCAUACUCUAAUUGUAGCCAAUUUACUGUCUUAACUAUAGCUGAAUUCGCUGACGCACCGAAACUGGUUAAAUUUUCCAGGGUGUCUUUCAAGUGGUGGCAUGUGAAGUCCACGCUCUGGCUUAGUGCUCUAAAAAUAUUCCACGUUAUUAUUGGUAUGCCAGAGGGGAUAUCUGAUGAAGAUUUGAGAAAGUUCAAGGAAGCCAAUAUUAUCUUUAUGGUAUGCGUUUUGAGUGUUCUUACUGCCGUCUGUGUGAUGUGUACAUACAUAUACAAGAUAAGAAGACUCUGUGAGAUGCACUAAAUGCCAAAUCCAGUGCAAUAGAUGCAGUCCGUGAACAUGGAGAGCUUCUUUACCCUGGUAUAUUCUUGUCCGGUUUCUUUGCCACACACUUUUACUACUUCCUUCAUUCCACAAUGUAGUGAGCCCGCGUUUCCCAAGAUCUAAGUUUGACCAUACAUUUAAACAAUGAGACUGACUGCGGCGGGAGUAUAAAUUAUACCACUGAAUUCAUAGUUUGACCACAUAUUUAACCAACGGGACCGACUGCGGGGAGAACAAAAACUAUAUCACACUGAAUUCAUAUAUAUGAAUUCAGUGGUAUCAUUUUUGCUCCUGCCGCUGUCAGGUUCGUUUUUUUUUUGCGGGGUAUUUUUUUUCGUUAGUUAAAUGUAUGGUCCAACUUAGAUCUCGAAAAUGCGGGUGCACUACAUUAUGGUAUGAAUUUAGUGGUAUCAUUUUUGCUCUCGCCGCAGUCAGUUUCGUUAGUCAAAUGCAUGGUCCAAUUUUGAUUUCGAGAAACGCGGACACACUACAUUAUAGAAUGGAGGAAGUACAUUGUAAGUUUGUGCGUCUAAUAGGCAUGACUAUACCAAGGAAGUGCUUGUUCUCAUCAUGAGGGAGCGCUGGCCAUUGCAUUUAUUUAUUUGUAUAGUUUUACACAUGCAAAACUUAAUCUAGCUAGAUGCUUGAAUGGCCGCCGGCAGGAAACACACAUGCACGUGAAACUUGAGUCUCGCCCGUCGAUUAAAUCUGUGUGUGGCCGGCGACCUCGCUCCCCCGCUGACGCCGGCUGCCGGGCGCGUGCCCCCCGGCCCGCCCCGUUCCCCUCCCCCUCUCCCCCCUCACCUCCCCUCNNNNNNNNNNNNNNNNNNNNNNNNNNNNNNNNNNNNNNNNNNNNNNNNNNNNNNNNNNNNNNNNNNNNNNNNNNNNNNNNNNNNNNNNNNNNNNNNNNNNNNNNNNNNNNNNNNNNNNNNNNNNNNNNNNNNNNNNNNNNNNNNNNNNNNNNNNNNNNNNNNNNNNNNNNNNNNNNNNNNNNNNNNNNNNNNNNNNNNNNNNNNNNNNNNNNNNNNNNNNNNNNNNNNNNNNNNNNNNNNNNNNNNNNNNNNNNNNNNNNNNNNNNNNNNNNNNNNNNNNNNNNNNNNNNNNNNNNNNNNNNNNNNNNNNNNNNNNNNNNNNNNNNNNNNNNNNNNNNNNNNNNNNNNNNNNNNNNNNNNNNNNNNNNNNNNNNNNNNNNNNNNNNNNNNNNNNNNNNNNNNNNNNNNNNNNNNNNNNNNNNNNNNNNNNNNNNNNNNNNNNNNNNNNNNNNNNNNNNNNNNNNNNNNNNNNNNNNNNNNNNNNNNNNNNNNNNNNNNNNNNNNNNNNNNNNNNNNNNNNNNNNNNNNNNNNNNNNNNNNNNNNNNNNNNNNNNNNNNNNNNNNNNNNNNNNNNNNNNNNNNNNNNNNNNNNNNNNNNNNNNNNNNNNNNNNNNNNNNNNNNNNNNNNNNNNNNNNNNNNNNNNNNNNNNNNNNNNNNNNNNNNNNNNNNNNNNNNNNNNNNNNNNNNNNNNNNNNNNNNNNNNNNNNNNNNNNNNNNNNNNNNNNNNNNNNNNNNNNNNNNNNNNNNNNNNNNNNNNNNNNNNNNNNNNNNNNNNNNNNNNNNNNNNNNNNNNNNNNNNNNNNNNNNNNNNNNNNNNNNNNNNNNNNNNNNNCCGCGGGAUCCAGCGGCGCGGCGUCGGUCUCGCGGGGCGGCGGGGUGGCUUACUGUGGCGGCGCUCCGGCGACCCUCGGUCUGUGCGCGGCGGGGCGGCUGCGGUGCUCCCGUCUCGGGAGGUGGCGCGCGACUGGUCUCGUGUCGGAUCCGUUCGGAUUUGGCGUUGGGGGCCGGCCGGUGGCGCCUGGCUCCGGUGGUGCGUGCCCGACGGCUCCGGCGCUUGGAGCUCGCCGGGCGACGCGGGUAGGGCAGCGGCCGGGCGUGGCUGCUGCUCCGGCCGUGGGCGGUGGCAUGGGUAGGUCUCGGUGGCCUACCGGUGUUGUGGAGGCUUAACGGUGAUUCGAUGGAUCUGUCCGCGGCAACGGCCGGCUUCUCCGGCGUCGGUUUGUCUGCGUUCGGGCCGUCUCGUCCUUCACCCCAUCUCCUCGUCGCCCGGGCGCUACUCCCAUCAAAGGGCUGGUCCUCUCCCAGCUGCGAUCCACCGCUCGUCUCGCGCCCGAUGCCGCAGGACAGAGCUCGUCUCGCGCACGAUGCAGCAGGACCGAGCUCGUCUCGCGCACGAUGCAGCAGGACCGAGCUCGUCUCGCGCACGAUGCAGCAGGACCGAGCUCGUCUCGCGCACGAUGCAUAAGGACCGAGCUCGUCUCGCGCACGUUGCAGCAGGACUGACCUCAUCCCCCUCUCGUUGCUGCAGGACCGAGCUCAUCUCGCGCUUGGGGUAGCAGGAUGGGUCGGUGGAUGCAAGUUCUGGCCGACCUAUUGGGUCUCGAUGCUGGGGGUUGCCCAGGGGCGCGAAAGGUGGGACCUUUCCGCUCGUCUCUUUUGUUGGGGUGCGGCGGGUCACGGGUGAGGUGCUGUCGAGGUCUUGGAUGCUAGGGCGGCGGCCCUGGUGGUGGUGGUGGCGCGGUUCUCUUGGACAAAGCCCGUGCCUUGGUGCUGCCCUCUCAUCAUGGCCGUGUGGGCGGCGUGGUUGCCGGGGUGUGGCGUUCGGUGGCGGUAAAUGUUGGCCGAGGUGAAAACCUGCUCUUUUUUCGGACGGACCGGCGACGGCGAAGAUCGUUCCUUUCUUGAAGGCGUCGUCGCGGCUAUCAUUGCCCGUCAUGCGGCUCCGCGAGAAACUCUGAUCCUUGGAUCGGGCGGUGGCAGCGCUCCGGCGUCGUAUCCUUCCUGAAGGCGCCGCCUUGGAGCGCAUGGUUCGUCAUAUGUAGCUUCAUUUCUUCGGGGCGGUAGUGCUAGGAGUAGUGUUGCUGUGCUCAGCGCCUUCGUAUCCUGUCCUGGGUGUGUGCAUGUGUUGCGGUGGCGUGGCGUGUGGUUGUACUGGAUGCUUGUGGUUUUGUGCUUUAUAUAUAAAGCGGGGGCGAAAGCCUUUUUCGGUAUUAAAUCUGUGUGUCAUAGCAUGUAUGUCUUGCGCAUACCUUGGCAAGCUGAUUUAUUUGAGGCCCACACGCAUGUGAAAUUUAGUCUUAGGCUGUGUUUGGUUGAGCUGCAGAUUCUAAAAAAGUUGAUAUGAAAAUGUUGUUUGGUUAAACAACGGUGAAACUGUAGAUUUGGUUGUGAAAUGUCUGAAAUGCCCCUGUUGCAUAAUAAGUGAAUGUGUUUGUAAGAAAAUUCACCACAAAGCAAUGAUCUAUACAUUUUUACGUAAUUGUAAGCUUAAUUCAAUGGUAUGAAGUGCAUACCCAAUGUUUUUCAAAAAAUAAUUAGUCUAUAUGUUCAAUUAUACGUAAUAUGCCAUCUAUGGUAGUUUCUCUUUGUAUAAAACACACAAAAAAUUGAGCUGCAUUAUGGGAUUUGCUACAUCAAGACCAAAAGCUUAGUGAUCUCUUUACUAUUCGCCGUGGCCCCACCCUCCCUCCCCGCAUCGCUCCCGUGAGGCGACCGGAGGGGUGGGGGGGGGGGGGUGGGGGGUGUUGGGCCCUAGUGGCUAGCCUCGGCCCUAAUUCCUUCCUUCCCUUCCUCGCUCGCCGCCGCCGAGGGCCAAGCUGAUGGCCUAAUCCCGUCACCGCCGCUAGUGGCGGGGCUCCUUUACUCCGCGCUCGUGGGUGGUUGGCACGGGUCAACGGUUUUCGGUGGUGCAUCGCGCUGGUGAGGGGCGCGGUGGCGUAACGACGGGCUCUGGCGGCGGGGUCAUGGGAUCCUGGUGGCGGCGCGUGUUGGAAAUAUGCCGUAGAGAUAAUAAUAAAAUGGUUAUUAUUACGUUUUUCCUUAAUCAUGAUAAAGGCUUAUUAUUCUAGUAGGGCGUUUCGGUGCCAAGGCUCAUCUGCUCCUGGUUAGAAAACAAUUCGUACAAAAUUACAAAAAAUUAAAAAAAUUCCAAAAAAUAUUUGUGCCGUAGAUAAUUUGAUGCGUGAGGUCCUCUCCAAAUUUCAAGUCAUUUGAACAUCUGAGUAGCCCUCAGCAAAAAGAUAAAUCGGGACAAAACAGUACAUGAACAGUAAACAUUUUUAUAUACCCCCAAUUUAUCUUUUUUGCUGAGAGCUCCUCAGAUGUCCAAAUAAUUUGAAAAUUGGAGCAGAUCUCACACAUCAAAUUGUCUACCGCACAAAAAAAUGGAUUUUUUUUGAAUUUUUCUAGUAUUUGUUUUGAUUUUUUUGUCAGCGCGGGUGUAUAGAUGGAUUUUCGUUAUUAUUCAUGCUAUAAUUGUAUUGAUAGAAAAAUUAAAUACAUGUGUGAAUACACAAGCAAAAACCAAGUCCCUAGUAAGCCUCUACUAGACUAGCUCAUUGAUCAAAAGAUGGUUAAGAUUUCCUGACCAUAGACAUGAGUAGUCAUUUGAUAACGGGAUCACAUCAUUACGAUAAUGAUGUGAUGGACAAGACCCAUCUGUUAGCUUAGCAUAUGAUCGUUCAGUUUUUGCUACUGCUUUCUUACACUAGUAGAAAAACGGCCUAAUGUGAAGCACAUUAGUACCGGUUUGUAACAAAAUCGGUACUAAUGUGUCCAUUUGUGCCGGUUCGAACGGCAAGGCGGCCGGAGCUAAUUCGUACCGGUUCAUUGCGAACCUUUAGUACCGGUUCGUGGCACGAACCGGUACUAAAGAGGAUGUGGCACGCCCUAGUCCGGCUGGGGCCCCACCAGCGUCUUUAGUACCGGUUCGCACCACAAACUGGUACUAGUGGUUUGCAGUUGCAGCUAUUUUUUAGUCCCACCUCGCUCGGCUAAUAGGGUUUUUACCACCUUAAAUAUGUUACUUUUCAAACUAUCAGAAGCACUUGGUCUUCAUUGAACUCUGUGUGUAGAAUUUAUGACCGCAAUAUGAUUCUUCACCGGUUUCUAAACCGUUGAGUCAGUUUUCAUCAGUUUUCAUCUGCUUCUUCUCCUCUGUCCCGUCGCCUGCCGCCCCCAUCGCCACCCCUCGUCGCCGCCCCGUCCCCGUCGUCGCCGCCCUGGCCGUCGUCCGUGCCCCGUCCCUGGCUGUCCCCGUCGUUGUCGCCGCCCCGUCCCCAUUCGUCCCAUCGUCCUGUCCCGACCGCCCCGUCCCCGGCCGUCCCCAUCGUCGUCGCCGCCCCGUCGCCGGUCGUCCCCGUUGUCGUCGCCGCCCCUUCCCAGUCGUCCCGUUGUCCCCGCCCCAUCCCCGUCGCCGGUGAGCCCCCGGCCGCCAUGCAUGUCCACACACACAAACACACAUUGUUAAUUAGUUGUAAAAUUGUUAGUAUUUUUUUUAUGUUUUUUAGUUAUAGAAAUGUUAGAAAUUUUUCUGUUUUUUAGUUAGAAAUAUUAGAAAUGUUAUAGAAAUGUUCGUUAUAUAGAAAUGUUAGAAAUGUUAGAAAUGUUAGUUCUAGCUAGAUGAAUUAGAUUAAUGUCAAAUUGCUGGCCGAUGAUCGAUUUUUUUUAGUUUCUUAUAAUUUUAGUUAUAGAAAAAUUUAGAAUCUGCAUAUAGAAUUUUAGUUAUCACAAUCCAAUCAUUUUAAAAAUGUUACUUUUUGCGGCUAUAUAGUAUUUGUUGUCGAUGAUGCCCGACCUGCAUCCUCGCCGUCGAUCCGUUCGGGGCGAUGUCCCGCUUCACAAGACCCAUGUCCGGGACUGGGCUCUGCCGGGCUGGCGCUGGGAGGUGCUACCUUCAGGGGCGCGCCGCUUGGUGAGGAACCCGGCCCCGGGUCCCGUCGUCGACCCUGAUCUCCUUUGGUGGCAUUCGCGUGGGCCACAUUCGGUUUAGAGGGAGCCGGCCUCACCGGAGGUGGUGCGUCGCCGUGUCAGGGAGGAGGAUGAGCACGUCCGUUGCUACAUGGCUGCUCUGGACGUCAGGUUCUCCAAUACCUGGCAGGUUCUUUGGGCAGAUGACUGGAGUAUGAUCCUGUGAUGGUUCCUUCUCUUUGGGCGUUCACCGCCCGCCCCUUAGGAACCGCGAGUGGCCUAGAUUCUUCUGUAGUAUUCGAUCUUUAUUAAUUACCUAGCCAGUGAUGUAUUCGAUAUAUAAUAUUCGAGACGAUGUAUUCGAGAUUAUAUAUUAUUUGAGACGUUGUAUUCGAGAUUAUAUAUUAUUCGAGACGAUGCAUAUUAUGUACUAUGAUUCAGUUUUUCCUUAUUGAUUGCAUCCAUGCAUUGUAAUUUGAAUACUAAAUUGUUUUAUAUUUCUUCUGGAUUAGUUAGAUAAAAGCUAUGGCGGACAAUACCGGCAGAGAGGGAGAAGAGGCCCUGUUCGAGAUCAUACGCAUCCCUCGCAGGCCAGAUGAUCUGAAUGAAGCAGAUGACGACUCCCAAUAUCUGAACAAUGCCGGGGAGGGUGAUGAUAAGAUAUUCGAUCUUGACGACCGAAUGGAUGAAGUCAUGAACUAUGAUUAUGAUUAUGAUGACGCAGACAAUGUUGAUUUCGAAAUAACAAAGACCGGUGAGGUAUAUUUAUAAUAAGGAGGCAUCUGGUGAUCAUCACAUGUUUUUUUUUGAUUUGAAGAUAUAUUAACGAAUCGAUCUUUCUUCUUUCAGCUCUCCGGACCGAGCAAAUAUGCUUCUACAGACAGCAGGACAAAGCGAGGCCUGGGCAAAAAGUUGAAGGAGGGUGUAAAGUACAACAUCGAUUCCAUCAAAGAUAAUGGCGAACCCCUCAUGGCUAAGAGCAUUGCGAACAAGUUCGUGCGUCAGUGCGGAGUUCUUGUGAAGGACCAACUCCCGAUCUCCAUUCAAGAAUGGGAAGAGCCAAAAAAUAAACGUCCAGAUGUUACUUGGGUCGACGAUAGAGCAAAAAAAACGCUUUGGGAAUCUCUCAUGGAACAUUUCACCCUACCAGACCAUUUCACUGAUGCAGAUGUGCAGAAAGUCAAGGAUGCUGCUCUCAGGAAGAUGGCAAUUGCAUUCAACACCCACAAGAAAACUGUAUGGGCCGACUACAUAGAAGGAGAAAAGAAGACUCCCGAAUUCAAAGGAACACUGGAGAAGCAAAGAGAACAGUGGCCCGCUUUCGUGAAAUUCAAGGAAUCCGAAUUCGCUAAGGAACGGUCAAGAAAAAACAAGGCCAAUGCCGCAAAAAGACGCAGUUCCAUAGGCUGGGGCCAGGUGGCUACGUGGUGGCAAUGCCUAAGUGGGAUAAGUCUGAGGAAGAGAUGCUGGAUGCAGGGGUCACUCUAGUUACUAGGAGCUGGCGCCCCAGGUGCAGAACUUGGUUCUAUGCGCAUGGGGGGUGUUGGACCCGAAGACAGGCCUGGUUUCCAAGAAGGCAAGUCUAAAAGGAGCCGAAGAGAAGUUACUUCAAGCAAUAGAAGAUGUUCGAACGGGGGUGUUCACGACCAACAGAGAGAACGACGAGCUUACGCGCGCCUUGGGAAAUCCUGAACACCCGGGAAGAACACGAGGCAAGGGCGUUAUUCCCUGGUAUGAGGGCUUUUCAGAAUGGAACGAUGACUACAGGACCCGUGCAAGAAGGAAGAUGGAGGAGGAGAAGAAGAGGAAGAUGGAGGAGGAGCAGAGGAAGUAGGAAGUAGAAUGCCUUUGUAGGACCUUGAAGUAUGUCUAGAGGGGGAGGGGGGUGAUUAGACUACUUGAGCAAAUAAAAACUUAACCUUUUCCCAGUUUUAGUAUUUGGCAGAUUUUAGCUAACUUAGGACAGGUCAAGCAAUCAUCACACAAUUCAAGCAAGCAUGCAAAGAGUAUAUAGGCAGCGAAAAUUAAAGCAUGCAACUUGCAAGAAGGUAAAGGGGAAGGGUUUGGAGAAUUCAAACGCAAUUGGAGACACGGAUGUUUUUGGCGUGGUUCGGAUAGGUGGUGCAAUCGUUGAUGGAGACUUCAACCCAUGAAGGGUAACGGUUGCGCGAGUCCACAGAGGGCUCCACCCACGAAGGGUCCACGAAGAAGCAACCUUGUCUAUCCCACCAUGGCCGUCGCCCACGAAGGACUUGCCUCACUAGCGGUAUAUCUUCACGAAGUAGGCGAUCUCCUUGCCCUACAAACUCCUUGGUUCAACUCCACAAUCUUGUCGGAGGCUCCCAAGCAACACCUAGCCAAUCUAGGAGACACCACUCUCCAAGAAGUAACAAAUGGUGUGUUGAUGAUGAACUCCUUGCUCUUGUGCUUCAAAUGAUAGUCUCCCCAACACUCAACUCUCUCUCAUAGGAUUUGGAUCUGGUGGAAAGAAGAUUUGAGUGGAAAGCAACUUGGGGAAGGCUAGAGAUCAAGGUUCAUAUGGUAGGAAUGGAAUAUCUUGGCCUCAACACAUGAGUAGGUGGUUCUCUCUCAGAAAUGGCAAGUUGGAAGUGUAGGUUUAGUCUGAUGGCUCUCUCCACGAAUGAAGAGGAGGUGGAGGGGUAUAUAUAGCCUCCACACAAAAUCUAACCGUUACACACAAUUUACCAAUCUCGGUGAGACCGAAUCAACAAACUCGUUGAGACCGAUUUUAGUAAACCUAGUGACCGUUAGGGUUUUCGAUGGGACUGAUAUGCAUCUCGGUAGGACCGAUAUGGUUAGGGUUAGGGCAUAACGUAAUCUCGGUAACACCGAUUACACAAACUCGGUGACACCGAUUUUGGUAACAAACUUACCAGAGAGUUGGUCAGGUAAACUUGGUGGGACCGAUCUGCUCUUUUCGGUGAGAACGAAAUGUUACAAACAGGAAACAGAGAGUUUACAAUGCAAUCUCAGUGGGACUGAUCCGCUCUUUCGGUGAGACCGAAAAGUUACGAAAGGGAAACGGAGAGAUUACAAUCCCAUCUCGGUGAGACCGAGAUCCCUAUCGGUAAAACCGAUUUGCCUAGGGUUUUUGGCAGUGGCUAUGACUAUUGAAUUCAGUGUCGCCGGAUUGAAAGAAUCGGUGUGACCGAAUUUGGCUUUGGGUUUAGGUCAUUUGUGGAUGUGGGAAAGUAGCUGAGGGUUUUGGAGCAUAUCACUAAGCACAUGAAGCAUGAGGCUCAUUAAGCAAGACCUCAUCCCUCCUUGAUAGUAUUGGAUUUUCCUAUAGACUCAAUGUGAUCUUGGAUCACUAAAAUAUAAAAUGAAGAGUCUUGAUCUUUUGAGCUUGAGCCAAUCCUUUGUCAUUAGCAUUUUGAGGGGUCCACUUUCAUCAUCCAUGCCAUGCCAUUGACUGAGCUUUCCUGAAAUAGUAGUCUUGGAAUAGAAUUAGCUCAAUGAGCUAUAUGUUGUUAUGAAUUACCAAAACCACCUAGGGAUAGUUGCACUUCCAAUCUCCCCCUUUUUGGUAAUUGAUGACAACAUAUAGAUCAAAGCUUCGAUAAAUGAUAAUAAGAUUUAGAACAUCGUCGCUUUGAGAAGUAUGUGAUAAGCAAGAGCUCCCCCUAAAUUUGUGCAUAUAUUAAAAUUUGCUUUGGACAGCAAAUGCACAAAAGAUUUGGCUCAUGGGUUACUCUUCCAUGUCACAUACAUCUUGUUGGAGCGCUCAAAAUAAUAACAAUGAAUACAUGCACUCAUCACCAAGCAAAGUGAAUGAUCACAUAGGAUAGAUAAGAUAAUAUCAUCAAACAUGCAUAAGUGUAGCUUAUGAUCAAACACAUGAUCAUCAAUGUCUCACAAACAUAUCAUAGUAUCUCAAGCACUCAAAAGCAAACAAGUUUAAAAACCACCAAAUCAAGAGAGAACAAAAGCAACACUCUCUCUCUCUCGAAGCCUAUGAUCUAUACAUUUUUCUCCCCAUUUGGCAACAAGUUACCAAAAAGUUCCUAGAAAAUGCAUAGCGCUAGAUCGACUCUCAGGCUUGAUCUUCUGGUGGUGGUGCAGUUUGGAUCACUCCAAGGAUGAAGGCUUCUGUAGAAGUGGAUGGAGCUGGAGCUGAAGUAGAUGCUGGAGUUGGUUGGGCUGGUGCUGUAGCUGGAGCUGAGGUGGUGGCUCUGGUGUUUGAAGUUGGCACUGCGGCUGACCUCUGAGCUCGUGGCACUCUGGCAAAUGCAUCAGUUGUAGUUUUGCCCUUCCUUUCCUGCAUGUCAUCUUGAAGUUGCUCUACUGCAGACUGAAUCUCUGUUACUUUUACAUCCAAGUCAUAGAACUUUUGUUCCAUGAUCCUCUCUAAGCUCUCCUGAUUUUGAGUGAGGGUGGCCAGUCCUUUCUCAAUCCUCAGUGUAGAUGCAAUCAAGUAACCAAGCUGCUCUUGCUUGUUCUUCAAUAGAUACUCAGAUGCCUCCUCUUGAGUUGGCAUCCUGGCAGCUUUCUCCUUCCUUGCCUUCUCCCUCCUUUCUUGUGCUUGAACAGAUGAAGGAUCAUUUUCAUUCAUGACAACCUUGUUGUCCUCAAAGUCUGGAUAAAGUGGAAAAUGUUCCUUAUCCAACAGAAAUUUGCCGUUGCCCAUCUUUGAGUUUAUCAAUUCUUGGAUCUGAGGGGCAUAUCCACAGCUCCUCUUCUGGUCUGUUGCAGUUCUCUUGAUGGUUUCCACCAUUAGGCUCAUGACUUUGAAUUUUUGGGGCACAUCAAACAAAUGCAACAUGUUGAUUGCAUGCCCUCUGAUCAUAUUAUGAUCUCCAGAGUUAGGCAAAAGGGUUUGCCUCAAAAUCCAGUUGAUGGUUGGCAGCCCUGACAAAAGAAAGUGGACUGACCCAAACUUGUGAGUCUCUAGGGCAUCAUCUGGAAUUUCCUUGUACAUGUGUGCCAUGGUGUUAUGAUCCAUCUUCUUCUUUGCAUAGACAUCAAGGUCAUCUUCAUGUUCCUCUGGGGCAUUUAUCAACUUUUCCCACUCCUCAACAGUAGAUUGGUACCUCGUACCUUCUGACAUCCACACUAUCCUUCCAUCCGGAUAAAAGUGUGCUGUGGAGUAGAAUUGCAUGAUGAGUUCACCGCUCCAGUUUGUGAGCUUUUGCCCAACAAAAUCUGCUACUCCAACAGCAACAAAGCUGUCUUGCACUCCAGGAUAGUGCUCUUUAUUCUCCUUGAUGUAGGUCCAGUCGACCCACCUCAUGUCACAGACAAUUGGCUUCUUGUCAAGCAGAACGGUCUCAUAGAAAUCCUACUGCUCCUUGGUGUGGAAUCUAUAAUCCACAGUAGUUCUUCUCCUUGUGGCAUAUGGAUCUGACAUCCUCCAUAGCCUUAGACCAUGAUCUCUUCUGACCUUCAUAUCUUCAGCCACAGGAUGAGCAUCGUUGUGGUCUGGUAUCUUGGGCUUAAGUUUCCUCAGAACUUGUCCUUCUUCAUCUUCCUCCUCAGCAGCCUCAGGCAUAGGAGCCUUGUUUUUCUCAGUAGCUAGAAUACUCCUGGUAUUCCUCUUUGGUGCUGUCUUGGCCUUGGUGGCAGCUUUGGGUGCUUCCUUGGGCUUGGAUGUGGCAGCCCCAGAUCUGAUUGCAUCACCCAUAAGCUUAGGUGCCUUUGGUGUUGGUGCAGCAACCUCUUCCUCAUCUUCCAUCAUGGAAGGUCUCCCUAUGACUCUGACUUUGGUCUUCUUGACCCUCUCUUUCCUCUUUUUCCCUUCAGCAACAACUGGCUCUGUGGGUGCAGGCUUCUCUGGGAUCUGAGUUGAAGCUCUGGCCUUUGGCAUAGGCUGCCUGCCUGCUGGCCUUUUGAUUUUCAAUCCAGGCUUGGUGCCCUGAGCUGUGCCAUAUUCCUUCUUGAGCACUACUUUCUUGGAAGUAGCUUCUUCCUCUUCUGCUAUGUAAUCUUCAUCCUCAAAAUCGGAGGUUCUCUUCUUCCUUUGCCUAGUUGCAGCUUUUGGCAAAUUACUUGGGGUACUCCUGCCGCCCUCAACUGAAGAGCUGGAGGGACUAGUGCCCUCACUCAUCUGCACUUGCUCUUCUGGCCUGUUCUGACUGUCACUCUGAUCAGACAUGAUGCAAACUGUGACUGCUGACCCUGUGAAGAGUUUAUAGAUGAGGCACAGUAGAUGAGCAUCACAAAAAGCAGAGAUUUUUGCAAAAAGAAUGACUUGAAAAUUCAGUUUUAGUUUUCCACAGAAAGCAUUUCGGAUCUACCGAUUUUCAAACUCGGUGAUACCGAAGCUGUUUUGGAACCUAAACUGAUGAACUCGGUUGGACCGAGUCAUAGUUCGGUGGCACCGAGACAGCUAGGGUUUCACAGAAUCCUAAAAUCGGUCUCACCGACUAGUAAUUCUCGGUCAGACCAAGUCUCACUUGUGCAAUGGCAAAUGCCAAAUCGGUGGGACCGAGUUUUUCAACUCGGUGGGUCCGAGAUGGUUUCGGCGGAAACCUAACCCUAAAUUUUCGAAUCAAAGCCAUUCUAUGGAUUGUAUUGAUUGGACAGGAGUGUUUCAAACGUGGCUAGAAUCAAUAGGAAUACAAUGUGCUAGGAAUCAGAUGGGGAAUAGCACAAUGAUCGAGUCCAUACCCUAGUUCGGCGGAGACUCGCUAUGGCGGCAACGGCGGGGUUGAAUCCCGUUGACGGCGAUGGAGACCAGCGACUGGAGGCGGCUGGCGGCGAGGAGACGAUCCGGAGACCACGGAGGCAGAGCGAGCUAUUGCGCGGGCGAAGAGGUUCGGAGAAAUUUGCAAAUUUUUGCCCGUAACUAUAUAUAGCCCGACCCUGUCGGUGUGACCGAGUGGAACAACUUGGUGGCACCGAGAUACCAAACUGUGUACAGUUAUUGCAACUCGAUGAGACCGAACGGUUCAAAUCGGUUGCACCAAGAUCGAAAACAUAGAUCAACUUAAUGAUCUCGGUAGGACCGAAAGGGAGAAACCGGUCAGACCGAGAAUCACAAAGAGGUCCUGGAAGUUUAAGUCUAUGACGAAUCGGGGACUCCGAGUGCUCCUCACACAGAGUGGUUCGAAUCUGACUUGAUCAAAUUUUGUGAUGUAGCAUGAAUAGAGUUUGGGAAGAGAAAAGCAUAGAUAGCUAAAUAGGGUUCUUAGGCAUUCUUGUCCAUCCACUUGGAAAAAAGAAAAGAAUCCAAACAAUCAAAAAAACAAGUGGAUGUCCUCGAAUGAGUAAAGUAUGCAACCAGCAUGCUCACACAGAUAAGAUGACAAAAGAAAUAUGUGACAAAGCAUGCACAACCAAUACUAGCAUCUAUCAAACAAUUGGCGAUGACUAGGUCAUCUAUAUUUGAGUAUAUUGACUUAGGAGUCAAAUGAUAGACAUUUCAUCAUAGGUCAUACUCAUCGUUUAAGCUCAAGUGGGGUUACCACUUUUACAUAAAGCAUUGAUAUGUUCACACCAUUAGAGUUGCUUUGACUCAAUCCUUAGAGUUAAGCUCCCCCUAGAUGUGAUAUCUCCCCUUAGAGGGGUGAACUAACCUUGGGUUUUGUCGAUGAUGACUUCAUGUAGGUGUUGAAGAUGUGGAUGCUCAAUGUUGAUGUAGAUCUUUCGGAGCAAUCCGUUGGAGUGAGUUGCACUUUCAACUUACCUACAUGGGUUAGUCCCACAAGGAACAAACAAGAAUAUCCAUAGACAUAGAGUGAUGCACACGCAAAAUGAUGUCCAUGAAAACAUUAGGUUACCUUGUCCCUUGCCUUACCAACAUGAGGUUUUGUGACUCCUUGAACUUGUGCAAAAUAUGGAAGUUGGUUGCACUUGUUCUUGCCAUAAUGAUAUCAGUGAAGAAUGUUGGCGGAGUCACCCUCAAGAACUCUCUAGUUCUUCUUCUUCGGGAUCCACAUCAUCUUGAUGGGAAUCCUUGGAGUUGUAGUUGUACUUGAUGAGGUAGAACUUGAUGUAGUCUUGGGAAUCCACUUGACCGAGACCUUGGGUGCUUCUUCAAAUGCAUCAAUCUCUUCUUGAAGCUUGCCUUUGCCCUUGUUCUUGUGGUCUUGUGGUGGAAGAUCAUCUUGUGCUUGUGUUCCCUUGAAGGAAGUAGGAUCAUACUUCUCUUGUUGAGGAACAUACUUCGUCUUGGGGUAUUGAUCUUCUUCCCACUCAACUCCAUUGGCGUUGAACCUUCGUUCAAAACCAACACCUUGAUUCUUCCGGUGUCUUCCUUGCUUGCGUACAAUUUCCUCGAAUUGCUUACUGCCGGCAAGACUCUUGUAUACACCUUUCUCUAUGAUUCCAUUCAAUAAGCUAUUUUCUUGCUCAAGUGUAACUUGGCUAAGAGAAUCAUUAGUGGAAUCAAGAGAACUACUAGAAGCAACAAUAUUGGAUUUGACAUUGUUAUUGUUAAUACUAGAGAAAGAAUCUUUCUUGUUCUUGUUACUAGACUUGACUUGAGGCAUGUAAGUAGAUAAGAGUAAACGCUUGGCAAUGUAAGAAGAACUUUUCUUGCGGAGAUCAUCAUUGAUUGCCUUUAAGAACUCAUGCUCUUGCUCAAGAUUGAGCUUUUCAAACCGUAACUUCUCAUGAGCUCUUAAAAGUUCUCGAUGAUCUUCGAAGAUAGUUUCAUGAGCUAACUUAAGUGUGUUUAGUUCUUUAGUUGGACGCUCAAUUUUCUUCUUAUCAUUGUCAUUCGUUUCAGCAUUAUUAAUUGACGUUUCAUCAUAGUAUUCAUCACUAGAGUUGUCAACAAGUAAAUCAUCAUCUCCUAGCAAGUCAUCUUCUUCAACAUCAAAAUCAACAUACUCGGGGUGUGUUACCUUAGGACCUUUGGCCAUGAAGCAUCUUCCAAUUCCUUCAUUUGGUGAUCCAAAUAUGUCGUAGGAGUUGGUUGACACAAGUGCUAGACCGGCAACACCUUCAUCUUGAGUGUAUUCGGAGUCGGAGUGAUAGCUUCUCUCGGAGUGAUGAUCGGAGUCGGAGCCGGAUACCCAUUCACCAACAUGAGCUUGAUGUCUUCGUUUUGUGUAGCUCUUCGAUGACUUAUCCUUCCUUUCCGAAUCCUUGCUUCUCCGUGAGGAUCUUCGUUCAUAUCGAUCAUCUCUACUCCUCCUCUCUCUUGGUGGUGAUUCUUCUCUUUUGCUUCUUCUUCUUGGAGAAUCUUCUCUUCUUUUGUAGGGUGCCGUACACUCAUUAGAGUAGUGUCCGGGUCUCCCACAAUUGUAGCAAUUGCGCUCUCGACUAGAGGAUCUUUUGUCAUGGUAAGAUCUUGACUUGGAGCUUCUUUCUUUGCUUCUACUCUUGUAGAAUUUGUUGAAGUUCUUCACCAUUAAACUCAAUUCUUCAUUGAAGGUUUGUUCCUCACUUGAUGAUGCGGGGGCUUCACUUGAGGCUUAGUAAGCACCACUUGUCUUGUUGUGAAGUUGCUCCUUAUCCUUAAGUGAUAUCUCAUGAGCAACAAUUCUUCCAAUGACUUCCGUUGGCUUGAGAUCUUUGUAGUUUGGCAUCAUUUGGAUCAAUGUGCACAUGGUAUCAUAUUUUCCAUCCAAUGCUCUUAGGAUCUUCUUGAUGAUGAAUUUGUCGGUCAUUUCUUCACUCCCUAAGCCGGCAAACUCAUUUGUGAUAAGAGCAAGCCUAGAGUACAUUUCAGCGACACCUUCACCAUCCUUCAUUUUGAACUUGUUAAGCGGACUUUGGAGCACAUCCAACUUGGAUUCCUUGACGGAGUCGGUACCUUCGUGCAUAUCAAUCAAAGUAUCCCAAAUUUCCUUUGCGUUCUCAAGACGGCUAAUUUUGUUGAAUUCUUCGGGGCACAAUCCGUUGAAGAGGAUAUCACAAGCUUGAGCGUUGUAUUGCAGCAUCUUCAACUCUUCCGCACUAGCUUCACGGUUCGGUUCUCUCCCAUCCAAAGAAUUCACCUUGCAAACCAAUACACACAAUAGCCCAAACGGCGGGGUUAUGUCCGAGAAUAUGCAUUUUCAUCUUAUGCUUCCAACUAGCAAAAUUAGUACCAUCAAAGUAAGGACCUCUACAAUGAUAAUUUCCCUCGCUAGACGCCAUACUCUCCUAGGUUGUGAAACCAAGGCUAUGGCCACCAAAAGCUAUGGAAAUCAAAGCAAAUGGAGACCAAAGCUCUGAUACCACUUGUAGGACCUUGAAGUAUGUCUAGAGGGGGGGGGUGAUUAGACUACUUGACCAAAUAAAAACAUAACCUUGUCCCAGUUUUAGUGUUUGGCAGAUUUUAGCUAACUUAGGACAAGUCAAGCAAUCAUCACACAAUUCAAGCAAGCAUGCAAAGAGUAUAUAGGCAGCGGAAAUUAAAGCAUGCAACUUGCAAGAAGGUAAAGGGGAAGGGUUUGGAUAAUUCAAAUGCAAUUGGAGACACGGAUGUUUUUGGCGUGGUUCGGAUAGGUGGUGCUAUCGUAUAUCCAUGUUGAUGGAGACUUCAACCCACGAAGGGUAACGGUUGCGUGAGUCCCCGGAGGGCUCCAUCCAUUAAGGGUCCACGAAGAAGCAACCUUGUCUAUCCCACCAUGGCCGUCGCCCAUGAAGGACUUGCCUCACUAGCGGUAGAUCUUCACGAAGUAGGCGAUCUCCUUGCCCUUACAAACUCUUUGGUUCAACUCCACAAUCUUGUCGGAGGCUCCCAAGUGACACCUAGCCAAUCUAGGAGACACCACUCUCCAAGAAGUAACAAAUGGUGUGUUGAUGAUGAACUCCUUGCUCUUGUUCUUCAAAUGAUAGUCUCCCCAAUACUCAACUCUCUCUCAUAGGUUUUGGAUCUGGUGGAAAGAAGAUUUGAGUGGAAAGCAACUUGGGGAAGGCUAGAGAUCAAGAUUCAUAUGGUAGGAAUGGAAUAUCUUGGCCUCAACACAUGAGUAGGUGGUUCUCUCUCAGAAAUGGCAAGUUGGAAGUGUAGGUUUAGUCUGAUGGCUCUCUCCACGAAUGAAGAGGAGGUGGAGGGGUAUAUAUAGCCUCCACACAAAAUCUAACCGUUACACACAAUUUACCAAUCUCGGUGAGACCAAUUCUACAACCUCAGUCGGACCGAUUUUAGUAAACCUAGUGACCGUUAGGGUUUUCAGUGGGACUGACAUGUAUCUCGGUAGGACCGAUAUGGUUAGGGUUAGGGCAUAACGUAAUCUCGGUAAGACCGAUUACACAAACUCGGUGAGACCGAUUUUUGUAACAAACUUACCAGAGAGUUGGUCAGGUAAACUCGGUGGGACCGAUCUGCUCUUUUCGAUGAGACCGAAAUGUUACAAACAGGAAACAGAGAGUUUACAUUGCAAUCUCGGUGGGACCGAUCCGCUCUUUCGGUGAGACCGAAAAGAUACGAAAGGGAAACAGAGAGAUUACAAUCCCAUCUCGGUGAGACCGAGAUCCCUAUCGGUAAAACCGAUUUGCCUAGGGUUUUUGGCAGUGGCUAUGACUAUUGAACUCGGUGGCGCCGGAUUUAAAGAAUCGGUGUGACCGAAUUUGGCUUUGGGUUUAGGUCAUAUGUGGAUGUGGGAAAGUAGCUGAGGGUUUUGGAGCAUAUCACUAAGCACAUGAAGCAAGAGGCUCAUUAAGCAACACCUCAUCCCUCCUUGAUAGUAUUGGAUUUUCCUAUAGACUCAAUGUGAUCUUGGAUCACUAAAAUAUAAAAUGAAGAGUCUUGAUUUUUGAGCUUGAGCCAAUCCUUUGUCAUUAGCAUUUUGAGGGGUCCAUUUUCAUCAUCCAUGCCAUGCCAUUCAUUGAGCUUUCCUGAAAUAGUAGUCUUGGAAUAGCAUUAGCUCAAUGAGCUAUAUGUUGUUAUGGAUUACCAAAACCACCUAGGGAUAGUUGCACUUUCAGCCUUCAAGUCCUAGAAUCAGCGCACGCGGACUUGGCACUCAAAUUCCAGCGGCAGCAACAGCAGAUCGACUCCCUUAGCUAGGAAAGGGGGUCUCAGCAGCGGCAACAGCUAGCGGAUGAUCCAGCAUUGGAUAGCACCGUCCCAUCCAUGCCGAGAAGCAGCGUUGGUUCCGCCCCAGGGGACGCACUGCUGAUAGAUACCCUUUGGAUGACAUCAUGGAGAACACUAACUGUGAGCUACACUUCAAAAUGAAGAACAUAUCCAUGAAGGUGGCGGAUGCCGUUGCUUAUACAAAUCCCCCCGAAGCAACCUUCCAUUGCAACCCGAUUCCAGCCGGCUAUGCUCGUGUCGUGGUUGAUGAGGUGGUGGACCAAUAUUCAGGGCUAGGGCUUGACACUCCUGGACAGCACGAGGAGCACACAGUGGGAGAGGCCAUACAUCGUAUCAUCCUAUGGAGAAAGGAUUGCAUCAUCUUUCGAAGGCCACCGACACCGCGUCGUCAUCCGACUCCUCCUCGAUGUGAGGCCACUCCUCCUCCUCCAAGUCCAGCACAACAGCAGGCCACUCCUCCUACUUCAAGUCCGGCAUAGCGCGAGGCCACUCUUCCUGUUUUGAGUCUGACACCGCGUGAGGCCACUCCUCCUGCUUCAAGUCCGGCACAGCGUCAGGCCACUCCUCCUACUCCAACUCAGCCACGUCAGCCGUCUCCGCCGCCUCAACAAUCGGGGAAGAAAGCCGCCGUAGCUAUGGUGCGUAGCGCUAUGAGUCGAGGUAGUACAUGAGGUCCAGGCGGAGGCAAGCGAUAUAAAUAUGGUCCAAGCCUCGCUCCUCGUCCUCAAAGGCCUUACGACAUGACCGAGGAGCAAAAUGCAGCCAUAGUGAAGGCCCAAGUGGACACCCAUUUUGGACCGAAACCGGCACCGCCGCCAAGGGAGAAAGUGCCUGAGGAAAAGAUUGACCACUUUAUUCGUAUGGCUAGACCACCAGCUCCCAAGCCUGUUGACUCAGACUAUGAGUGCCAAAUCAGGAAGGCACAUCGAGCACGAGUACCGAAGGAGUCGAGCUCGAGCUCGAGCCAAGCAGCUCGCAAAAAAUGCAGGAAAAUCGUUUCCCAGCUGGGAGAACAGGCGACGCAAUCGAUCCCCCCGCUUGUUGUGCCAACAACACAUAAGAGUACCUACGCCCUAUAUAUAUGUGGGAAACCUGUUAAUGUUCCCCAGUUGGGCAAUCUGGUAAUAACCGAGGAGCAUAUAAUGCAGGCUGAAAUGCUCGGUAUGACUAUUGGACAACUCCUUGAGAUUGACUCCAUGUCUCCGCUUAGAGAAGAGGAAAUAAACGGAAAUAUGUCCGCGGUGAACCUUUGGUCGAGCCCGAGGAGGUCAAGAACCUCCCAACGAGAAUGUAUGAAUUGCAUCAAUGGUACAUGAAAAUUUACAAGACCCACAAUCUACAGUCGCUCAUGGUGAAAGUCAAGGAAGACGAUUACUUCCAUAAGCUAGCUCUGUCUAUUGAGUAUACAUAACUGUUUCAGUUAUUCAAUUAUGACGCACUCGACAAAUCUAUCGUCAGUUGCUAUUGUGUGUAAGGGAUUUCUUUCUGUAAUUUAAGUGUAAGGCUAGCUGUAGUGCUCUCGUUGAUCAUUACCUGUAAUUAUCCUCACUAUAUAUUAUUUUUUGUGGUAUUUUGCAGGAUGAAGAUGUCCGAAAUGAGAAAAGCUGGACGCUAUGGCAUUGGUUUCAUUGACCCAAAUACCAUUAAUGAAGAGACAUGGUCAUAUGAACAUUAUAAACCAGAAGUAGAGAAUAACAUGCUAGAGUUCUUGAAGCGCCUCAAUACCAAUGCAAAUAUACUACUUCCUUACAAGUUCCAGUGAGUCACACUGUCUUGUACUACAAAUUCUGUUUUCGUUACUAGCUAGCUAGAUGUUAAUAAGUGUAUAGGGUUUAGGCUUAGUUGAUGAGUGUUAUGCACAUGCCCGCUUAAUUUAUACAUGCAAAUGCGCGCAUGCAGGUACCACUGGAUCUUGGUAGACACUAAAGUUAAAAAGGAAAAGUUGAAGUACUGGACUCACUGCUUAAAAAACCUAAAGAGUACUCAAUCGUGAAGGGGAUAGUCAGCAGGUAAUUUCAAUCAUUAUAUAUAUGUCCUCAUAUCAACUAAUUAAUAACUCCUUUAUUCAUUUUCUUUGCCGGCGGGCCGGCAGGGCUUGGCAAAGGUUCAUCAAAGACGUUCCAGGCCAGUUCAGAGAAAAUCUGUAUUGGUAUCGACCCAUGGUAAUUAAUUAAGUAGUACUAGCUAGCUAGCUACCAUGCAAUCUCUUUAAUUCUAGUUUUAAUAACAUUAAUUAUCAUGCUUGAUUAAUUAUUAUCUGAUUGAACUCUAUUAUCGUACAUGCCAUGAAGCAGGAGCCUGGGAAUGAAUUAUGUGCAUACUACGUUUGCGAGAACAUUCGCAUGAUGACGUCGGAAAGGAGCACAUCUGAUAGACAGAUGUGGGUAUGUUUGCCAGAACACUAUACGUAAUUUUUACAUCAUUAUCGAUAUCUAGUCACAUGACUAAUACAUGCAUAUUGAUCUCCUUCUUAACACUUCAGUGAGGUGUGGCAGAAGCUCCUACCAAUGGAUCGCGUACGAGCAACUGCAGAGGAAAUAGCGGGAUUUUUGCUCGACCAGGUCAUUGAUCCUAGAGGAGUAUUCCGUCACCCGCUACCGUAGUAAUGCCUCCAUGUAGGAGAAAUUGUAUAUACCAAAUUGUAUAUAUAUACGUACAUGUGUAUGUGUGUGUGUGUAUAUAUAUAUAUACUACGAGAAAUUCUAUUUACAUAUAUAUAUAUAUAUAUAUAUAUAUAUAUAUAUUGAAAAAUAUGCCCUAGAGGCAAUAAUAAAGUUAUUAUUUAUUUCCUUAUAUCAUGAUAAAUGUUUAUUAUUCAUGCUAGAAUUGUAUUAACCGGAAACAUAAUACAUGUGUGAAUAUAUAGACAAACAGAGUGUCACUAGUAUGCCUCUACUUGACUAGCUUGUUAAUCAAAGAUGGUUAUGUUUCCUAACCAUGGACAAAGAGUUGUUAUUUGAUUAACGGGAUCACAUCAUUAGUUGAAUGAUCUGAUUGACAUGACCCAUUUCGUUAGCUUAGCACCCGAUCGUUUAGUAUGUUGCUAUUGCUUUCUCCAUGACUUAUACAUGUUCCUAUGACUAUGAGAUUAUGCAACUCCCGUUUACCGGAGGAACACUUUGUGUGCUACCAAACGUCACAACGUAACUGGGUGAUUAUAAAGGUGCUCUACAGGUGUCUCCAAAGGUACUUGUUGGGUUGGCGUAUUUCGAGAUUAGGAUUUGUCACUCCGAAUGUCGGAGAGGUAUCUCUGGGCCCUCUCGGUAAUGCUCAUUACUUAAGCCUUGCAAGCAUUGCAAGUAAUGAGUUAGUUGUGAGAUGAUGUAUUACGGAACGAGUAAAGAGACUUUCCGGUAACGAGAUUGAACUAGGUAUUGGAUACCGACGAUCGAAUCUCGGGCAAGUAACAUACCGAUGACAAAGGGAACAACGUAUGUUGUUAUGCGGUCUGACCGAUAAAAAUCUUCGUAGAAUAUGUAGGAACUAAUAUGGGCAUCCAGGUCCCGCUAUUGGUUAUUGGUCGGAGACGUGUCUCGGUCAUGUCUACAUUGUUCUCGAAUCGUAGGGUCCGCACGCUUAAGGUUUCGAUGACAGUUAUAUUAUGAGUUUAUGAGUUUUGAUGUACCGAAGGAGUUCGGAGUUCCGGAUGAGAUCGGGGACAUGACGAGGAGUCUCGAAAUGGUCGAGACGUAAAGAUCGAUAUAUUGGACGACUAUAUUCGGAGUUCGGAAAGGUUCCGAGUGAUUCGGGUAUUUUCGGAGUACCGGAGAGUUACGGGAAUUCGUAUUGGGCCUUAAUGGGCCAUACGGGAAAGGAGAGAAAGGUCCAAAAGGGUGGCCGCACCCCUCCCCAUGGACUAGUCCGAAUUGGACUAGGGAGGGGGGCGCCCCCUUCCUUCCUUCUCCUUCUCUCUUCCCUUUCCUUCUCUCCUACUCCUACUACAUGGAAGGGCUCCUAGUUGGACUAGGAAAGGGGGAAUCCUACUCCCGGUGGGAGUAGGACUCCCCUAGGGCACGCCAUAGAGAGGGCCGGCCCUCCCCUCCUCCACUCCUUUAUAUACGGGGGCAGGGGGCACCCCAUAGACACACAAGUUGAUCUUCGUGAUCGUUCCUUAGCCGUGUGCGGUGCCCCCCUCCACGAUAUUACACCUCGGUCAUAUUGUAGCAGUGCUUAGGCGAAGCCCUGCGACAGUUGAACAUCAAGAUCGUCACACGCUGUCGUACUGAAGGAAGUCCUCCCCGAACCUCUGCUGGAUCGGAGCCCGGGGUGCGUCAUCGAGCUGUACGUGUGUCAAGAACUCGGAGGUGCCGGAGUAACGGUGCUUGGAUCGGUUGGACCGGGAAGACGUACGACUACUUCCUCUACGUUGCGUCAACGCUUCCGCUUCGGUCUAUGAGGGUACGUAGACAACACUCUCCCCUCUCGUUGCUAUGCAUCAGCAUGAUCUUGCGUGUGCGUAGGAAUUUUUUUGAAAUUACUACGUUUCCCAACAGUGGCAUCCGAGCCUAGGUUUUAUUGUUUGAUGUUAUAUGCACGAGUAGAACACAAGUGAGUUGUGGGCGAUAUAAGUCAUACUGCUUACCAGCAUGUCAUACUUUGGUUCGGCGGUAUUGUUGGAUGAAGUGGCCCAGACCGACAUUACGCGUACGCUUAGGCGAGACUGGUUCUACCGCCGUGCUUUGCAAACAGGUGGCUAGCGGGUGUCAGUUUCUCCAACUUUAGUUGAACCGAGUGUGGCUACGCCCGGUCCUUGCGAAGGUUAAAACAGCACCAACUUGACAAACUAUCGUUGUGGUUUUGAUGCGUAGGUAAGAACGGUUCUUGCUCAGCCCGUAGCAGCCACGUAAAAUUUGCAACAACAAAGUAGAGGACGUCUAACUUGUUUUGCAGGGCAUGUUGUGAUGUGAUAUGGUCAAGACGUGAUAAGAUAUAAGUUGUUGUAUGAGAUGAUCAUGUUUUGUUGAAGUUAUCAGCAACUGGCAGAAGCCCUAUGGAUGUCUCUUUGUUGCAUAAGAUGCAAGUUCCAAAUAAUUGCUUUACUUUAUCGCUAUACGAUAGCAAUAGUUGCAAGAGCAAUAGUUGGUGAGACAACCAUGUGAUGACACAUUGAUAUAGAUCAAGAUGAUGAAGAUCAUGGUGUCGUGUCGGUGACGAUAGAGAUCAUGACAGUACUUUGGAGAUGGAGAUCAAAGGCGCAAGAUGAUCAUGGCCAUAUCAUGUCACAUAUUUUGAUUGCAUAUGAUGUUUAUCUAUUAUACAUCUUAUUCUUGCUUUGAUUGACGGUAGCAUUUUAAGAUGAUCUCUCACUAAUUAUCAAGAAGUGUUCUCCCUGAGUAUGCACCGUUGCCAAAGUUCGUCGUGCCCAGACACCACGUGAUGAUCGGGUGUGAUAAGCUAUACGUCCAUCUACAACGGGUGCAAGCCAGUUUUGCACACGCGGAAUACUCAGGUUAAACCUGACGAGCCUAGCAUAUGCAGAUAUGGCCUCGGAGCACGGAGACCGAAAGGUCGAGCGUGAAUCAUAUAGUAGAUAUGAUCAACAUAGUGAUGUUCACCAUUGAAAACUACUCCAUCUCACGUGAUGAUCGGUUAUGGUUUAGUUGAUUUGGAUCACGUGAUCACUUAGAUGACUAGAGAGAUGUCUGUCUAAGUGGGAGUUCUUAAGUAAUAUGAUUAAUUGAACUUAAAUUUAUCAUGAACUUAGUCCUGGUAGUAUUUUGCAAAUUAUGUUGUAAGAUCAAUAGCUUGCGUUGUUGCUUUCAUAUGUUUAUUUUGAUAUGUUACUGGAGAAAAUUGUGUUGAAAAAUGUUAGUAGCAAUGAUGCGGAUUGGAUCCGCGAUCUGAGGUUUAUCCUCAAUGCUGCACAGAAGAAUUAUGUCCUUAAUGCACCACUAGGUGACAGACCUAUUGCAGGAGCAGAUGCAGACGUUAUGAACGUUUGGCUAGCUCAAUAUGAUGACUACUUGAUAGUUUUGUGCACCAUGCUUUAUGGCUUAGAAUCGGGACUUCAAAGAUGUUUUGAACAUCAUGGACCAUAUGAGAUAUUCCAGGAAUUGAAGUUAAUAUUUCAAGCAAAUACCCGAGUUGAGAGAUAUGAAGUCUCCAACAAGUUCUAUAGCUAAAAGAUGGAGGAGAAUUGCUCAACUAGUGAGCAUGUGCUCAGAUUGUCUGGGUACUACAAUCGCUUGAAUCAAGUGGGAGUUAAUCUUCUAGAUAAGAUAGUGAUUGACAGAAUUCUCUAGUCACCAUCACCAAGUUAGUAGAACUUCGUGAUGAACUAUAGUAUGCAAGGGAUGACGAAAAUGAUUCCCGAGCUCUUCGUGAUGUUGAAAUCAACGAAGGUAGAAAUCAAGAAAGAGCAUCAAGUGUUGAUGGUUGACAAGAUCACUAGUUUCAAGAAAAGGGCAAAGGGAAAGAAAGGAGAACUUCAAGUAGAUUGACAAGCAAGUUAUCACUCCCACGAAGAAGCCCAAAGCUGAACCAAAGCCUGAAACUGAGUGCUUACACUGCAAAGGAAAUGGUCACUGGAAGCGGAAAUGCCCUAAAUAUUUGGUGGAUAAGAAGGAUGGCAAAGUGAAAAAGGGUAUAUUUGAUAUACAGGUGUUUGAUGUGUUCUUUACUAGUGUUUAUAGCAACCCCUCGGUAUUUGGUACUGGUUCAGUUGCUAAGAGUAGUAACUCGAAACGGGAGUUGCAGAAUAAACAGAAACUAGUUAAGGGUGAAGUGACGAUGUGUGUUGAAAGUAGUUCCAAGAUUGAUAUGAUCAUCAUCGCACACUCCCUAUACUUUCGGGAUUAGUGUUAAACCUAAAUAAAUGUUAUUUGGUGUUUGCAUUGAGCAUGAAUAUGAUUUGAUCAUGUUUAUUGCAAUACGGUUAUUCAUUUAAAAUCAGAGAAUAAUUGUUGUUCUAUUUAAAUGAAUAAAACCUUCAAUGGUCAUACACCCAACGAAAAUAGUUUGUUGGCUCUCGAUCGUAGUGAUGCACAUAUUCAUAAUAUUGAUGCCAAAAGAUGCAAAGUUAAUAAUGAUAGUGCAACUUAUUUUUUGCACUGCCGUUCAGGUCAUAUCGGUGUAAAGCGCAUGAAGAAGCUCCAUACUGAUGGACUUUUGGAACCACUUGAUUAUGAAUCACUUGGUACUUGCGAACCGUGCCUCAUGGGCAAGAUGACUAAAACGCCGUUCUCCGGUACUAUGGAGAGAGCAACAGAUUUGUUGGAAAUCAUACAUACAGAUGUAUGUGGUCCGAUGAAUGUUGAGGCUCGUGGCGGAUAUCGUUAUUUUCUGACCUUCACAAGAUGAUUUGAGCAGAUAUGGGUAUAUCUACUUGAUGAAACAUAAGUCGGAAAUAGUUGAAAGGUUCAAAGAAUUUUAGAGUGAAGUGGAAAAAUCAUCGUAACAAGAAAAAUAAAGUUUCUACGAUCUGAUCGCAGAGACAAAUAUUUGAGUUACGAGUUUGGUCUUCAAUUAAAACAAUGUGGAAUAGUUUCACAAAUUCAUGCCACCUGGAACACCACAUCAUAAUGGUGUGUCCGAUGUCACAACCGUACUUUAUUGGAUAUAGUACAAUCUAUGAUGUUUUUUUACCGAUUUACCAAUAUCGUUUUGGUAUCAUGCAUUAGAGACAACUGCAUUCACGUUAAAUAGGGCACCAUCUAAAUCCUUUGAGACGACACUAUAUGAACUGUGGUUUAGCAAGAAACCAAAGUUGUCGUUUCUUAAAGUUUGGGGCUGCGAUGCUUAUGUGAAAAAGUUUCAUCCUGAUAAGCUCAAACCCAAAUCGGAGAAGUGCGUCUUCAUAGAAUACCCAAAGGAAAUUGUUGGGUACACCUUCUAUCACAGAUCCGAAGGCAAAACAUUCGUUGCUAAUAAUGGAUCCUUUCUAGAGAAGGAGUUUAUCUCAAAAGAAGUGAGUGGGAGGAAAGUAGAACUUGAUGAGGUAACUGUACCUGUUCCCUUAUUGGAAAGUAGUUCAUCACAGAAAUCUGUUCUUGUGACUACUAUACCAAUUAGUGAGGAAGCUAAUGAUGAUGAUCAUGUAACUUCAGAUCAAGUUACUACCGAACCUCGUAGGUAAAACGGAGUGAGAUCCGCACCAGAGUGGUACGGUAAUCCUGUUCUGGAGGUCAUGAUUACUUGACCAUGACAAACCUACGAACUAUGAGGAAGCGAUGAUGAGCCCAGAUUCCGCGAAAUGGCUUGAGGCCAUGAAAUCUGAGAUGAGAUCCAUGUAUGAGAACAAAGUGUGGACUUUGGUGGAGUUGCCCGAUGAUCGGCAAGCCAUAGAAAAUAAAUGGAUCUUCAAGAGGAAGACGGAUGCUGGUAGUAGUGUUACUAUCUACAAAGCUAGACUUGUCGAAAAAGGUUUUGGACAAAGUUUAAGAUGUUGAAUACAAUGAGAUUUUCUCACUCGUAUCGAUGCUUAAAAGUCUGUCCGAAUCAUGUUAGCAAUUGCCACAUUUUUUGAAAUCUGGCAAAAGGAUGUCAAAACUGCAUUUCUUAAUGGGUUUAUUAAAGAAGAGUUGUAUAUGAUGCAACCAGAAGGUUUUGUCAAUCCUAAAGGUGCUAACAAAAUGUGCAAGCUCCAGCGAUCCAUCUAUGGACUGGUGCAAGCAUCUCGGAGUUGGAAUAUACGCUUUGAUAAGUUGAUCAAAGCAUAUAGUUUAUACAGACUUGCAGUGAAGCCUGUAUUUACUAAAAAGUGAGUGGGAGCACUACAUCAUUUCUGAUAAGUAUAUGUGAAUGACAUAUUGUAGAUCGGAAAUAAUGUAAAAUUAUUCUGCAAAGCAUAAAGGAGUGUUUGAAAGGAGUUUUUCAAAGAAAGACCUCGGUGAAGCUGCUUACAAAUUGAGCAUCAACAUCUAUAGAGAUAGAUCAAGACGCUUGAUAAGUUUUUUCAAUGAGUACAUACCUUGACAAGAUUUUGCAGUAGUUCAAAAUGGAACAGUCAAAGAAAGAGUUCUUGCCUGUGUUACAAGGUGUGAAAUUGAGUAAGACUCAAAACCCGACCACGACAGAAGAUAGAAAGAGAAUGAAAGUCAUUCCCUAUGCCUUGGCCAUAGGUUCUAUAAAGUAUGCCAUGCUGUGUACCAGAUCUAUUGUAUACCCUGCACUGAGUUUGGCAAGGGAGUACAAUAGUGAUCUAGGAGUAGAUCACUGGACAACGGUCAAAAUUAUCCUUAGUGGAAUAAGGAUAUGUUUCUCGAUUAUGGAAGUGACAAAAGGUUCAUCGUAAAGGGUUACGUCGAUGCAAGUUUUGACACCGAUCUGAAUGACUCUAAGUCUCGAUCUAGAUACAUAUUGAAAGUGGGAGCAAUUAGCUAGAGUAGCUCCGUGCAGAGCAUUGUAGACAUAGAAAAUUGCAAAAUACAUAACGGAUCUGAAUGUGAAAGACCCGUUGACUAAGAUUCUCUCACAAGCAAAACAUGAUCACACCUUAGUACUCUUUGGGUGUUAAUCACAUAGUGAUGUGAACUAGAUUACUGAAUCUAGUAAACCCUUUGGGUGUUGGUCACAUGGCGAUGUGAACUAUGGGUGUUAAUCACAUGAUGAUGUGAAUUAUCGAUGUUAAAUCACAUGGUGAUGUGAUCUAGAUUAUUGACUCUAGUGCAAGUGGGAGACUGAAGGAAAUAUACCCUAGAGGCAACAAUAAAGUUAUUAUUUAUUUCCUUAUAUCAUGAUAAAUGUUUAUUAUUCAUGCUAGAAUUGUAUUAACCGGAAAUAUAAUACAUGUGUGAAUAUAUAGACAAACAGAGUGUCACUAGUAUGCCUCUACUUGACUAGCUUGUUAAUCAAAGAUGGUUAUGUUUCCUAACCAUGGACAAAGAGUUGUUAUUUGAUUAAUGGGAUCACAUCAUUAGUUGAAUGAUCUGAUUGACAUGACCCAUUCCGUUAGCUUAGCACCCGAUCGUUUAGUAUGUUGCUAUUGCUUUCUCCAUGACUUAGACAUGUUCCUAUGACUAUGAGAUUAUGCAACUUCCGUUUACCGGAGGAACACUUUGUGUGCUACCAAACGUCACAACGUAACUGGGUGAUUAUAAAGGUGCUCUACAUGUGUCUCCAAAGGUACUUGUUGGGUUGGCGUAUUUCGAGAUUAGGAUUUGUCACUCCGAAUGUCGGAGAGGUAUCUCUGGGCCCUCUCGGUAAUGCACAUCACUUAAGCCUUGCAAGCAUUGCAAGUAAUGAGUUAGUUGUGAGAUGAUGUAUUACGGAACGAGUAAAGAGACUUGCCGGUAACGAGAUUGAACUAGGUAUUGGAUACCGACGAUCGAAUCUCGGGCAAGUAACAUACCGAUGACAAAGGGAACAAUGUAUGUUGUUAUGCGGUCUGACCGAUAAAAAUCUUCGUAGAAUAUGUAGGAACCAAUAUGGGCAUCCAGGUCCCGCUAUUGGUUAUUGGUCGGAGACGUGUCUCCGUCAUGUCUACAUUGUUCUCAAACCGUAGGGUCCGCACGCUUAAGGUUUCGAUGACAGUUAUAUUAUGAGUUUAUGAGUUUUGAUGUACCGAAGGAGUUCGGAGUCCCGGAUGAGAUCGGGGACAUGAUGAGGAGUCUCGAAAUGGUCGAGACGUAAAGAUCGAUAUAUUGGACGACUAUAUUCGGAGUUCGGAAAGGUUCCGAGUGAUUCGGGUAUUUUUCGGAAUACCGGAGCGUUAUGGGAAUUCGUAUUGGGCCUUAAUGGGCCAUACGGGAAAGGAGAGAAAGGGCCAAAAGGGUGGCCGCACCCCUCCCCAUGGACUAGUCCGAAUUGGACUAGGGAGGGGGGGCGCCCCCUUCCUUCCUUCUCCUUCUCUCUUCCCUUUCCUUCUCUCCUACUCCUACUACAUGGAAGGGCUCCUAGUUGGACUAGGAAAGGGGGAAUCCUACUCCCGGUGGGAGUAGGACUCCCCUAGGGCGCGCCAUAGAGAGGGCCGGCCCUCCCCUCCUCCACUCCUUUAUAUACGGGGGCAGGGGGCACCCCAUAGACACACAAGUUGAUCUUCGUGAUCGUUCCUUAGUCGUGUGCGGUGCCCCCCUCCACGAUAUUACACCUCGGUCAUAUUGUAGCGGUGCUUAGGCGAAGCCCUGCGACAGUUGAACAUCAAGAUCGUCACCACGCCGUCGUACUGACGGAACUCCUCCCCGAACCUCUGCAGGAUGGGAGCCCGGGGUGCGUCAUCGAGCUGUACGUGUGUCAAGAACUCGGAGGUGCCGGAGUAACGGUGCUUGGAUCGGUUGGACCGGGAAGACGUACGACUACUUCCUCUAUGUUGCGUCAACGCUUCCGCUUCGGUCUACGAGGGUACGUAGACAACACUCUCUCCUCUCGUUGCUAUGCAUCACCAUGAUCUUGCGUAUGUGUAGGAAAUUUUUUGAAAUUACUACGUUUCCCAACACACACACACACACACACACACACAUAUAUAUAUAUAUAUAUAUAUAUAUAACGUGUACAAUAUGUAGUACCAUAAAAUACCAGCAAACGAAAAAGAGUUAAAUGAAAAACACAAAAUUAAAGGAAAAGAAACCCUGAACCCAAAACCCCCCCUAACCUUUUAGUACCGGUUGAUUUUACCAACCGGUACUAAAGGUCUCCCAUUCCCCGGCGCCGGCUUGUGCCACGUGGUGGCCCUUUAGUGGCAGUUCGUGCAUAACCAUUACUAAAGGGGGGACCUCUUUAGUCCCCACCCUUUAGUGCCGGUUGCAGAAUCGGCACUAAAGGCCCUUACGAACCAGUGUUGUUGCCCGGUUCUGCACUAGUGUUAAUGUCUAAUACAUAUUCUUUCGACCGUGAGAUCAUGCAACUGCCGCAUAGCGGAGGAAUUCCUUAUGUGCUAUCAAACAUCACUUUGUAAUUGGGUGAUCAUAAAGGUGCUCUAAGCGUAUCUCCGAACGUGUCUGUUGAGUUGGCAUGAAUCGAGAUUGGGAUUUGUCACUCCGUAUGACGGAGAGUUAUCUGUGGCCCCUCUCGGUAAUAAAGCAUCACAUGAAGCUUGCAAGCAAAGUGACUAAGGAGUUAGUUGCAAUAUAAUGUAUUACGAAACGAGUAAAAAAACUUGCCGCUAAUGAGAUUGAACUAGGUAUGAGGAUACCAAUAAUCGAAUCUCGGGCAAGUAACAUACCGACAAACAAAGGUAACUACGUAUGUGGUCAUAAAGGUUCGACCGAUAAAGAUCUUCAUAGAAUAUGUAGGAACCAAUAUGGGCAUCCAGGUCACGUUAUUGAUUAUUGACCGGAGAGCGUUACGGUCAUGUCUACAUCACUCUCGAACCCGUAGGGUCCGCACACUUAACGUUCGUUGACUAUAUAGUACUAUAUGAUUUAUGUAUGUUGGUAACCGAAUGUUGCUCGGAGUCCUGGAUGAGAUCACAGACAUGACGAGGAGCUCUAGAAUGGUCCAGAUGUAAAGAUUAAUAUAUAGGAUGAAGGUAUUCGGCUUUCAGAAAGGUUUCAGAAUGCACCGGAUUACCGCCGGAGUGCCGGAAGGGCUUCCGAGAGGCCACCGAUAGGUUAUACUUAAUUGGAGGGCCUCGUGGGCCAAAGUAGGGAGGUGCACUAGCCCACAAGGGUUGGGCCUGCUCCACCUCCCCUGUCCACGCGCCAAGGAAGUAGGGGGCCCCCUAGGGUAGCCGACCGCCUUUUCCUUCGCGCACCAAAUAUGGAGGGGGGGGGGCUAAUCAGGCGUCUAGGAUAGCCGCCGGCCCCCUUGGGGCGCGCCCUAGGCUGCCUCCCGUCCACCCUUCACCUAUACAUAUGAGAGGAGGGGAGGGGCGCCACAGACCACGAAUUCCCAAGAUGUGUGUGGUGCCCCCUUUCCCUCUAGUUCGUCCUUUGCUCUAAACCGUUGUGCUUGGCGAAGCCCUGCGGAAAAGUUUCACCACCAUCGUCAUCACACCGUCGUGCUGCCGGAACUCAUCUACUACUUCGCCUUGUUGAAAAUAUGCCCUAGAGGCAAUAGUAAAGUGGUUAUUAUUAUAUUUCCUUAAUCAUGAUAAAUGUAAUAACGAUCCCACUACUUUAGGGAAUAAGUAGUUACCAUUCCAUAGAAUUUCCCAAGAAAGAAUGAGUAUAUAAGAAAACAAACGAGACCAUAUAUGAUACCAUCUUUAUGUUACUUUUCUCUAUGAAGAUAAUAAUGUAGACUACUAACAUACACAUGUUAAUAGUCUAAGUUAGUUCACACUAUGACUGCCCUAACGACACGGUAAGCUCCACAGCAUGGGCAGCAGGCCAGCAGCGGGCCCGUUGAGGUUACAGCUCUGAGUGUGAUGCUACGGCUAUCCAGAAAUAAGAGAAGGAAGCUCCUUAGAGAUCAGUGAUUCUGGGCCGUUGGAUCGGUUCUCUUGAUGUGUUUUCGUCCGUCCGAUCGAGAUCUGGAGAAGCCUGGGCCGUUGGAUCUGGGAUUGACACUGCUUGAAUGAAUAGUAAUGGCAACAAAAUGUAAAUACCAUGCCCCCACCGGGGCAUUUUGGUCAUUUCGCGUAGGGGGGGUAUAAAAGGCGGCCGCUCCCGUGGCUGAGACCUAGCCGCCGCCUCUCUCUCCCGCACUGGUCCAGCUCCUCGCCUCUUCCUCGAGUCCCCACCUCCUGCCCACUGUCCCGCCUCGGUCGCCGGCCGAUUCCGGCCGCUCCGGUGAGCUCCGGUGCCGCCCAACACACACAAGGGUGCUCCUCGACGAGCUCUACUAGCUUCACCGAGUCGAUCUACUUUUCCUCGCCUCCUGUGGUCGCCCCCAUUGAUUUCCCCCACUAGGGUUUCGGUGGUGGAGGCAGACCUCGCCUCCGGCGGCCGCCUGCUCGUUGCCUCGUUUUCUCGAUCCCCAUGGAUGCAUCCCUGCAGGAGAGAAGAUGCAGAGGGAUGGUAGGAGGAGGUAGGCGCACUGGGGCAGGGGGUCUCGCCGGCGACGAUAGGGCUGCCGGCCGGAGUUAUAUCGAGAUCCCAGCCCGCAUCGCGCCUUGACAAAGCAGCUGGCCAAGGCGGCGCUGCCCUUCUCCGCCCUGUUCAUGCGGAUAUCCAGCAACUCCUACCCCAACCUCGGCGCCCUCCACAACUCCUCCCACGUCAGCCUCACGGCCGCCGCAUACAUUGAGAUCUCCGAGGGCGACUUCUGAUACGUCCUUGACGAUGUGCGCCACCUCGCCCCCGACGUCCCGGUGAGCAGCCCCCCUCCCCCCGCCCUUCCCCUCCUCGCUCGACCGCGAGUCCUGGUUCCUCGUGGAGGCCAAAGGGGGUCGUGACCCCCUUCAAGAAAUGUAUUUUGUUACUAAUUGCUAGCGUUUUGUUCCAGCUCAUCCAUGGAUCAUCCCUUGCCAAUUCAAUUAUUAUCUAGGUUGGUUUUUGAGCAUUAGAUCCAUUAACUACUCUGUAUGUACAAAGCUAGCUAGCUACUACAAGCAGCUUAAUCGAUUGUUGUAUGAGCAGCUUCCUGCUUGCUGCUUCAUCUAAUCUUUUGAACUUGUUCAGAGAUCAUUGCACAAUAAAACUGAUCGAUAAGAUUUUCAUUGCAGUUCUCUAAUCUUUUGAACUUGUUAGAAGUUUUCUAAAUUCCAUAUUUGUUAUUUUUUGUGCUUUUCAGGUGACCCAUUGCAGUUCAGAGAUGGUUUAUAUGAAAUUUUUAUGAUCUAGGCCGCUACCAAACGCCUCUGGAGAGCAGUAUACUAUUUAUGCAUUUACCAACACGUGAGUCCUUGCUCACAUGGAUUACAUAUUCCUAGAAAAUAGAUUACUUUGCUAAUAAAGUAUUGAUGAGUCUGGCUAGAUUCUUUGCUCACACGGAUUAGAUAUUCCAAUAGAGAAUACAUUUCUUUGCUAAAAAGUAUUGAUGAGUAUGGCUGCAGGAGAUAGUGAUUCUUUUGUAGCUCUUGAUUUUGCAACUUAUGCAAGGUUUUCACCUUUACCCUUUUUUGGGGGGAAAAGAUCAUCCUUUCUGCACUUUAUUCCCUCAAGACAAACUGCGUGAUGGGAUGAAUAUGCAUACAACACAACUAUUGAACCAAUAUAACCAUUGUUGUUUUUAUGAAAAACAUAAACUUGCAUCCCUUCCCAUAAAUUGGUAGGCUAUCUGCAAGAUUUAGAAACUAUCUAUCCAUGUAAGUUGUUUACUUUGGCCUACCAAUUUCUAUAGUUCUACCACAUAUUUGAUCAUUUGUUCUUUCCUAAUUAUUUUCACUUGAUUUCUAUGAAUGGGGAUUUUUUUUACACUGACCUCUACCCAUUACAUGUGUGCUCUAGGUCCACACCUUCCAAGUGUAUAUCCUGGACUUGAUGCCUGGAGGCGAAUCUAUGGACGGCAUCACCACAACCAUAUUGAUGGUCUAAUCUCGAGGUGAAAACACUCUCUUUGUCUCUCAUUUAUGUUAGUUGAAUAGCUACUUGAUUUGAUGUUGGUUAGUGUACUACAUGCUAUUUCUAAAUUUUGUUAGUCCCAUUCUGCAACUACAACAUGCACGAUAAGGACAGUCGGAUAAUUCUAAUUUCUAUUUUUUGUUAGUCCCAUGGAUGGUAACAAUCUUUUACUAUUUUUUGCCGUAUGCUAUCAUAUAGUGCCUCCCUACUUGCUCAAAAUCAAAGGUACAUCUAUGAGAAGGUAAAAAUUAAGGACAAUAUGGCAGUAGAUUGGCACGUUUGCAGAAAAAAUACCCAUGUAAGUUCAAAAGAACAUCUUUAACUAUUGCUGCUAUAUGCUUUGUAUAUUUCCUCUCUGGUUCCUUUAAAAUCAGAGAGGGCCAAGGCCUCCAUCGUUAAUUUUGAAGGAAGUAGAGAGGAAAGAAAAUGUAUAUAACAGGAAAUAUGUUAAAAUAUGUUCUUUUUAACUUACAUGGCAACGGCGGCCCUUGCUGGCGAGUAAAUAGUUAAAUGAUGUUCGCUUGAUGGCAAGGGCGGCCCUUGAGUGUAGUAGAUCCGCGUUUACAGAAAGAUAAGAAAUUAGGGAUGCUAUAUAAGAAUCUGCAAUGUUGUAUCACACUUCUCAUAUAUUAGGACAAAGAAACAUGCAUUGUUUUGGUUCAUCCUUUCGUUCUUAUCUGUAUAUUUUGUGCAAACAAAAAAUCUCACUCCGCAAUGUUGUAUCUUUGGGUUUUGUGUUUUUUUCCUGGUGCAUCAUUUAUCGAUUGUUUGGUGUCCAAUUCUACAUACUCUUUGACGCCUGGGUUUGCCCUUUUGUUAAUCCCGUGAUGACAUGUGAGGCAGGCAAGUUUCAUUCUUUGGUCUUAUGAUACUUCUAAAACCUACUGCCUAUUAGGGAUGCAUGUUUGAAAUGUGUGCACACUUAUAGUUUCGGUUCUUCUGGGGUUAAAUUCUAAAUUGAUUUGAUUCAAUGGAUAUAAAAACUAGCUUUGAGCGAAACAGACUAUUCUUUACUUUAGCAUAUAAUAGUAUAUAGCUAUAUACAAUGAGUGCAAAAGCUAUUUGUUCUCCACUUAAGCUUAUAUUUCCUAUUAUCUUUACACAUCAUCCUUUUACUUUUUCUUUAUGCAAGGCUCCUACAAGCUCUCUCAGAGCUCAGGCACUCUCGGCCGUCGGAUCGUUUCCCUUGAUGCGUUCUCGUCCGUCUGAUCGAGAUCUGGAGAAGCCUGGGCCGUUGGAUCUGGGAUUGACACUGCUGGAAUGAACAAUAAUGGCAACAAAAUGUAAAUACCAUGCCCCAAUCGGGGCAUUUUGGUAAUUUCGCGUAGGGGGGGUAUAAAAGGUACAUCAGUUUACUGAAUAUUUCGAAGCUUUGAACUGCAUGACCACAGUGACAAUAUAACUAAAUAAUGGAAGAAACUUAUGGGUAGACACCACAUGAAUUUUUUAUUUGAAUUUACAAACAGACACUUGAAUUUAGCUUCAUACAUAUCAUAUGAUACCUUGGAAGCCCAUAUUGUAAAUUUGAUGAGUCUCCAUGACAGAAUCUCAUUGUAGAAUUUACCUUCUGUAUUCGAAUGCCCAUGUAUUAUGUUGCUCUCUGAUUCAACUUAUACGCAUUUAGCAGUUUAACUUUAUCAUGUUAUCCUGUUCUUACCAUACCAUAUCUAUGAUAAUUGAGGCAGCGACAAGCACAAAUAUGCCCUAGCUUUGAGGUACAAAUGUGUUCCGAACUUACAUUAGAGCUUGACGCAUCAUUAUGUCGCGAGUCACCAAAAAAACUGCAUUGCAAAACUCUACGCUUUUCUUUCGAUCAUAUGACAUCUUAAUCCUUUUAGGUUGGCAUCAAACUCUACGAGUGGAUUUUUAUUAUUGUGUUGAGAUAUUCUUUGAUUUCUAUUAAUUGGCCAAUAUUUGAUGUCAUAUUUUCUUUAGAUGCAUCACUUACAGUUAUCCUCUGAUUUCUAUUAAUUGGCCAAUAUUUUUUCUGGAGUCAUAAUUCUGUUAUAGCAUCUCCUUGCCUUUUUUGCUUUGAAAAACACCAUUGAUCAUAAGCUGAUUGCAGCAGCAGGGUUGUGAACUUUAAGCAUACCUAGGAUAUUUAUAUUUUAGUUGGCAAAUUGUAUGCCAAUUUUGUGAUUUAUCUAUUAUCUAUUUCUUUCACCUUUGAACACUUUGAAUAUACUAGCCCAUAUUGUUCAUUACUGAUGUAAGAUGAAGUUUUUAGAGAUAGACAUGUUAAAUCUGGGUGAAAGAAGUACAUCACAGGUGAAAUAUCACGAUGGCAUUGUUAUCAUGCACUCCCUUCAUUCCUAAAUAUAAGUCUUCUUAGAGAUUCCUUUUAGUUUUUUUAAUCGUGGCUUGCUAAUUAGGCAAAAACAAGAUACUAAAUCAUGCCAAACAAAAGAGGAAACCAUUUAAACAGUAAGAUUUUCACAACAAGAUACUAAAUCGGUGGCUUGAUUGCAUGAUGACAAGUUUUGACCACAAGAAUGUUCUAACAAAUCUUAUCCUUGAUUGCAGCUAAAAGAGAACUGACUAGGCCCCGGUCAUCUCCACCCCUGAUGGUGCUCCUAGAAGUGCUACACAUUGCCUCCUUGGCCGCUUCGGUGCGGGUGGUGUUCGUGCUCGUCGGCGGGAUGGUGCAAGGCGCAACUCUGAUGUGGUUCCUUGCCGGUUGGACGGCGUUCAAGUGCAACCCCGGCUCCCACUGAGUACUGCCUCAGCUACAACCUCCCUCUGUGAGGUCCAUCUUCCCCUGCUCUGCUUCGGCUACUAUAUGGGGCAUGGCCAGGGCUAUGAUGAUUAUUUAUGGCUGAUAUAGGCAUGCUCUCGAGCAAUCGAGGCACUUGUGGGUACUAAUUUGGAUCCUCCCUCAUUUCUUUGAGCUGUUUUGAUCACGUUCUUAUUUUAGUGGCUCUGUCCUUGGAUGGUCAUUUCUGAUGAGUGAUAACCAGGGCAGUUUCACCCUCGUAAGAACAUAUUGAUCCAGAAAUAAGAGAAGGAUGUUCCUACAAGCCUCCUCAGAGCUCAGGCACCUUCGGCCAUCAGAUUGAUUUCCUGAUGCGAUUUUGGCGUCGGAUCUCGCUCCGGAUUGAUCUUGGCCGUUGGAUCGAGCCUGAACUCCUGCAGUAAUGAAUAGUUACUCCCACGGUGAGAUAUCUCAUGCCACCGUGUUUGAAUCACGUGCCCCAUUGGUCGAAAGCAAUUCUUGCUAUGGCGAUGAUGAUUAGCCGUGGCUGAAACAAGUGUGCCUUUGAGCAACCGAUGCACCUGUGGGUAUCAAGUUGGAUCCUCCCUCUUGUCUCUAGAAUCCUUUUUUAUCCUGUGAUACUUAUUGUUCUAUCCUUGGAUGGUCAUUCUUAUUGAGUGAUAACCAGGGCAGCUCCACUGUAUAAACAGGUUGAUCCGGUGAUAAGAGAUGAUGGGGGUAGAUUAUAUGAUCGAGAAAAGGCAAAUCUGAGCCCACUACGCAUUGAACCCUGAACCCUUUUUAUUUGUGUUUAAAGGUGUUAUUUAUUUAUGCUCCGGUGUUUAUAGACGUCUUAUGUAAAGAUUUCUUCUCUCUCAUACCUUUAUUGCAUAUAAGUUGUUCUUGAUCUUUUAUUGUUUUUUGUUGGUCCUUGAUCUAAUCUGGUUAAGAGUAAGUUGCACUUUGUUAUUCUGGGAUAAGCGAUGGUUCAACAAUGCUAUUGGUUCUUCAUGAGGAGUUCAUAGAAGGAUUUAUGCCAGUAAGCUUUCUUCCAGGUACCCACACUUCUCUCUUCCUCCUGAUUAGCCUGAUCUCUUUUUACGUGUCUACAAGUUGUGAAUUACUUAUGUAAGUGUUAUGUUGGAUCAUUAGAUUGUUGCAGAGAUAUUAUAUAUAGGGUGUCAGUGUGUUGAUUGCUCUUGCUUGCUUGCCGCUUAUCAGCACAGUGAUGCGUUGCUUUUAGUGUAUUUAGAUUCAAAGGGGUCGCAAGGUCGUUUGAAAUUUUGCCAAUGUUUUUAUAAAAAUGCUAUCUUCAAAGUAAACCAUAUCUGUGGAAGCGCCUUAGAUCUGUUUUAAUUGCAAGUGGCCAUUUGCUUUCUUGAGGUGGAACUAUCCACUGGUUCUUACAUCUUAACUCGAUGUGAUUUCUGAGUUCUAACUUAUUGUUUCUCAUAGUUUUCUAAUAUUUCUCCUCAUUGUACUAUUUAUUUCAAUAUCUGAAAUAAGGAGGGCAAUCUUGGUGGCUUUUUACUCGCACUUUGAUAAAUCCAUAUGAUAUUUUCAGGAAGAGUUCAAUCUACUUCUUCGAAUUCAGGCAGCACAAGGAGGGCCCAGUGGUGAUCGGGCUGACGGGAGGACCCAUGUGACAGGCCAGUUUCGGGCAUUCAUUUCAUGCCCCAAGUCUUGCGAGUUAUGCCCAUGUUGAGAUUUGCUAUGGUUUAUUAUGUUUUUGUUUCAUGUUUAUUCCAGGUUUGCUUUGUGGCCUCAAAUCCAAUGUAUCCUUGAUUUUGUAUUUAUUAAAUAAAUGCCUGCAUUCUGCGCUCAGUUCUGUAACAUAGAAGUUUGGCGUGCUCCUUUUCAUCUCCAGCUAACUGGUCCACUAUUUCUCUGGUUUAUAAAAAGGAAAAUAUUGUUCUUUUUGUAGCUCAGUGGUACUUAUUGCCUUACUGGAUGCUGAUUCUUAAAUUGCCUAAUUAACAAGCAACGGUUAAAUGUAGAUGGUUAUCCUUUGCCACUCUUUAGUAAUAUAUCUGAUUUAAUUUUCCAUAUCCUGUUAAUGACAAAGAUGUGUAUGUGUGUGGACGUGUGUGUGUGCGCGACUGGAUUAGGAUUUAAAGGUUGGGCCUCCUCUGAUUUAGUUACAUGCAUAUCUUCCACUAUGUGAUCUUCCCCCGUCCUAUGGAUUAGGAUUUAAAGGUUGGGCCUCCUCUGAUUUAGUUACAUGCAUAUCUUCCACUAUGUGAUCUUCCCCCGUCCUACGGACCAUAUAGAAUGUGUGCUCGCCCUCUAUGAAAGAUCAAACAUUUACUUCCUCCUAUUCUAAUGCCGACGCUUUGCUUUUGUUAUUGCAGAUCGACUCGCAAUGUUGAGCAGAUCACCAUGUUAAAAUACGAGCAUUUAGAGAAGUGUGUGCUCGCCAAGGACCCAAUUGGUUUCUGAAGAGUUGGCUGCAUAUCGUUGGUGUCCGAUGCACAAACAAGUAUACAUGAGGUCUGCCCCUGGUUUUACCUUGGUCUUGUAGUUAGCAAAUCAAAACCUUUUGGACUGUUCAAUUUUAAUUACAUUUAGUUAGUCUUUCAUCCAUACAUGUCUUUGUGAUGCCAUGAUGUUAGGAGCCCCUUAAUUUCCACUUCCUUUUGGGUGUGAGCUUCGUUGAUUGCUAAUAGCAAAGAAAUUCGAAAAAUAUGAAGAAUAUAAAAGUAACUUAUUAUUUUGACAUGGCUUGAUUUAAUUUUUUGUGUACAUGUUCUGUGAUGGGAUAGUCAUGUCUACCAUGUCCAGUAUUAGAUUUUUUUUAACUCAGCACCAACAACCCCAAUUUAAAUGAAAUAUAGAUACACACAAUAUUUGUAAGCUACGUUAUUUAGACAACGGGAUAAUUAGAGGUGGUCAUAGAUAUCUUGGUCAAACCAAAUAGAUAAAGAACACACAUGAAUCCAGGCUUGUGCUCUGUUUUGUAUUUCUCAUGUACGACCAGAGUCUGUAUAUAUGUUGUAAGCUAGAACAGAUUGUACCCACCAAAACCUAUUUGUGUGUACGACCAGAGUCUGUGUGUAUGUGUUGUAAGCUAGAACGGUUUUUACCCACCAAAACCUAUCUGUGUGUACGACGGCGGCGGGGCACGGAGGCGGGCGUGGGUUGGGGUUUGGAGGGAGGGAGAGAGAGAGGCAAGGCAGGAGGAGGAGGAGAGGGGGCAGUGGGAGUUUAGGAGGAGUUGGCGGCUAAGUAGACAGAUGAUAUGAAAUGCAUCAAUAGAACUUCCUACUAACCUAAACCAUGUUUACUACUAACUGAUAGUUACCUGUUUGACCACAUAGUUGGGACCGGCACCCCCACAUAGUUGUUCAAGGAAUUACUUCUUCAUUUCUGCCCUUGGCUUUCUUUUUCUUGGAUAUUGUAGCCUCACUAGGAUGGAUUAAGAGUGUCAUUUGCUCCCUUUCCCUAAUCAAAUAGGACUUCCAAAAUAAUGAGACUUGCACUCAUUUUUAUUUGUUUAUCUCUUUAGUUUCUGAUUACAACUUAUGUUUCACAAAUAUAUGCAGGUUUCUACUCUGUUUUAGUGGUCCUUAGUUGAUCUCUUUGAUUUCUGAUUACAACCUAUCUCUGCGAUUAUAAGUGAUUUUGGUGUUGUUUGUAGUUGGUACUUCUCAUUUCAGAAAUUAGUAGUGAUCCUGGUAUUCAACCAUGAGAGUUUAGUGAGAACAACCGAAGGAGGAAUGAGCUCAAUACAUGUUUAGCAGCUUCACUAAGUAAGUCCCCCCUAAACCUUCAAAUCCAAAUAAAACAAAAUUUCAAGAGUAUGUUCUCCACAUUUGAAAUAGAUAAAUGUUGACAUGCUUGCUGCAUCUCAUCAGAUUGCAGGUCCAGAAGUUAAAGGACAUGCUUGUGAAUCAUGGACAACCUCGGCCUGGUACGGGGGCUCGAGUUUGAGCUCUUGCUUGGCUUUAGGUGCAAACAUGGAACUUCAAUUCACCUAGAACGAAUCGGAUCCUUGUGUCAAUUAUUGUAGUGAUUGGAGGCCCAUUGCGUGUGACCAUGAUGUAGGCAUUCACUCUAGGAUCUGAGAAUAAUUUGUUGAUCCUGUUUGGAAUAUAGUGGUUAAAUAGUGAUUUUAACCACUUAUUUAUAUUUUUUUUCUUUUGUUGUGUUAUGUAUGGAGAUGCAGAUAGUGGUUUUAGUUUUGGUAGUUUGAACUGCUAUUGAUUAUGUUAUUGCAAGUGGUCCUUGUUCAGCACGGUGACCUCAAGGAUGCCUCUUGAAAAUUAGCAUCUUUAUUAUGAGAUUGAGGCGAUGUAAACUUGAAUUCAGAAUCAACUUUGUGCUCUUGGCGAAAUGUGUACUGAGUUUAUUUCUUUUGGAUUUGGUGGGUUGAAUCAAGACUCUUGUAUUUUAUAUGGCAAUGCAUUAUAUCAUUGAUGUUUUGCAUAUAUGAUUGCAACCUGUGCUAAACUUGCCUUUCUACUACCGCUUGGCCAAGUCGUUGGGGCCAGCACCCUCGCGUUGCCGAUCUAGUUCCUAGUUAUCCCGGUGAGAAGCUGGCUGGUGUGAAGCAUGCCUCUGGACGCUGACCUCCUUCGAUUCAAAGUCUCCGUUCUCAGUCAAGCAGAGCGUGUCUGUGACCUUGCCGGCUCGUUAAUCACCACUAGCUGGUGAUCUGAUACACCAUUUUCAUGUGUAAAUUGCAGCGAUGAUCUCUCAUGCAGGACAAGGCAACCUGCUUAUGUGGAAAACAAACGAGACCAUAUAUGAUACCUUCUUUAUGUUACUUUGUUCUAUGAAGAUAAUAAUAUAGACUAGUAACAUACGCAUAUUAAUAAUCUAAGUUACUUCACACUAUGACUAACCUAACGACGCGGUAAGCUCCACACCAUGGGCAGCAGCGGGCCCGCUGAGGUUACAGCUUUGAGUGUGAAGCUACGGCUAUUCCUAGUUAUCCCGUUGAGAAGCUGGCUGGUGUGAACCACGCCUCUGGACGCUGACCUCCUAGCGAUUCAAAGUCUCCGUUCUCAGUCAAGCAAAGCGUGUCUGUGACCUUGCCGGCUCGUUAAUCACCACAAGCUGCUGAUUUGAUACACCAUUUUCAUGUGGUUGCACCAACUGAUGAUCUCUCAUGUAGGACCAGGCAAUGUGCUUAUGUGGAAAACUUCAAAAUGGGCAGAUUAGUUGAAUUACUCUUUCGCAUUUUGCACUAUGUUAGGAUUUGAAACCGCAAGAAAUGUCAUGUUUAUAAUUAUUUGUUUCAAGCUCUUCCUAGUUCUGCUACGGGGCUUCAUUUUAAGACAAAUUAAGUAGAAACGUCUGUACGGUUGAAAGUAAUAAUUAUUAAAUAGUACACCUUAUUGUCACUUGUGCAAAAAAGAUAACUUACAUCCUGAAUGAUCAUAUUUUUUCGAUGAAAUCUUGUAAGUUGGUGCCGAGAGCUGGAAAAAUGAAAUUCUCAUGAAAUAUUUGUACACAGGCAUCUGGCAGGUGCGUCCAAUGUGUUUUCGUACAUGCAUCAAAUUUUUCAAAUGAACAAAAUAUCAAAGAAAAAACAUCCCUAGCUAGUAGAAGGUUGAGUAUCUCUAACAUCAUCUUCUUUACAAAUUAUCUCAACACCCAACUCUCUGAAGACUUUCUCUUGUGCAUGGUUAUUCGUUGUUAAGAUCACUUUCUUCUAAAAACAGUUUCACGACAAGUCUUGGUUAUCUAGAUUAAACAGAACAAAGACUACAAAAUUAUUUCAGCUACUAGAAAAAACGUCUGGCCCUUCUUCACCCUGGUGAGAAGCUGGCUUGGUGUGAACCAAGCCUCUGGAGUCUGGACGCUCAAGCACAGCAAUCCUGAUCUCAUAGCGAUUCAAAGUCUCUGUUUUCAGUCAAGCAAAGCGUGUCUGUGGCCUUGCCAGCUCAUUAAUCACCACUAGCGGGUGAUUUGAUACGCCAUUUUCCUGUGGUUGCAGCAACCGACGAUCUCUCUGUAGGCCCAGGCAACCUGUUUACGUGGAAAACUUAAAAAGGGAGAUCAGUUCAAUUACUCUUUCGCAGUUUGCAGAAUGAUGUGAUUUGAAACUACAAAUGUCAUGGUUAUAAUUAUUUGAAAGCUAGAUUGUCACCUUGAUAAUUAGAAGUUUAGAACUUUACACCCAUUAUCCAUCCACCCUUUAAGACCUUCAACGUUGUUUACAUGAAGACUUCAUCCAAAUAUACUUAGUUUUAGUGCUUCCUCUCUGAGAAUAUAUCGAUUCCUGUAGUCAAGAUGAACAACCAUUUACUUGAGUUUUUGAAAAGACACUGUUGUCGUCGGUAACUUACCAGUGCAUUCGUAGUUUGGUACCUAGCAGGAUUCCAAAAGCCAGGAAAAGACACUGUAGUCAAGACUUCAACCAUUUACUCCCAAGAAACAGGAACACGUACUGGUUCCAUUCCUGUAAAUUGGAUAAUUAGAAUGUUCAAACUCAGAUCUUAAGUUCUCAAAUUGGAACGACUUUGGGACAUAUACACAAAUCACUACUAAACUAAACUUCCCUGAUUCAGAACUUAUUUAUAACUCACUAGUUUGUAUGAUCUCCUAUUAGUAAAAUUACAGCAAACAUGUAUUUUCCCAUGUGAUUUUCAGGUGAAAGAAAAGGUUGUGGAGCUUGCCAAGGCCAUGGAAUCAGAAGACGGUGUAACGGGUGCAGUCAGGGCAUUCCUCAAACACCUGCCCUGUAAAACGGAUGAAAAUACACCCCGACCUACGCACGGCUUUCUAGAGUUCCUAGGCCUAGUAAGUAAAUGUUUGGUGUGCCGUUAGGUGCUGGUCAGAUGCAGCUAUACCACUCCUCCAUGCUGAAAGAUGAGUGUAAAAAAGCCUCUUGGGUGACCGCUAUGCCAUUGUGUGCGAUAAGAAUGUGGAAGCCAAAUGUUAGAAGUUGAUGUACAUGCAUGCGACCAGGAUCCUGUGAUUUAUCGUUUUGCGUUUUUUGUAUGUGUGUUGUGUAAAGAGUACUUGUCUGGUGAUUUGAUACAUAAUUUUGGUGUGGUUGCAACCUUGGUCUGCAGCAACUGAUGAUCUCACAUGUAUGACCAGACAACCUAUGUAUAUGGAAAACUUCAGAGUGCAGAUUAGUUCAGUUAAUCCUUUUGUAGUUUACGACAUGGUUUAAUUUGGAACGGCCAGACAUGUCAUGGUUAUAAUUAUGUUUCAAGUUUUUCCUUGUUCUACUACAGGUCUUCAGGUUAAGAUAAAGUAGAGACCUGUGACCUCAUGCACAGGGGAAAGUAAUUCUGUCACCCCAGUACUUUUUUUCUCAGUUUCCAAAAAUGUGAAAUAAUUCAUGGUUGUAAAUUAGGCUAUAUCAUAUGCAUUUGCAAAAACUUUGAAAAAUAUGAAUUUUGUGACUUGUACAGAAAAUACAACUCUAUGGAUAUAUUACUUGAGGUUUGUUCAUUUAUAUACCUAUUUUUCUUGUCUAAGUCGCAAAUUGAUCAUAUUUUUGUAGAAAUUUGAGUUUUAUAAGCUCAUGGUGAGAGGUGAACUGGAGAACGAGCUUUUCACUUCCAACCGUAUUUUGCAUCUGAUAGGUGCAUAUUAUGUGUAUUUGUUCCAGGCUUCUUCUUUUUCCAGCAAAGAAAACAUAUAAAAUGUCCCCAGUUGAAACCCAUCAUUAUCAGGCAAAGGGCUCUAUUAACAUGGAAAGAUCCUCAAAAGAUCUUGCUGAGACAUCUAUAGCGUACACAACCAAAUUAUUACAGUGAGCCAAACAGAUUGACUUAUUGAAAAGGAAAAAGAUGGCAGCGGAAAAGAUAGCAAGUUAUCAACAUAUUGCCAUGCCGUGGUCAAAGCAAUGAGCUUCAACUUCAUCGACUGCCUUUUUUGCCUUAAUAAUGUAUAUAAGGUCAUUGCUUCAGUUGUCCAUAGAGAAAAAUGCCUCUUUUACUUUAGUUACUUCACCGUAGACAUCAUGCAUCGCUGGGCGAUCCUUCGGUGAUUCCGCUGAGCAUAAUAAGCCAAGUCUAAGGAGCCGGAGAGCACAUAUAUCCUUCAGUGCAAAUGUGUUGUGUUCUUGCAAGUUCUGGGUAUGAUCGACACACUGAUCCCCCGUCUCUGAAGUAAGAUCGGGGUGAAGAAUGUCUUGUGUUCGUGAAAGCGAUGCAUUUACGUACUUGCGGAGCGUCAAGCCAUCAUUGAACUCUUCAUUAGUAGUGUCCUACAACUAUUGUACCUUUCUUUGGCGACCAACCAUUCUGGGGUGAGCGGGUGCAUGCUAGAGGGGUAGGGCCUUCGCCUAUACCGGUUGAUCAAUUCACUUUGCAGAAGUUGGUUGAUGCUAUAAAAUUCAUGUUGGAUCCAGAGGUAACUCUACAACUUUUUUGCGCUUGGGCAGAUGAGACUUUUUCUUUUGUUUCAUAUCGCAAAAAUAGAUAACAAGAAUAUGGACGCAGAUGUGCAUAGGUAGGCUGCAGGCAGUGUUGCAGAUAUGGUUAUGAUAUACUGAUAUACUGAUAUACUGAUAAUUACUCCCUCCGUUCCUAAUUGCACUGGUGCAUUUGUAGUUUGGUACCCAGCAGGGUUCCAAAAGCCAGGAAUGGACUGGUUACUGCCAAGAAACAGGAACCGGUCCGUUAAAUUGGAUAGUUAGAAUGUUCAUAUUCAGAUAUUAAGUUCUCAGAUUGGAACAUCUUUGGGACAUAUACACAAAUCAGUACUAAACUAAACUUCCCUGAUUCAGAACUUAUUGUAUGAUCUCCUAUUAGUAAAAUUACAGCAAACAUGUAUUUUCCCCAUGUGAUUUUCAGGUGAAAGAAAAGGCUGUGGAGCUUGCCAAGGCCAUGGAAUCUGAAGACGGCGUAACGGGUGCAGUCAGGGCAUUCCGCAAACACCUGCCCUGUAAAACAGAUGAAAACUCACCCCCACCAACGCACGGCUUUCUAGAGUUCCUAGGCCCAGUAAGUAAAUGUUUGGGGUGCUCUUAGGUGCUGGUCAGAUGCAGGUAUACCAUUCCUCCCUGCUGAACGGAGAGUGUAACAAAAGGCUCUUGGGUGACGCACUAUGCUAUUUCGUGCGAUAAGAAUGUGGAAGCCGAAUGUUAGAAGUUGAUGUACUUGCAUGCGACCAGGAGCCCGCGAUUUAUGGUUCUGCGUUUUUUUGUAUGUGUGUUGUGUAAAGAGUAUUUGUCUGGUGAUUUUAAUACAUCAUUUUGGUGUGGUUGCAACCUUGGCCUGCAGGAACAGAUGAUCCCUCAUGUAUGACCAGGCAACCUGUGUAUAUGGAAAACUUCAGAGUGCAGAUUAGUUCAGCCAAUCCUUUUGCAGUUUACGACAUGGUUUAAUUUGAAACUGCCAAACAUGUCAUGGUUAUAAUUAUGUUUCAAGUUUUUCCUAGCUCUACUACAGGUCUUCAUUUUAAGAUAAAUUAGACACCUGUGACCUCAUGCACAGGGGAAAGUAAUUCUGUCACCCCAGUACUAUUUGUUUUCAGUUCCCAAAAAAUGUGAAAUAGUUCAUGGUU